This 202395-nucleotide long non-coding RNA is filed under the name Citrus x clementina. Lineage: Eukaryota; Viridiplantae; Streptophyta; Magnoliopsida; Sapindales; Rutaceae. The record is from RNAcentral.
UAGAUUUGACUGAAUUUGGGAACCUGUUGGAUUGAUUGUUUUUAGAUCAUUAAUUUCAGAUACUACAACGUAAAUAUUUUCUUGUGGUUGAGUCCUAUUCUCAAAUCAGUAGGUUGCCUUAGGAAAAGGGCUUUUCUCACUGAUCUUUUUUUUUUUUUCUUUAAUUCACACGCACUUGAUUAUUGACUUCUUUCAUGAAGAAAUAAACUUGUAAUGACUUAAAGAUUUAAUUUCAAGUUAGAAUCAAUACCAAAAGACGGAGGUUUAACCAAGCAUGCAGUGUGCUUUAAUGAUUUUGGCAUAGACAUUGCUUGUGUACUUUGAAAUUGAAAUGAAUAUUAAGUGACAGCACAGUGAAUAUGCCUAAUAAAAGAUCAGCAAAAGCUUGGAUGAAUGAUUGAGGACCAAAACUUUUAUAAAAGCAUUUUUGAGAGAAACUAAACACCAAAUUAUCAAAGUAAGAUCAACAGUAUAUGAUUUGAUUUAUACACAUUCAAAAACAAAAUAGUGAUUAAUAAUAAAGUUUGAUUUUGUAUUGCCAACGAUGCUUUUUUGUUGUUUCAUUUGUUCGACGUGGCCUUAUUUACAAAUUGGUUUAUGUUAACAGAAACAUGAAAUUCACAUCACACAAAAUUGCACGAACAAAUAUUAAGAGAACAUAAUAAUAAUCACUAAAUGCGUAAGGGUGAAUUUAGAAUUACAUUUUCUUUUUUAUUUAAUAAAAUCCCAACGGGAAAUCAUAAAAAUUUAUGUAUAAAAAUUUUCAAUCACAAACAAAAAACAGGGAGAAUGAAAACACAGGAAACUUGUUUUACCUUUUUCUCAUCUAACUCAUGUUCUUAUAUAAUAUUUUCCCUGGUAUUUCAGGCAAGCAAAUAAAUAAAUAAAUAAAUAAAUAAAGAGCAAGUUGCUAAAAUUGAUUUAUCUUGUUUUUCAGGCAAUCUUGUGAUAUGAUGAUAAUGCUCAUGAAUGCUAGAAAACUUCUAAUGCAAACAAUUCUAUUUGGGAUGAUAAGCUUAAUUUUACAAGUGAUAAAUAUAAAUAACUUUUUGUGGUUAAUUCAAUUUGUAAUUACCCUUAGCCCUAUUCUAAAAUUUGUUGGCUGCUUCAGAAAAAAAAAAAGAAUAUUUCUCACUCAUCUUUAAUCUUCAAGGAAAAAAAAAUAUAAUAAAAUGACAAACAAACAAACAAAUAAAAGACAGCAAACAAACAACAUUGAUCUUAUGCCUACUGAUAUUUAAACAGAGAAUUCUUUCUUCUUUUUCUCUUCAUGGAUUAGAGUUUUUGCUAGUAACAGAAAGGUUUCAAGGGUCUGAAUAAAAUCCCAGAUUUUUUUUAACUUUGUUUUUUGUGGGAAAAUGGAUUCAAAUUAACCAAAGCCAAUAAUAAGAUCACAGACUUUAACAAUGAACAAUAACUUAAGCAAAACCAAUGACAAGAUUAAAACAAACCACAGAAAUUUUUUCUCGGAAAGUAGAUGAAAAGCAAGUAAGAACUGCUAUUAAAGGAUAUUAUUAAAGGAUUUAGAACAUGUAUACCUCUUUAAUUAUAUGGGAUCAGAAAUCGAUGACCUCCUCUAUUCGCUUCAGAUAUUAAGUAAGAACUGCUAUUAAAAGAAUGAAUUGAUGAGAGUAAUAACAAUGAUUGCAAAAUAGGAAGACUCAAUCAUGCACCCCUUUUAUACCUGAUCAUAUUAAGAAGUCGUUAAAGAAUAACGACUAAAUUAGGAAUUAAUUCUGAAGUUCAGAAUCAAGAACAAAGACGAAGCUUUAAUAAAGCAUGCAGUGAGAUACAAGAAAUGGAUCUGGUAAAAUACAUUAAAAAAAUUUGUUCAACCUAGUUAAGCUGAUGAAAGCACUAGUUGUUGGCUCUACGUUUCAUAUGUUCUAAUGAAAUAAUUAAGUUGAAGUUUUCAACGAAUAAAUACCUGUUUCGCUUGAAUAGCUUUGGCAUAUACAUUACUUGUGUCCUGUGAAAUUGAAAAGGUUAUUGAUUUACAAAGCUUAUUAGUAGAGAAAAGCUACGCAAGAUGCCUGAUAAAAGAUAAAGCAAGAGCUUGAAUGAAGAAUGACAUUUUAGAAAGAAACUAAAGUGUAAUCAUCAAAGUAAGAUCAAUAAUGUACCACUUUCCUUGCAAAUCUGGUGGGUUUUCUGAAUAGAUUUUUACAUUAUUCUAUUUAACCAUUUUGGGUUUACCCUAAGCAUUCUUGGUUGGCAUUGUCCUGUAAUCUGCGCGCCCUGGAUACGUGAGAGGGAAUGAUGAGGGUAGAUAUGCAAUUUCAAGAAGCGAUUUGCUUGCAUAAUUCAAUGCAUGGAAAGAGAUGUACCUGGCCAGACAAAAAGGGAACCAUCCAUAUCUGAGCUUGACUUUUUAGACGGAUAAACAUUCUUAUUACUGUUGAUAAUGGAGAAGGGUUCUACUUUUGCUUUGCCAUCUUUGAUAUAAAACAGCAUGAUUCCUUUUUAUGAAACACUUGCCUAAGUCUUUUUUUUAUUUUUCUUAUUUUCAGAAAGAGAUUAGCUUAAUUUAAAUUAUAUUCACGAACAAAGUGUUAUACACUCAUAAAACGAGAAAUAGGCAUGUAUUGAUCACGCGCAAUCUGUUUUUUUUUUCCCCUUUUUGUUUUUAAUCCAGUCUUCUUAUUUAAAAAAAAAAGAAUUUAUUUGCUUUAUUUUAAAUUAUUUUUUCAUGCGGUAAAUGCAAUACUGAGUAAUGGGUGAGCAAAAUAUUUACAGGCACACCCCCUUUUAAUGAUUUCGUACUAAAAUUAAAAAUUGACGAUUCCAUGAUAAAGUUCAAAGAGUAAAUGAAGACCCAUAAAUGUUUUUUGGUCAUGAGCAAUUUUUGAGUUGGGACAGCACUCGUAUGAAAAAAAAUAGUUUUUUUUUUCUUUAAGCAUGAGGAUAUUAAUUCUUUUUUUAUAAAUCAGCGUGAAUAUAAAAUUAAAAAAAUAGUUUUGAAUAACUUCUUUUCUUUUUUCAUAAAUAUAGAUAAAAAAUUUUAAAGUCACCAAACACAAAACCAGGAAAAUGGAAAGGAAGCCCCUGUUUCUCCGCUGCUGCAAGCACAAAUUCGGUUUCUACAGGAGUACCUUCUAAAUGCACCAUUUGUAUUGCUUUGUUUCCACGUAAGCUAACGGAAUUUGAUGAAGACAAAAUAGAUAUGAGUCGUGCUAUUCACACCCCUCGAUAAUUCUUUCAAAAUCCCCUUUCUAAUUAUACCGCCUUGAAUAAUUUCAAAACUGACUUUUCCUCUUAUAAUACCACCUUCAAUUCCCUUAAUACCCUUGUUCGCUAUGAAAAUAGAGCGAAUUGCGUGGGAUAUACUUGUUUUCCCUCAAAAUACCUAAAAUAUACCUCCAUAUAUUAAAAUUGCUAGUUUUACACAUAUAUACUUAAAAAGAUCGGGAAAAAUACAAAAAUAACCUCAAUAAAAAUACUCGACUUAUUUAAUAUGCUUACUCGACUCAUUUAAUAUUCUUACUCGACUUCUUACCGGACCAUAUACUCGACUUAGUUAAUAUGCUUACUCGACUUAUUUAAUAUUCUUACUCGACUUCUUACCCGACCAUAUACUCGAUUUAUUUAAUAUGGUUACUCGACUUCUUACCCAACCAUAUACUCGACUUAUUUAAUAUGCUUACUCGACUCAUUUAAUAUUCUUACUCGACUUCUUACCCGACCAUAUACUCGACUCAUUUAAUAUUCUUACUUGACUUCUUACCCAACCAUAUACUCGACUUACUUAAUAUUCUUUCUCGACUCAUUUAAUAUUCUUACUCGACUUCUUACCAGACUAUAUAUUCGACUUAAUUAAUAUGCUUACUCGACUUAUUUAAUAUUCUUACUCAACUUCUUACCCGACCAUAUACUCGACUUAUUUAAUAUGCUUACUCGACUCAUUUAAUAUUCUUACUCCACUUCUUACCUGACCAUAUACUCGACUUCUUUAAUAUGCUUACUUGACUCAUUUAAUAUUCUUACUCGACUUCUUACCCGACCAUAUACUCGACUUAUUUAAUAUACUUACUCGACUCAUUUAAUAUUCUUACUCGACUUCUUACCCGACCAUAUACUCGACUUAGUUAAUAUUCUUACUCGACUUCUUACCCGACCAUAUACUCGACUUCUUUAAUAUACUUACUCGACUCAUUUAAUUUUCUUACUAGACUUCUUACCCGACCAUAUACUCGACGUCUUUAAUAUGCUUACUCGAUUCAUUUAAUAUUCUUACUCGACUUCUUACCCGACUAUAUACUCGACUCAUUUAAUAUGCUUACUCGACUCAUUUAAUAUUCUUACUCGACUCAUUUAAUAUUCUUACUCGACUUCUUACCCGACCAUAUACUCGACUUACUUAUCUCUAAUUCUUACUUGACUAAAUUCUCGAUUUACCAGACUUCGUACCCGACUUCUUCCUGUACUAAUUCUUCAAUCACUCAUAACUUAAAUGUAGUCUUAAAUCCCUACAUUGAAAUAGUGUGUGUGUGUGUGCAAGCACAAAAAAUGAAUAAUGUACUACUAAAAUUCAUAAAUCAUUAGGAAGUACACUUAUAAGAAAAAUAGAGAAUGGUGAGAGAAGCCCAAAAAAGAGAAGCAAUAGGAGAAGAGAGAUGUAAAUUCUUAGUUUUUUUAAGGUUAUUUUUUACUUUUCCUAUCUUCAUAAGGUAUAUGUAUGUAAUAAGGUAUAAAUUUGGCAUUUAAGGGUAAAUUGAGGAUAUUUAAAUAAAAAACCCAUGAAAAUAAGGAAAAUGCCUACAUAAAAAGCUGGCUCUGAUAAUCUACCUGAAUUUACAUUAGAAAAGAGUGGACUUUGAGAAAUAAGAAGACAAUAUAGGGAAUUUUACCAAAAUAAUCCAUUUUUAUAUACAGGGAAUGGUAUUUUCUAAUAUAAGGAGGAGUGGAGAAAUUAAAUUUAGCAAAAUAAAGAACCUCCAUCGAGAAGCAAAAAUGAUAAUAUCUUUGUCGUGAAGAGAUUUCAAUUCAAUUGCAUACACUGACGAAACAUUAAAUACGGAAAAAACAAAAAAGAAAUAAUAGGACAUGGGGAUUUCGAGAACUUCUAAAGAGAGAAAUGUAUUUAUAAGCAUUGAAAAUUAGCUCAUUAAAUUUGACAGAAUAAUAUACAAUCUCACUGUUGGCCAGAAAAUAAUAGUAAGAACUUGUGAACAUAAAUAAUCAAUUGCUUAUUACUUAAGCUUUUUCUCCGUUAUUUUGAAUGGGUGCAAAGAGGAGAAGUUUUGUACCCAAAUUCCAACUCGAAUUGUGUAGGCUGCUUGCAAGAGCUUCAUUAGAUUUUUAUUUGUCUUUUAAUAGUGCUUCUCGACAAAUACAGCUAGCUAUCUGUCCUUUUUGUUACUGGACUAUAGAUCAAUUGACAGCUGAAGUUAUAUUAAUUUGUUGUACUGGAAUUGAAGCUUGUAUCUUAGCCAUUUCGUGAAGUGUCAAAUAUAUUUUUAAUUUCCUUAAAAUUGUUCAAAAUAUGUUUACACUUUUAAAGUCACUAUUAUACAUGAGUGCCCUAAAAUUGGAGAAGGCGAUUUGCCUGACAUUACCUGUAUUCGCUUGUAUAGAGAGGACGAUUUAGAUAAGUCGGAACGGAACAACCUUCAUCACAUGCUUCCUCACGUGGUUACUUAAACUGAUAUGUAAAACGUGCUCCAUCCAUGUCGUUUCCACUAAAUCGUUUUCUGUUAAGAAUCAGCUGAGCAGCACGUGAGCUAAUGAAGCUUUUACGGCUUCAAAACGCAGCCGUUUCUGGGAACCAAACUUGAUUCAUCACCUCACAACUACAGAUGAAUUAUCGAAGUGGCUGAUUGGUGCUAUACGUGUUUUUCGUAUUGAACUCAACUCUGCUAUUUUCCCAAAGCUGGAAAACAGAAACAUCAUCCCUGUGGUUUUAUUUCCCCUCAACCUUUUUCUGAUCCCAUUUUCAUUGUAAUUUCUCAUUUACUUUGAGUGAAAGUCAUUGUUGCUUUCGAACGAGGUUUUGCAACUAAAAAGGAAAAGGGGGCGGCUAUAAUACAUGCGUGCAUCUGAUACAUGCACAAAAACUGACCAUUGGAUUAAAUGGAGUGGAUCUAAUGGCUGAGAUUUGUUUUAUUAUUAAGCAAUAAAAAAAUUUGAAACAACCAGAAACCUGUAAAACCGGUCAUUUGGUUUAAGUUAAAAAUAUAUAAAUGAAAAAAACAAAAAAACCCACCACUCCCCCGCCUCACACGCGCCUUACCGCUCCCUCGCCUCACCUCUCUUCUUGUUCCACGGCCAUCAACGGCGGCACGAGUCGGCGACGAUCAACUGCGGCUGUAAAUUGACCACGAUCAUCUCUCUCUCUCGGCUUGCUCAAAUUUGGCCGAUCUGUGCGCUUGAUUAAGCUUGGCCGAUCUAUGCUUGCUCGAUUACUCUUCCUAUCUUCAGUCAGAGUCAACUGUUUGACAAGAGUCGAAGUCCAAGGUUCUUUUUUACAGGAUUUGAGCUACUCCUUUUAUUCUUCUUGCAUGUUCACUGAUAUGAAGCUUUGAUGUGGUGUUCUGAUAGCGGGUGGAAUUUGAGAUUCUCCUUUCUUCUCUAUAUGAAGGUGCUUGUCAUGUGUCAAGAAAAAUAAAAUUAUUUACCAAAGAUUAUUUUAAGGAGAUUUAUUAUUAUUCGUGGAUCGGGAAGCUCAAAAAAUUUUCUUAUGUAGAACAUAAAGUGAUUUAAAUUUUGCCAUGGUAUAUCCUUUUCUUUGAUUGUGUUGUGGUUUUCCAGUUCUUGGAGAUGCAGAAGAAGUUUAUUUUGUUUUUUGGUAUCUUAUUUAUUUAUUGUUUUCACGAGGAAAUUGCUGUGCUUUUGGAAAUUAAUAUGCUGUGUUGUCAAUGUUGUGUGAAAUCCUUUUAUUGGUGUCUAUGUAAAGUGUUUCAGAUUUCAGACCUGAGAGUUAAUCUUCGCGUACCAGUUGGCUUUUGGGUUUAGUAUUGCUGCUUUUAACAUAAUUGACCUAUGGCCCAAAUCAUUUCUAUAGGGCAAAGCAUAUGAAUGAUAAAUAUUAUCUUUUUUUGGCCUUAUGUAUUUUUAUUUGCAGUGUGAUUUGGUCUAGCUUAAGAGCUUAAGCUUGCAGGUUGGAUUUGUCUGACAGGGAACAAUUUAAUUUGUUCAUCGUGAUGUUUAUAUCCAUUUUGUACUACUAUCAAUUUCAGUCAUGCCUAAUUUUUAUAUGUAUUUCUCGUGGACUCUCAGGGUCAGUGCACAAGAGGAUGAAGACGAUGGACACCCAAAUUUAUAGUGUAUUUUUGUCAUCUUUGUAUGACUGGCAGGUCGUCCUGAUUUGGUACAUGACUGGACACAGGAAUUGGACUCAUAUUUUUCAAACCAGAAUGCCAACAAUCAAGCAUUUUCUUUUGAAAGCACUGGCGUCUUCUUCAAUGCCAAAAAGGUUAGAGAUUUUCUGUAUCCUGUUUUGUAUUUGAUCAGUUUAGCAUGUGGGUGGCAAUCAAGAAAAGUUAUUAUAACAUUUUUGUGUUCCCGAAAAACUGCUGAUGAUGUGUAGUGCAGGAAAUGAAUUGUUUGUGACUUCUUUUUAUUUGUAUUCUUUCUUUUUUCUUUUCUCCCCAACAGGAUUAUGCAUUUCUGAAGAGCUUCUUGAAGUUGAUUACCUUGUAUGCCACUUUCUUUACUCUAUGCUCAGGAUGUGAUUUUGCCAAGCAUUAAAAUGGUUUAGGUCAGAACCAUCAUCUAAAGUUUACUUAAUGCAGCCGAGAAGCUGUAGUAGAGCAAUGAAGGCUGUUGGUGUUAUGAAGGCCAGCUGUGAAGAAAUAUUUGAACUUGUAAUGAGCAUGGAUGGGACACGAUACGAGUAUGCUUCUUUUCUAUUUUUUAUUUUUAGUUACUUUAACAUAAUCAAGACUAUAUUGGCUGUCUCUGUAAGCUGAGUAUUAUAUUUCCUCUUGUAUGCUGUGAAAUUCACAUUGUCUCCAGUCCCGAUUCUGUAUGUGCCUUUUUGAAUAUAUUUAGUUAAUCUGCAUGGUGCUUUCUAAAGAUUAUUACAAACUUUUGUUGCUUAGGUAUAUGAAGAAUGUGGAAAUGAAAAUAGCUUUUGAAGUUUGAUGGAUUGCUUCAUUAAUAAAGAAAGACUAGGACUCAUUUUUAUAACUUUUUCUCCACUUAGCUAAUGGUAUUUGAUGAAGACAAAAUAGAUGUAGCUAUCUGUAUUUUUUGUUGCUGAACUAUAGAUCAAUUGACGGUUGAAGUUAGUUAUAUUAAUUUGUUGUACUAGAAUUAAAGCUUGUAUCUUAGCCAUUUCAUGAAGUGUCAAAUACGUUCUUUCCUUUUUUUUUUCAAAACAUGUUACAUUUUUGAUGUCUAUUACAUAAAAGAGUGUUCUAAAACAGGAGAAGGCGUGCUGCCUGAAAUUACCUGUUUCCUAGCAAAUCUAGCUGGUUUGCGAAUUAGAUUUUAACAAGUCUCUUGGCAAUGUUUGCUAGUAAUGUGUUCAAAUUAUUCUAUUUAAUUUUACUGUCUGUACCCUAAUAAUUCUUGGUUUGCACCAUUGCAUUGUUCCAUAAUCUCUGUGCGUUGGCUUAUAAAGGCCAGCAAGGCUGAUCAUUUGUCGAAUAGUUAUUUCCAUGAAAUUCCUAUCAAUUUGACUCAGUAUUUAGAGGUCUUGAAGAGGGCAGUGUACUAGACAUGGAUUUCUACCUCUUUUGGUUGUACAAUUGUUGUAUUCCUUGGCCAUCAGAUCUUUUUUAUGUACCUUUCUCAAAGUUCAUGCUGCAUGUACACCCUUUUUCAUGUUUUGUGCAGGUGGGAUUGUAGUCUUCUGUAUCGCAGCUUAGUUGAAGAGGUAGAUGGGCAUACGGCUAUUCUCUAUCAUAGGCUUCAGCUGGACUGGUUUCCAAUGUAAUAGUCUCUCGAUUCAAUCAUCUCAUUUAUGCUUUGGUCAGAAUAGAACAUUUAUUGUUUUCUUCUUUCCCCUUUCCUCUCUUCUGAUAUAAUAUGUGAGGAAAUUACCUAAAAUUUUUCUGUAUCCCAAUGUAAUUGUUGGAAUUCAGAAAUAAAAUACAUACACCGUCUUGUUUUUCCCUCGGUUCAGUCCUAAGUUCUCUUUGGGCCUUCUGCAAGUUUUUAAACAUACUAUGACAGUAAAAAAUCUAGUGAUUGAGAUCAUUUUGAUGAAUUUAAUUUUAAUUCUUAGCUGAUACUUUUUCUGGAAAUUUUUUUCUUAUGUUUCCUCAAUAUGACUUAAAAAUAGGGCUUAGUUUGGUUUAGAAGUUCAUCUAAAACCUUCUGCUUGAUUCCAAAAAAAUUCUCAAGGAAGGUCUCAGAUGGAUUUUAGGGGAGUUCUGUGGCAAAUUUGAAAAGUUCAGGGGAAGGGUCUAAUGAAUUUCAAAACCACAUGGGUUAUCUGUUUUAUUCAGAGGAUAGUGCAAUUCCCUAAAAUUUAUCAUUUUUAUUUAAAUAAUCUUCCUACUUUCCUCUGCGGAAUUUAUUUAUAUAUAUAUGAAUUUAUUUGGUUGCAGGUUUGUUUGGCCCCAUGGCCUUUGUUAUGUGCGUUAUUGGCGUUGAAAUGACGAUGCGAGUUAUGGUAAGGUUCUUGCUUCCCCACUUCUUGAAAUUAAAUCUAUCUUUUCUGGCACUAGAAGUUUCCAUAAGCUGUGUUUUGUUAUCACGCAGUUGUGUUAUUUCAUUCUAGGGAGCAUGAGAACUGUGGUCCACAACCAGGAUAUGUACGAGCUCACGUGGAGAGUUAGUUUUCUGUCCUUUACUUUGGUUGAUGUAGAGAAUUAACAAGUGACUAAGUCAUGCCAAGUUGCACCACUUGCUUCCUGUAUUCUGAUUUCUCAGGUGGUGGAUUCAACAUUUCCCCACUAUAACCUCAAAAUGGUAGGCCCAGAACACAGGUACAACAUCUUAUGCAGAUUGAUCUAAAAGGGUGGGGUGUUGGUUGUGUGGCAAUGUUUCAGUAACACUGUCUUCGUCAGAUGUUAAAUAGCGUUGCUGGUAAGUUUCUAGUAUUUCACAUUUUAUUUUGCACUGUUAUGGAUUAAUAUGUUUCUGCUGGGUGGCCAUUUUAAGUCAUAUUUUUACGUGUUACUGUAUUUUCUGUCGGUCCUUUUAUAGGGAACACACACAUACACGUAUGUAGAGUCACCUUUUAAUGAGGGAUCAACCAUUUUAAUAAAAUGAGGAAUGAGCUAAAAGAUAGAGAUUCACGAACUCCAAUGCAAUAUGUGUGUGUGCGUGUGUACACCUUUUCUAACUCUUGUUCUUAGUUAGAUAUUUUUUGGGAUUUCAGGCAAAUGAAAAAAGAGAUUAAGAACAGGUGGAUGAUAACUUUUUAUUUUUUUUUUGGAACAAGGUGGAUGUUAACUUAAAUAUUCAUUUUUAUAUAUUUUGUUAAUGUCCUCUUUAAUGGAUUUCUAUGGAAUUAAUCUUUUUUUUUUCCAAUUAGUUGCAGCCCUAGAGGAAAAGCAGGGUGAUCAAAUUGAUUUAUCUCGUUUUUUUGGAGCAAUCUGCAACACAAUGACCGUGAUAAUGCUUGUGACUGCUGGAAACUUUCUGAUGGAAAUAACUUCAGAGUUCGUAGCAAGCAUUUUGUUAUGACAAAACAAAGGUUCCCGCCAAUUUUGGUUGUUUCUUAUGGUAUUUAUAUAUCUGACAUAUUCUAGUUCGACAUGUAACGAUGUAGUUUGGUUGGUUCUUCUUGUUCUUUGUGCAAUUUGUAACUGCAGAUACAUGUGGGAAAACAUUUAAUGGAUCUUGUUGCUGUUGAUUGGUUCAAAGACACAAAGAGAAUGGACCAUGUAGCUAGGCGUCAAGGCUGUGCUGCACAAGUAACUAUUCUUUUCUUUUUUAUUUUUCCUUUUCCAUUGACGGAUUAGAAGAAAAUACUGCCUGUGAGAUACUACAAUGUAAAUAACUUCUGGUGGUUCAUUGUAUCUAUAGCACUCUGAGCCCUAUUCUAAAAUAUGUAGGUUGCUUUCGAAAAAGGGCUUUUCUCACUGAUCUUUAAUCUUCAAGUAAGCUUGUUUAAUUUCAGAAGGUAUUAGGUUUCAAACUUAUCGUUUUGGGAGGUUGUAUGGUUGUAACGUAAGCAUCUGCAGGUUCCUGGUUCAACACAUUAUAGUAUGGUAUUUUAUUUUGUCACAAGGGAAUUAGUUACAGGAUCCCUUUUGCAAUGGUUUGUUGACAGCGAUGAUGAAUUUCGCAAUAGUAGGCUGAAACUUAUCCCGUCCGUUCCUAAGGUAUCCGUCUUGGUCUUCAUGUAUUAGGACUAUGUUAACGUAUACGUACCCUUCGCUGCAUAGUACACUUCAAUUUGUACAAAGAAGGCAUGCAUUUAGGUGUAAAUGUAUUGAUGGGUUGUACCUUCAAACUUCAUUUCCUUUUUCUACCGAUUUGAAUUUGUUUUGCAUUUGUUCUUGAUUUUAAGCACUGAAUCACGCGGGGGUCAUGGAUCGUGCGCCAGAGUGAUGGAAGCACCCCUUGUUUAUUAGGAAAAGCAGUUGAUUGUAACUAUAUCCACGGUCCUAAGUACUUGGAAGUAAAUGCUCUUCGAAUUCCUAUAGUACAUGGGAUGUGUUCCCUUUCAAAUAGCUUGUUCAAUAUGAUUAACAUGGUUUAACAUUGUUAAUCUUUCUGUAGAUUGAUGUUGACAUGUUCUUGUAAUUGGUGUAAUUACGGCAUUGGUGGUUGACAUGGCUUUCCUUGUGCAGGUAUGUAUGAUUGUUUUUUUCCCCCAGUUCUAAAUGACACAAGGGAAAAGACAUGAUUUUGAGAUAUUGUACUGCAAUUUGCAUAUUUGCAUACUUGAAUGUUCUCAGAAUGGUAUAAUGCUUUGUGUAUGCAGGCAAAUACUACAGAUGAAUUACCGGAGCGGCUGAUUGGAGCUGUACGUGUUUCUUAUAUAGAACUCAAGUCUGCUAUUGUCCCAAAGUUGGAACCAGAGACAUCAUGACUCUGGUUUCAUUUCACCUCAACUGUUUUUUUUUUUUUUAAUUGAAAAAAAAAUCAUUUGUUUUAGGUAUACAUACAUGUAUUUUGAUCCCGUUUUCAUUGUAAUUUCUCAUUUACUUUGAAAGAAAGUCAUUGGUGUUUUCGAAUGGGAAUUUUGCAUUAAAAAAUAAAGAAUACUUAAUAGGAAAUUUCAUGAUUCUUUAGUUACUAUUUUUGGAAUGAGUGUAAUAGUAUUAAAGUUGGUUUCUACUCGCAAACAAGUGAACUACUCGAUCCCCAACUGCGACCACUACUUUUAAAACUCAACAACUAACAAAAAUACUAAUAAAAAAAUGAUUUUCUUAUGAUGCUGUGAAAACAUUUAUGGGUUCACUUAUUUCCACAAGAUCUAUAAAAUGGUAUUGACUUCACGAAAUUCUUUUAAUUUAAAGGGUGUUGGUCUGAGAAAGUCAGUGUGACGGAUUAAUUUCUUCUAAUAAUGGUCGAUUUAAUUUUACUAUGCUCAUAAAACUAUUCUUAUUCUGAUAAUGUCAUAAAUGUUAUGAUGUUUUCUUCGGCUAAUGAUCUUCUAUCAGGACUAGUUAGAAAUCAAAUGCUUAAAACACCAAUUGAAUGAAUAAUGCAGAAGUUUAAACAGUAUCUAAUUGAAAAUUGCAUGAAACAUGAAACAUCAAUUCAAGUCCUUCCUUAAACAGAGAAUGCAUCAAACAAAUCCAAAGUGUCUUGCAAGUCUGUAGCAUGACUAAAAAAUUGUAAAUGCGUUUAGAACCAAAUUAUUCAAGUACAGGAGAACGAGCAAGUUGAAUCAUGUACAAGAGAUUGGCCUGGUUCGAGAUAGCUUCUUCACUGUACCUGAAGGGUUGGCUCAAUCUUUUCUCUAGAAUUCUGCACAUUUUGUAAUUACUCGUGUAAGCAAGCAUACAUUACAACCAUAAUAAUAAUAAAGCAAGAGUAAUGAUACGACCACAACCUCUUGUGCACAAAUAAUAUUGUACAAACUAAUAUGACAUAAUAUGAUUGAUUAAACAAAAACAUAACAUGACCCUCAUUUUUUUUUUUUAUUUUAUGUUUUCAGUCAAGCAACCAUAUUAUGCCACGUUAAUAGCUAUAGAAAUAAUUUGCUAGAUAGUGCCAACACUUCAUUGAUACUCACCAUUUCAUUGAACAAUUUUUUUAUGGUGUCAUUGAGGUUUCCUUCCCAACAUCCUUCAUCAUCACCAUCUUCUUCUUCGGUGGGUUUCACUUUGUUUAGCUUUGGUGCGUCUACGACUCCUUGAGAGAAAAUCUUCAUUGUUGGGCACUGUCUCACAACUACGUGUUCCAAGGACGGGAACUCAAGAGCGUAAUUACCCAAACAAAAGCUUGUUAGGCUUGGCAAGCAAUCAAGUCCCAAGUACUCCAAUUUCCUGAAAACAAUGCAAUCUUCCGCUUCUUCUCCAACCUGCAACUGUAUGAUUUCUUCUAUCAUUUUGCAAUCAGUUAUCUUCAUUAUUCCGAGAUUCAUUAGACUUUCAGAUGUUGAGAGCAUCAAUAAAUUUAUCAACCCAUGACACUCGAAUACUUCCAGAGUCGCAAGAUUUUCCAAAUGCCACGAAGCUGGUACUAAUUUCUGCAACUUACUACAUUCAAAUAUUUCUAGACUUUUCAAGUUUGCAAACACUUUGUUGGAUUUGGCAUUUUCCUUCCAGAGAUGCUGCACUUUGUGUAAUCCAGAUAGCUUUAACUUCAUCAAUUGAGGGAAUGCAACCUGAAAAUCAACAAAAUUAAGUUGUAAAUAAAAAUAUGUAUCCAAGCUCUGCAGUCUUCCCCUGCAUAUUUUAUGGACAAGAUUAAUCACGACAUUUUAUAUUUUUUUCCAAAUUAGUAUGCUUUGCAGUAGGAUCCCAAAUAUAAGUAUCAAAUCGAUUACCCUUUGAAACACAUAAAUGAAAUCUGAUCUUAAAUCCAAUAUGAAUUAGCUAGGAAAACAGAGAUGUAACAUGCAUAAUCGAUAUAGUUCAUCACCUCCUGUCACUAGGGAUCUAAUUAAUUUGAGACAUUUUUAUAAUUCAUACUAUAAAGUUAGUUAAUAACUACGGUUAUAUUGUUAAAUCAGAUAUAAAUUAAGACGACGUGCAAAAAGAUGAGUCAUUAAAUUUGAUUUGAUUCUAAUGAAAUUACAUUUGUGCGAACGAAAGUGAAGGGAAAAAUAAUAAUAAUGAUUACCUUUUCAUCGAAGAGAUGUUGUAUGUGAUUAGCUACCAAGAGGUUCUCUUCUGAUUUUAAUUUUUGAGGUUCCUUAUUAUCGGCUGUCAUGUGCGGUAGAGGUGUAGAAUUGGAUACAAAUGUUUCCAUAUCAGGGCAAUUCUCAAUAAUUAGAUAUUCCAACUUAGGCAUUUCAAUUAUAUUCCCAGUGAGGUUGCAGAAUCUUUUGAGUUUUGGAAGAUCAAUGAGCCUUAGCUCAAAAAGCAUAGGAAACAGGGGGCCUAUAUGUACUUUUUCAGCAUUUAGCUCUUCCAAAUGAAGCACCUCUUCUAGUGAAUCACAAUUGCUCACUUCCAGCCGUAGCAAAUUGUUAAAGCACCGUAGCAGAUUGGCAGGAAUAGCACUCGAAUAUUCGUGCAGUCAUCCACCACCAGCACUACUAAAUUGUUGAAGAAGCUGACAGGCAGUGCUUGGCCAUGCCAUGUUUCUUUCAAACGUGGAAAAGGUGAGAGUUGCAAAUACCAUAUGUCACGGAAUCCAAUCUGCACAAACCAAAACAAUUGCACUGGAUAUAUAUAAACUAUUUUUUUGAAAGGCAUUAGAUAUAUAUAAAAUAUAUAUACAAGGCAGGUGUAUAUGUUCAACGAAUCGAUUUAACACAUACCAUUUCUUUGUAACACUUUUGUAUAGUGGAAUUAAGGUUGCCUUCCCAAUGGCGCAAUUCAUCCUCUUUCUUUUCAGUCACCUGCACUUCGUGCAGCUUUGGUGUGGAUACGAUUCCCUGAGAAAAAGUCUUCAUGUUCUGACAAUGUGUCAUAGAAACUCGUUCCAAUAAUGGGAAUUCAAGAGUGUAAUUCUCCAAACAAAAGCUAGUAAACCUUGGUAAAUAAUCGAGUAUCAAAAGUUUUAAUUCCCUGAAAGCAAUACGAUUCUCCUUCACUUCUUCUCCAACAUGUCCUAUGAUUUCUUCUAUUUUUUCGCAGUGUGAGACAUUAAGAUUCACCAGACUACUAGGAAUUCCAACCUGAAAAUAAAGAGUAGCAUUCAACUAUAUUCAAAAUAUGUCUAAAUCAUACAAUUGUUUUAUGAAAAUAACAAACCAUGAAUGUCUACUAGAUAUUUUUUGUUAAAGAAAAAAAGGAAAACAAUAAAACAAAAAUAAAUAAAUAAAUAGAAAUCCAAAAAAACAAAGAUAAUGAAAAUGCAUUUAUGCUAUUUAGUGUUAGGAAUGUAGAAAGAAUUUCAGGUAAUUUUUAAAUAUUCUAAAUUCAUUUUUCAUCUUGAUGCUAGUUUUUAAAAAUUUUUAAUUUUCAAACAUGCCUAUUUUUAAAAUAACUAAACUAAAACGCUGUAUUUCCCAUUUUUUUUCCUGAUGUUUCCUGCUUUUAAAAAUGGAAAACAUUUCUGGAAAACACUUCCCAACGCCAUCAACAUGGGACUGUUAUAGAGUGAAUAUUUGAGGAAAUUUUUUAAUCAACGGUCGAUUCAAAAUGACCAUCAUGAAUUUGUGCUUAAUCAAUGGCGUAAUCAAUUCAUAACUAAACUAGAGAUAUUAACUACAUUUGAACACUUUUCUUUUUUUUUUUUAAAUCGAAAUCUAAAGACCCAAGGAAAAGAGAAAUAUAUAUGAAUUUGUGAACUUAAAAGCUGAGUAACUAAGUAUCUUUUAAUUUCUGAAAAUCUUAUUUAUUAGGAUUUAAGAAAAAAAACAAUUAAAUUGAAUUAUAUUAUGCUGUUAAAUCGUGUUUAAAACAAUUAUAUUGUUGACUUUAAUGCAGGUGAACCUAUAAAUUAGAUUGAAAAUGCAGAGUUCAGAAUGGUGAUUUGAAGUACACUACUUUUUUUCCCUCCACAAGUUUGAAGUACAAUAGUUGCAAUAAAUAAUUUGUGAAUGAAAAUUAUUUGUAAACACAAAAAUGAUUAAAAUAAUUGUUGAAUGUUAUUUGAAAUAAAAAUUCAAAAUGAAUAUAGCAAUCUUACCAAUGGAGGAAAAAUAUUCAGUAGAUUAUUACACCCAGAUAUCUCCAAACUUUUCAAUUUGCUAAAAGAGUCUAAAGCAAGCUGGUGGUGCCAUAUUUUUCUCAACUGAUCCAUCGAGCUAAUAUGCAAUACCUCCAGACUUGGGAGUCGUACCUGAAUUUAAAAAUUCAAUGCAAUUAGAGAUGGAUAUUAAUUAAAUUUGAAGACUCAACGAUAGAAGAAAUUAACUAUUAAGAAUAAAAUUAAUUAAAAAAAAAAACCUUUUCAUCAAAGAGAGGUUGAGGUUGCAUUUCAGAAUGAAUGGUGUCUUCUGGUGAGGCAAAGCUACUUAGUUUUGGAAGACCAUCGAGCUGCAGGGAGUGUAGUUUAGGAAAAACCUUUAAUUCAUCUCUUCCUCCUAACCCCGUGGUGUUGACUACCCCUUCAAUUGACCGGCAAUUUCGAAUCUCAAGAUGUUGGAGUUGCAAAAGACUAUUAACCAUAGAAUAUGAAAACGGAUACUUCAGACGAUGACACCUUUCCACGGUCACUUUUGUCAAGUUUUGACAACAAUACAUUCCCUGAAAUUGAUCGGGCCAUAAUUUUUUGAUGCUUAUUAAACGGUCAAGUUUCAGUUCCUCCAAGCGUGGAAAAGUAACCUGCAAAGCAAAACCGUACAUUCUUGUUAAUUAAUUAAUUAUUCUUUCGAUGAUUGAAGAUCAAUCGUGAUAAUAUAUUAAUUAAUUAAUUAUUAAAUAGAAAAUUAUUACCUGGUGAACAGGAUCAUCCUCUGCAUUGAUUUCUGUGAAUCCCUCAGUAGUUGUUGGUUUCUCCAUGUCGGGCCCUAUAAAUGAACAAAAACAAUAUAUAAUAAACAUCCGUUGUUUUAUUCACCAAAAAAAAAAAGAAAAAAAGAAAGAGUCAAUGUCAAUAAUCCUACCAAUAAUUAAUUUCAACACUUACCAAUAAUCAUUUUCAAAUCAUCGCAGUCUUCCACUUUUACUUUUUGAAGCCGCAAUAGGUUUUUGGCCAUAGAGAAUGAGAAGAGAUGCUUCAAUUUGUCACAAAAAGCUACUCUUAUAAUCCUUAAGUUGCUGAAAGAUUGAUCUUCUCUGAGUUGGCUGUAGCAUAUCGUCUCCAAAUUAGUUAAAUCAAUAAGAUCCAAUGACUCCAGCAAGGGAAAGACUUCGCAACGAACCCGUCUAACUGAACCGACAAUAUGUACAAUCUCAUAACAACUUUCUACAUGAAGAUGCUUCAAUCGUGGAAAACCUUCCCCAUCGUCUAAUUCAUGAACAACAUUCUGAACACCCUCCAAUUUUACUAGCCAGAGAUCUUCAGUUCUCUGCAGCAACAUUUUCGUCCCAUCAUUCUCCUGGAGAAUGCUAACUUUUUCUAGCCCCUUGAGCAUCAUCAAUCUUAAUGCUUCAGAUUUGACGAGCAAUUGGUCAAUCUCAUAUUCGAGCUUAUCUCCUAUACGUAUCCUAUAUCUUUGCAAUUCCACAGAGACAAAAUCCGGCAACAGAAUUUCGGCAUCCCGAACUUCUAUCUCCAAAGUAGUUAGCUUUGUCAACCUCUUCAACUCGACAAGACUGGCAUUACUUCCUCCUUCAACCUUCUCCCACCCUGAAAAGCUGUUAUCCAUAUACAAUUCUUCUAAUCGAGAUAAUUUUGAAAUGACAUUUGGUGCUAUCACCUGAAGGCUCCAACAAUUGGUCAAAUCUAACAAUCUUAACCCCGUCAAUUGUCCAAUUUCAAGUGGUAACUGCUCGAUAUUGGAAUCUGCAAGGUUGAGAAUCUCUAAUUUCUUUAGCUGUCCAAUUGCCGCUACAUCUUCUAGUUGGCACCAGUCUAAACACAAUGUUUGAAGGUUAAUGAGGCGACCAAGUGAUGAAGGUAAUGAAGAGAAAUGAAUUCCGAUAAGACUUAAAACUUUGAGUUCUUCUGUUCCUUCAAAAAAGAGGUCUGAAAUUUGCACGGGGCCAUAACCCUGUCUAAACAACAAAAAUAACUGGAGAUUGGGACAUUGCAACCUUUCAGGGAGCUCUUGAAUAUUUCUCUGGGGUAAUGAAAUGGCAAUUGGAUCUUUCCGUAUUGUCUCUUCCAUCUUUUUCUCCAAGUCGGCAACAUUUGGGAUAUUAAACAUGCGCGUCUCUGCGGCAACUGAUACGGCAACAACAUGAAUGAUGUCAUGCAUUUUAACUUCAUCUUCAGCAUCACCGUCCAACAAUAAGCAUGAAGAUUUGAGAUUGUCGAUCAACCGAUGCACCCUACUCCUUGCUUCUUCCAAUGUGUAAACAUUUUCAAACAAACCCCAACCCACACCAUAUCUCAAUAAGUAAGGAACUGGUAUAGCAUGACCUUCACUGUAUAGACCACAAAGACGGAACAUAGAUUUUGCUUCCUCACUUCUCAAGAAGUCGUAACUCAAUUUUAUGGAGAGGUACACAUUUUUUUCCAUUCCAUCAAUUUCUUUUGCAUAGGAACUUCUUAGCUGACGCAGCACAUCUUUCCAAGUGUCAAGGCUCUCAUUUUUCAAAGCUUUUGCAAGUGUAAUCAGUGCAACCGGCAGUUCUCCGCAUCUUCCGACGAUCUCAUGUGCUAUAGGUUGAAAAGCAGAUGUUUUCAUUGAAUCACCCACUAUCUUCUGAAAUAAAUGCAAUGCUUCUUCUUUUGAUAAAGCAUCGAUCUGGAUCUCUUUCUGAGAAUUCAUAACAUUGCGCAAUAAAUCUUGACGUCUAGACGUCAGUAUUAUUGUGCAUCGUCGCUGAUCAUCCAUUCUUUCUUUCUUAACAUCCCCGGAAGGAAUUCCAACUUCAUCGAACUUCAGUUCUCCCCAAAUAUUAUCCAAUAUAAUGAGAUGCCGCUCCUCGUUCUUCAAAACUCGACAUAGUCGAUUUGCUCUGUCGAAUAUACUCUCAUUCAACUCAAACUUUAUGCCUAAAUCAGAAGCAAGUUUGUCUUGAAUUUUCUGAUGAUCUGGGUUCUCUGUUACCUCAGCCAUAGCGACCUUAUCGAACAACUUAUCUUUUUCCAUCACUCGCUUUGCAACUUGCUUGACGAGCGUGGUUUUACCCACGCCGCCCAUCCCGUAGACCCCAAUAAUGUUGAGCUUAUCAUCCUUCAACGCCUCCACAACAUCUUGAAAUACUUUCAUUCUUGAAUCAAAGGCCUCGUAAUCUUUCACUUGCAAAUGUUCUGUACUCUCUGGAGCAGGAAGGUAGGAAACUUCCCUGAAGUCGCCUUCUUUUAUGAGACUAUCGGCUGCUUCUUUGUCCAUUGCAGCUUGUUUACUAACCCUGUAACGAGAAAUCAAAUUUGGGCACAAUCCAUCUUCAGUAUCAAUGAUGGGUUUUUCAAUCAAUCCAUCAACUUUUUUAAGCCAGAUUUCGACGUCAUCAAAAAUCUUAUCUCCUUGUCGAGUAGCCUGAUCAACGGCUUUUUCCACCCUUUGUCUUUCUUGUUUCAGCUUCUCCACUUGUUCUUUUAGCCCAUCGAUGUUGCUUUUGUACUCUGGCACAUAAGAUAUUGGUCGUAUAAUAAGUUCGAACAAUGUCUUUGCACCACCGGAUACAAUGCUGGAAAUAGCAUUGAGACACCCUUGUGCAGCCAUUGCGAGACACCCUUCUGCAGCCAUUGCCUGUUGCUAAACAAUAUAUAUAUAUAUAAAUAAAAGUGUCAAAGAAAUGAAUACAAAUAAAUUAAAAUGAACUAGAGGGAAAGACAGAGAAAGGAAAGACCGCAAACAACAUCGCGAUAUUGAUAUUGAACCAACUGAUACCUAAAUAGAGAAUUUCUUUUUCCAUCUUAAGGAUCAGAGGUUUCGCUAUUAACAGAAAGGUAUCCUUCAAGGAAAGUUGAUGGAAAUUAAGAAAGAACCGCUAUCAAUAUCAAGUAUUCUGCUACUAAAAAUAAAUGAUAUGACUUAAGAAAAAUAAAUGAUAUGAUUAAGAAAAACCAGAGAAUUUUUUCCUCGGAAAGUUGAUGGAAAUUAAGAAAAAACCGCUAUGAAGAACAAGUAUCAGAGAUUCUGCUACUAAAAGAAUAUUACAGGUUUUAGAACAAGUGCACCUCUUUACCUGUCUCGGAUCAGAGUUGAUGAGCUGCUGUAUUCACCUUGAAUAUAGAAGAAAAAUUUUAUUGAGCAAAAGGAUCUCUGUUGACUAAAGAGGAAUGCGAGUAACGAGUUGAUGAGAGUAAUAACAAUGAAUUUCCAAAAGAAGACGACUUGAGCAUUAAGCACGCAUCCCUUUUUCAAUCAAAUACUGGUACGUAUGUCCGUAGGGACCAUUAUGCGUAUACGAAGUCUAUUAGUUGCAAUCAGAAGCCCCGGCCCAAUUUAAUUGACACUCGAUUUUUGAUAAGAAGAAGGCAAGGAUAAGGAUAAAGUCAAUCAAUCACCAACAGUAAUUACUUCAAUCUUUGUCAAUAUACUUAAAUUGUCGAUCAACAUGAAAAUUGUUUAAAUUGAUAUUUGUAAAUGAAUCAAUUUUCUAGUUACUAUGAUUAUAACGUUUCACCUUUCAUAUUGGAUUUUAUCUUUUCAAAAGUUUUCAAAUGUGAGUUUCAAUAAUUAUUGAGACUCCAAGCCGUGCUCUCAAGAUUGUGCUGACAAAUCACCAUUAGCUUUAUUUAUGCAUAUUUCAAAGAAAAAAAAAGUUAUGGUUUGUAUUGCCAGCCCUGCUACUUUUUGUUUUUUUUCAUUUGUAUUAUUUACGAAUUAUUUUUUAACAGAAACAUGAGAACUCUUCAUCGUACAAAAUUGCAUGAAAAAACCUUCAAAUUUAUAAAAGUAAAUUUCAUUGACAGAUUGUGGAUAUGUUUGCAAGAAUAAGGAUAAGAAUGAGUUAAGAAAUUAAAAAAAAAAAAAAAGAUAGUGUAAGUAAACAAUGUUUUGGUACAUUUGGUAUUGUUUUCAAAAUAUUUUGAAAAGAAAAAUUUUCAAUCAUCCACCUAAAAAUUAUCUUAUUAUCCAAAAAGUUAUAAAAAUUUAAAUAUACUUAAUUUUAUACCCAUUAUUACAAUGUGUAUAACUGUUUACUAAAAAUUUAAAUAUACUUAACGGAUGUUUAAUACAAAUUGCAUACAUUGGGUGUAAAAUUAAAUAAAUUUAAAUUUUAUAAUAAUUUUAAUAACUGAAUAAACUUUGAGUAAAUGACUGAUAAUUUUUCUUUUAUAAGCUAUAAGAAGUCAAAUAAAAAAUAGGAUGAUAAUUUCUGAUGGGUGUCGAAGCCAACAAAAAUAAAUUCCUACUCUAAAUAAAUUGUGUAUAGUGAUUGAGCAGGGUCGUGUCCACAGAGAUCGGUAAUUAUUUAAAUCCUUUUGAAACGUAAAACGUAAAAUGAGGGAAUUGUUGACAAUAAUAAAAAUCAAACUAAAAUAACGAGAAUGUAAAUUAAAGUUGUGAUUCAAAUUGGAGAAAGCUCUGGUUGAAGGAAUUAACUCAGCUUGAUUCGACUACUGAUCAUUGAUUCAAAUAUAGAUUAUUAUUACUUAUGAAUAGACCGGUUAUAGCUACUGAGACCCUCUAAUAGCCAAUCUCUCCUUAACUAGUCGAUAACCAAAGUACGACCGUUGGUUAUUUCCCUAAUCAAUAGACAACCCUAGAUACGAUCAUAUGAUUUAAUCAAUUGACAGCCUGAAAAACCAGAGAGACCCAAAUCCUAAUCAACACAUAUGAUGAUUCAUUUAAAUUAGAUUGUUUAUUCUCACAACACAACUCUCUGCUAUGUUAUUUGUCACAAACAUUAAAUUCUUCAUACGAUGAAUCCUUUAAUUGACAAUAGAUUAAGUUGAUAAUUAAAUAGUGGCCAAUUACCUAAUUAACAAACAUAAUCAUGAAAAUAAUUCAGAGAAUAAACAAAUACCCAAAAGCAAUAAAACAAUUAAAGCACAAGAAAGAUCUCACAGUACUGAUGAAUCAAAGCUUCAUUAUCCUUCAACCAGAAAAAUGGGUUUAGUUCCUCAUAGAGAGAAGAGAAAAAUUAGAUCUAGGGUUUCUUUUUCUCCAAUCCAAAAAUCCCCUUUUUUCACAAUAGAUUCCUCCCUUAAAUACUCUCUCUCUCUUCUCUUUUAGAGUUCUAUUUAAAAUAAAAUACUAAUAUCUGAAAUAUUAAAUUCGUAAUUACAAAAAUAGCCAAAAAUACAAAACACGUUAAACUCAAAACUGCAGGUUCGCAGUUGACAGCACGCGCCCACGCCUUAUCAACAAAGUUCUUCUGCCGCUCAUAAUUUCUCCAAGAGAACAAUCAUCCUUAAACAUCAUCUUAUAGCUCAAUUUUAUCACCAAUUAAUAGAAUUGCACCUACAAAAGUAAAACACAAGUAAAUCACUAUUAUUAAGUGCAAAACAUCGAUAUUAAGGGAAGUAAACAAUGCAAAACUAGUGCAUAAAUUGCACUCUAACAAUUUCUCUUUUAUAUUGCUCAGAUGAUUUAUUGUUUGGGGACUAAGAUUUUAAGUAUUCAACUUAAAAGAUUAAUAUAUUAUAAAUUGAUUAAUUAAUUAAUCAUUAAGCAACUAAAUUGGGUCCCUGGAUGUCAAUUCCUUUAAUAUUGAUGCAACAACCUUUUUUUGGCAAAUAAUUGUUAAUGCACUUACGGAACUUUUGCGUGUCUACACAGCGAGUUCCAGGACAUUUUCGCAUUGUGCAACAAUUGCUAAUAGCACCUUUUUACGAUUAAUUUAUAAUAUAAUUUCAGUAAAGAUAGAAAUACAAAUUUUAUAUAAAUUGAUAUGAUAUUACUUAAAAACAUUUCAUUGCUCACAUGAGUUACUGCUGAAGCCUAUGAUUUUAGAUACUCAACCCAAAAGAUUAGCCUAUUGAGAGGAGGGAGGUCUAUGAUUUUAGAUACUCAACCCAAAAGAUUAGCUUCUUGAGAGGAGGGACCACUUGUAUUUAUUAGGAAUGGGCAUCAGAUCAGAUUUGGGUUGAUUUGAUCCGAUCCGAUAUGAGCUAAUCUUAUUUGGAUUGGAUUCGAAUUUAGCUCUAAAUCUGAUGGGAUAAGAAUGUUGCAAUCUGAUCAGAUCCGGAUCAAUACGAUCGAUUGCACUUACAAUUAAAAAGAAUACAAAACUUAAAUAUAAAUAAGAAAUAAAAAUUAAAAGACAACCCUAAAUCCCUAAAUCCUUAAAUUUCCCAAAUCAAAACAGAAAGAAUCAAAAAAAGCAACUCAGCCGCAUGCCGACAUUAGCGACGAACCCAGCCAUUCUCUUGAGAAAUAGUUGGCCAGUGUCACGAUCGGUUCCAAUGGCUUGACCACGUCCCCUUCCUCUAGCUCUUCCUCGAGCUAUGUUGUAGUGGCAAAGAAUAACGAUGGAGAAAUAAUGAUAGAACAGCUAACAAAGAAUUUAGUUUGAUUCUCAAUGAUCCUUUUAUUGAAUAAAUUAUGCUCAAUUUAUACACUACUAACUGCAACUUGACAACAAAAGCGCAACUCACAACCAGAAAAUAGCAACAGCAACUAAGAAAUAGCAAGUAAAUCAGAUUCUUGCCUAUUAUUCGGACUAGUGACCCACUACUUUGACUGACUCAACAAAACAAAUAAACUAAAAUGCUGACUCAUGACAGCCAGUUGCAAAGCCGAUGAUGCCCGAGCUGCAUGCCGAUGACGUCCCAGCCGACAGCUGCUGGGCCAGUGACCCGUACAUUGCAAAAGUCCUAAACCUAGUCGUUGCAUUUAUUUGUUUGUUGCAAAGGUUUCAAAUGGAGUCGGAUCCAUUAAAGCUUUUGAGGUGCAGAGGUUAUAAAAAUAGAAUAGAUACUUUGAAAAACUUGCAGAGGUUUGCGUCGUUUGAAUUGCUUGUGAACUUAUUUUUGCAUGCAUGUUAUUCUCUAUGCUUUUUGGUGAUUGUAAAAUUAAUUGUUUGAUUUAGCUUUCCAACUUUUGGGAUGCAAUUGUUACUGGUGUUCUCAACAAAAUAAUUGAUGUGAAAAUGGACGAACUUUCAUUUUUUGUCUUUGUUCUUCCAUUUGCUAGCUUGCUGCAUUUUUUUCUUAAUUUCUAUGAUUUUUCAAUUUUGUAUUUCAACUUGCAAGUGAUUGAGAUUCAUCUGAUUUAUUCGAACACAUCUGAUUCCAAUUUCAGUAUGAUAUUAUCGAUCUGAUCCGAAUCCAAAUUAAUCCGCACUAUUCAUCCAAUUUGAAUGUGAUCCGCACAUAAUCGGAUUGGAUGCAAGUUCAUAUUGCAUUCAUAUGACUUUUUAUCAAUUCGAACAAUCCAAAAUCUGAUCGUAUUAAUCCGAAUAUUAUCUGCAUCCAAUUUUGCCCAUCUCUACUACUUAUAAGCCCAAGUGACUCUCUUUUACUAAUUAACUAGAAAAUAGACCCGCGUUUCACGCGGCUUUGAAAAAAGAAUUUACUAUUAUCUUUUUUUUCUUACUUUACACUUGAUGAAAUAGAUAAAAAAAUAAGAAUUGAUUUUUUUUUAAAGAUGAGGCAGCCUUAUAAAAAAAAAAGUUAUUAGGUAGUAAUAUAAAUAAAGAAGCAACACAAGAUAAAGAAUAAAAUGAGAGAAUAUAUUAUAGAGAGAUUUUAUUCAUUCCAAUUGUGUGUGUACAAAAUAAAAAGAUGAGCUCUCCUUUUAUAGUUACAUAAUCACUCCAUGAAGUUAAUGAAAAAUUAUGGAUCAUAAUUUCUUGUGAGAUAGUGGGAGUUAUAGGGAAGCUAAAGGUUGCUAAUGGGAGAUAGUGGGGAGACUAAGAGAUAUAUGUUAUGAACAUUUAUAUUUAUUUUAAUAAAUUCAUAACACUCCCCCUUGGAUAUUCAUUACAAAAAAUAUGCAUCAUUAAAAUUUUUACAUAAUUGUUAUUGUAUAAUAACAAUCAAAUUAAUUAUGAGAAGAUGAAAAACCAAAUCUAAAAGAAAAUUUCUCUAUUUAUUAGAUAAUAGAGAAUAUACAAAGAAGAGAAAUGGUGAUGCCACAUCACCUCCUCAAGUCCCAACUUUAUAUAGAUAUAUAGAUAUGGGACAUUAUUUAAGAAUUCUUUCUCAAAUGAGGAAAAUUAUCAUACCAUUUUUAUCCAUUAAUUUAGAAUAAAUGCAUUUAUCAUCAUUAUUAUGUUUAAAUCCAUGCAACAUGAUCAUAGAAUCAAAAUUUUCAUGUUGUUGCGUUAGUGCUUAUUUAAGAUCAUAUAAUGACUUUAUUAAUUUACUAAAUUUAUUUUGUAAAUUAGUAAAUUUAUUUUUUCCUUUCUUUGUUGUAAAUCAUUUUGCAUCCAACCACCCUCUAAAGGCUUGGGCCAAUGUUUCAAACAACAAUGCAUCAAGUUCCAAUCUAAGUUAAGAUCCUGCUGAUGCAUCUAGUUGAUUAGAUAAUAAUGAGUCUAUCUCAUUACUUGUUGCCUCUUUCCACAAGGCUGCAUCUGUUGAAGCCAUAGCCUCACUGAGAGUUUAAAGAUCUUCUUCCAUAUUAAAUAGGGAAAUUAUCAUUCUACCAUCUUUCUUUUGACUUAUGUUCAUUUAACCACCACUAAAUUUCAACAUGUUUUCUGCAAUACCUUUCUUUUUAAAUUUGAAUCAAUUAGCCACUUUUACACUAACACUGUUAAAUAAUUUAAACAAAAUGAUAAUUUUACUUCUAAAUAAAUUAAAAUGCCAUUUUAUCUUAUAAAAGCUUUGAAAAAUAAAAAAAUUUUACUUACAAAAUAAUCCAAAAUAGAGGUGCUCAGCUUAUUUUUAUUAAAAAUUUAUAAUUUUGUAAAAUUUUAUUAAAAUAACUAAAUUUAUUUAUUAAAAAUAAAUCCCAAAAUUUUAAUGUUUUAGGGGAUGUUUAUUAAAUCCCAAAAUUUUGCAAUUAUUUUAUAAUUAUAAUUUUUAUUAAAAUAAAAAUUCUAAUUUGGGGAUUUAUUUCUUUAUUAAAUUUAGGGGUAUUUCUAUAAUUAUAAUUAUAAUUUUUUAUUUUUUAUAAAAUAAAAUGAUCUUUUAAUUUAUUUAGGGGUAAAUUUAUCAUUUUGUUUAAAUUAUUUAAUGGUGUUAGUGUAAAAGUGACUAAUUGAUACAAAAUUAAAAAGAAAAGUAGUGCAGAGAACAUGUUAAAAUUUUGUAGUAAUUGAAUGAGCAUAAGGCAAAAGAGUAGUGGUGAAAUGAUAAUUUUCCAAUUAAAUAAAACGGGUGUUCGAUUAAGAACUCUAUCUCUAUCUCCUCGUCCUAUCAAAUAACGUCAACCAUCCAAAAGAAAAAAAUAAAUUGGAAAAGUCCACGGGUAGCAAUAAUUUCUGGUCCGUUCCUGGACCUCCAUUAUCUGGCACUAUGAAUAAUGAAAAUGACAUUGCAAUCGUUAGGUAUCUUGGAAAAAUGACGAAAGUUUUUGGAGGGAGGUGGGGGAAUUGUCAAAAGUUCACACAAUGCGAAACAAGUGUUACAUCCAAUUAAAUUUUAUUUCAUUACCUCUUUUGCCUCAUAAAUAAUAGGAUCACCACGAGAUAAUGAUAAUAUCAAAUAAUGACAACCAUCCAAAUGUAUGAUGGGUCUUCCAAAUUUUGAAAAUGUCGUCAACAUCAAAUCUUCAAUGCCGAAGAAGGUAUAUGCCCAAAAAAUGACACGCAAGACCCACUCCACAGACUAAAUUGUCCUUGAUCAUAUGUAACAAACUUUGGCCUUAUGUGCCUGUGGUGACAUUAGACUGUUCAUUUUCAUUGUUUCUUACCUUCCAUUUACGCCCACUGUAGUAUUAUUUUAUUCACCAUUUUAGCCAUUUAAAUGAAAUUUUAUUUUUGUCAAAAAAUGAACUUUUACUUUUGUCAAAAAUAAAAUGAUACCCUAAAAAUUUAGAAAAAUAGUCACGUAGACCUCAAAUUUUUAAUAUAGGAUACCAAUACCCCUUUUGAUCAUAAUACUACUCUUAGUAGAUGGUAAAAAAAAAAAAAAGACUUCAAAAUUUUUUAUAAAAUUUAAAUAAUUAAUUUCAAUAUUAAAUUUUAAAAUGUGAAUUAAUAUAUUUGUAUCUAUAAAAUACUUGUAAUUAUUACAAAAAAAAUUUAAAUGAAUCCUUAGGUUAAAUAGAUUUUACAAUUAAUAUAAUAUUUCUCAUGUAUUAAUAAUAUUAAAAUUAUUUUAUGUGAUAUUGAAAAUAAUUUAAAUUUUUAUGUAUUUAUUUGAAUAUUAUGUCUCUAUUUAUUAUUAUUUGGUUUAAUAGAAUACGAGAUUUUAAAAUAUUAAAAUAUUUUUAGAUAUUGAAAUUAUUUUAAUAUGUAUACAUUAUUAUAUUCAUUUUAAUAUCCUACUUAUAUUUAUUAUAAAAUAUGAGAAUUAAUUUUUUUAGUUAAUAAAUUUAAAAAAUACUAUAAUAAAAAAAAAGGAUCUUAUUGUCCGGUAUUCACGACAUGAGGUACUACAAAAUUAUUUCCCCGGACGGGUGUGCUUUUCUUAUUUUUAGAAAGAAAAAUAAGUCAAUGGGUUUCAACAAUUUCUAGUCCUAUCUGCCACUAUGACUAAUGGAAACGACAUUGCAAUUGACAUUGCUUUUCGCAAUAUGACUAUUUUUUGGAGAAUCGUCAAAAGUUCACUCCACUAGAGAGUUUUAGGUGGGAGAAUUGUCAAGAGUUCACACCACAUGAAACUAAUGAUAGACUUAAUUUCGCUGUCAGUUCUUUAUUUAUUUAUUUUAUUUAUUUAAUACAUUAUUGUCUUGUUGGUAUUGUGUUGUAAAGAUAUAAAAGUAAAGUAAAAUAUUAAGGGUGCUGUUAAGUUACAACUGAUGUAACUUACAGUUUUUUAAAAAAUAAUGUAAAAAAUUUAAUAGGUGGUGGGACUCAAUUUUUUUUUUUUUGAAGAGAUCAUAAGUUACAGCACUUGUAACUUAACAAAAUCCAAAUAUUAGACAAUAAUACAUAUUAACAAUGCAUAUAAUUUGGGUCUGAUUUUUAAAAAAUUAUUUGAGUACCACCUAUCCUUAAGAUAUUAAUGUGAAUGUAUUUUAAUAGUAAAUAAUAAAUUUUUUUUAACUAUUAUUUGUAUUUCAUACAUUACAUAUUAUAUUUGUUUGAAUUUUAAGUUGUUGCUAAUAAAUAUUUAUGUUGUGAAAGUCGAAUUCAAUAGCUACAAAAGAAGAGAUAAUGGUAUUUUAUAUAGUUUUUAAGAAUACAAGGAUAAGCUGGAUAAUUGACUUAAGUUCUAAUGAUUAAAACAACAACUAUCCCUUAAAUUAUAAUGUCAAUUUCUUUAAUUAGAAUUUUUUUCAACAAUUGCUACAGUUUUUUAAAUAAUAAUGGGAGUUAUAAAUUAUUUAUAUAAAAUUUGUGUAGAAACUAAUGUAACCUAAAAGUGGUUGCUGAAUAACAAUAUUUGAAACUUUAGGUAAUUUUCAUAUCAGCCCUUUUUAUAUUCAGCAACUUUAGAACUUAAACAAACUUGCCCUCGAUCUUAAUUUAUUUACCCCAUUUAAACCCAUGAUGCAUGAUGACAUAAACAGAUUCUUGUGUGAUGAAAACAUCAAGAAAAGACAUCUCAUGUUUUAAUAUAACAGAAAAAAAGCGGUCCAUAAGUCUAUCCAUUAUUUUAUUUAUUCAGUACAAAUGGCCAACUUUAAAAAAUGAUAAAAGUCACACAACGCUUAAGUGAAAAUUAAAAAUGACAUUUUUUAAUACUCUCUGAGUCUCUCUCUCUCCCCCUUUUUUUUCUAAAUAAACCUUAGUUUAAAAUUAGAAGAAUUUUAGAUAUAAAAAUUUGUCAAUCACUUAACAGAAAAGUAGGGGAAUGAAAACAAAGGAGCCCCUGUUAUUAUUGGAAUAUUAAUUAUAGAUGUUAUAAUAUCUAUAACUUGUCGUGGUUCAUUGUAGCAUUCUAAGCCAUAUUCUAAAACUAGGAAAUAGAACCGCACUUCGUCCGGCUUUAAAAAAAAUUAGUAUUAUUUUUUUAUUCCUUUGUAAUUAAUGAAAUUGAUAAAAAAUAUGAAUUAUUUUUUUAAAAGAUGACGCAGUCUUAUAAAACUAAUGUUAUUUAUGAAAGUUAAUUAUUUUUUGUUAACAUUAAAAAUAUAUAUUAAUGUGUAUAGUUAAGUGUACACAACCUUUUCAUCAAUAAAAAUUAUGUUCACACUAAUCAACUCUCCAUUUUUCUUGGUAUAAAUGGCAUUGUUGAGGGAAGAUGAUGAAACCUUCCUUCUUAUAUUAAUUAAUUGAUGUAUUUUAAGCCACUAAAAUUUAAUUGUUGGCAUAAUAAAAUAAAUGAAUGUUUCAAAACUCAUAAUUAAUUAUUAUUAAUGGUUACAUAUUGUUGAAUUUAAAUAGAAAUAGGAAAAGACAUGUAAUCAUUUAUAAUUUAAUAAUUAUUUUAUAUUUUAAUAUUUUGUAAUGUAAUUAUUUUUUAAUUUCAACCAAUUUAUUAAAUAAUAGACAAUAUGAAAUGAUGAGAAAUGGUGAUGCCACAUCACCUCUUGUAGUCCCAACUUUAUAUAUAUGUAUAGAUAGAUAGAUAAAUUAAUUCAUGUAUUUUAUGCCACUAAGGUUUAAUUGCUAGCAUAAUAAAAUAAAUAAAUGUUUCAAAAGACUUAUAAUUAAUUAUUAUUAAUGAUUACAUAUUGUUGAAUUUAAAUAGAAAGAGAAAAAAAAGUACAAAGAAUAUUCACCAAUAUUUUAGAUAUUUUAUAUAAUAGAAAAUAUAAAAAGAUGAGGAAUGAUAUAUAUUAAUAAAGUUACUAUUUAUUAAAUGAGUUAAAUACAAUCAAAUUAAUUAUGAGAAGAUGAAAAGACAAAUUUAAAAAAAAAAAUAUCUAUUUAUUAGAUAAUAGAGAAUAUACAAAGAAGCAAAAUGGUAAUGCCACAUCACCUCCUCAAGUCUUAGCUUUAUAUAUAUAUAUAGAUUAGUAGAUUUGUUAAGAUUUUUAUUAUUGGCAUCAUUGUGUCAAUAUUAUUAUAAUUUAUUCAUUCUAUUGUAAUGAAAAUUUGUCUAUUCUUAGCUACUUAUUAAAUUAUCCUUAAUUUAUUACGAAUAUUUUUGGAGACAAAAGAAACACGUGUAUGUAGGAUUAAUGAUUGGAGAGUUGUAAGUAAAGGUGAUUGCUUCAUUGAGAAGCAUAUUAAAGAAUUAUGGAAAGUUGCACUGUUCCAGAAGCAUAUAUUUAUACUUCCCUAUUUGGACUUGUGAAGUGAUGAUCCGGCCGUAACUAUUGUGAAGCUUUCCUCAAGUAUUCUCAUGCAUACUUGAGGAAAGAUACAAAUUGCAUACAUGUCUAGGAGCCUUAUCAAAGGCGUUAUAUAACUUGUCCAAUUAAUUAAUUCUCUUAAGGGUCAUACCGUGCUCACUCAUUUCAAAAGCAAUUAAGGAUAAGAACUUUCAUCAUUAAUUGAUAUGGCCAGUGUAGAAAAAAUGCCAAGAUCAAAGCACAAGGAUAAGUUUAGAAUUACACUUUUUAAAUUUUGGUUAAUAAAUAAACGUCUAUAUGAAAAUGGAAAAUCUUUUUGGAAUAACUUUUCUUUUCUUUUCUUUUUUUAAUGAAUGUGGAUAUAAAAUUUUAAAAUCGCCAAACCGAAAAGAAAAACAGGGGAAUGAAAAGAGGGCUCUGUUUCUCCUCUGUUUCGAUUUUUUUAUUACUAAACAGGGGAAUGAAGAGAUCAGCUCUUGUCGCAAGUGCAAAUGCAGUUGGUUAUUCUACUUUUGCUAGUGAAGUUUUGGGCCUUGUCGUAAUUGCUGUAAUUGCGACAUCGGUGGUUGACAUGGCUUUCCUUGUACAGGUAUGUAUGAUUGUUUUUUUUUUUUUUGCACUUCUAAAUGGACACUGUUGAAAAGCUUAAAAUUGAACUGAUAAUUUUGUUUGGAAGCUUAGAAAAUUCAUGAGAAAGUGAAAUAGAAUAUUCUGGAUUUCUUACAUAAAAAAAAACAGAAUUAAAGCAAGGUACACAACUAUAACAGAAUCAAAAGCGUGCUUUACUAAUUGGCUGAGCUGGCAUAUACUUCUUUAACUAACAAUGCUGCUGACUGGACUUUAGCUCACACAUGCUUAUUGUGGAGCUACUCUUACUUCACACGUGCUCAGUGUGCUUCCUUAACAGACACAAGGGAAAAGACAUGAUUUUGAGAUUAAUUUAUACCAUAAUAAUAAUAAAGCUAGAGUAAUGAUAUGAAUCAUUAAUUGCUACAAAAUAAUUUGCUAGAUAGCGCCAACACUUAAUUGAUACUCACCAUUUCAUUGAACAAUUGUUUUAUGGUGUCAUUGAGGUUGCCUUCCCAACAUCCUUCAUCAUCAUCAUCUUCUUCAUCCUCAUCAUCUUUUUCUUCGGUGAGUUUCACUUUGUUUAGCUUUGGUGUGUCUACGACUCCUUGUGAGAAAAUCUUCAUCUUUGGGCACUGUCUCGCAAUUACUUGUUCCAAAGGAUGGGAAUUGAAGAGUGUAAUUACCCCGAACAAAGCUUGUUAAGCCUGUCAACCAAUGAAGUGUCAAGUAGUUUCAUUUUCUCGGAAGAACAAUGCAAGCCCUUUCACUUCUCUCAACCUGCAAUUGUUAUGAUCUUCCUUCUAUCAUUUUGCAAUCAGCNNNNNNNNNNNNNNNNNNNNNNNNNNNNNNNNNNNNNNNNNNNNNNNNNNNNNNNNNNNNNNNNNNNNNNNNNNNNNNNNNNNNNNNNNNNNNNNNNNNNUGAGAGUGUCACACAUUUAUCAACCUGUGACACUUCGAUACUUCUAGUCCCCACAGAUUUUCCAAAUGCCACGAAGGUGGUACUAAUUUUUGCAACUUACUACGUUCCGAUAUUUCUAGACUUCCCAUGUUUGCAAACGCUUUGUUGGAUUCGUCAUUUUCCUUCCAGAGAUGCUGCACUUUGUGUAAUCUAGAUAGCUUUAACUCCAUCAAUUGAGGGAAUGCAACCUGAAAAUCAACAAAAUUAAGUUGUAAAUGAAAAUAUGUAUCCAAUCUCUGGAGUCUUCCCCUGCAUAUUUUAUGGACAAGAUUAAUCACGACAUUUUAUAUUUUUUUUCCAAAUUAGUAUGCUUUGCAGUAGGUUCCUAAAUAUAAAUAUCAAAUCGAUUACCCUUUGAAACACAUAAAUGAAAUCUGAGGCUAAAUCCAAUAUGAAUUAGCUAGGAAAACAGAGAUGUAACACACAUAAUUAAUAUAGUUCAUCACCUCGUGUUACCAGGCAUCCAAUUAAUUUCAGACAUUUUUAUAAUUCAUACUAUAAAGUUAGUUAAUAACGGAGGUUAUAUUGUUAAAUCAGAUAUAAAUUAAGACGACGUGCAAAAAGAUGAGUCAUUAAAUUUGAUUUAAUUCUAAUGAAAUUACAUCUAUGCGAACGAAAGUGAAGGGAAAAAUAAUAAUAAUAAUAAUCACAUUUUCAUCGAAGAGGGGUUGUACUUGAUGAGCCAGCAAGAAGUUCUCUUCUGAUGUUAAUUUUUGAGGUUCCUUGUUAUCUGUUGUCACGUGCACUACAGAGUUGGAUAUGAAUGUUUCCAUAUCAGGGCAAUUCUCAAUAGUCAGACGUUUCAACUCAGGCAUUUCAAUUAUAUUCUCAGUGAAGUUGGGAAUCUUUUGAGUUUUGGAAGAUCAAUGAGCCUUAGCUCGAAAAAGCUUAGGAAACAGGGGGCCUAUAUGUUCUUUGUCAACACUUAGCUCUUCCAAAUGAAGCACCUCUGCUAGCGAAUCACAAUUCCUCACUUCCAGGUCCAUCAAAUUGUUCAAGCACCGUAGCAGAUUGGCAGGAAUAGCACUCGACAUAUUCGUGCAGUCAUCCACCACCAGGUGUCCUAAAUUGUUGAAGAAGCUGACAGGCAGUGCUUGGCCAUGCCAUAUUUCUUGCAAACGUGGAAAAUGCGAGAGUUGCAAAUACUUUAUGUCACGAAAUCCAAUCUGCACAAACCAAAACAAUUGCACUGGAUAUAUACAAUUUUUUACUUUUUGAAAGGCACAGACAUAUAUACAUUAAACUUACAUGUUUUGUGCUUAAAUGUGCAAGUGCAAGGGAGAUGCAUGAGCAAUUUUGAUGAAUCGAUUCACACAAAUCAUUUCUUUGUAACACUUUUGUAUAGUGGAAUUAAGAUUGCCUUCACGAUCGUGCAAUUCACCCUCUUCCUUUUUAGUCACUUGCACUUUGUGCAGCUUUGGUGUGGAUAAGAUUCCCAGGGAAAAAGUCUUCAUGUUCGGACAAUGUGUCACAGAUACUUGUUCCAAUGAUGGGAAUUCAAGAGUGUAAUUCUCCAAGCAAAAGCUGGCAAGCCUUGGUAAAUCAUCAAGUAUCAAAAGUUUUAAUUUGCUGAAAGCAAUACGAUUCUCCUUCGCUUCUUCUCCAACAUGUCCUAUGAUUUCUUCUAUUUUUUUGCAGAUUGAUACAUUAAGAUUCACUAAAAUACCCGGAAUUCCAACCUGAAAAUAAGCAAAAGAGUGUGUGUGUAUUAAAAAAGUAAAAAUUAAGAGUAUCAUUCAACUAGGUUCAAAGUAUGUUUAAAUCAUACAAUUAUACGUUUUAUAAACAUAACAAACCAUGAAAUGGCUACUAGAUAAUUUUUGUUAAACAAAAAAGGCAACAAGAUAAGUAAAUAAAUAAAAGCCAGAUAAACAAAGAUAAUAAAAACGCAUUUACACUAUUUAGUAUUAGGAGCGUAGAAAGAAUUUAAGGCAAUUUCUAAAUAUUUUAGACUUAUUUUGCAUUUCGAUGCAAAUUUUUAAAUAAAUUUGAAAUUGCAACUAUUCCUUUAAAAAAAAACUCAACCAAAAUGCUGCUUUUUCCAUUUUCCUUGGUCCCUUUUUUUUAUGUAUAUUAAAAAAUGCAAAAAAAAAAUGGAAAAGACUUCCCAAUACUGUCAACGUAGGACUGUUGUAAAGCGGGUCUUUAUUAAGUACUUCCAUGAAUUUAUGAUUAAUUAAUGUCAUAAUCAAUUCAUAACUAAACUAGAGAUAUUAAUUAAAUUUGAAGACUUUUCUUUUUCUUUUUUUCCAAACGAAAUGUCAAGAAUUAAGGAAAAGAGAAAUAUAUAGAUGAAUUUGUGAACCUAUAAGAUGAGUGACUAUCCUUUAAUUUUUGAAAAUCGUACUUAUUAAGAUAUGAGAAAAACAAUUAAAUUGAAUUAUAUUAUGCUGUUGAAUCGUGUUUAAAAAAAUUAUAUUGUUGAUUCUAAUAAUGGCGAACCUAAAAACUGGACUUAAAACGUAGAUUUCAGAGUGGUGGUUCGAAGUACAAUACUUGAAAUAAAUAAUUAGUGCCUGAAUAUCAUUCGUAAACACAAAAAUGGUUAAAAAAUUGUUGGAUGUAAUUUGAAAAAAAAGAUUCGAAAUGAAUACAGCAACCUUACCAAUGGAGGAAAAAUAUUCAUUAGGUUAUCACACCAAGAUAUCUUCAAAUUCUUCAAUUUGCUGAAAGACUCUGAAGCAAGCUGGUGGUGCCAUAUUCUUCUCAAAUUAUCCAUCCACCAAAUAUGUAAUUCCUCCAACUUCGGAAGUCGUACCUGGCAGUUAAAGGUUAAAUAACUAAUUAAUCGGCAUAAUCUAUUGAUAACCAAAUUAGAGGCUGAUACUAACUAAAUUUGAAGACUCAAGGAAAAGACAAAUUAAAUAUUGUGGCUAAAAUUAAUUUAAAAAAAAAAAAAACCUUUUCGUCAAAGAGAGGUGGAGAUUGCAUUUCAGAAUGAAGGGUGUCUGCUGGUGAGCUCGUAGAGAUGAAUCUUAACAUAUUAUUGCAACCACCAAUCUCGAGGUUUAGUAAAGAAGGGAAUUCAACAACUAAAUCUGAAUGAAUAUGUCCCGUAUUGGCAAAGCUCGUUAGUUUUGGAAGCACACAAAGCCGUAAGGAGUGUAGUUUAGGAAAAACCUCUAACUCAAUCAACUUUCCUUCAUCUCUUCCUCCUAACCACCCUGUGGUGUCGACUACCCCUUCCAUCGACUUACAAGAUCUUAUCACAAGAUGUUGGAGUUGCAAAAGACUAUUAACCAUAGAAUAUGAAAACAGAUACUUCAGACGAUCACAACUUUCCACGGUCAUUUUUGUUAAAUUUCCACAAUAAGACACUCCCUGAAACUGUUCGGGCCAUAAUUUUUCAAUGGUUGUUAACCAUAUAAGUUUCAACUCCUCCAAGCGUGGAAAAAUAACCUGAAGCAAAACGGUACGCUUUUGUUCCGUCAAUUACAACUGUCUAAUAUAAUAAUCUUUUGAUGAUUGAAGAUCAAUCGUGAUAAUAUAUUAAUUUAUUAAUUAUAAAACAGAAAAUUAUCACCUUGUGAACAGAAUCAUCCUCUGCAAUGAUUUCUGUCAAUCCCUGAGUAGCUGUUGGCUUCUCCAUGUCGGGCCCUAUAAAUGAACAAAAACAAUCUAUAAUUAACCUCUGUCCUUUUUUUUUUAAAAAAAAGAGAAAAAAGAAUGAGCCAAUGUCAAUAAUCCUACCAAUAAUUAAUUUCAACACUUACCAAUAAUCAUUUUCAAAUCAUCGCAGUUUUCCACUUCUACUUUUUGAAGCCGCAAUAGGUUUUUGGCCAUGAAGAAUGAGAAGAGAUGCUUCAAUUUGUCACAAAAAAAUACUUUUAUAAUCCUUAAGUUGCUGAAAGAUUGAUCUUCUCUGAGUUGGCUGUAGCAUAUCGUUUCCAAAUUAGUUAAACCAAUAAGAUACAAUGUCUCCAGCAAGGGAAAGACUUUGCAACGAGCUCGUCCAAUUGAACCGACAAUAUGUAAAAUCUCAGGACAGCCUGCUACUAGAAGAUGCUCCAAUUGUGGAAAACCUUCCCCAUCGUCUAAUUCAUGAACAACACUCGGAACACCAUUCAAUGUUACUAGACGGAGAUCUUCAGUUCUUUUUAGCAACAUUUUCAUCCCAUAAUUCUCCAAAAGAAUGCUAACGUUUUCUAGCUCCUGGAGUUUCAUUGAUCUUGAUGUUUCAGAUGUCAAUUUUUCUAGCUCCGUGAUAACUAUGGAUGCUGAUGCUCUAGAUGUGGCGAAGGACACAAGUCCAUUUCGUUGCACUUUUCCUAUACAUAUCUGAUACCUUUGCAAUUCCACAGAGACCAAAUCCUGCGGCAGAAUUUCGGGAUCCGGAACAUCUAUCUCCAAAGUAGUUAGCUUUGACAACCCCUUCAACUCGACAAGACUGGCAUUACUUCCUCCUUCAACCUUAUCCCACUGUGAAAAGCUGCAACCCAUGUACAGUUCUUCUAGUCGAGAUAAUUUGGAUAUGAUGUUAGGAAAUUGGUGGGUGCAGCAGGACCGCAGCUAAAAUAAAAUUGGAAAUAAAAUAAAGAACAAGCACACUAGAGGACACAAGAAAAUUACGUGGUUCGGCUUUUAGCCUACGUCCACGGGCGAAGACAGAAGGAAAUAUUUUACUAGUGAAAAGGAGUUACAAGUAUUGUAGUAUUUUAGCUCACUUCCCAAAAUCCCAAUACACCCAAACUCUCAAAACACUAAACACUCAAGAGUUUAUUAAACUCUUAAAACUCUCAACACUCAAAGAAAGCAAUGCUUCUCUCUCGAUGGAAUUGGAUGAAAAUGAAUGAGGAAGCUCUUCCUUUUAUAGCCAAAAAAUGGCUAUUAAAUUAAUAUAUAUAUGUAUAUAUUUCAAAUGUAGUUACCAACUUCUUCUUUUUCUCCAUUUGGAUGGCACCAUUUUCUUUGGCCGGCUGCACCAUUUUCUUCUUUCAAAUGUCAAACCCUUCUAGAUGCAGCCAUGCCAAACACUUCUAGAUGCAGCCAACUUUGACAUAUGACAUUCGGUGUUAUCACCUCAAGCCUCCUACAAUUGCUCAAAUCCAGCAACUGUAACCGCGUCAAUUGUCCAAAUUCAAGUGGCAACCGCUCAAUAUCGGAACCUCGAAAGCUAAGAAUCUCUAAUUUCUUUAGCUGUCCAACUAUUACUAUAUCUUUUAGUCGGCAAUAUUCUAAACACAAUGUUUGAAGGUUAAUGAGGCGACCAAGUGAUGAAGGUAAUGAAGAGAAGUGAAUUCCAGUAAAAUUCAAAACUCUGAGUCCUUCCGUCCCAUCAAAAAAGUGGUCUGAAAUUGGCAUAGAGCCACCACCCUUUUCAAGCAACAAAAGUAACUCGAGACGGGGACAUUGCAACCUUUCAGGAAGCACUUGAAUACCUCUAUAAGGUAAAGAAAUAGCAAUUGGACCUUCCUGUACUGUCUCUUCCAUCUUUUUGUCCAAGUCGGCAACAUUUGGAAUAUUAAACAUGAGCUCCUCUUUUGCAAUUGAUACGGCAACUACACGAAUGACGUCAUGCAUUUUGACUUCAUCUUCAGCAUCACCGUCCAACAAUAAGCAUGAAGAUUUGAGUUUGCUGAUCAACGUAUGCACUGUACUCCUUGCUUCUUCCGGUGUGUAAACGUUUCUAAAAUAGCCCAUACCCAUACCAUAUCUCAAUAAAGAAGAAACUGGUAUAGCAUGACCUUCACUAAAUAGACCACAAAGAAGGAACAGAGAUUUUGCUUCCUUAUUUCCCAGUAAGUCGUAACUCAAUUUCAAGGAGAGGUACACAUUUUUUUCCAUUCCAUCAAUUUCUUUUGCAUAGGAACUUCUUAGCUGACGCAGCACAUAUUUCCAAGUCUCAAGGCUCAUAUUUUUCAAAGCUUUUGCAAGUGUAAUCAGUGCAACCGGCAGUUCUCCGCAUCUUCCGACGAUCUCAUGUGCUAUAGGUUGAAAAGCAGAUGUUUUCAUUGAAUCACCCACUAUCUUCUGAAAUAAAUACAAUGCUUCUUCUUUUGAUAAAGCAUCGAUCUGGAUCUCUUUCUGAGAAUUCAUAACAUUGUGCAAUAAAUCUUGACGUCUAGACGUCAGUAUUAUUGUGCAUCGUCGCUGAUCAUCCAUUCUUUCUUUCUUAACAUCCCCGGAAGGAAUUCCAACUUCAUCGAACUUCAGUUCUCCCCAAAUAUUAUCCAAUAUAAUGAGAUGCCGCUCCUCGUUCUUCAAAACUCGACAUAGUCGAUUUGCUCUGUCGAAUAUACUCUCAUUCAACUCAAACUUUAUGCCUAAAUCAGAAGCAAGUUUGUCUUGAAUUUUCUGAUGAUCUGGGUUCUCUGUUACCUCAGCCAUAGCGACCUUAUCGAACAACUUAUCUUCCGUCACUUGCUUUGCAACUUGCUUGACGAGCGUGGUUUUACCCACUCCGCCCAUCCCGUAGACCCCAAUUAUGUUGAGCUUAUCAUCCUUCAACGCCUCCAAAACAUCUUGAAAUACUUUCUUUCUUGAGUCAAAGGCCUCGUAAUCUUUCACUUGCAUAUAUUCUGUACUCUUUGGAGCAGGACGAUAGGAAACACUAGAGAAGUUGCCUUUUCCCACGAGAUCAGCAGCAUCUUUUGCGGCCUUUGCUGCUUUUUUACUGAGUUUGUAACGAGACAACAAAUUUGGGCACAAUCCUUUGAAGCAAUACUUCUUGGCUCCAUUUUCAUCAUCAAUAAUGGAGUUUGCAACCCCUUCACUGAUGAAUUCAUCAACGCUAUGUAGCCAAUCUGCGACACCCUCAUAAAGCUCAUCCCCUUGUAGCCUAGCAUGAUUAACUGGUUGCUGCACCAUUUCUCUUUUACAUCCCAGCUGCAUUACUUGAUCUUUUAGCUCAUCUACGUAGCUCUGGUACUUGAACACAUAAGAUAUCUGCCGUAUAAUCGGUUUGAACAGUGACUUUGCACCUUCUGAUACGAUGCUUGAAAAACCACCGAGACAGAAUUCUACAGCCAUUGCCUGUUGCUUAACGAUGUAUGUGUAGUUUUUGGCUGUUAAAAAAAACAAAAAUUGGAUUCAAAUAAAUUAAAUGAACUAGAGGGGAAGAAAAAGAAAGAAACGACAACAAACAACUUUUUAGAGAAAGGUUGAUAUUGUUACAGAACACAUGUUCAUUUUUAACAAAUUGAUCAAUAACUCUAUUCGCUAUUUAAUUGAUAUUGUAACCAAUUUUAAGAGAAUAUAAUAAUAAUCCUUCGAUGCAUAAAUUUAGAAUUAGAUUUUUUAACUUUUUAUUUAAAUAUAAAUCUCAAUGGAAAAUUAUAAAAAUUUAGAGAUAAAAUUUUUCAAUCACCAAACGGAAAAACAGGGGAAUGAAAACAGAGGAAUCUUGUUUUACCUUUUUUUUUUUUUAACCUUCACUCUUGUUCUUAUAUAAAUAAUCUUGUUCUGAUGAUAGUGCUCGUGACUGCAGGAAAAUUUCUAGUGGAAACAACUCAAUUUCAGAAGAAUUUAUUCAAUUGACUCUGUACUUGAACUCGUUGGAUUGGUUGAUUUAUGAUUGACUGAAUUUAUUCAAUUCGGCCUAAAAGAUCUUUAACCAAAGUUUAAUAGCUAUCAUCUACUCCUUAAAAAAAAAUAUGUAUCUUUUUUAGAUUUGACUGAAUUUGAACUUGCUGGAUUGGUUUUUUUUAGAUUAUUAAAAUGGGGCACUGCAAAGUAAGUAUUCUAAAAUCUGUAUGUUGCUUUAGAAAAAGGGCUUUUCCCACUGAUCUUUAUUCUUCAAGUAAACUUAGAUACAAAGUAAAUCUAAAAAAAUGACAAACAAACAAUGAAAUAAACGACAACAAACUGGCAAUUUUGACACAAAGCCAACAAUUAAAAUUUAGGACAUUUUUUUUUCUUGCUUUCUUUUUUUGGAGGAUUAGAGAUUUUGGUAUUACCAGAAAGGUUUCAAGGGUCUGAGUUUCAAGGGUCUGAGUAGAAACCUAUAAUCUUUUGAAAAACUUUGUUUUUUUUUAAAAAAAAAUUUGGGGAAAGGAUGCAAAUUAACCAAAGGAAAUAAUAAGAGCACAGGCUUUAACAAUGAACAAUAACUUAAAACUCAUGCAAAAUAAAUUCAAUAUUAAAGCAAACCAGAGAAAUUUUUUUCUUGAAAAGUAGAUGGAAAUUAUGAAAGAACAGAUGUCAAGAUCAAGGAUCAGGGAUUCUACUACCCAAAAAAAAAAAAAAAAAAUUAAAGGAUUUGGAAAAUGUGCACCUAGAGUUGGUGAGCUUCUCUCUAUUCACUUGAAUAUUUAAGAACAGCUGGGGAAUGUGUGAGAAAAGAGUUGACGAGAGAAAUAACAAUGACUUGCAGAAGAAAAACCAUUAAUCAAGCACACCUUUUUAUAUCCUGUAUUUGGUUAUUGUUGCCCUCUUGACGCAUGUAGAGAAUAAUUAUGUGCAUUUUUGUUUUUAAUCCGCAUGCACUUUAAUGAUUAGUGCUCCUUUCAUAAAGCAGAUACCGGAAACACACAAAUAUCAUUUGAGAGAGAAACUAAACAGCAAAUCAUCAAAGUAAGAUCAAUAAUAUAUGAUUUGGUUAAUGCAUAUUCAAGAACAAAAACAAAAAUAAAUAAAUAAAGAAGGUUUGAUUUUGUUUUGCCAACGCUGCUUUUUUGUUAUUUCUCACUCAUCUUCAAUCCUCAAGUAAAAUUAGGUAAAAAGCAAAUAUAAUAAAAAAACAAACAAAUUAACAAAAAAAGAAAAAAAAACAUUGAUCUUGAGACAACUGAUACUUAAACAGAGAAUUCUUUAUUCUUUUUUACUUCCCCUCCCCCCCCCCCCCCCCCGGGCUCGAGGAUUAGUUUUUGCUAUUAACAGAGAGGUUUUAAGAGUCUGAAUAAAACCAGCGCUUUUUUUAAAAACCUCUUUUUUUUCUUUUUUCUUUUUUGGGAAGAUAGAUUCAAAUUAACCAAAGCUAGUAAUAAGAACACAGACCUUACAAAUGAACAAUAACUUACAACUCAAGCAACAUAAAUGAUAAGAUUAAAACAAACCGGAGAAAUUUUUCUUGGAAAAUAGACGGAAAUUAAGUAAGAACUGCUGUUAAAAGAAAUUAUUAGAGGAUUUAGGAGAAUGUGUACCUCUUUAAUUAUUUGGGAUCAGAGAGUUGAUGAGCUCUCUAUUCGCCUUGAAUAUUGAGUAAGAACUGGUAUUAAAAGAAAUUAUUAAGAACAAUAUUUUAGUGAGCAAAAUAUCACUGUUAACUGCAGAGGAAUUUUGUGAGUAAAAUGCUGAAAGAGCAGUAACAAUGAAUUGCAAAAGAAGAAGACUUAACCAAGCACCCCUUCUAUACCCGAUUUUUAAGAUUUAAUUUUGAAGUUCAGAAUCAAGAACAAAGACGAAGCUUUAAUAAAGCAUGCAGUGAGAUACAAGAAAUGGAUCGGGCAAAAUACCUUACGAAGCGUUUCAUAUUUUCUAAUGAAAUAAUUUAGUUGAAGUUUUCGACGAAUAAAUACCUGUUGUGCUUGAAUAAUUUUGGCAUAUACAUUACUUGUAUCCGGCGAAAUUGAAAAGCACACUCAUUUACAGAGCUUGUUAGUGGGGAAAAGCUUCGUAAGAUGCCUGAUAAAAGAUAAAGCAAAAGCUUGAAUGAAGAAUGACAUUUUAGAAAGAAACUAAAGUGCAAUCAUCAAAGUAGGAUCAAUAGUGAGUUGAUCAGUUAUGCUUUUUGUUAUUUCAAUUGUCCUGUCCACAAAUGAUGCUUCGUUAUUACUAAUUCCACAUGGACAUUAUUUAGAAACUGUUCUUAUGUUUAACAGAAAAAUGAAAACUCGUCAUCAUACAAAACUGCGUGAACAAAUCUUCAAUUUGAUUAUUAUAAAAUAAAGAAGUUUCAUUACUAGAUUAUGCGGACGUUAAUGUUAGAGAUUUCAUCAGAUUAUCAUAUAAUUUACCAAACGCUUUGAGAAGAACAUGAAUUAAUUAGUUAAAAAUUUAAAAAUAAAAUAAAUAAAGAGUACAUGCAAAUAUUGUUGCUUCCAAUCACCAAAGUGAAAAACAGGGGAAUGAUAACAGACGAGUCCCUGAUUAUCCUCUCUCUCUCUUUUUUCAAUCUCUCUUUAUGUUAUGAUUGAAUAAUUGUAUAGAAAGUGUGACGGUUGCUGCAGCAUUAUGAAGUCAAAAUUGAGAACGACAUUAAAUAAUCAAUCUCUUUAUGUAUAUACUCGAAUGUCUGAUAGUGUUCAGACUUGGAUUUUCUAUAAACACAGAUUCGAAAUCCAAAUAAUUGAAUAAUUGUGUGCGUUCAAAUUCAGCAUUUAAUUUCUAUAUAAUUGGACAUAAAUGCGUAUUUUUUAUUUAGCCCAUUUCGGUCCAUGUUCAAAUAAACAUAUUUCUGUGGAUGAUAAUAUCAGGACCUCUGAUGCUUUUUUUUUUAUCAGAAAUUUUAUUUUUAACUCUUCGUUAUUUAGAUAUAAAUUUUUGCAGUCACCAAAUAGAAAAACAGGGGAAUGAAAACAGAAGAGCCGUGUCCUAAAUCAGGAGUAGGUGUUUUGCCUAAAAGUACCACUUUCCUAGCAAAUCUAGUGGGUUUACUGAAUAAAAUUUUUAAUUAUUCUGUUUGAUCUUUCUCUCUUUAUCCUAAGCAUUCUUGGUUGGGAUCGCUGCAUUGUCCUGUAAUCCGUGUGCCUUAGUGAAAAGAGUAAUGGGUAACUGUAGUUAUGGGUACUUGAGAGCUCACGAUGAGGGUAGCUUGGUAAUGGGACUAUCCAUAUCUGAGCAUCAGAGCUUGACAUCUUUGAUAAAUACAUAUGCUUACUGGUACUGUUUUUGCAUAUGUCUUUCACAAAAUCUUUGUAUAGGCUUACAUAGAGAAGAAGAUUCACCAAUAAAGUGUUGGCUCCACUGGCAAUGAAGUCCCUUAAGUGGCUUGACUGGGUUUGCUCCUCAGUUCUAGUCUGGGUUGUGGUACGGGCUUAAAGGUGCCUCCCACAGUUGGGGCCUUCCCCAGGAUACCUCGUGGUCAAAACAAAAAAAAAAUAGAGAAGAAGAUUCGGAUAACUUUCAAAAUCUGAAUCCGCCUGAUGGACGGACUUGACCACACAGCCCCGUGACAAGGAAGUCCAAGCAACUAACCUAAACCGUUCUCCUUUAGUCCUUUAUUAGGUUGUUCAAAAUGAAAUUAUACUGAGGAGCACCCCCCCCCCCCCCCAAAAAAAAGUUCUUUUAUAUAUUUUUCUUGGAAUUUUAGGCAAAAGAAAAAAAAACUGAGAACGAUUUCAAGCGAACAAGUGGAUAAUAACUAAAAUACUUAUUUUUAUAUAUUUGAUAUAUGCGCUCACUAUUAAUAGAACUUAUUAGAUACUACAACUUAAAUAACUUCCAGUGGUUGAUUGAGGGUAUGUUUGGGAUUUCCUUUACUUUCCAAGAAUUAAUUUCUACCUUGAUUCUGAACAAAAAAAUAAUUUUACAAAUAAUUUAUUAGGGUGUUUGGUAAAUGAUGAUUAUUUGACAAUCAAUUUUUAAAUGGUUUACUAUACAAAUCUGGUAAAUGAAAAUUAAAAGUGUAAAAUGUUCAUGUACAAUGACAAAAAUGUACUUGUUUACUUUUUUGUAAUUUAUUUAGAAUAUUAUUAUUUAAAUCUUUUUUAUUUACAACAUUUUUAAGAGCAUAUUCUAUUUUCUUUAUUACAUAUUUAAAUAAUUUUUUAUUAACUAUUUUAAUUUGCAAUAAAAUUAACUUGAAUAUUUUUUUAACUAAAAAAAUUGUUAUCUAGUUCGUGAUAUAACAAAUACUAACAUAUCAUCAAAUUGAUUAAUAAAUUAAGUGCAAAAAAGAAAAUGCAAAAAUUUAAUCUUUAUAGCUCAUAGAAAUAUAAUAUUAUAUACAUGUGUGUAAAAAACAACAUAUGACCAUAAUAUUAUCCACUCAUUAAACUUGCUGCACUAUUAUUUCUCAAUCUCUCCAUCUCUCGACCUUCAAGAACAUUACUACCAUAAUCUUCUUCUUGAAUUCAACCUCCAUUUCCUCAUCAUCAACAAUGCGACCAAUUUGCCUUGAUAGCCUUUCAACUCCUCCCACUUUCCUCCCUUUUGCAGACACUCUUUUUCUUUUUCUUUUUCUGUCUUUAAUAGCUUCAAUGGGAACAACCUCAUCUGACGACAAGUCCAUUCUUCAACUAGGACAGAGUUGGUAGUAGAUAUUCUAGUACUCUCAAACGAUGCCCAAACGGGGUCACCAGUGAUUGUUGUAUUAAAAGACAUUCUAUUUAAUUUUCCUCUGACUCUUGGUCGAUACCUUUUGUACAAAAUCUAUUUACUUCAGGAAUUUUAUACAUAUGUCGAUAUCAUAUUAAAGUGAAUUCAGAUCCUAUAUUAUUGACAUUAAAAUUUAGCCGAAUAGUAAAAAAUUUCCCUUUUUGUUUGUCACACAACUAUAUAGUCCCAUUUUUGGUUAUAAGCUCACGAUAUGCAAGGGAAAUGAAGAUCUAUUAAAAACUUCCCCAUAAUAUUAAACAUUAAACAAUAUCAACAUUUUGUGCAUAUGGUGCCUCGUCAACAAUUUGAUGUUCAUUUUGUUGCUCGGAGGAAUAUGACUACCUAUUAAUUAAUUAGCAAGAAUUGCGUUGCGAGUCCAUGUUUUUUGUCGUUUGGAUGGAGGAUGUGCUAUCUUUUUAUUGUAGAUGCUUUGUAAGGCUUUUGAUUUAAUGAUUGAAUGCAGUCAAUUAACAAAAGCUUACAUACAGUAUUAUGUAGUUGCUGAGAUGUCUAUUCUUGAUAAAGUCGAUUUAUUUACACCCAAGCCAACGGAAUCAAAGCCUUUUCGUUAAUAAUAUACACGGUAAUUGUUUUUGUUAAAUUGAUUUCUGGCUAACAAGAUCUUUGAAAGCAUUUAUUAAAGAAACCACUGACUCAUAAGAAAGCCAUGAUUAAAUACACAGCCAAGCAUGUGAGCUCGUUUUUCAAUCUCUUUGAUCACUCAUAAGCUUCUCUAUACCACUCACUGUAUCAUCCUUUUAAGUCAAUUUUGACUGAUCAUCAGAGAUCAUGCACCCCACCUUGAGAUGAUUGAUCACCAAUUUGGCAUUGUAACGUUGAUCACCUCUAAUUGGCCAUGCUAAAAUUGGGACCUCACAGCCAAUUGCUUCUACAGUUGAAUUUUAUCCACAGUGAGAUAAAAAUCCACCUAUUAAUUGAUAACUCAGUAUCAAUAAUUGUGGCACCAUUCCAUCUAUUAUCAAACCCUUUUUACCGACUCUACUAUCUAAACCACUACAAAAAUAAGCUGGUUAAAUGACGUGGAGGAUCCAAUCUAUUUACAUCAGUUUGAAUUACCUAAAUAAUCGGUGGAUUUGAUGCUUCUAAAUCAUUGGCUAAUGUUGAAUAAUCAUUUAAGGUGGGACCCAUUUCGGUACCAAAUGACAUGUAUAACACGGAUCCACAUGAUUUCAAAUCUAACCAUUGAAUGAUCUCAUCUUCGGUCAUGUUAGAACUUCGCCGGUUGGUUCUCAUCUCACAAUCACGAAGCACUGAACCAGCCGAUUUGUAAAAUUGUUCAGGUAACAAUUGGCCCACUCCCCACACUGGCAUCAACACCAUCGAUCCCUCCACUUGCUUCAUCCAGUGUGGUUGAUCACUCGGUUCUGAUGGGCCUAUUUAUUCUGAACCGGGUGCACCUCACAAAGGUUGUGGACCACCAGGAAGGGACCCGUGAGGCCUGCGUUUAAGAUCCGAUUCGAAUAAAGCAAUAUCCUUGGGUAACCCAAGAAGUAAACGGGCCUCUCCCGGUUUGACAUCCUGGAUGCGAGCCUGCCACAUGGCACACUCCACAGCUGCUGAGCAAGCAUCAGAAGUGAAGAACCCAACAAUGGGAACUUCAAAAUUCUUGAAAACAUCAGCCGUCCAGCCCAUCAUAACGCCGAUGACUACGCAAACAGGUCGGCUUUCGGGUUCCGGGUUGAAAGGAGGUUUCGAAGGCCUUGAAGCAUUUGGCUGUGCAUGACAACAUGGUGGUGAGAAGGAGGUGAUGGUAGUGGUUGAGAUGGGGAGGGUAUUUCGGUAAUUUCAAAUAGAGCGUAUUGGUGAAGAGAGGAAGGGGUGAUGCUGGUGGUAGAAACGUGAGAGGGAAUAAUGAGGGUAGAUUUGUAACAACGAGAAGUGAUUUGCUUGCAUAAUUCAAUGCAUGGAAACAGAUGUCCCUGACCGAAGAAUGGGACAAUCCAAAUCUCAGCCUCAGCAGCAUUCGCAACAGAGCUUGACAUCUUUUAUGAAUUAUUUGAGACUUAAUUGUUAUUGACUGCUUUUGCCAUCUUUCAUAAAACAUUCUUUGUUAUAUAUAAAGAGAUGACUUGAUGGAGAAGCAAGUGUUUUACUUUUAUAGUUUUACUAGUAGUUGAGCUCUGAUUUUGAUAAUUUGAUUGUUAGUUUUAGUUGGUUAGUUAUGAGAAAGCAUCUUUCACAAAAUUCAUUCCAGUUUCAACUAAAAUUAACAAUACUGUUCAAAUUAAUUACUGGAUCAACAAAUAGUCAUAGGCAAAUCUAUCCCUAGCGCUAGAUCUUGAACAUAAUUAUUAUCAUAAUCUCCCCUUCCCCCACCCCCCACCCCCAAAAAAAAAUUUACUAAAUAUCUUUUGUUAUAUAAUGAACAAGAUAAGUUGACGGAGAAGGGUUCUACUUUUACUAGUAAAUGAGCUUUGAGUAGUUAAGAAGGUUAGUUUUAGUUAGUUAAAUAUCUACCAUCCGAAUCAAAGUUCCUUAGACUAUUAUUCAAGUGAGAUGCUUGAGUAACAUAUACUUGUGUUAGUUGGUGCCUAACAAUUCGUGUGAUACAUGAAACCAACCACUAUGAAAUCCAAAUGAAGCUGGUAGGAUUAGAUUAAUUUAAAUGAAAAUAAAAAUUUGUUUAUGCUAUUUAUUAAUCUUAUAAUGUUGAAACUUGAAAGUUAAUUCUUCAACCUGUCAAUUGGUUCAUGACAUGGUUUAAUAUUCAAGUAAAUAAAUUUAUCGUUUAAAAUUAAUUUUUCAUGUGGUAAAAGCAAUACAAAAUAUGGGGUGGAGAGAAUAAUUUGUAGGGUAUACCCCCACCAUUUAUUUAAUUUCAUUAAAAAAAAAGAAAAGAAAUAAAGGCUUGUUCAACAUUCAAUUAAAAUUAACAAUUCCAUGAUAAAAUUACUUGAGAAUAAAAAUUAAAAAAAAAAAAGUAACACAAAAACGAGGAAUUUUUGAGUAACUGAAGAACCAUAGAUGUUUUUUGGUCAUGAGCAAUUUUUGAGUUGAGACAGAACUUGUAUAAAAAAAUAGUUUUGAAUAACUUCUUUUCUUUUUUCAUAAAUAUAGAUAUAAAAUUUUAAAGUCACCAAACACAAAACCAGGAAAAUGGAAAGGAAGCCCCUGUUUCUCCUCUGUUGCAAGAACAAAUUCGGUUUCUACAGGAGUACCUUCUAAAUGCACCAUUUGUAUUGCUUUGUUUCCACGUAAGCUAACGGAAUUUUUAAUGAAAUUAAAUAAAUACAAUCUCACUGACCGAAAAGUUCUGUAGCUGUUUCAAUUCAAUUGCAUACAUUGACGAAACAUUAAAUACGGAAAAAACAAAAAAGAAGUAAUAGGACAUGGGGAUUUCGAGAACUUCUAAAGAGAGAAAUCUAUUUAUAAGCAUUGAAAAUUAGCUCAUUAAAUUUGACAGAAUAAUAUACAAUCUCACUGUUGGCCAGAAAAUAAUAGUAAGAACUUGUGAACAUAUAUAAUCAAUUGUUUAUUACUUAAGCUCUUUUUCUUCGUUAUUUUGAAUGGGUGCAAAGAAGAGAAGUUUUGUACCCAAAUUCCAACUCGAAUUGUGUAGGCUGCUUGCAAGAGCUUCAUUAGAUUUUUAUUUGUCUUUUAAUAGUGCUACUCGAUAAAUACAGCUAGCUACCUGUCUUUUUUGUUACUGGACUAUAGAUCAAUUGACAGUUGAAGUUAUAUUAAUUUGUUGUACUGGAAUUGAAGCUUGUAUCUUAGCCAUUUCGUGAAGUGUCAAAUAUAUUUUUAAUUUCCUUAAAAUUGUUCAAAAUAUGUUUACACUUUUAAAGUCACUAUUAUACAUGAGUGCCCUAAAAUAGGAGAAGGCGAUUUGCCUGACAUUACCUGUUUCCUGUCAAAUCUAGCAGGUUUACUGAUUAGAUUUUAACAAGUCUCUUGGCAAAGUUUGCUAGAAAUGGAAUCAAAUUAUUCUAUUUAAUCUUACUGUCCAUACCCUAAUAGUUCUUGAUUUGCAUCACUGCAUCGUUCUAUAAUCUGUGUGCGUUGGCUUAUAAAGGCUAGCAAGGCUGACCAUUCGUAGCAUAGUUUUUUUUUUUUUUUUUUUCCACAAUGAAACUCCUAUUGAUUUGACUCAGUAUUUAGAGGCGUUAACGAGGGCACUAUACUAGACAUGGAUUUCUACCGCUUUUGGUUGUACAAUUGUUGUAAUCCUUGGCCAUCAAAUCAUUUUUACGUAGCUUUCUCAGAGUUCAUGCCAAGUGUACAUUAAUGUUUUUAUGUUUUGGAUGCAAGUGGGAUUCUAGUUCUCUAUGGCAGUUGAAGAGGUAAAUGGGCAUGGAGCUAUGCUCUAUCAUAGGCUUCGGCCGCUACAAGAAAUUUGAUUUCUUAAGACGAUAUUUUUUACAACUUUAAAUUUGGUCACAAAAUUGUAUUUAUUGUGACAAAUUUUUAAAAUCGUAGUUAAUAAUCUUGUCGUAACUUAUAUUGUUUUUUGUAACCAAUUGUUUUUAUUUUGAGACUUGUUCAUUGGUCAUUAAUUAAAUUUUUUUAUGACAAAAAUUAUUUUAGUCACCAAAAGAUAUAUUUUUUUGGCGCAAAAUCUUCCCUCCAAAAGUGAUUAUUUUGAGACAAUAUUUCACUAUUUAUGACAAAAUAAAUAGUCACGAAAUAUAAUGAUAGGCGACCAAAUUAUUUGGUAACUAAAAGAAGGGUGUAAAAUUGACUAAACAAUCUAUGACACAAAAUAUUAGUAGCCAAAAUUAUUGUUCUUUUGGCUAAUUUUAAGACCAUUUUUUUUUGUCAUAUAUAAUUACCUACCAUGACAAAAUUUAAAAAUAGUUGUUGAAUGUUUUGUCUUGAAUAAUUUUAUAUUUGAUAACCAAUUUUUUUUUUUCUUUUUGAGACAUAUUACUUGGUCCCUAUUUCAACUUCUUUUUGACGAACUUUAUAAUAGUCACAAAAGACUUUUUUUAUUUUUGGCAUAAAAAGUCUGUCCAAAGUUAGCUCUUUUGGGACAAUAUAUAAUCUUUUAUGACAAAAUAUAUAGUGGCGAAAUAUAAUUAUUUUUUACAAAGUUAUUUCGUAACUGAAAAAGAGGUGUAAAUAUAGUUAACCUAUUUGUGACAUAAAAUAUUAGUCUCCAAAACUAUUAUGUUUUUAGCCAAUUUUAAGACCCUAUUUUGUUGUCAUGGAUAAUUACCUAUUUUCAAAAAACUAAGAGAUAGCAAUCAAAAGUUUGUCUUGAUUGACAUUGUAUUUUAUGAGCAAAAUAUUUUGUUUCAGUGACACUUUACUUGGUCUUUGAUUAGACUUGUUUGUGAUGAUCAAUAGAAUUAUAUAAUAACCACUAAAUUUUUUUGGGUUAAAUUUUUAUAGAUACUAUUAAUUAAGUUGUUGACGAAAAUGAUCGAACUAAUACUAAUAUGGGAUACCAUCAAUAGCCGUAAUACUUAUGAAGCGAGAAAUUAUAAUAUGUAGUGAUUUAUUUAGAAUUAUUUUGACUACUUUAUUGAUUUCCAAAACAUAAAAUUCUCAACCCAAAAUUCCCCGCAUUGUGUUUUAUUUUGUCUCCUCACUCAGUUACUCUUUUAGCUAAAGUUGCUUUGGAAAAGUUGGAAUCUUUUGUUUGGGUGGAAAAUUUCCCACCAGAGAUUAGACAUGUAUUCACCUAGUUGAAGUAAUGAAAGUUUUACUUUCCCAUAAAAAAAAAAACUCACGGCUUGACAAAAAAAAGGAAAAAAAUUCUCACAGCUUGAUGGUCUCCUCUCUUUAAAAAUAAAAAUCCCUAGUUACUCUGCUCAAACUCGUUAAUAUUUGUUUCCACCACCUAAGCAGCCACUAGUAUCUUUUUUUUUCGCAAUUCACUUUUGCUGUGUUUCGUGGUUUGGAUGGAGAUCAUGACAAUAAUUGAACGAUGGUGAUAAAUAUCAAAGAAGGAGCUUACAUGCCCUAUAUAUCUCUCUUUGGAUGAAUAACGAAGGUGAACUUUCAAAGUACAGAGAUUUACAUGUUUUAAUUGUCAUUUACAUUGCUGCAUGCCCAUUGCUUGAUAAAAUACCGCAACAAACACGCAUUCUCGAUUUUCUCAUAAAUUUAUUUUCUUAGUCUGAAAAAAAAAUUGAAUGUUCAGAGAAUUUUGAAGGUUUUGGUGUAUGCAUUAAUAUUUUGAUUCUAUUUAUGUUGUUUAACUAAUGAAGAUGAUACAUCUAGCCUCUUUUUGCCCCUUGUUGUUUUUAUUCUUGUGCUUUAUAUACGGUUCAAGUGUGAUACACUUUAGUUUUUCUCAAGUGUUUGUUAGUAUUUCCCCAAGCAAAAUUUGUCACAGACUUUGAGUUCAAAAGUUGAAAUCAUAACUAACAUACUUCGAUUUUUUAUUUUCCUUUUUUCUUCGGGGUCCCAUAUAUCUUUCUAUAUGGCAUUGCUUGAGAAAUUGGUGUACUUAGAUCGUAAUAUUCUGUAGAAAUAAGCUAAUAUUUCAUUAGGUACAUUGUUUAAUAUGAUAAGUACUGUAUGGAAGUUUUACAGAUAAGCUCCUUGUAUAUUAUGCAUUAUGUUUUUAUCAUAUUGUUGCUUGGAACUUUGAAGGAUUGGCCACAGGGCUUUAGUCCUACAAGGACAUUUUAUAUUGGGAAAUUAUCAUUCGUAUACCCUAUAGAUGCUCUGUUAUAAAAAAUACUACAACACUUUGAGGGUGUAUCAAUCGUCCACAUUAAGUUGACAAAAUGUAUCUGUUGUCCACCAAACCGUUACUUGCCGUUUAAAUAGGAUAACGACAGAGGGGUAAUUUGGUCUUUUCAUAUGAUACAAGUGAUAAUUUAAGGGUAUACAAGUGAUACUUUUCAAGGGUAAAAUUGUCAAUUCGCUAUAAUUCCGUUAACUUUCAAACGGUAGCUAACGGUUUGAUGGUUGGUAGAUAGCUUUUGUCAAUUUGGGGUGGACGAUUGAUACACCCUCAAAGUGUUGAAGAACUUUUUAUAACAGAGCUUCCUACANNNNNNNNNNNNNNNNNNNNNNNNNNNNNNNNNNNNNNNNNNNNNNNNNNNNNNNNNNNNNNNNNNNNNNNNNNNNNNNNNNNNNNNNNNNNNNNNNNNNNNNNNNNNNNNNNNNNNNNNNNNNNNNNNNNNNNNNNNNNNNNNNNNNNNNNNNNNNNNNNNNNNNNNNNNNNNNNNNNNNNNNNNNNNNNNNNNNNNNNNNNNNNNNNNNNNNNNNNNNNNNNNNNNNNNNNNNNNNNNNNNNNNNNNNNNNNNNNNNNNNNNNNNNNNNNNNNNNNNNNNNNNNNNNNNNNNNNNNNNNNNNNNNNNNNNNNNNNNNNNNNNNNNNNNNNNNNNNNNNNNNNNNNNNNNNNNNNNNNNNNNNNNNNNNNNNNNNNNNNNNNNNNNNNNNNNNNNNNNNNNNNNNNNNNNNNNNNNNNNNNNNNNNNNNNNNNNNNNNNNNNNNNNNNNNNNNNNNNNNNNNNNNNNNNNNNNNNNNNNNNNNNNNNNNNNNNNNNNNNNNNNNNNNNNNNNNNNNNNNNNNNNNNNNNNNNNNNNNNNNNNNNNNNNNNNNNNNNNNNNNNNNNNNNNNNNNNNNNNNNNNNNNNNNNNNNNNNNNNNNNNNNNNNNNNNNNNNNNNNNNNNNNNNNNNNNNNNNNNNNNNNNNNNNNNNNNNNNNNNNNNNNNNNNNNNNNNNNNNNNNNNNNNNNNNNNNNNNNNNNNNNNNNNNNNNNNNNNNNNNNNNNNNNNNNNNNNNNNNNNNNNNNNNNNNNNNNNNNNNNNNNNNNNNNNNNNNNNNNNNNNNNNNNNNNNNNNNNNNNNNNNNNNNNNNNNNNNNNNNNNNNNNNNNNNNNNNNNNNNNNNNNNNNNNNNNNNNNNNNNNNNNNNNNNNNNNNNNNNNNNNNNNNNNNNNNNNNNNNNNNNNNNNNNNNNNNNNNNNNNNNNNNNNNNNNNNNNNNNNNNNNNNNNNNNNNNNNNNNNNNNNNNNNNNNNNNNNNNNNNNNNNNNNNNNNNNNNNNNNNNNNNNNNNNNNNNNNNNNNNNNNNNNNNNNNNNNNNNNNNNNNNNNNNNNNNNNNNNNNNNNNNNNNNNNNNNNNNNNNNNNNNNNNNNNNNNNNNNNNNNNNNNNNNNNNNNNNNNNNNNNNNNNNNNNNNNNNNNNNNNNNNNNNNNNNNNNNNNNNNNNNNNNNNNNNNNNNNNNNNNNGAGGAUGAAAUUUGCAAAAACCUUGUUCAUAGCUAUGGUAAUUAAGCAAAUUGAGUCUUCUUUUUUUGUUGUUUUUUAUUCACUUUUUCCUGUCCUUAAAACAAAUAAUGAGUUUUCUUGUUUUUAAUAUUUCUUAUAAACUUUAUGUUGUUUGGUAUAAAAUUAGGUAAUUGGAAAGGUCUCAUGUUGGAUGAAAUUAUCAAUUAUGUGCAGUCCCUACAGAAUCAAGUGGAGGUAACAUUGCUACUAAAAAACCUUAUUAACAUAGUUAUAAUGAAUUAAUCUUCUUUAAUAUAUUGCAAUAUUUUUUACUAUUUCUAGGUCUUUCUAUGUUGGUUUUGGAUCAUUGUAGUUGCUGAUUGUGAUUUAUUGCCGCCUAUGGUUGCUGACUUUUGUUUACUGCAGCUACUUUAUUAAAGCAAUUUUGGAUAUUGAAGUUUAUGGCCAACUUUUAUUAGAUACUUCUGACCUUUAUCGAUAUAUUUUCUGAACCUUUACACUUAAGAUGUGUGUGUGUUUUUUUUAAGUAAUUUAAUCCUUACUAACAUUUUCUAACAAAAUCAAUUACAGAAAUGAUUAGGAAAAAACAAGCAAAAUCAUUGUAAAGUGUCUUCUGCGCACCGUGGUUGCUCAAGUCUCAUGUGCAACAUGUGAAUGAAAUAGUACUUGAAAUAAUAGAGACUUUGUUUUAUGACUCUUAUAUUUACAUUUCUUUGCAAGGAACCAUACUUAAUUGUACCUAAUAGAAGAGAUAUCUUUUCACUAUAUAGUCUUAGUAUAAAAAGAUACCUCUUCUAUAAGGCACAAUUAACGGGACAUGUCUUUAUACUAAGACAUCAUUCAUAUUUAUCACACAAUAAUAGAAACUGCAACGGUAGCUGGAAUAUUAUGAAGUCAAAAUUGAGAACGACAUUAAAUCAUGAAUUCUUUAUGUGUUUACUCUAAUGCCUGACGGUAUUUAGUUCAAUUAACACAGAUUCGAAAUCCAAAUGAUUGAAGAGUUGUAUGGGUUCAAGUUCAGUAUUUAAUUACUAUAUAAUUAUACAUAAAUGUGGAUUUUGCAAUCUUGAACCCAUUUAAUUACUAAAAAAGGAUGACGAAUAGAAUUGGUGGAAAUUGACCACAAUCAUCUCUCUCUCUCGGCUUGCUCAAAUUUGGCCGAUCUGUGCGCUUGCUUAAGCUUGGCCGAUCUAUGCUUGCUCGAUUACUCUUCCUAUAUUCAGUCAGAGUCAACUGUUUGACAAGAGUCGAAGUCCAAGGUUCUUUUUUACAGGAUUUGAGCUACUUCUUUUAUUCUUCUUGCAUGUUCACUGAUAGCGGGUGGAAUUUGAGAUGUUCACUGAAGCUUUGAUGUGGUGUUCUGAUAGCGGGUGGAAUUUGAGAUUCUCCUUUCUUCUCUAUAUGAAGGUGCUUGUCAUGUGUCAAGAAAAAUAAAAUUAUUUACAAAAGAUUAUUUUAAGGAGAUUUAUUAUUAUUCGUGGAUCAGGAAGCUCAAAAAGUUUUCUUAUGUAGAACAUAAAAUGAUUUAAAUUUUGCCAUGGUAUAUCCUUUUCUUUGAUUGUGUUGUGGUUUUCCAGUUCUUGGAGAUGCAGAAGAAGUUUAUUUUGUUUUAUGGUAUCUUAUUUAUUUAUUGUUUUCACGAGGAAAUAGCUGUGCUUUUGGAAAUUAAUAUGCUGUGUUGUAAAUGUUGUGUGAAAUCCUUUUAUUGGUGUCUAUGUAAAGUGUUUCAGAUUUCAGACCUGAGAGUUAAUCUUCGCGUACCAGUUGGCUUUUGGGUUUAGUAUUGCUGCUUUUAACAUAAUUGACCUAUGGCCCAAAUCAUUUCUUAGGGCGAAGCAUAUGAAUGAUACAUAUUAUCUUUUUUUGGCCUUAUGUAUUGUUAUUUGCAGUGUGAUUUGGUCUAGCUUAAGAGCUUAAGCUUGCAAGUUGGAUUUGUCUAACAGGGAACAAUUUAAUUUGUUCAUCAUGAUGUUUAUAUCCAUUUUGUACUACUAUCAAUUUCAAUCAUGCCUAAUUUUUAUAUGUAUUUCUUGUGGACUCUCAGGUUCAGUGCACAAGAGGAUGAAGACGAUGGACACCCAAAUUUGAUGUGGAGAAUAAGUAUUGCAAAUGGUCCUUGAUUUACUUCUCCAAUUGACUUGAAUUGGUUUGACGCAAUUUAUAGUGUAUUUUUGUCAUCUUUGUAUGACUGGCAGGUCGUCCUGAUUUGGUACAUGACUGGACUCAGGAAUUGGACUCAUAUUUUUCAAACCAGAAUGCCAACAAUCAAGCAUUUUCUUUUGAAAGCACUGGCGUCUUCUUCAAUGCCAAAAAGGUUAGAGAUUUUUUGUAUCCUGUUUUGUAUUUGAUCAGUUUAGCAUGUGGGUGGCAAUCAAGAAAAGUUAUUCUAACAUUUUUGUGUUCCCGAAAAACUGCUGAUGAUGUGUAGUGCAGGAAAUGAAUUGUUUGUGACUUCUUUUUAUUCGUAUUCUUUCUUUUUUCUUUUCUCCCCAACAGGAUUAUGUAUUUCUGAAGAGCUUCUUGAAGUUGAUUACCUUGUAAGCCACUUUCUGUACUCUAUGCUCAGGAUGUGAUUUUGCCAAGCAUUAAAAUGGUUUAGGUCAGAACCAUCAUCUAAAGUUUACUUAAUGCAGCCGAGAAGCUGUAGUAGAGCAAUGAAGGCUGUUGGUGUUAUGAAGGCCAGCUGUGAAGAAAUAUUUGAACUUGUAAUGAGCAUGGAUGGGACACGAUACGAGUAUGCUUCUUUUCUAUUUUUUAAUUUUAGUUAUUUUAACAUAAUCAAGACUAUAUUGGCUGUCUCUGUAAGCUGAGUAUUAUAUUUCCUCUUGUAUGCUGUGAAAUUCACAUUGUCUCCAGUCCCGAUUCUGUAUGUGCCUUUUUGAAUAUAUUUAAUUAAUCUGCAUGGUGCUUUCUAAAGAUUAUUACAAACUUUUGUUGCUUAAGUAUAUGAAGAAUGUGGAAAUGAAAAUAGCUUUUGAAGUUUGAUGGAUUGCUUCAUUAAUAAAGAAAGACUGGGACUCAUUUUUAUAACUUUUCUCCACUUAGCUAAUGGUAUUUGAUGAAGACAAAAUAGAUGUAGCUAUCUGUAUUUUUUGUUGCUGAACUAUAGAUCAAUUGACGGUUGAAGUUAGUUAUAUUAAUUUGUUGUACUAGAAUUAAAGCUUGUAUCUUAGCCAUUUCAUGAAGUGUCAAAGACGUUCAUGUUUUUUAAAAAAAACAUGUUACACUUUUGAAGUCACUAUUACAUAAAAGAGUGUUCUAAAACAGGAGAAGGCGUGCUGCCUGAAAUUACCUGUUUCCGAUUUUAACAAGUCUCUUGGCAAGGUUUGCUAGUAAUGUGUUCAAAUUAUUCUAUUUAAUUUUACUGUCUGUACCCUAAUAAUUCUUGGUUUGCACCAUUGCAUUGUUCCAUAAUCUCUGUGCGUUGGCUUAUAAAGGCCAGCAAGGCUGAUCAUUUGUCAAAUAGUUAUUUCCAUGAAAUUCCUAUCAAUUUGACUCAGUAUUUAGAGGUCUUGAAGAGGGCAGUGUACUAGACGUGGAUUUCUUCCUCUUUUGGUUGUACAAUUGUUGUAUUUCUUGGCCAUCAGAUCUUUUUUAUGUAUCUUUCUCAAAGUUCAUGCCGCACGUACACCGUUUUUCAUGUUUUGUGCAGGUGGGAUUGUAGUCUUUUGUAUCGCAGCUUAGUUGAAGAGGUAGAUGGUCAUACGGCUAUUCUCUAUCAUAGGCUUCAGCUGGACUGGUUUCCAAUGUAAUAGUCUCUUGAUUCAAUCAUCUCAUUUAUGCUUUGGUCAGAAUAGAACAUUUAUUGUUUUCUUCUUUCCCCUUUCAUGUCUUCUGAUAUAAUAUGUGAGGAAAUUACCUAAAAUUUCUGUAUCCCAAUGUAAUUGUUGGAAUUCAGAAAUAAAAUAAAUACACCGUCUUGUUUUUCCCUCGGUUCAGUCCUAAGUUCUCUUUGGGCCUUCUGCAAGUUUUUAAACAUACUGUGACAGUAAAAAAUCUAGUGAUUGAGAUCAUUUUGAUGAAUUUAAUUUUAAUUCUUAGCUGAUACUUUUUCUGGAAUUUUUUUUCUUAUGUUUCCUCAAUAUGACUUAAAUAUAGGGCUUAGUUUGGUUUAGAAGUUCGUCUAAAACCUUCUCCUUGAUUCCAAAAAAAUUCUCUAGAAAGGUCUCAGAUGGAUUUUAGGGGAGUUCUGUGGCAAAUUUGAAAAGUUCAGGGGAAGGGUCUAAUGAAUUUUAAAACCACAUGGGUUAUCUGUUUUAUUCAGAGGAUAGUGGAAUUCCCUGAAAUUUAUCAUUUUUAUUUAAAUAAUCUUCCUACUUUCCUCUGCGGAAUUUAUUUACAUUUAUGAAUUCAUUUGGUUGCAGGUUUGUUUGGCCCCGCGGCCUUUGUUAAGUACGUUAUUGGCGUUGAAAUGACGCUGCGAGUUAUGGUAAGGUUCUUGCUUCCCCACUUCUUGAAAUUAAAUCUAUCUUUUCUGGCACUAGAAGUUUCCAUAAGCUGUGUUUUGUUAUCGCGCAGUUGUGUUAUUUCAUUCUAGGGAGCAUGAGAACUGUGGUCCACAGCCAGGAUAUGUACGAGCUCACGUGGAGAGUUAGUUUUCUGUCCUUUACUUUGGUUGAUGUAGAGAAUUAACAAGUGACUAAGUCAUGCCAAGUUGCACCACUUGCUUCCUGUAUUCUGAUUUCUCAGGUGGUGGAUUCAACAUUUCCCCACUCAAACCUCAAAAUGGUAGGCCCAGAACACAAGUACAGCAUCUUAUGCAGAUUGAUCUAAAAGGGUGGGGUGUUGGUUAUGUGUCAAUGUUUAGCAACACUGUCUUCUUCAGAUGUUAAAUAGCAUUGCUGGUAAGUUUCUUGCUUUCACAUUUUAUUUUGCGCUGUUAUGGGUUAAUAUGUUUCUGUUGGGUGGCCAUUUUAAGUCAUAUUUUUACGUGUUACUGUAUUUUCUUCAGUCCUUUUAUAGGGAACACACACAUACACGUAUGUAGAGUCACCUUUUAAUGAGGGAUCUACCAUUUUAAUAAAAUGAGGAAUGAGCUAAAAGAUAAAAAUUCACGAACUCCAAUGCAAUAUGUGUGUGUGCGUGUGCACACCUUUUCUAACUCUUGUUCUUAGUUAGAUAUUUUUCGGGAUUUCAGGCAAAUGAAAAAAGAGAUUAAGAGAAAGAGAAUAGGUGGAUGAUAACUUAAAUAUUCAUUUUUAUAUAUUUUGUUAAUGUCCUCUUUAAUGGAUUUCUAUGGAAUUAAUCUUUUUUUUUCAAUUAGUUGCAGCCCUAGAGGAAAAGUAGGGUGAUCAAAUUGAUUUAUCUCAUUUUUUUUUAGCAAUUUGCGACAUAAUGACCGUGAUAAUGCUUGUGACUGCUGGAAACUUUCUGAUGGAAAUAACUUCAGAGUUCGUAGCAAGCAUUUUUGUUAUGACAAAACAAAGGUUCCCGCGAAUUUUGGUUGUUGUUAGGCCACAAGUGCGUUUCACAUAUGCAAGGCGCAAGGGUAAUUCCGGAAAUACCAAUCGUGGCUGACGUGUCAUCAAGUAGUAUAGAGAGAAGAGUUUGUUAUGCAUUUCUGUUAGUGAUAAGUUGAUGGUAUUCUGUUUUGAUAAUUUGUUAGAGUUUUCUAUUAUUCUAUUUGGGCGUAAAAGUGAGGAGGUUAUAUGGAGAGGAGCUGUUUUUUGGGAAGGGGAUCUAGAGAAUUAUUUUGUAGUGAGCUUGCUCAUUUUGGGAGAGAUACCAAGCCUCUCGAAUGCUUGGGUGUUUUGGUUUAUUUCUGCAGAUAAAUACCAGUUUUCCUACUUCCAACAACAUUCUGUUCUCUACUGUGUUGUUUAUCUAACCAUUUCAGUUCAGGGCUUAUCAAAUUGGUAUCAGAGUAGUCACGUACCUAGAAAAUGACUGGCAAAAAUGUUGCUCAACGAAUGGAUUCCAUAGAGGAGGCGAUGGGUGCUGCGUAGGAGGAGUUUCAACGGGAAAUGAGAUCGUUGAAGGAUGAAAUAUAGAUGAUGAACAAACGAUUCGAACAGUUCAUCAAACUUCAAGAGGAUACGGGAGGUUCGUAUUCGAAUAAAAGGGAAAAGAUGCUCAGCCCCAACUUCGGCGGGUUGAGCUCAAGCGGAACUAGCCAUGAUUUCCGAUUCCGGAAACUUGAGAUGCCACUGUUCGAUGGCUCAAAUCUGGAUGGCUGGAUCUGAAGGCUGAACGAUAUUUUUCCGUAAAUCGGUUAUCCAAUGAAGAAAAACUUGAGGCAGCGAUAAUAGCUUUCGAGGGAGAUGCCCUGUUGUGGUAUCAAUGGGAGAAUAGGAAGAGAUCCAUGAUGGUUUGGGAAGAGAUGAGGCUACUAAUCUUGAAACAAUUCCGAGUAAUCCAAGCCGAUUCUCUCCAUGAACAAUGGCUAGCCCUUACUCAAGAUAGCAGUGUGCGAGAAUACCGCCGGAAAUUCAUCGAACUUUCGGCGCCGUUGGAGAACAUUACAGACGAACUAGCUCUGGGAAAUUUUAUCAAUGGGUUGAAGCCUGAAAUUCGGGUCGAGGUUCGGAUCAUGGAACCCAGUAAUUUGGGCCGGGCCAUGGACUUAGCCCAAAAGAUUGAGGAGAAACUGUGGGUGACCAAGGCCCACAAAGCAGACGGUGGGUUUCAUCGAGCAGGAGGGUCAACGCGAGGUGUGAACUUCCAUUCUGAAGCUUCGCAAUCUUCGUUUGGGGCAAAUCAUAACACGGCCCGAUUUUCGGGAGAGGUUAGGAGGUUGUCCGAUUCAGAAUUACAGAAGAAAGAGAGAAGGGACUAUGUUAUCGAUGUGAUGAAAAGUGGGCACCUGGGCAUCGCUGCAAGAAGAAAGAAUUGACUGUCCUUCUCACCUACGACAUGGACGAAGCAGAGCAGGAAGAGGAAGAAGGUUCGGGUGAAGGCGAUCCCGAACUGGAAACGGCCGAAAUUAAUCAAGGGAUAGAGGUCUCUCUUAACUCGGUGGUUGGUCUGACUACACCAAAGACGAUGAAGCUUAAGGCGUCUAUCGGGGAGCAAGAGGUGGUGGUACUGAUUGAUUCAGGUGCAACCCACAAUUUUAUUUCUCUAGAUUUGGUUAGUAAGAUGCAGAUACCCAUUGUUAAAACUGAGGCUUAUGGGGUGACUAUGGGUACUGGAGCGGCUGUAAGGGGAUAAGGUUUAUGUCGGGGAGUGACUAUUCAUCUACAGGGAAUAGAUAUUGUAGAGGAAUUCUUGCUGCUUGGGUUGGGGAGCUCGGAUGCUAUAUUAGGAGUUCAGUGGCUUGAAACUUUGGGGAUGACACACACAAAUUGGAAGACACAAGUGAUGAAGUUCAUGCUCGGAAAUGAAUCUGUUACUCUACGAGGGGAUCCUUCCCUUGGCAAGACUUUGGUUUCAUUGAAGGCAAUGAUGCGCACCAUUAAGCACGAGGGAGCUGGAAUUCUGGUGGAAUGUAAUCAAUUUGAAGGUCUGUGCGAAGUGAGCCCUGAGGUGCCACCGAAUCUAAACCAAGUCCUAGCAGAAUAUGAAUUGGUUUUUAACAUGCCCAUGGGCUUACCACCUACUAGGGGACAUGAGCAUUCCACUUUGCUCAAAGACGGCAGUCAACCUGUUAGUGUCCGACCAUACCGCUAUCCUCAUGCCCAGAAGGAUGAGAUUGAAAGACUGAUUCAGGAGAUGUUAGAUGCGGGAAUAAUCCAAGUCAGCAAUAGUCCAUUCUCGAGCCCAGUUUUGUUGGUUAAAAAGAAAGACAGAUCAUGGCGUUUUUGUGUGGAUUACAGGGCUCUCAACAAAACGACGGUACCAGAUAAGUAUCUCAUCCCUGUCAUUGAUGAACUCCUAGAUGAGUUACAUGGUGCCAGAAUUUUUUUCCAAGCUAGAUUUAAAUUUGGGCUACCAUCAAAUCAGAGUCAGUAGUCAGGAUGUUCAUAAGACUGCUUUUCGAACGCAUGAUGGACACUACAAGUUUCUCGUCAUGCCUUUUGGACUAACGAAUGCCCCGUCGACUUUCCAAUCCUUGAUGAAUGAUGUCUUCUGGCCUUAUCUUCGGAAGUUUGUUCUAGUGUUCUUUGAUGACAUUCUAAUUUACAGCCCUUCAGUGGAAUCCCAUCAGCAGCACUUGGCUCUCGUCUUGGGAAUAUUGCAGGCCAACAGCCUUUAUGCCAACCGAAAAAAAUGCGAGUUUGGAAGAACUCAAGUGGCAUAUUUAGGCCAUAUCAUCUCUGGACAAGGGGUGGCAGCGGAUCCAAGUAAAAUCCAAGCCAUUAACUUGUGGCCAACGCCCACUAAUCUGAAAGCGUUAAGGGGAUUUCUGGGAUUGACGGGGUAUUAUAGAAAGUUUGUGGCUGGGUAUGCUAGAAUCGCAUCGCCAUUGACUGAUCAGCUCAAGAAAGAUAGGUUUGGGUGGAGUCCAGAAGCUGCAGCGGCAUUUGAAGAACUCAAACAAGCUAUGUCUUCAGUCCCUGUGUUGGCAAUGCCUGAUUUCACAAAGCCAUUUAUUGUUGAGAAUGAUGCAUCUGGUUUUGGGUUAGGAGUUGUUCUACUACAGGGGCAACAACCAGUAGCUUACUACAGCCAAGUUUUGGGGCCCCGGGCUCGUCUUAAGUCCAUAUAUGAGAAAGAACUAAUGGCCAUAGUGUUUGCAAUCCUGAAAUGGCGGUCGUACUUGCUGGGAAGGCGAUUUAUUGUGCGAACAGACCAACAGAGCUUAAAAUUUCUUUUGAAGCAGAGGAUUGUUGGAGUUGAAUAUCAAAAAUGGAUCACCAAAAUCAUGGGAUAUGAUUUUGAUAUUCAAUAUCGUAUUGGGGCUGUUAACAUAUAUGUUUCCAUAAUAUUGAUUUUGAUGAUAACAAAAAAGAUUAAAAAUGAUUAAUCUUUUAAGCUCAAAUUAUUUUUUAUACAUUUUAAAUAAAUCAUUAUUUUUAUAUUAUAAAGGUUUUAUAUUUAAUGGAAAAAUGAUUUUAUGAAAUUGGUUGUUUUUCAAGUUUAUGAUUUAAUUGAAAGAGUUUUUGAAAACUUUGAAAUCAACAAGUAUUGCUUGAAAUUUUAGAGAAUGACUUAUUUUAAAAGUGUCAUAGCAUUUUGGGCUAUAUCAUAAUUUCAGAAAGUUUUGGGAUUAACAAAGCAUUACUUAGAAAUUCUGAAAUUGGACCUAUUUGUAAACUUUCAUAACAUUUUGGGCCAUACUGUAGUUUUAUAAAGUUUUGGGGUCAAACUAUAAUUUUAAAAAAUAGUGCACUGUGCAGGUUACUGUACCAAUCACUGUAGCAAAUGGCUAACCGUUUAUUUAAAAACGGCUAACCGAUAAUUUCCAGAAAGCAUGUUCUGCAAAGUAUUGUUAAAAUGAUGAUUCUGGAAACUAACGGUGAACCGUUUACUGAAAACGGUUAACCGAUUAUUUCCAGAUUGUUAACCUUGAACCGUUUAGUAAGAACGGUUAAACCAAAUUUGUUUUGCAGGUCUCUGGAAAUUAACGGCGAAAGGGUAAGCCUAAACGGCUAAUCGUUUAUUUAAAAAUUGGCCCAACGGUAACUUUGACCGGCCUAAACGGUUAACCGUUAAUGGUUAACGGCGAACCGUUUUCGAGCAAACAGUCUAUAACGGCUAGUUUUUCAGCUCCAACUAUAAAUAAGCUCAAUCCAAUUCAAACAAGAAGAAUUCCAACGAUCAUCAUUGAGCAAAAUAUUGAGAAUAUAACUUUCAUUGAGCUUUAAAUCCUUGUAUUCAUCUCAUUCAUUCACACAUUGAGCUUUCACUUGUGAUUAAACACAUUGUGUGAGAGAGAUUUAUUUGUAAUCCUUUUUGUAAAAUCAAGUUAAAAGAUUGUAAGUGUUGGGAUACACUUGGGUUAAGAGAUUGGGGAUAAUCUCUUGUUGUAAAGGUCCAUUGACACCUUGGAAGUCAAUUGUAAGCGUUUGAAGCCUUGGGAGGCUAGCUUAGUGAAAUCCUCAAGCUCGGUGAGCUUGGAGGCAUGGACGUAGGCGGGGAUUGCCGAACCACGUAAAAAUCAUUGUGUUUGUUUUCUCUUCCCUUACUCUUUUAUAUUGUGAUUGAUUUAUUUGUUAUUGCUUUAAAUUAGUUUUGGAUUUGCAUUGAGUUUUGUUUUAGAAUUGAAUAAUUUUUAAUAUCCCAAUUCACCCCCCUCUUGGGUUGCCUAGUUAGUAUUUCAUUUGGUAUCAGAGCGAGGUGUUCUUGUGUAGACUUAACCGUCUAGAGUUAAAGAUCCAUGGCAACCUAUAGUGACUCAACCUUUAGGGAAGGACAAUCCACAAUUAGACCACCGUUCUUCGACGGUAAUGACUACCCAUAUUGGAAAACUAGGAUGAGAAUUUAUUUACAAGCUUUAGAUUAUGAAAUUUGGGAAAUUGUUUGUGAUGGUCCAUUUAUGCCUUUGACUAAAAACGAAGUUGGGGAAGAUAUUCCAAAACCUUCACGGGAAUGGAAUGAAUUGGAAAAGAGAAAAGCUUCUCUAAAUUCCAAAGCCAUGAAUGCCUUGUUUUGUGCACUUGAUAAGAAAGAGUUUCAUAGAGUGUCUAGUUGUGAAAGUGCUAAUGAAAUUUGGCACAAACUUGAAGUUGUUUAUGAAGGCACGAAUCAAGUGAAAGAGUCUAAAAUUAGUAGGUACACUCGGCAAUAUGAAUUGUUCCAAAUGGAACAAAAUGAGAGUGUGUAUUCUAUGAAUACUAGAUUUACGGACAUAGUGAACACUCUAGGAGCCCUAGGAAAGACCUUUUCAAAUAGCGAGAAAGUUAAGAAAAUCAUUAGGUCGUUACCUAAGAAAUGGAGACCAAAAAGGACUGUCAUUGAGGAAGCUCAAGAUUUGAAUAUCUUACCUAUUGAUGAUUUAAUUGGUUCUCUUAUUUCUUAUGAGGAAGACAUGGCAGCCGAAAGAGGCAAUGAGGAGAAGAAGAAAAGCAUUGCUCUCAAAGCCUCGAAACAUGAGAGUGAUGAGGAAAGCGAGCUGGAUGAGGAGGAGAUGGAUAUGCUGGCUAGGAGGUUCAGAAAACUUUUUAAGAAAUCCGAUGAGCGAAGAAAAUUUAGAGACCUCAAGAACCGAAAGGAGAAGAAGGAAGUAAUCAAAUGUUAUGAGUGCAAGAAGCCUAGCCAUAUAAGAACGGAAUGCCCUCUUCUCAACAAGCUGAAGAAGAAAGCAAUGAUAGCCACAUGGGAUGAUAGCGAUGAGGAAACAAGUGAUGAUGAAGAGCAUCAAGAAAUGACAAAUCUAGCUCUCAUGGCAAUUGGAGAUGAAUCGAAUGAUGAACUUGAUGAGGUAAAUGAUCUUUUUACUUAUGAUGAAUUAUAUGAUGCUUUUAAAGAAUUACAUGAUAAUUGGAUAAAAAUUGGUAAAAAGAAUGCAUGUCUUAAAAAGAAAAUGGUAGAGCUCAAAAAUGAAAAUGAAUCUCUAUGUGCAAAGAUUACAUGCCUAGAAUUAGAGAAUAAAACAUUGCAUGAUAGAGUUGCAUUAUCAAAUGAGAAACCUAGUACUUCACAUGAGCAUCUAGAAUAUCACAUAGAUGACUUGAAAAAUGAAAAUGAAAUGCUUAAGAAGAAGAGCAAUGAGUUAAAUGAGAUUGUUUUAAGAUUUACAAAUGGACAAAAGAUGUUGGAUAACUUGAUUAAUUCACAAAAAAUGUGUGUUUGAUAAAGGAGGACUUGGUUAUAAGCCACAUUUGAAACAAAAGUAUUAUAGGAACUACUUUGUGAAGAGUACAUCUACUAACAAUCAAGUUGUAUGUCAUUAUUGUAAUCAAAACGAUCACAUGAAGCUUGGUUGUCCUAUUAAAAGAAAAGUAUAUUAUGGAGUAAAAUGUGUUUUGGUUCCAAAAGGAAAAAUUGCUAACACUCAAGGACCCAAGAGUAUUUGGGUACCAAAGGGCACAACGUGAAUGUUUUCUUUGUAGGUACCACAAUCAAGGAAUGGUGGAGAGUUCCUUGAUGAAAGCUUGUGAGGAUAAUCACUUGAGUAUGAUCUAGGAGAAAAAGAUGAGGCAAGAUGAUUUAAUUGUUUUGGUAACAAUUUUUGCCAUAUUAAUUUUGUUGAAUGAAUCAUGAUAAAUGAAUUUGCGAAAAUAUGCUUGUAUGUUUACAUGAUGGAAUUAUCAUUGUGUAUAACAUUGAGUGAUUUAUCAUGAUGCCUUUGUUUGAUUUUGAUGAUUGUAUGGUCUUUGAUUUCAUCUUCUUAAUUGUCUAUCAUCAUUGUCCAUCUCUUAUAAAUGUGUGAAUUCAUAUGCCAUUAAUUGUGUUAUAUCAUCAUUCAUGUAUAAAAUUGAACUUAGAAAUUAUGAGGAAAAAGUAGUAUCCUUCAUCUUUACAAUCAGUACAAGGAUCCCUUUUAAAUAGAGCAAUUAUAACAGAAAAGGAAACUAAUUAAGAGCUAAUAUUUGACAGCUAUCAUCUAUAUUUACAGAGGAAAGGAUCCUACAAUAUCUCUAGGAUUAAGGCUAAAUUCAAGGCCUAAUUUCCAACACUCCCCCUCAAGCUGGUUUGAAGAUAUCUUCCAUAGCCAGCUUGCUAGUCAACUUAUCAAAUUGCUUCUUGUGCAAUCCCUUUGUUAAUACAUCAGCUAACUGUUCAGUUGUUGGAAGAUAUGUCAUACAUAUUAUUCCAGUGUUGAGUUUCUCCUUGAUGAAGUGUUUAUCCACUUCUAUAUGUUUUGUUCGAUCAUGAAGAACUGGAUUAUGAGCUAUAGAAAUAGCAACUUUGUUGUCACAAUAGACUUUCAAAGGAGUUGAGAAAGUAAAUUUCAGUUCUUCAAGAAUUCUUUUUAUCCACAUAACCUCGCAGAUUCCAUGGGCAACAACUCUGAAUUCUGCUUCUGCACUACUUCUAGCAACCACAUUCUGUUUUUUACUCCGCCAUGUAACUAGGUUCCCACCAACAAAGGAACAGUAGCCAGAUGUUGAUCUCCUGUCAGUGACACUUCUUGCCCAGUCUGCAUCUGUGUAGACUUCAACUUGAAGAUGUCCAUGUUUUUUGAACAUUAGGCCCCUCCCUGGAGUUCCUUUUAGGUAUCUUAAGAUCCUGUAGACUGCCUCAAAAUGCUCUGCCCCUGGUGAGUGCAUAAACUGACUUACCAUGCUGACUGCAAAGGCGAUAUCAGGUCGCGUAUGAGACAAGUAGAUCAACUUCCCUAUGAGUUUUUGAUACUGUUCCCUAUCCUUUACUUCUUCAACCUUAGCAGGUUGUAACUUCAAGUUAGGAUCAAUUGGGGUCUCUACCAUCUUACAACCAAGCAAACCUGUUUCUCCAAGGAGAUCAAGAACAUAUUUCCUCUGAUUCACAAAUAUACCUUCCUUGGAUCUUGCAAAUUCCAUUCCAAGGAAAUACUUAAGGACUCCCAAAUCCUUAAUUUGAAACUUCUUUGCAAGUCUCUUCUUGAGGGCUGCUAAUUCUGUUUCAUCAUCACCAGUUAAAAUGAUAUCAUCAACGUAAACAAUCAAAAUUGCAAUUUUACCGUCUUUUGAGUGUUUAUAAAAUAUUGUGUGAUCUCCUUGACUCUGCAAGAAGCCAUAACUGAUAACUGCCUUUCCAAAGCGUUCAAACCAUGCUCUUGGUGACUGUUUGAGACCAUAUAAUGACUUUCUUAAUCUGCAGACUUUAUCACUACCAAGACUCUUCUCAAAUCCUGGUGGUAGACUCAUGAACACCUCCUCUUUAAGAUCACCAUUGAGAAAUGUAUUUUUAACGUCAAGUUGGUGUAAAGGCCAAUCACAAUUCACUGCAAGAGAUAACAAAAUUAUGAUAGAAUUUAUUUUAGCAACAGGAGUAAAAGUCUCAUGAUAGUAAAUCCCAUAAGUCUGAGUGAAGCCUUUAGCCACCAGCCUCGCCUUGUACCUCUCAACGCUUCCAUACGCGUUACAUUUUAUCCUAAACACCCACUUACACCCAACUAUUUUCUUGUCUCUGGGUGGAUCAACUAUCUCCCAAGUACCACUUCUCCUCAAGGCAUUCAUCUCCUCCAUGACUGCUAAUUUCCAAUUCGGGUCAUCCAGUGCUUCCUGUACAUUUCUUGGAACAAACAAGUGUGAAAUCCUAGAUGUGAAAGCUUUAUGGUUUUUUGACAGUCUUUGAUAGGAAAGAUAAUUUGCAAUAGGAUGUUUGGUGCAGUUUCGAACACCUUUCCUAAUAGCUAUAGGGACAUCAAGAUCAGAAAUAAUUGGUGAAUUAUUGGAAACAAUCGAAGGAAUCAAAGCUGGAGUUGGGAUUUGAUUACCUGAAAUUUCAGUGCCGGAACUCAGUUUUUCAAAUUGGGCUUGUGUAGGAUUGACAUUCAAGUCUUUACUUCUCAGAUGAAAUCUCUUCCUAGUAUAAACCUGAAGUUCAGAAUUUAGAUCAUGUUGAUCUGUUUGUAGUACUUCUCCCCCUGAACGAGAAUCCCUUGUACUAGGCUCUAAAGAACUUGUUUUUCUCAACUGAUCAUUAUCAGAAAAGUGUGGUCCUUGAAUAGGACAAAUAACAUUUGGAAGUGGGAUAGAAAUGUCCCAAAAAUUGUCUUCUACUCCAUUUGUCUCCCCCUGAAGAGAAUUUUUUAUGAAAUAAGGAGUUUUUUCCAAAAACGACACAUCCAUACUCACAUGAAAUGUUUUUGUUUGAGGGUCAAAACACUUAUACCCCUUUUUGUUCGAUGAAUAACCCAAAAAUACACACUUUAUAGCACGUGGGUCAAGUUUUGAACGAAAUUGACUUGGAACAUGAACAUAGACAGUACACCCAAAAACUUUGACGGGUAAAUCAGAAAACAACCUUGUUGCAGGAAAAAAUUCUUUAAGGCAAUCAAGAGGUGUUUUGUAUUUUAACACCUUGGUAGGCAUCCUGUUUAUUAAAUAAGCUGCUGUUAAAACCGCUUCACCCCAUAAAUACUUAGGAAUAUGCAUGUAAAACAUUAUGGCACGUGCUACCUCAAGUAAAUGUUUAUUUUUCCGUUCUGCAAUGCCAUUUUGUUGAGGGGUAUUCCGACAUGUAGAUUGAUGAAAAAUGCCUUUAUCAUUCAAAUACUCACCCAAGUGCUCAUUGAAAUAUUCUGUUCCAUUGUCAGAAUGUAAAAUACCAAUUCUAGUUUGAAAUUGAUUUUCAAUCAUAGUGUAAAAAUUUUCAAAUAAAUAUUUUACGUCAGAUUUUUUAUGCAUGAGAUAAAUCCAACAUAAACGAGUAUGGUCAUCAAUAAAAGUAACAAACCAUUUUUUACCGGAAAGGGUAGUGACCUGAGAAGGACCCCAAACAUCACUAUGAAUCAAAUAAAAAGGUUUGGAGGCCUGGUACUGUUUUGGCAAAUAAGUAGAACGAUGAAGUUUUGCAAAAGUGCAACAUUCACAAUAAAAAGAAGAGCAAUCAAUCCCUUUAAAUAAUUCUGGAAAUAAGUAUUUCAAAUAAAGAAAACUAGGAUGUCCUAGUCUAUAGUGCCAUAGCAUUAUUUUUUCUCGAACAGAAAUUGAACUAGUACUAAUAAAGUUCUGAGCUUUUUUAUUACUAAUAGGUACUUCAUCAAAGUAGUAAAGACCUUCAAUCAUCCUAGCACGUCCAAUCAUCAUCCCCGAGUUCUGGUCCUGAAAUUCACAAUGUGAUUCAAAUAAGGUAAUACGACAAUUAGAAUCUCUAGAUAAUUUACUAACAGACAAAAGACUGCAGGCUAAUUUAGGGACAUGAAGAACAAAAUUGAGAUUAAUUUUCUCGGUCAGUUUGAUAAGUCCUUCUCCUGCAAUAGGUGAAAAACUACCAUCGGCAAUUCUAAUUUUUUUAUUUCCAGAACAAGGAGAAUAGGUAUUAAAUAAAUGAAAAGAACUAGUCAUGUGAUCAGAGGCUCCAGAAUCUAUGAUCCAUGGAGAAGAGUUUAAACAAGAAAGGGCUAUAGGAUUUCUACCUGUUUUUGCCAAAGAAACACUAGGAAUACCAGACGAGAAGUUGGAUUUUAUCAGCUUCAGGAGUUGAUCAAUCUGCUCUUUGUUAAAGUGGCCUGAGUUGGCUUCAUUGGCCGAAGGAAUCCCACGAUUCUUCUCUCCUUGCUUGCUGCUUUUCCAGUUUUCAGGUUUGCCAUGAAGCUUCCAACACUUCUCACGUGUAUGGCGAGGCUUGUGGCAAUGAUCGCACCAGGCCUGUGACUUAUCAUCAGACCUGCGCUGAUAAUUUGCAGUCUUGUAGGCUGCUGCAUCAGUAAUUAAGGCAGAAUUCUCAAUUGACUCACCGGCACUCCUUUUCCUGAGCAUUACGCUCCUUCGACUUUCUUCUCUUCUGACUUCAGCAAAGACUUCGCCAAUGGGUGGUAGAGGAGGUCUGCCAAUAAUCCUCCCUCGUACUUCAUCAAACUCAACAUUGAGGCCGGCAAGAAACUUGUAAAUACGACUGUCUUCCACGGUUUUCUUGUGGUGGUUGCAGUCAUCAGCGGAUUUCCAUUCAUAUGUGUUGAAGAGGUCAAGAUCUUGCCACAACCUUUUCAAAGAAUUGAAAUAUUUGGUGACAGAAUCAUCACCUUGACGAAUCUCUCCCAACCUUAAAGUUAACUCAAAAACCUGAGAUUGGUUGCCCAGGUCAGAAUACAUCUGACUAACGUUGUCCCACAAUUCUUUAGCAGUAGGAUAGCACAUAUAAUUGGAGCUUAUAUCCUCCUCCAUGGAGUUGACCAGCCAUGUCAUAACCAUGGAAUUUUCAGCAUCCCAAGUGGCAUACAGCGGAUCAUCAUUAGCAGGAACCUUCUUGUCACCAGUGAUGUAACCAAUUUUUCCUUGCCCACGGAUAUACAUCCGGACAGAUUGCGACCAGCGGAGGAAGUUGUCGCCAUUUAAGCGGAUGGUGGUGAUUUGAACAGAAUGAGAGUUGGAGUGGUUUCGCAGGGUCUCAGAUGUUUUUUCUGGAAUGGCAGCAGCAAGGGUUUGAGUGGUUUCAGACGUGACUUCUGACAUGGUUGCAGACACGAUUCCCUAUGCUCUGAUACCAACUUAGAAAUUAUGAGGAAAAAGUAGUAUCCUUCAUUUUUACAAUCAGUACAAGGAUCCCUUUUAAAUAGAGCAAUUAUAACAGAAAAGGAAACUAAUUAAGAGCUAAUAUUUGACAACUAUCAUCUAUAUUUACAGAGGAAAGGAUCCUACAAUAUCUCUAGGAUUAAGGCUAAAAUCAAGGCCUAAUUUCCAACAAUUGACAUUAUUGUUUGAUACGAUUUCAUAUGUUUGGUCUUGUAUACAUUUAUGCCUCAUGCAUUAAAAUGGCUUAUAAAACAUUUUUGGAUCAAUUAGUUAGUAUUUCAGGGGCAAGUAAUCGAGUAACGGAUGCACUCUCACUCUUAACAGAACCAGCAGAGUGUUCAGCUUUGGCGAUUCCUCAGUGCCAACAUUGGGAUUCCUUAAAGGUUGAGUUGGCAGAGGAUACCUUUCUGAAGAAACUAAGGGAAGACAUAACUUCGGGUACACAAUCUCACGUGGGGUUCUCAGUUGAGCAUGGAGUAUUGUUCUACAAGAGUCGGCUGGUUAUUCCUCAGACUACUAAGCUUCUUUUUGCUCUCAUAGGAGAGUUUCACACCACUCCGAUUGGGGGACAUUCGGGAGAAACAAAAACUUACCAACGCUUAGCAGCAGAAUUGUAUUGGAUAGGUAUGCGCAAGGAUGUCACCAGAUUUGUACGGGAAUGCACCAUCUGCCAGCAGAAUAAGUACUUGGCCACUACUCCCGCAGGGUUACUUCAACCUAUUCGACUACCAGCCCAGGUUUGGGAGGAAGUCACACUUGAUUUUAUUGAGAGGUUGCCUCGUUCUGAAGGGUGGGAUGCCAUCUUAGUAGUGGUGGACAGGCUGAGUAAGUAGGCUCACUUCAUAGGAUUAAAACAUCAUUUUUCUGCUGUUUCGGUUGCUGGAAUCUUUGUUCGUGAAAUUGUUAGGCUUCAUGGGAUACCACGGUCAAUUAUCUCUGACCGAGAUAGGAUAUUCUUGAGCCAUUUUUGGAGUGAAUUGUUGAAGCUGCAGGGAACUACUCUCAAAAGAAGCACCGCCUAUCAUCCACAAUCUGAUGGACAAACAGAAGUUGUCAACCGUUGUUUGGAAACGUAUCUAUGCUGCUUUGCUUCUGGAAAACCUCGAAGUUGGGCUCGCUCGUUGGCAUGGGCUGAGUAUUGGCAUAAUACUUCCUUCUACUCUUCUACACAUUGUACUCCAUUUCGUGCUCUCUAUGGAAGGGAUCCACCCCCUCUUAUUCGGUAUGAGCAAGGAGCUGCUUCGGUAUCUUUGGUAGAACAGUUAAUGGAGGAUCGUGAUGCCAUACUGGACGACCUGAGGAUGCAGUUGCUUCGUGCCCAGCAGCGGAUGAAGCUGCAAGCUGAUCAAAAGCGCCAUCAUGUAGAGUUCAAUGCAGGUGAUUUGGUAUUUCUGAAACUAAGACCUUACCGGCAGCGCUCCCUCGCUCAACGUAAGUUUGAGAAAUUAGUUGCACGUUACUACGGUCCAUUUAAGGUUCUUCAGCGUGUCGGGAAGGUGGCAUACAAACUAGAACUGCCUCAAACAGCAAAACUCCACCCUAUCUUUCAUGUUUCGCAGUUGAAAGAUAAGGUUUCAAACAACAAACUACAUACUAGUUUUCCUACUUCCAACAACAUUCUGCUCUCUACUGUGUUGUUUAUCUAACCAUUUCAGUUCAGGGCUUAUCAGUUGUUUCUUAUGGUAUUUAUAUAUCCGACAUAUUCUAGUUCGACAUGUAACGAUGUAGUUUGGUUGGUUCUUCUUGCUUUUUGUGCAAUUUGUAACUGCAGAUACGUGUGGGAAAACAUUUAAUGGAUCUUGUUGCUGUUGAUUAGUUCAAAGACAAAGAGAAUGGACCAUGUAGCUAGGCGUCAAGGCUGUGAUGCACAAGUAACUAUUCUUUUCUUUUUUAUUUUUCCUUUUCCAUUGACGGAUUAGAAGAAAAUACUGCCUGUGAGAUACUACAAUAUAAAUAACUUCUGGUGGUUCAUUGAAUCUAUAACACUCUGAGCCCUAUUCUAAAAUAUGUAGGUUGCUUCCAAAAAAGGGCUUUUCUCACUGAUCUUUAAUCUUCAAGUAAGCUUGUUUCAUUUCAGAAGGUAUUAAGUUUCAAACUUAUCGUUUUGGGAGGUUGUAUGGUUGUAACGUAAGCAUCUGCAGGUUCCUGGUUCAACAAAUUAUAGUAUGGUAUUUUAUUUUGUCACAAGGGAAUUAAUUACAGGAUCCCUUUUGCAAUGGUUUGUUGACGGCGAUGAUGAAUUUCGCAAUGAAACUUAUCCCAUCCGUUCCUAAGGUAUCCGUCUUGGUCUUCAUGUAUUAGGACUAUGUUAACUAAUACGUACCCUCCGCUGCAUAGUACACUUUAAUUUGUACAAAGAAGGCAUGCAUUUAGGUGUAAAUGUAUUAAUGGGUUGUACCUUCAAACUUCAUUUCCUUUUUCUACCGAUUUGAAUUUGUUUUGCAUUUGUUCUUGAUUUUAAGCAUUGAAUCAUGCAGGGGUCAUGGAUCGUGCGCCAGAGUGAUGGAAGCACCCCUUGUUUAUUAGGAAAAGCAGUUGAUUGUAACUAUAUCCGCGGUCCUAAGUACUUAGAAGUAAAUGCUCUUCGAAUUUCUAUAGUACAUGGGAUGUGUUCCCUUUCGAAUAGCUUGUUCAAUACCAUUAACAUGGUUUAACAUUGUUCAUCUUUCUGCAGAUUGAUGUUGGCAUGUUCUUCUACUGUUGCUAAUGGAGUUUUGGGCCUUGUAAUUGGUGUAAUUACGGCAGUGGUGGUUGACAUGGCUUUCCUUGUACAGGUAUGUAUGAUUGUUUUUUUCCUCUACUUCUAAAUGGACACAAGGGAAAAGACAUGAUUUUGAGAUAUUGUACUGCAAUUUGCAUAUUUGCAUACUUGAAUGUUCUCAGAAUGGUAUAAUGCUUCGUGUAUGCAGGCAAAUACUACAGGUGAAUUACCGGAGCGGCUGAUUGGAGCUGUACGUGUUUCUUAUAUAGAACUCAAGUCUGCUAUUGUCCCAAAGUUGGAACCAGAGACAUCAUGACUGUGUUUUCAUUUCACCUCAACUGUUUGUUUUUAAUUUAAAAAAAAUCAUUUGUUUUAGGUAUACAUACAUGUAUUUUGAUCCCGUUUUCAUUGUAAUUUCUCAUUUACUUUGAAAGAAAGUCAUUGGUGUUUUCGAAUGGGAAUUUUGCAUUAAAAAAUAAAGAAUACUUAAUAGGAAAUUUCAUGAUUCUUUAGUUACUAUUUUUGGAAUGAGUGUAAUAGUAUUAAAGUUGGUUUCUACUCGCAAACAAGUGAACUACUCGAUCCCCAACUGUGACCACGCUAAUUGUCAUUGUUUAAUAGCUACUACUUUUAAAACUCAACAACUAACAAAAAUACUAAUAAAAAAAUGAUUUUCUUAUGAUGCUGUGAAAACAUUUAUGGGUUCACUUAUUUCCACAAGAUCUAUAACAUGGUCUUGACUUCACGAAAUUCUUUUAAUUUAAAGGGUGCUGGUAUGAGAAAAUCAGUUUUACGGAUUAAUUCCUUUUAAUAAUGGUCGAGUUAAUUUUACUAUACUCAUAAAACUAUUCUUAUUCUGAUAAUGCCACAAAUGUUAUGCUGUUUUCUUCAGCUAAUGAUCUUCUAUCAGGACUAGUUAGAAAUCAAAUGCUUAAAACACCAAUUGAAUGAAUGAUGCAGAAGUUUAAACAGUAUCUAAUUGAAAAUUGCCUGAAACAUGAAACAUCAAUUCAAGUCCUUCCUUAAACAGAGAAUGCAUCAAACAAAUCCAAAGUGUCUUUCAAGUCUGUAGCAUGACUAAAAAAUUGUAAAUGCGUUCAGAACCAAAUUAUUCAAGUACAGGAGAACGAGCAAGUUGAAUCAUGUACAAGAGGUUGACCUAGUUCUAGAUAGCUUCUUCACUGUACCUGAAGGGUUGGCUCAAUCUUUUCUUUAGAAUUCUGCACAUUUUGUAAUUACUCGUGUAAGCAAGCAUACAUUACAAUCAUAAUAAUAAUAAAGCAAGAGUAAUGAUACGACCACAACCUCUUGUGCACAAAUAAUAUUGUACAAACUAACAUGACAUAAUAUGAUUGAGUAAUGAUACGACCACAAUCUUUUGUGCACAAAUAAUAUUGUACAAACUAAUAUGAUGUAAUAUGAUUGAUUAAACAAAAACAUAACAUAACCCUUAUAAUUUAUUUAUUAUUAUUUUAUAUUUUCAAUCAAGCAAUCAUAUUAUGCCACGUUAAUAGCUAUAGAAAUAAUUUGCUAGAUAGUGCCAACACUUCAUUGAUACUCACCAUUUCAUUGAACAAUUUUUUUAUGGUGUCAUUGAGGUUGCCUUCCCCACAUCCUUCAUCAUCAUCUUUUUCUUCUUCGGUGACGUUCACUUUGUUUAGCAUUGGUGUGUCUAAGACUCCUUGAGAGAAGAUCUUCAUUUUUGGACACUGUCUCACAACUACUUGUUUCAAGGACGGGAAUUCAAGAGCGUAAUUACCCAAACAAAAGCUUGUUAGGAUUGGCAAACAAUCAAGUUCCAAGUACUUUAAUUCCUUGAAAACAAUGCAAUCUUUCGUUUUUUCUCCAACCUGCGAUUGUAUGAUUUCUUCUAUCAUUUUGCAAUCAGCUAUCUUUAUUCUUUGAAGAUUCACUAGAUUUUUAGAUGCUGAGAGCGUCAACGCAUUUAUCAACCCGUGACACUUCGAUACUUGUAGUCCCCACAGAUUUUCCAAAUGCCACGAAGGUGGUACUAAUUUUUGUAACUUACUACAUUCUGAUAUUUCUAGACUUCCCAAGUUUGCAAACGCUUUGUUGGAUUCGUCAUUUUCCUUCCAGAGAUGCUGCACUUUGUGUAAUUUAGACAGCUUUAACUCCCUCAAUUUAGGGAAUGCAACCUGAAAAUCAACAAAAUUAAGUUGUAAAUUAAAAUAUGUAUCCAAUCUCUGCAGUCUUCCCCUGCAUAUUUUAUGGACAAGAUUAAUCACGACAUUUUAUAUUUUUUUUUCCAAAUUAGUAUGCUUUGCAGUAGGAUCCCAAAUAUAAGUAUCAAAUCGAUUACCCUUUGAAACACAUAAAUGAAAUCUGAUACUAAAUCCAAAUGAAUUAGCUAGGAAAACAGAGAUGCGACAAGCAUAAUUGAAAUAUAGUUCAUCACCUCAUGUUACCAGUCAUCGAAAUAAUUUAAGACAUUUUUAUAAUUCAUACUAUAAAGUUAGUUAAUAACUACGGUUAUAUUGUUAAAUCAGAUAUAAAUUAAGACGACGUGCAAAAAGAUGAGUCAUUAAAUUUGAUUUGAUUCUAAUGAAAUUAUAUCUGUGCGAAUGAAAGUGAAGGGAAAAAUAAUAAUAAUGAUUACCUUUUCAUUGAAGAGAUGUUGUAUUUGAUUAGCUACCAAGAUGUUCUCUUCUGAUUUUAAUUUUUGAGCUUCCUUAUUAUCUGCUGUCAUGUGCAGUACAGAUGUAGAAUUGGAUAUGAAUGUUUCCAUAUCAGGGCAAUUCUCAAUAGUUAGAUAUCUCAACUCAGGCAGUUCAAUUAUAUUCCCAGUGAAGUUGUAGAAUCUUUUGAGUUUUGGAAGAUCAAUGAGCCUUAGCCAGGAAAGCCUAGGAAACAGGGGGCCUAUAUGUUCUUCCUUAGCAUUUAGCUCUUCCAAAUGAAGCACCUCUUCUAGUGAAUCACAAUUCCUCACUUCUAGGUACCUUAAAUUGUUCAAGCAUCGUAGCAGAUUGGCAGGAAUAGCACUCGACAUAUUCGUGCAGUCAUCCACCACCAGCUCUCUUAAAUUGUUGAAGAAGCUGACAGGCAGUGCUUGGCCAUGCCAUAUUUCUUGCAAGCGUGGAAAAUGCGAGAGUUGCAAAUCCUUUAUAUCACGAAAUCCAAUCUGCACAAACCAAAACAAUUGCACUGGAUAUAUACAAAUUUUUUUUUAAAGGCAUUAUAUAUAUACACAUUAAACUUACAUGUUUUGUGUUUUAACUUUUAAAAAUAUAUAUACAAGGGAGGUGUAUAUGCUUAAAUGUGCAAGUGCAGGGGAGAUGCAUGAACAAUUUGGGUGAAUCGAUUAACACAUACCAUUUCUUCAUAACACUUUUGUAUAGUGGAAUUAAGGUUGCCUUCCCAAUGGUGCGGUUCACCCUCUUCCUUUUUACUCACUUGGACUUUGUAUAGCUUUGGUGUGGAUAAGAUUCCCAGAGAAAAAGUCAUCAUGUCCGGACAAAGUGUCACAAAAACUUGUUCCAGUGAUGGGAAUUCAAGAGUGUAAUUCUCCAAACAAAAGCUGGUAAGCCUUGGUAAAUCAUCAAGUAUCAAAACUUUUAAUUUGCUGAAAGCAAUACGAUUCUCCUUCACUUCUUGUCCAACAUGUCCUACGAUUUCUUCUAAUUUUGGGCAACCCGAUACUUUAAGAUUCACUAGACUACUAGGAAUUCCAACCUUAUUAUGAAAUGUCUGUGUGCAUGUGUGUGUGUAUUAAAAAAGUAAAAAUGUAAGAAUAUCAUUCAACUAGAUUCAAAGUAUGGUUAAUCAUACAAUUAUACAUUUUAUGAACAUAACAAAUUAUGAAAUGUCUACUAGAUAUUUUUUGUCAAACAAAAACGGAACAAGAUAAAUAAAUAAAUAAAAGCCACAUAAACAAAGAUAAUAAAAAUGCAUUUACACUAUUUAGUAUUAGGAACGUAGCAAGAAUUUAAGGCAAUUUCUAAAUAUUUUAGACUUAUUUUGCAUCUUGACGCCAGUUUUUAAACAAAAUUUGCAAAUUUCAACUAUUCCUUUUGGGAAAAAAAAUCAACCAAAAUGCCGCUUUUUCCCUUUUUCCUUGGUCCCUUUUUUUUAUGUAUAUUUAAUUUUGGAAACAAAAUUAAAGUGGAUCUUUAUUAAGUACUUGCAGACUCGAGGAAAUUUCUUUACAAUCAAGGAUCAGUUGUAAAUAAUCAUGAAUUUGUGGUUAAUUAAUGGCAUAAUCAGUUCGAACUAAACAAGAGAUAUUAAUUAAAUUUGAAGACUUUUCUUUUCUUUUUUUUUUCUUUUUCCAAUCAAAAUGUGAAGAAUUAAGGAAAAGAGAAAUAUAUAGAUGAAUUUGUGAACCUAUAAGAUGAGUGACUAUCCUUUAAUUUUUGAUAAUUGUACUUAUUAAGAUAUGAGCAGAAACAAUUAAAUUGAAUUAUAUUAUGCUGUUGAAUCGUGAUUAAAAAAAUUAUAUUGUUGAUUCUAAUGCUGGCAAACCUAAAAACUGGACUUAAAAUGUAGAUUUGAGAGUGGUGGUUCGAAGUACAAUACUUGAAAUAAAUAAUCAGUGGCUGAAUAUCAUUUGUAACCCAAAAAUGGUUAAAAUAUUGUUGGAUGUAAUUUGAAAAAAAAAAAAAAAGAUUCGAAAUGAAUACAACAACCUUACCAAUGGAGGAAAAAUAUUCAUUAGGUUAUCACACCUAGAUAUCUCCAAAUUCUUCAAUUUCCUGAAAGACUCCAAAGCAAGCUGGUGGUGCCAUAUUGUUCUCAGGUUAGCCAUCCACGCAAUAUCUAAUACCUCCAACCUAGGAAGUAGUACCUGGCAGUUAAAGAUUAAAUAACUAAUUAAUCGGCAUAAUCUAUUGAUAACCAAAUUAGAGGCGGAUAUUAACUAAAUUUGAAGACUCAAGGAAAAGACAAAUUAAAUAUUGUGGCUAAAAUUAAUUAAAAAAAAAACCUUUUCGUCAAAGAGAGGUGGAGAUUGCAUUUCAGAAUGAAGGGUGUCUGCUGGUGAGCUCGUAGAGAUGAAUCUUAACAUAUUAUUGCAACCAUGGAUCUCCAGGUUUAGCAAAGAAGGGAAUUCAACAACUAAAUCUGAAUGAAUCUGUCCCGUAUUGGCAAAACUUGUUAGUUCUGGAAGCCAUUCUAGCUUGAGGGAGUGUAGUUUAGGAAAAACCUUUAAUUCAAUCAACUUUCCUUCAUCUCUUUCUGACCACCCCGUGGUGUCGACUACCCCUUCCAUUGACUCACAAUAGCUUAUCUCAAGAUGUUGGAGUUUCGCAAGACUAUUAACCAUAGAAUAUGAAAACAGAUACUUCAGACAAUCACAACUCCACACGAUGACCUUUGUUAAGUUUUGACAACAGUACAUUCCUUGAUUAUGAUCGGCCCAUAAUUUUUUCAUGUUUCUUAAGUUCCUGAUAUUCAAUUCCUCUAAGCUCGGAAGAAUAAUAACCUGCAAAGAAAACCCGUACAUUUUUGUUCCUUCAAGUACAACCGUCUAGUAUAAUAUUUUUUGAUGAUCGAAGAUUAAUCGUGAAUCCGUGAUAAUAAAUUAAUCAAUUAAUUAUUGAACAGAAAAUUAUCACCUUUGGAGCAGGGUCAUCAUCAGCAAUGAUUUCGUUAAAUCCCAAAGAAGAAGUUGGUUUCUCCCUGUCGGGUCCUAUAAACAAACAAAAACAAUAUACAUAAUUAAUCUUUGUUCUUUUUUUUUUUUUGGUCCAAAAUAAUUGAAGAGAAGUCCAUAAUCCCACCAAUACUUAACUUCAACACUUACCAAAAAUCAUUUCCAGAUCAUGGCAAAACUCCACUUCUACCUUUUGAAGCCGCAGUAGGUUUUUGGCUAUGGAGAAUGAGAAAAGAUGCUUCAAUUUGUAACAGGAAUAUACUUCUAUAAUCCUUAAGUUGCUGAAAGAUUGAUCUUCUGUGAGUUGGCUGUCACAUAUUGUCUCCAAAUUGAUCAAACGACGAAGAGACAAUGACUCCAGCAAGGGGAAGACUUUGCGACGAACCCGUCCAACUGAACGGACAAUAUGCAAAAUCUCAGAACAACUUUUUACAGAAAGAUGCUUCAAUCGUGGAAAACCUUCCCCAUCAUCUAAUUCACCCUUCAGUUCUUCUAGAUAGAGAUAUUCAGUUCUCUUCAACAACAGUUUCAUCCUGUAAUUCUGCAAAAGAAUGCCAAACUUUUCUAGCCCCUGGAGCUUCAUCAAUCUUGAUAAUCCAGAUUUAACGGACCGGCUGCUCCACCACGUAUUUCCUAUACAUAUCCUAUAGCUUUGCAAUUCCACAGAGACCAAAUCCUGUGGUAGAAUUUCGGCAUCCCGAACGUGUAUCUCCAAAGUAGUUAGCUUUGACAACCCCUUCAACUCAACAAGACUGGCGUUACUUCCUCCUUCAACCUUCUCCCACUGUGAAAAGCUGUUACUCAUAUAUAGUUCUUCUAAUCGAGAUAAUUUUGAUAUGACAUUUGGAGCUAUCACCACAAGGCUGCUACAAUUGCUCAAAUCUAGCAACUGUAAUCUCGUCAAUUGUCCAAUUACAAGUGGCAACUCCUUAACAUCAGAAUCUCGAAGGCUGAGAAUCUCUAAUUUCUUUAGCUGUCCAACUAUUGCUAUAUCUUUUAGUCCGCAACCAUCUAAACAAAAUGUUUGAAGGUUAAUGAGGCGACCAAGUGAUGAAGGUAAUGAAGAGAAAGGAAUUCUAGUAAGACUUAACACUUUGAGUUCUUCUGUCCCUUCAAAAAAGAGGUCUGAAAUUUGCAUAGGGCCAUAACCCUUUCCAAACAACAAAAAUAACUGGAGAUUGGGACAUUGCAACCUUUCAGGGAGCUCUUGGAUAUCUCUAUGAGGCAAUGAAAUAGCAAUUGGUCCUUUCUGUUUCGUCUCUUCCAUCUUUUUCUCAACGUCAGCAACAUUUGGAAUAUUAAACAUGCGCUUCUCUGCGGCAAUUGAUACGGCAACAACAUGAAUGACGUCAUGCAUUUUAACUUCAUCUUCAGCAUCACCGUCCAACAAUAAGCAUGAAGAUUUGAGAUUGUCGAUCAACCGAUGCACUCUACUCCUUGCUUCUUCCAAUGUGUAAACAUUUUCAAACAAACCCCAACCCACGCCAUAUCUCAAUAAGUCAGAAACUUCUAUGGCAUCACCUUCACUGUACAGACCACAAAGACGGAACAAAGAUUUUGCCUCCGCACUUUCCAAGAAGUCAUAACUCAAUAUUAUGGAGGUGUACACAUUUGCUUGCAUGCCAUGAAUUUCUCUUGCAUCCGAUCUUCUUAGCUGAUUCAAUGCAUCUUUCCAAAAGUCAAGCUCCUUAGUUUUCAGAGCAUUUGCAACUGUACUCAGUGCAACAGGCAAACCUCCGCAUCUUUCAACGAUCUCAUUUGCCAUACUUUGAAAAGCAGAUAUUUUAGUUGAAUCACCCACUAUCUUCUCAAAUAACUGCAAUGCUUCUUCUUUUGAUAAAGCAUCGAUCCAGAAAAUUUUCUGACAAUUCAUAUCAUUGCACAAUAAAUCUCGACUUCUAGACGUCAAUAUUAUUGUGCAUCUUCUCUGAUCAUCCUCUCUAUCUUUCUCAUCAACAUCUCCAGAAGGAAUUCCAACCGCAUCCAACUCAAGUUUUGUCCAAAUAUUAUCCAAUAUAAUGAGGACCCGCUUCUCUUGCUUCAACCUUUCACGCAGUCGAGAAGCUCUAUGGUGUAUACUAUCAUUCAAGUCAAAUUUCAUGCCUAAAUCAGAAGCGAGCUUGUCUUGAAUUUUCUGGGGAUCUGGGUUCUGUGUUACCUCAGCCAUAACGACCUUAUCGAUCAACUUAUCUUCCAUCACUUUCUUAGCAACUUGCUUGACUAGCGUGGUUUUACCCACGCCGCCCAUGCCGUAGACCCCAAUUAUGUUGAGCUUAUCAUCCUUCAACGCCUCCAUAACAUCCUGAAAUACUUUCAUUCUUGAAUCAAAGGCCUCGUUAUCUUUCCCGUCAUUAAGUCCUGUGCUCUUUGGAGUAGGACGGUAGGAAACAUUAGAGAAGUUGCCUUUUCCCACGAGACCAGCGGCAGCUUCUGCGGCCUUUGCUGCUUGUUUACUAAGCUUGUAACGGGACAUCAAAUUUGGGCACAAUCCUUUGAAGCAGAACUUCUUAGCUCUUUCUUCAUCAUCAAUGAUGGAUUUUGCAACCCCUUCACUUAUGAAUUCAUCAACGCUAUGUAGCCAGUCUGUGACACCCUCAUAAAGCUCAUCCCCUUGUAGCCUAGCAUGAUUAACUGGUUGCUGCACCGUUUCUCUUUUAUAUCCCAGCUGCUUUACUUGAUCUUUUAGAUCAUCUAUGUAGCUCUGGUACUUGAACACAUAAGAUAUCUGCCGUAUAAUCGGUUUGAACAAUGACUUUGCACCUUCUGAUACGAUGCUGGAGAAAGCUGCAAGACCCACCUCUGCCAUUGCCUGCUGCUUAACAAAUCUAAUAAAAUGUCAAAGAAAGGAAUUCAAAUAAAUUAAAAUGAACUAGAGGGAAAGACAAAAAAGGAAAAGGCAGUAAACAGUGUCGCAACAUUGAUCUUGAAUCAACUGAAACAUGAACAGAGCAUUUUUUCUUCUUUGUUAAGGAUCAGAGUUUUUGCUAUUAACAAAACCUACUUCAAGCGUCUUAAAAAAAAAAACUGUAAAUUUACCAUAAAUGAACAAUAACUACAAAACUCAAGCAAAACAAGCCACAGAAUUUUUAUCUUGGAAAGUGGAUGGAAUUAAGAAAGAAAUGCUAUAAAGAUCAAGCAUCAGAGAUUAUGCUAUUAAAAGAAAUUAAUUGAAGGUUUUAGAUCAAGUGCGCCUAUUUAAUUAUGUGGGGUCAGAAAGUUGAUGAGCCUCUGUGAUCGCCUUGAAUAUUUAAGAGCAAUUUCAAUGAGCAAAAAAUUUCUGUUACCUGCAGAGGAAUGUGAUUAUAGAGAGCUUAUAGGGUAAUGACAAUGAUUUGGAAAAGAAGAAGACUUAAUCAUGCAGCCCUUAAUAUUUAUUAAAUGACUUGUGAUCAUUUCUUUUAUGAAUAAAAUGCCAAUAGCAAAAAGAGAAAAAAGGGCGAAAUUUACUAAGUCUUAUUUUAUUUUUAAUUUCUUUUAUUUCCAUUCGCCGAAGAGGGAAUCUCUCCCUCUUUUUGUUUUUUUUUAAGGGGAAUCUCCUUACCUAAUAUGACAUAAUGAAAGCAAUCUGUAAAUAGUCAUAUAAUGUAAUAAUUAAAAAUACCCACAUAUUUAUAAUAUUAAUGAUGGGAUCCAUGUGUUUAUACUAAUUAAAUUGGUGGACCAGAAUUUAUUUGACCGUACUUGUUUUCUAUUUAAUUAAGAUUGAAACGAUAGAGAAAAAUUGUCGUAUUGAUUGUUUCGAUUGUGGAGUUCCAACACUGAAAGUGAAGAUUUCAUCAACUUUCUCACAUGGACACGUACCGUCAUGCAUAUUGCAUUAUUUUCCUAGAAAAGCAAGAUUAAUUCUUUUAAUAAUUGUGAAUUCAGGAAAACAGGUGGAUAAUAACUAAAAUAUUUAUUUUUAUAUUUUUGAUAAACGCACUCACUAUUAAUAGAAUUCAUUAGAUAUCAUAACUUAAAUAACUUUUUGUGAUUGAUUGAGGGUAUCUUUUACUUCCCAAUAAUUAACUUCUAUGUUGAUUCUCAGAAAAUUAAUUUUACGAAUAAUUUAGUAGGGUGUUUGGUAAAUGAUGAUUAUUUGACAAUCAGUUUUCAAAUAGUCUACUAUACAAAUUUGAUAAGUGAAAAUUGAAAGUGUAAUAUUCAUGUGCAAUGAUAAAAAUGUACUUGUUUGCUUAUUUGUAGCUUAUUUAGAAUAUUAUUAUUAACAUCAUUUUUUUAUUUACUGGAUUUUUAAAGAGUAUAUUCUACUUUCUUUAUUACAUAUCUAUAUCAUUUUUUUAUUAACUAUUUUAAUUUGCAAUAAAACUAACUUUAAUAUUUUUUAACUAAAAAAUUCAUGCUAACAUAUUAUUAAAUUGAUUAAUAAAUAAGUGCAAAAAGAAAAUGCAAAAAUUUAAUCUUUAUAUAAACUUUUAUGUACAUAAAACUAUUGCAAUCAAAGUAGUUCAUAAAAAUAAAAUAUUCUAUACAUGUGUGUAAAAAAAAAAUAUAACUACAAUAUUGUCCACUCAUUAAAUUUGCAGCACUAUUAUUUCUCAGUCUCCCCAUCUCUCGACCUUUACCUUUAGGAACAUUAACACCAUGAUCUUCUUCUUGAAUUCGACCUCCAUUUCCACAGUAUCAACAAGGCGAUCAAUUUGCUGUGACAGCCUUUCAACUCCUCCCACUUUCCUCCCUUUUGAGGCCGCCCUUUUUCUUUUUCUUUCUUUGAUAGCUUCAAUGGGAACAAACUCAUCUAACGACAAGUACAUUCUUCAACCACAGUAGAAUUGGUUGUUGAUAUUUUACUACUCUCAUAUGGUAUGUAAACAUGGUCACCAGUGAUUGUUAUAUUAAAAAAAAAUUCUAUUCAAUUUUUCCUCUGACUUUGUGUCGAUACCUUUCAUGCAAAAUCUAUUUGCUUCAGAAAUUUCUUCCGUAUGUUGAUAUCAUAUUAAAGUGAAUUCAAGAUCCUAUAUUAUUUUGCAUGACAUCAAAGUUUAGCCGAAUGGUAAAGAAUUUCCCUUUUUGUUUGUCCCACAACUAUAUAGUCUCAUUUUUGGCAAUAAGCUCACAAUAUGCACGGAAAUGAAGAUUUAUUAAAAACUUCCCUAUAAUAUUAAACACUAAACAAUAUCACUAUAACCAAAGUUGGCUGGUGUGAGUGGUUCGGCACUCUCACUCCUUAAGAGAGGUCAGGGGUUCAAGCCCCGCUCUCGUAUGGAGUCACCACUUUGGCCAGCACUUUACCCCUUAUGGGCCGACCCGGUGCGAGCGGGGAUUAGUCUGGGUUGUGGUACGGGCUUAAAGGUGCCUCCCACAGUUGGGGCCCACUCAGGACCACCUCGUGGUUCAGACCAAAAAAAAAAAAUAAACAAUAUCACUAUGUUGUGCAUAUGGUGCCUCGUCAACAAUUUGAUGUUCAUUUUGUUGCUCGGGUGAAUAUGACUACUUGGGUUGCGAGUCCAUGCUUUUGUCGUUUGGAUGGAGGACGGGCCAUCUUUUUAUUUUAGAUGGUUUGUAGGACUUUUGAUAAUUAUUUUUCUAAAACUGAUUUCUGGUUAAUAAGACCUAUGAAAGCAUUCGAAGAAGCCACCGAACUCAGAGGAAAGCCAUGGUUAAAUAUACUGCGAAGUAUGUGAGCUCGUUUUUUAAUCUCUUGAUCACUCAUAAGCUUUUCUAUACCACUCACUAUAUCAUCCUUUUGAAUCAAUUUUGAUUGAUCAUCAGAGAUCAUGUACCCACCUUGAGAUGAUUGAUCACAAAUUUGGCAUUGUAAUGUUGGUCACCUCUAAUUGGCCAUGCUAAAAUUGGGACUUGACAACCAAUUGUUUCACUGUUGAAUUCCAUCCACAGUGAGAUAAAAAUUCACCCGUUGAUUCAUGUCCCGCUCUCUUAUGAAGUCACCACUUUGGCCAGUACUUUACCCUUUAUGGGCCAACCCGGUGCGAGCGGGGAUUAGUCUGAGUUGUGGUACGGGCUUAAAGGUGUCUUCCACAGUUGGAGCCCACUCAGGACCACCUCGUGGUUCAAACAAAAAAAAAAAAAUCCACCCGUUGAUUGAUGACUCAAUAUCAAUAAUUGUGGGGCUCAUCCAUCUAUUAUCAAACCCGUUUCACCGACUUUAUUAUCCAAACCACUACGAAAAUAACUGCCUUCUACUGGUUUGUUCAAAUGACGUAGAGGAUCCAAUCUACCUGCACCACCUUGAAUUACCCAAAUAAACGGUCGAUUUGAUGCUUCUAAAGCAUUGGCUAGUACUAGGUACUCAUCUAAGGUCGGAUCCACUUCAGUACCAAAUGACACAUAUAACACAGAUCCGCGUGAUUUCAAAUUCAAUCAUUGAACGAUCUCAUCUUCCGUCAUGUUAGAACUCCGCCGGUUGGUUCUCAUCUCAUGAUCAUGAAGCACUUAACCGGCCAAUUUGUAAAAUUGUUCAGGUAACAGUGGGCCCACUCCCCACAUCGGCUUUCUCAAUUCAUUGGCUAAAUAAUUAUAAAUGGUCCCUCAAGACCAUCACACGUGUUGAACAUCAACGCCAUUGAUCCCUCCGCUUCCUUCAUCCAGUGUGGUUGAUCACCGGCCUCUGGUGGACCUAUUUUCUCGGAACCAGGUGCACCUCUCAGAGGUGGUGGACCACCAGGAGGGUGCCCAUGAGGCCUUGUUUAAGAUUCGAUUCAAAUAAAGCCAUAUCCUCGGGUAACCCAGGAAGUAAAUGGGCCUCUCCCGGUUUGACAUCUUGGAUGCGAGCCUACCACAUGGCACACUCCACAGCUGCCGAGCAAGCACCAGAAGUGAAGAACCCAACAAUGGGAACUUCAAAAAUCUUGAAAACAUCAGCCGUCCAGCCCAUCAUAACGUCGAUGACUGCACAAACGGGUCGGCUUUUGGGUUCCCGGGUUGAAAGGAGGUUUCGAAGGCCUUGAAGCAUUUGGUUGUGCAUGACAACAUGGGGGUGAGGAGACGAAGGAGGGUAUUUUAGUAAUUUCAAAUAGAGGGUAUUGGUGAAGAGGGGAAGGGGUGAUGCUGUGUUGAAUCAAAAUAGAGUAAAAACUCUAAUUGAUCAAGAAGAAGAAAAACACUCUUUAGAAUAAUCUCACAAAAUUGCAAAAGAGAAGAACUCUUAAGAAAACUUUCAAAUGCUUAUAAUAAAGCUUUGAUUGUUAAAUUAUAAAACUCAAAUACAAAUAAGGUAUUUAUAGGUUACAAGAAACAAUCUAAACCACUCAUUAAAAUAACCACAAACUAAUUUAAACCAUUGAAAUUAAACAUGAGAAAAAUACCUAAUUUUCACCUAACUAAAUUGAUGUAAGCAAUGACAUCAAAUUAAUUUGGGUGUGGACUUAUUUGGGCUAAUAUUGACUUCUCAACACUCCCCCUCAAUGUUAGCCCAAUUCUUUGAAUCACGCCAAGCUGACGACGGAAAUGUUCAAACUUUCCAACACUCAAGCUUUUUGUAAACAAGUCCGCAGUUUGCUCAUCUGUCUUGACUUGCCUCAUCUCAAUCUCUUCUUGCAGAACUUUUUCCCUAACAAAGUGGUAAUGCACUUCCACAUGUUUAGUUCUUGCAUGAAAAACAGGAUUCUCCGCCAGCCGAAUUGCCGAUUGGUUGUCACAGUACAACAGAACUGCAUAAUCUACUGGUUGAUGUAGAUCAUUCAUUAGUUGUAUCAGCCACGUGCUUUCUUGAGCUGCCAUUGCUGCUGCUCGGUACUCUGCUUCCGUAGUUGACAAGGACACAGUCGGUUGUCUCUUGCUACACCAAGAAAUCGUUCCAGAUCCAAGGGUAAACAUAUACCCAGUAGUUGAUCUGCGAGUAUCGUGAUCUCCUGCAUAGUCAGCAUCACAGUAGCCAACUAGUUUGUAAUUUCCACCUUUCUUGUAUAGAAGACCAUAGUCUAUUGUACUCUUCACAUAUCUGAGUACUCGCCGAACCGCUUCUAAAUGAGACUUCUUCGGAUUUUGCAUGUAUCGACUCAUCACACCAACUGCAUAAGAAAUGUCAGGUCGAGUCAAGGUUAAGUAGAUUAGACUACCCACUAAUUGUCGAUACAUCGAUGCAUCUUCCAGGUCUUUGCCUUCAUGUGCACACAUCUUGGCAUUUGGUUCCAUCGGCGUUGAGAUCGGCUUACAUUCUAGCAUCCCAAACUUCUUCAACAAAUCUUUGGCAUAUUUCUGUUGACAAAGAAAUAUCCCUUCUUUCAUCUGAUCAACCUCUAGCUCAAGGAAAUGCUUAAGUUGUCCAAGUUCUUUCAUUUGAAAACGAACUGACAAGUUCUCCUUUGUUCGGAAAAUUUCUUCAAUAUCAUCUCCAGUGAUGAUUAGAUCAUCUACGUACACGAGCACAAUAGCUAUCCUUUCUCCAUUAGCUUUAGCAAACAAGCUGGAGUCUGCAGAUGUUACUGAAUACCCACUUUGAGUUAGAAAUUCAGCAAUCUUGCCAUACCACGCCCUGGGUGCUUGUUUUAGUCCGUAGAGAGCCUUUUGCAGCUUACACACAUACUCAGGAUGACCUCGGUUCUGAAAACCCAUCGGUUGAAUCAUGUAGAUCUCCCGAUCCAGCUCUCCAUGGAGAAAGGCAUUCUUCACGUCCAUCUGCCACAAGUUCCAGCUUUUGUUGGCUGCAAGUGCAAGUAAGACUCGGACGGUUGUAAGUUUUGCCAUUGGACUAAACGUUUCGUCAUAGUUUAGUCCAUAUUGUUGAGAGAAACCACGAGCUACCAAUCGAGCCUUGUACCUCUCGAUUGACCCAUCUAGACGGUGCUUUAUUUUGUAAACCCAUCUGCAGGAUAUGGGUUUCACAUCUUUUGGCUUUGGCACGAGUUCCCAGGUCUGAUUUUGCUCAAGUGUAGUGAUCUCGUCUUUCAUAGCUGUCAUCCACUCAGAACUCUGUGAUGCUUCUUCGAAUGUCUCAGGUUCUAUUCCAGUUGCUUCUUCAACUAUGGCUGCAUUAGCGUAUUUGGGAUUUGGCCUUCGGGUUCUUGUUGACCUUCGUAAUGGAGUUGAUUCUUCCGUUUCACUAGGCACACCUUCUUCAUCUGGUUGUCGAUACACCCCAGAUUGCCAAGGAUUUAGAGUUACUCUUCGUUCGCUAUCACUAUCGCAUAGAUCCCCAGCUGAGCUUAGAUGAAUUUGGACAGUAUGCUCCCCCAUCUUUUGUUGUAGCAUGUCUUCGAAUUCUUUCGAGUCUGGCAGCACUUCUUUUUCUGAGGUCCACCAUGAGGAUGCUUCAUCAAACACCACAUCUCGUGAUGUGUAGCACCUUUCAUUUACUGGAUCACAACACUUCCACCCUUUUCGCUGGUUGUCGUAUCCUACAAAGAUACAUCUGACAGCUUUCUUAUCGAUCUUGCUACGUAGAUGGUCAGGAACAAAUACAUAGCAUACACAGCCGAAUACUCGAAGAUAGCUAACUGUAGGUUUCUUGUUCCACAAUUUCUCAAAGGGUGAAACAAACUCCAACCUUGGUUGAGGAAGCUUGUUGAUGACAUGAGCUGCAGUUCUCAUACCUUCGGCCCAAAAUCUUCCAGGUACAUUCUUCGCAUGUAGCAUACUCCGGUAAAUUUCAGCAAGAUGCCGAUUCUUCCUCUCUGCUACACCAUUUUGUUGUGGCGUAUUAGCACAAGUAUACUGAUGACGUAUUUAGCAUUCCCGUAGGUAUUGAGAAAACUCUCUCGAGCUAUACUCACCCUCGUUGUCUGUGCGCAAGCAACGAAUCUUUUGCUCCACUUCUCCUUCGACUAUCUCUUUGAACUCUUUGAACUUUGAGAAUGCUUCAGAUUUUUCUUUCAUGAAGAAAGCCCAUACAUAUCUGGAGAAAUCAUCAAUGAACGUAACCAUAUACCACAUUCCGCCAAUUGAUGGUUGCUUAACGGGUCCAAACACAUCAGAGUGAAUUAACUCUAAUGGUUUAUUUGCUUUAAACUUCGACUCCUCGUAUGGCAAUUGAUGUGCUUUACCAUAUUGACAUCCCGCGCAAACAAUAUUUGUUCUCACGUCAAGUUGAGGAAGUCCUUUAAGCAUCGACUUCUUCACCAUCACACUUAGCUUGGAAUAAUUAACAUGACCUAGCCGCAUGUGCCACAGAUCUGCCGUCUCAUUCCUUCUUGUCUUGUCUACGUAUGCAGACUCAGCUGACAUCACAUAAACUGACUCCAAUUGUCGUCCCUCCAUCGUAGGCUUUUCUGAGAUCUUUAAGUCUCGGAAUACCUUCACAUUUUGUGGACCAAACAAGACAUAGUGGCCUGAUGAUGUCAAUUGAGCUACGGAUAGCAAAUUUUUCUUCAUUCCUGGAACAUGGUAGACAUCUUGAAGUGGCACUUGGUUGGGACUAUAUCGAGGUGUAACGAUCGCUUUACCGAUGUGAGCUAUCGGUAACCUUGAGUUGUCAGUUGUUACCACCACACGAUUUCCCUUGUACUCAGAACAAUUUUGCAACUUCUGUCUAUCACCCGUCAUGUGAUUUGAGCAGCCUGAGUCUACGAUCCAAUCAUUCUCGUAGUUAAUCUUUUCUGGUGUUGUUACCGUGAGAGCUAAUUCUUCUUCCUCCAUAGCGAGUAAUGCUUCGGCAUCCCAGUUAUCUUCACUAUCUUCUUUAGAACUAGAAGUAGCAAUAUUGCUUUCGGUAGACUUCUUUUUGGACCAACAAUCUCUCUUCAUGUGGCCCUUCUUCCCGCAAUUGUAACAUUCGCCAUCAAACUUUCUAUUACUGUCGCGAUUCUUCGAAGCUCCCCCUGGACGAGAGCCAUUCCCUCCCUGAUGACUUUUUGUCUGUUCACCAGUCUUUCUAGAUCCGCCUUUGUUGUGCUGUCUUGAACCACCUCUGCUUUGGUUGGUGUAAAGCGCUUCCUCUUCACCCUUUAGUGAGACUCCUCCCAUUUUCUUGGCCAUAGCUUCUUGGCCUGUCAGCAAAUUUUCAAACUCAACAAGUGAUGGUUGUGUCGGCCAUCCUUGCACAGCGGCUACAAAGCUUCGGUAUUCGGGUCUCAAGCCAUGGACAAUUAUUCUUUUUAUCCUGGCUUCCCCAAUAGCAGCUAUUGGAUCUAAUUCUGAAAUUUCACGGCAUAUCGACUUCACCUUGUGAAAGUAUUGGGCAAUCGCCAUGUCGCGUUGCGCCAUUGAUAGAAGUUCAUUCUCGAGAAGUUGCAAUUUUGUAUCGUUCCUCUUCGAAAAGAGUGUAGCGAAGGUGUCCCACGCUUCCUUCGGUGAUUUAGCAUCCCGAAUGUGCUCCAACAUUUCUUCUUCUAUUGUGGUCUUUAAAGCAAACAUUGCUUUGCCUGCUUUAAUUUUCCACUUCCGCAAGACGCCGUUAGCAUCUUCCGCUGCCGGUUGUGUAACUUCACUACCACCGACAACCUCCCACAAGUCUUGACCUUGAAGGUAAGACUCUAUACACGUUGCCCACGUGUUAUAGUUUUGGUUGUUGAGCUUUUUGAUUCCUCCAACAACUUGAAGAUCACCCAUCGUAUCGGUAUCGACAAGACUUUGACUACACCGAACAAGCUUGAGUGACUACCGUGCAGAGUAAUACACUACUCUUGACACAAAGAAGCUCCCUCUCAAGGUUUGUGAUAACCCCAGCAAUAAUCUCAAGAAAUCUUUUCUGAUGUGGAAGAUCAGUCAAAACUGCAACCACAGAGCAUACUCGGAAUUUCAAGAGACUUUACAACCAAUGCUCUGAUACCAAAUGUUGAAUCAAAAUAGAGUAAAAACUCUAAUUGAUCAAGAAGAAGAAAAACUCUCUUUAGAAUAAUCUCACAAAAUUGCAAAAGAGAAGAACUCUUAAGAAAACUUUCAAAUGCUUAUAAUAAAGCUUUGAUUGUUAAAUUAUAAAACUCAAAUACAAAUAAGGUAUUUAUAGGUUACAAGAAACAAUCUAAACCACUCAUUAAAAUAACCACAAACUAAUUUAAACCAUUGAAAUUAAACAUGAGAAAAAUACCUAAUUUUCACCUAACUAAAUUGAUGUAAGCAAUGACAUCAAAUUAAUUUGGGUGUGGACUUAUUUGGGCUAAUAUUGACUUCUCAACAUGCUGGUGGCGGAAAUGUGAGAGGGAAUGGUGAGGGUAGAUUUGUAAUUACGAGAAGCGAUUUGCUUGCAUAAUUUAAUGCAUGGAAAUAGAUGUCCCUGACCAAAGAAUGGGACAAUCCAAAUCUCGGCCUCAGCAGCGCUGCAGCAGUAGCAACAGAGCUUGACAUCUUUUUGAAUUAUUUGAUACUUAAUUGUUACUGUUUGCUUUUACCAUCUUUCAUAAAACACUCUUUGUUAUAUAUAAAGGGAUGACUUAAUGGAGAAGUAAGUGUUUUAGUUUUACAGUUUUACUAGUAGGUGAGCUCGGAGUUUGAUAAUUUGAUUGUUAGUUUUAGUUGGUUAGUUAUGAGAAAGCAUCUUUAAGAAAAUUCAUUCCAGUUUCAACUAAAAUUAAUAAUAUUGUUCAAAUUAAUUACUCGAUAAAUAAAUAAUUAGAGAUAAAUUUAUCCCUAAUCUCACAUUUAUAAAAUAAGGAUUGAAAUAAGUUUUUGUGGGUUCGAACUCAAGCCCUCAAGUCGAGCGGCUGGAUCUUGACUACUUUGACUUAAUUAUUAUUAUUAUUAUAUAUAUAUAUAUAUAUUUUUUUUUUCAUUCUGUCACGGAACAUCUUUUGUUAUAUAAUGAAGAAGAUAAGUUGACGAAGAAGAGUUCUACUUUUACUAGUAGAUGAGCUUUGAGUUGACAACGUUAGUUUUAGUUAGUGAAAUAUCUACCAUCCAAAUCAACGUUCUUUAGACUAUUAUUCAAGUGAGAUGUCUGAGUAACAUACGCUUGAGUUGGUCGGUGCCUGGCAAUUCGUGUGAUACAUGAAACCAACCGAUAUGAAAACCAAAUCAAGUUGGUAGGAUUACAUUAAUUUAAAUUAACUUUCAAGUUCUAAUAUUAUAAGAUAAAUAAAUAGCAUAAAAUAAUUUUUAUUUUCAAGUAAAUAUGUUUAUCGUUUAAAAAUUAUUUUUUCUUGCGGUAAAUGCAACACUAAAUAAGGAGUGAAUAGGGUAAUUUGUAGGGUAUACCCCCACCUUUUAUUUCAUUUCAUUAUUAAAAAAUAAAGGCUUGAUUCAACAUUCAAGUAAAAUUAACAAUUCCAUGAUAAAAUUGCUUGAGAAUAAGAAUUAAAAUAAAAAAAGAAAACAGCAACUCAAAAACGACAUACAAAUACCGCAUAGAGGUUUUUCGUCGCAAGAUAUUUUUGGGUUGAGCAACACUUGUAUAACAGAGCAUACAGACUGAAUGACGGUGAGAAUAAGAAGGAAAACGGCGCCACACACCGAAAUGCCAGCCCAUGGAGUAUUGAAGUAAUUUUGUUUCAAGUUUGCCCUCCAUUUGUAGCACGUUCUUUUGCAGUGAUCAUUCAAUCCUUUGCAUAGCCCAGAAAAAUAGAAGCUAUCAGACAGCAGAGUAGUACCUCUAGAAAGGUUAUUUAUAAGCAUUGACGCAGUCUCUUUAUCCGGCAACCGGUUCUCAAUGAUUCCGUUCUGAACAAGCAACUCGACGUCCUUCGCUGUGUUCACGAGAUGAUGAAUAAGGAACACAUAAUCAUUUAUGUAAUUCUCUGAGUAAUGCCGUUGUUCAAAGGCAAUGAGAUUACGAAAUAAGGAUUCCGUUUCCAGCUGUAGCUUCAGUUUCGGAAUAUGCAAUGUCCUGUUUUUGAAUUCUAUGGCGAACAAAUCAUUGCUCUUGCUCAAACUGAAGUGGACUCCAGCUUGGUGGAGAUCAGUCACACUUGGUGCGGUUUUGCCUUUGUGGUAUUGCUGACCUUCUUGUUUUUCCUGAUUCCUCGAUGAUGGUAGAUGACAAAUCCUUAGAAAAUCAAGGAAAUGCUCGACCCUAACCUCAGUGUAAGGAGGGAAUUUUUGCUGAUUACCUUGUACUGCCUCUAAACCCUUGAAAUACUCGUAUGUGACUGUGAUGAUGGUUGGAUUUUCAUGUUGGUCGGGGAUUUCAAUAGCAAAAAGAUCCUCAAGAAUGAAGAAAGGAAGCUGAUUCUCAAGCAACCACAUAUCAUACCAUAUAUCCUCUAUUAAAUAGGGUUUAAGAAAUAUAUAAUCAUCUUUUUUUUGAAGUUGACGGAAAUGAUGCCUCAAUAAGAGUUCAAUGAUGAAGGCAGCAUCCAGCAGAAUCAUUUCAACAAAUUUAUCACUACUUAGUUCGACUUUUUCUGCAUAAGAACCUCGUAAUUCUGCUUCUCUGAGCUUUAUAAUUUGAACAAACUCGUCAAAGCUUAUUUUGGUCCGUUGAAGAAAGUAACGCAGGUACCGCUGUUUAUGUUCUUCCAUGAACUGUAAGUUUGCUUUGCCAUGGUGAAGAGGGCCAAUUGAGACUACCUGAGCUGUAUAUGCCUUUUCAUUUAUCUGACGUAAUCGCUCCGGAACUCUGUAGAUGCAGCAGUUUGAGGGCAAUGGUGAUAAUUUUUCCAACUUAACUUGCAAGCACUCUUCCAUGUUAUAAACUGAAAACAUGGCGCGAAAUUUGAUCAAUUCACUAGUUUAUAUAAUAUUCUUGAACCUCAUCUUAAGCAAAGCAACAAAAGCCUUCACUGUUUCUUAACAACUUUAUUGCUCUAACACAUAGCAUAACAUUUUUAAAUUUGCAUAAAGCACAAUAGUACUUUAGUUUGUAACAACAGCACAGAUAAUAAAUAGCAUUUUAUAGCUUUAACAAAAGCAUACAAAAUUCUUAAACCUUGUUUCAAGCAAUUCAUUAAUGCCACAAGGAUGUCUUUUUGCUUCCUACAGUUUUUAUUGAAAUUCAUAUAUUCUUCUUUAUCAAAUUAAGUAAUUUUCCUUUUUCAAAAAAUCAAGAAGGUUUCGACUGCAUGGAAAUACAGCACACAAUUACUACUAUUCCCGGAGUAAGAAAUUCAUAAAUGCAAUAUAAACAUACAUUUUCAUAAGACAUCAGAAUCAAAGAAUCAUCAAUGCAUCAAAUCUGUACACCCAAAAAAGUUGAAAGCACCAAGAGAAAAUUAUACCGCAUGGACCCUUUACAACCCUUAUAACGAGUUCAGACAGCUACAAUGUGCAAUACAAAAUUUCCCAAUACUAUUUAGAACAAAGUCUAGAAAACAAAACUUAUAUAUUGUACAAAAUCAUGAAAACCAGAAAUGACAAAAAACCUGCAAAUGUAAUUUUUGGGUUUCUUCAACAUAUCUUCCAUCCAAAUCAAACAAGAAUCGAUAAAUCAACAACAUUCAUCUUUAAAUGACAUAUUACCACAAUAAAAUUGUCAACCAAGCCUCAUAUAAACCUUUUUUGUGUUUUGUGGUAAAUAUAUUUGUUAUUCUCUAAGAAUACUAGGGAAAAAAGAAACCCACUUUCUUAAUCAAGAAUCAAAUAAUAUAUAUUUAUCUAAGCUGAAGUAAGUCUUCGGUUUGAUGAAAUAGCUUGCAAUGUGAUUUAGAUUGGAAAGGAAGUUGAUUUUUGCUGGUUGAGAGAGAGAGAUUUGAGACUUAAGAGUGUUGCUAAUCUUCGAUCGUGUAAACAAGGGUAACUGGGUCAUAGUUCAAAAUAAGGGUCCAAAAUUUACUAAAGCUAUUAAGGAGCCCAAAACUCAUAAUGGCUUGCCCAAAAUAAAUAAAAUUUUCGAGCAUUAAGUUUUUGUUUCUUCUUGAGAUUUCCUUGCCGUACUUACCCAUAUUUCGAUAUUGCCUCCAAGUAAACUUAUAUAUAUUGAUUAACAAUAUAAACAAGCACUAUGAAGUUUUAGGCAUGAAAGAACAUUAGGAUUGAAAUGAAAACCAUCUAUUUAAGUAACAAAUUCUUCUGAUAAUUUGAUGCUUAAUUUAGAGCAGAGAUGACAUAUCAAUCACGUUAUGAUGUGGAAGUUAUGAUUAUAUUCAUCUUAAGAAUAAGAUCUUUCAGACACUGGCAGAUUAGUAUAAAAAAUACUCAGCAUAAGACCUACAAACUAGAAAUCACGCACCAAUUAUUGAACUCAGCACAUAAGUUGAUCUUUUAUAAGCUAUAAAACAAAUCUGCUAUAACAUAAGAAAGUGGGAUUUAUCACCAGACAAGUAUUUUGGUGAAAUUCAAGCUGACGGAAGGAUAUCCAAAGCAACCUCCUUAAGGGAAGGCAUCACUUCCUGCUGAUGCAAACAUGUAUAUUUAUUACUCACUUUCUUGAGGACCUUCUAGGAACCUGGGCAGCACCUAACAGAAAGUGGAAAAGAAUAAAAUGUAAAAUAUAAGUUAAACAGCAGGAAAACAGUGAGUGAUACUAGGCAAGCAUUAAUAUGUUGCCGCAGGAAAAGUGUCAGUAACUAGCUAGCAAACCUGAAAAGGGUUCCUCCAUUGUGACCCUUAAAAUUGUGAAUGUAAAAUAUGGUCUCCAUCACAGGAAAAAGUGUUUUGGAUAGUGCAGCCAGCUUAGGGUAGAAGAAUGACGGAUAAUCUUUAGCUCAUUUAAGGAAAUCCUCUCUGAUCCUUUCAUUGCACAUUCCAAAACAACUCUACUACAACCAAGUUACCAAUUCUUUUUGUUAAGUCAUUGUUAUUUGUUAAAAAAAAAAAAUCUUCCUUGCAACAUUUUAUUGAAAGAUAUAACAUGAUCAUCCCUACUAAUUCCCUUUUAGAUUUCUGUGAGUGAAUUUCAAAUUAUUGUAUUCAAAAAUAGAAGCAAAAGACCCACUUUACUUUCAAUUUCUGCAACAAGAUACCAAUUGAAGGACCAAAAAGUUGUAAACAACCAAUUCAAUGGGUGGGCAUCUAGAAACUGCUAUAUAGCAUCAAGAUCAUACUAAAUUUACAGAAAGUACGAUAAUAAUGAAAGAAUGGUGAAGGAUACACCCAGACCUUAUCCGGUCAAGUUCUCCAUUGAAUAUAAUCAGUUUCCGGGCAGUAUUGAAGACAACUUCUUUGUAAAGCUCUUCAACGACAAGCAUUUCUACAAGACAAAAGAAAAGCAAAAUUAAUUACCUUAAGGAAUGAAUAUCAAUGAGAAGACAACGUGUAAGACUACCAUUGACAUUAAAAUAUGGAUACGCGACUAGAAACAAUUCAUCUUCCGGCUUCACACGGUCUGCCUUUUUAACCUUCUCAGUGAAUCCAAAAUCCUCAAAGAAUGAAGGUUUUGUUAGAUAGUCCAACUUAAAUGAUGAUCCUUCAAAGACCUAUUUUCUUGCAAAUUUGACUUCAUUUGCCUCUGGGAAAAACUAAAAACCAAAUGACAGACCAAGAUCACAAAACGAAUCAUGAACAUAGAUAUCAGAUAAUCAGAAAUGGGCAUUAAACAGACUACUAACAAAUAGGAAAUGCAUACAGAAAACAUUAUUCAUACACCUUAUGCACAUGAAAUAUAUAUGCAGUGGGAUCCUCUUGUGAAUUUAGUUUAUAUCCUAAAAUGAGACAAUGAACAAUUGGAUGCCAUCUAAGGGCUAACAUUUGUUUGAUUAUUAUAUGAAAAAAAAAAACAAAACAGAGUUGAUUGAUGGCCUUUGAUGGAUUGCCUACACUCCUAAAGUGCAGAGAGCCUGAUUAAUUGCUUUACCUGCCCCCCACACACACACUUGAUUUUAUUAUCUCUCUUUUCAAAUAUAUAAUCAUUGCCUGUCUUUCAUCCUGAUCCAGCUCUCCUUCCAGGCACCAGCUGUGUUUUCUUCAAUUCAGUGAAGCAUUCACUUUCAGGUAAGAAUAAACUUGUCCUUCCUCAAAAAUCAGCUUCUCACCAUGAAGCUUUCUUUUUCAAAACAAUUACUAGUCUAGCAUAAUGCAUCUAAUUGAAGACAACUCAGAAUUGAAAAAGCCAUACUUUAAUGUCUGCUGUUGGGACCUCAAGACCAGGAAAAAAAAGCUUCUUUCUAACUGUUGGAUUAACAAGUAGAAAUAGCUUUUUUCUGAAGGACCCAACAUUGCAUUGAAAAAUUCAACAAAAGGACUGGCGUCAUAUUUAGUCCUGCUAGAAUUUUGUGCACUUAACACAAUGGUUAAUAAUUGGCCCAGCAGACACUUUGUCGAACUACUGGCAAACCUUGACUGUGGAAAUGCAUAUUUCAAAUGUUGGCAGACUCUAGCUUCUUGAUGUACUGUUGAUAAAAAUGCCUAUUUCAAAAGUUGGCAGGCUCAAACUGCCGAGACUUUGGUUUCUUACAUUUCAAACCCACAAAUAAAACUUUGGCAGAACCCCAGAAAGAGCUACACCUCCCAAAUUUGAUGACAUAUGAAGAGACCAUGCCUAGUGCUUGGUUCGGCAAAUGAGUAAGUUUGAAAUAAAUUGAGGGAAACCUUUCCCACAGAGAGUCAUUUUGAAGGUUACAAUUUGAAGACUUUGUCCCCUGUCGCCCGUAACCUUCUUUGAUCUCUUUUCUUAGUCAUGAAUAAUCAAACAUGUGUUAGUGGUUGGAUGCAAUCCACUCGCUGACAUCUCAUGUCCACAAUCAAUCAACCAUAUUUUAAUAGAAAUGGAAACAUUUUAAUUAAAAAAGAAUGAGAUAGGAACAAAAUCAAGCUUGGCAGACAUGGGUCUAUGAGAUUUUAAAGAUGCUUGGUGAAAGUCGUAUUCAAGAGUUCAACAAUCAGUUCCAUCACCUAUGGCAAAGUAACCACCGCAACUAAAGCAAUUACAAAACAUCAAGAAGCUUGAACUUGGCAAGAGGUCUCAUUAACAGUAUACCUCAGAAAUUAAGACAGAAUUAAAGUGCAAGCUUUUGGAUUUAUUUAAACACUGAAAAUAAUAUGGGUAGAAGCUCCUAUGGUCACAGCAAACAAUUACAAAGCACAAAACCCAAAAAACAGAUAUGCAAAAAGCUGCAAAAGAACAUUAUUAGCAAUUGACAUCUGCUUUUGCUCAGACAAAGGUUCUCAUAACAAAGGACUUAGUGAUUAUCUGUCAUAUGUUUAUGUUAAGGGGAAAAAAGAAGUUUGUUUUAGUCAAUCUCAUGUCUAUUGGCAUUCAUAAGGAGCCCAAAAAUAAAAGAAAAAAUAAAGAGUUAGUAGGUGUUUCUUGCAACACAAAGAAAAUUUAUCAUCCAUGAAAAACUUAGUAUGGAAAAAGCUAACUCAUUUAUCUGCCAAUGCAGAAAAACUUGUUGUCUACCCACUAAGGACCCACCAUUGGCAGGUCUGAUGGAUCCCAUGGAUGGGAACCACAAAUAUUUUAUUCUAAAUGACAUGGGUAUUGCACCCAUAUCAUUUAAUUUGUAGAUUCCACUGAUGGAACUCAUCAAACUUGCCAAAUGGCAAGUCCUCCGUGGGUAGGCGCAUCACUUCAGCAUCCUUCUCCACCGAUGACCAAAUCUGGACUCAUUUAAAAAGAAUACAAAGCAAACUAACUGACAAAAAUUGCAUAUAGAGGUCUAGGAGCCAAAUCAAUGUUGUUAACUCAUCCAAUUAAUACAUUCUCUUAGAGGUCAUACCUUGGUAACUCAUUUCAAAAGAAAUUAAAAGAAAAAUGACUGCACAAAUUGUACUGAGCUCAAGAAGACCUGUUCAAGGUGUUCACUUGUCCAACUAAUAAAAGUCAUCAAGGAUUGUAUCAGGGACUUGGGACCAAUCCUGCCUUAACGAGAGAAAGGGAAUUUAGGAUGAAGAAGAUAACCUCUUUUCCUAGAGCAAAUUAAGCUGGUAAAAUCUUGGCAGUUGCACUUGGGGCAGAAAUUAGUUCCACCUUGGUUUACAGGACAGAAAUUCGUCAUAUGCAUGUAUUUAUUUAUAUUUUAUACACAUACGCAUACAUGUACACACAAACACUACCUUCACUUUGAAGAAAAGAUUAAAAUAACACUGCUCACAUACACAAUACUUACUAUUCUAGUUCGUGUGACUUUCUCCGGAGUCACAAAUAGGUCAAAGAAUUCGCGUAUUAACCGCAUACUUCCAGUCAUUUCUAUUCCUCCUUCACCAUCACCUUUCCCACAAUUACAAAAAGUGAGAGGUAGUAACCAACAUAUUUGGGUUGUUCUUCGGUAAGGGGUGGGAGGUAAGGGUUAGUUGUGGAGGGCACCUGGUACAGAAUCAAGGCCAGCUGUUGGGAAUUUGAUCUCCUGUAACAUAUACUUGUUCAUCAUAAACUAUAUACUUAUUCUGCAGUCGAUGUGGGCAUAUAGCUCUUCAAUUAUCCAGUAAUAACUCACCAUCAACUUCCUGCCAUCCUUCAUGGCUAAUUCAGCAGCUAUUUUUGCCUGUUUAAAGGGCAAAAGCCCAAACUAAGCAGAUGCUCCUACUCCGAUACUUAUUAUCUAACUACUACAGAACAGAUGAUACACAUCAAGUUGUGUCAAGAGAGACACCAAGUUGUGUUUUCCAAGAGGUUCCAAAGAGGUUUUGUGUUAGAGUGCAAUUUAUGCACUAGUUUUGAAUUGUUUACUUCCUUAAUAUCGAUGUUUUGCACUUAAUAAUAGUGAUUUACUUGUGUUUUAUUUUUAUAGGUGCAAUUAUAUUGAUUGGUGCAAAAAUUGAGCUACAAGACGAUGUUUAAGGAUGAUUGUUCUCUUGGAGAAAUUAUGAGCGUCAGAAGAACUUUGUUGAUAAGGCGUGGGCGCGUGCUGUCAACUACGGACCUGCAGUUUUUAGUUUAACGUGUUUUGUAUUUUUGGUUAUUUUUAUAAUUACGAAUUUAAUAUUUCAGAUAUUAGUAUUUUAUUUUAAAUAGAACUCUAGAGGAGAAGAGAGAGAGAGUAUUUAAGGGAAGAAUCUAUUGUGAAAAAAGGGAGAUUUUUGGAAAAGAAAGAAACCCUAGAUCUAAAUUUUUCUCUUCUCUCCAUGAAGAACUAAAUCUAUUAUUCUGUUUGAAGGUUAAUGAAGCUUUUAUUCAUCACUACUGUGAGAUCUUUCUUAUGCUUUAAUUGUUUUAUUGCUUUUUGGGUAUUUGUUUAUUCUCUGAAUUAUUUUCAUGAUUAUGUUUGUUAAUUAGAUAAUUGGCUACUAUUUAAUUAUCAACUUAAUCUAUUGUCAAUUAAAGGAUUCAUCGUAUGAAGAUUUUAAUGUUUGUGACAAAUAACAUAGCAGAGAGUUGUGUUGUGAGAAUAAACAAUCUAAUUUAAAUGAACCAUCGUAUGUGUUUGUUGAUUAGGAUUUGGGUCUCUCUGGUUUUUCAAGCUGUCAAUUGAUUAAAUCCUAUGAUCGUAUCUAGGGUUAUCUAUUGAUUAGGGAAAUAACCAACGGUCAUACCUUGGUUAUCGACUAAUUAAGGAGAUAUUGGCUAUUAGAGGGUCUCAGUAGCUAUAACCGGUCUAUUCAUAAGUAGUAAUAAUUUAUAUUUGAAUCAAUGAUCAGUAGUCGAAUCAAGCUGAGUUAAUUCCUUCAACCAGAGCUUUCUCCAAUUUGAAUUACAACUUUAAUUUGCAUUCUUGUUAUUUUAAUUUGAUUGUUAUUAUUGUCACAAAACCCUCAUUUUAUAUUUUACGUUUUAAAAGGAUUUAAAUAAUUACCGAUCUCUGUGGACACGACUUUGCUCAAUCACUAUACACAAUUUAUUUAGAGUAGGUAUUUAUUUUUGUUGGCUUCGACAACCUUCAAAUUUUGGCGCCGUUGCCGGGGAUUGGUGUCAUUUAUUUAAUCCUUUUUACGUUUUACUUGGUGUAUGGUUCGUUCUUCUUGUACAGGUACACUUUCGUUUGAUCCUUAAAUUGAGAAGACAGCUCGCCAGCUGAGACAGCAGACGAAGCGAGCUAAGCAACGACACUCAUCGCCUUGCUUUCUGAAACAGAUACGGUGCCUGAUUUAGUUGAAUCAUCAAGCGAUUUAGAAGAACAAGUGAUGGAUAGAGCUGCACCUGUAGAAAGAACUCUUAGAGAGUUAGCCGAACCAGACUUGAAUCAGCAACCACUCUACAUUCAAUAUGUAGACUUGGAGGUAAAUUUUGAAUUAAAGUCUGGUCUUAUUCAUUUAUUACCCAAGUUUCAUGGUUUUGCAGGUGAAGAUCCUCAUAAACAUCUCAAGGAGUUUCAUGUUAUGCGUUCAAGUAUGAGGCCACAAGGCGUGACUGAAGAGCAAAUUAAGUUGUGUGCUUUUCCUUUCUCUUUAGAUGGGCUAGCUAAAGACUGGUUGUAUUACUGUUAGAGUGCAACUUAGCAUAUAAUUUUUUAGGCAAGAAAGAUCACUCAGGAGUUUUCUCUAAAACUGAAUUUUAUUUUAUCUGGUGCAUGUUAAAUGAUGUGAGGCCUAAUUUAGGUUUUUGGUUAGCAGAUCAAUUUCAAAGUGUGCUUAAACGGUAUAGGACUUUAUUUCUUGGUCCAUACAUUACUCUGUUAGCUAUAAACCUAUGUGUGCUUGAUCCUGACAAUAAUGAUUUGCAUCCUGCUUGCAAAAAAGAAUUUUUGGAUAUGUUUAUGUUUGAAAGAACAGGUGUGGUCGAAUUCAAGGAGCGGAGAUUUCAGUUUACUAAACCAGGGCCCACUCAACCUCCGAAGAAGCUUUAUGCUAGGAGUGGUGCUACCUCUGAUGACGAGUUUGACGACGACACUGCUGCCCCGCCAACUAUUCCUUCUACAUCCGCACCACCUUUGAGCAUUCAGUUAGAGAAAAUGGAGCACAAGCUGAAUAAGAUGGAGCAAAAUUUGGCCACAUACUUCGAGAAUGUGGGAUUUACCUCACCAUUUCCGCCAAGCCAAUAGACGUUAUGUGGAUCAAAGCUCACAAUUCAGGGAAGUUUUUUUUGCCUUUAAUCUUUUAUCCUUACGCUUUAAUUUUUAUGUGAGCUUUGAUUAUCUUACAUUGGGGACAAUGUAAGUUCUUGGUGUGGGGGAGGGAUUUUUGCAUUAUUGAUGUCUGGAAUUAUUAUUUUCACUCUACUCAUCUAUUUUCACUCUACUCGUCCUUAAAUGAUUUUGGAGUUAGUAUGCUUCAUAUAUUAUUAAUUUCCUUUUCCUUUCUCUCUCACUACUCUUUUCCCAUCUAUCUCAAAUUAUUUACAUCUAUUUUUUUUUCUAUCAUACUCUUUCAUCACUUACAUUUUAUCUUUCAUUUUUUUACUACAUACAUCUUUCUCGCUUAUUAUUUUUUUACCUUUCUUUUUAUAUCUCACUCAUACCUUCUUCUCAUUCUACACCACUCUUGAUGGUUGAUUCAUUUGAAGAGUGUACAUGAUUUGAUGGCAAAUUUACCAACUUUGUGAGGAUUUGAGCCUGUGAGCAACCACUUUGCUCUAAUUAUUUUUGUUAUGUGAAUAUCAAUCUUAGUUUGUAUAUUCUAGAACUUGCUUUGUUAAGCAUGUUGAAGCCACAUUACGGGAUUUUAUGCAUUAAAAUGAUAAGGGCAAACCAUUUACCAUUUUUCUAUUCUCGCAUUUUCUUUUUUCUCUACCCGAAGACCUUUAUUUGCUACCUUUGUUUGAGCCUUAACCAUUACCCAUCUAAUUCUUUCCAUCUACUUAACCAUUUUUCUUCUUUUUGAGCCUAAUUUAAGGAGAUAUUUGGACUCAUUGUGUGGAUAUAUUUUGUUGCUUUUUCUACCUUGUAUUAAAGUUUCUCAAUUAGAUCAACAAGCAUUAUGCUUGAAUUAAAUUGUGCAAGGUUCGUUUCUUUUGUUUGAUUAAAAAAAAACAACAAAAAAAAGGAAAAAGAAAAAAAAGUGAAAAAAAAAUCGAAAAAAAAAAUUGAAAAAAAAGGUUUACAUUCUUGGUGACUUGAGUAGAAAUAAGCAUUUUGAUAUCAUAAGUUCAUUCAAUGAGUUCAUUCUUCUCAUUUUGAUCUCUUUUUCUUUCAUAAACCUUUCUUUUUUAUUUAACCUAUUUAACUCCAUUACAACCCUUUUAAGACCCUUAAUUUUUUGCAUUUUAUUUAUGUUUUAUGGAUUGAGAUGUGAUAUAUGAGCAAGCUUAUGGUAAUAGCAUUCUUUGAUUUGAUUUGAGUGAAUAAAUGACACCCUAAACACUUUGAGUGCAUGGAGUGAAGUCAAUGAGAGGGCUAUUAAAUCUUGUUGCACUUGAAUUUUGAAUGGAUCUUCUUGGUGGUUGAAUGUUCUUAUUCUAUCUUAUGAGAUUCUAUGCUUUAAAAUCCUUGCCUCUCGAAUGUUGAUCGACUUAAAUUCUUGAGGUAUGCUUGCUUAAAAUUGUUUUUGGAUGAGUUGAGAUGAAAAUUGAGUGGAGAUUUGGGAUUAGUCUUGAGUUAUAUGCUUGAGGACAAGCAUCAUCUUGGUGUGGGGAAUUUGUUAGAGUGCAAUUUAUGCACUAGUUUUGCAUUGUUUACUUCCCUUAAUAUCGAUGUUUUGCACUUAAUAAUAAUGAUUUACUUGUGUUUUACUUUUGUAGGUGCAAUUCUAUUGAUUCUUGAUAAAAUUGAGUUAUACGAUGAUGUUUAAAGAUGAUUGUUCUCUUGGAGAAAUUUAGAGAGUCAUAAGAACUUUGUUGAUACGGCGUGGGUUCUUGCUGUCAACUGCGGACCUGCAGUUUUUAGUUUAACAUGUUUUGUAUUUUUGGUUAUUUUUGUAAUUAUGAAUUUAAUAUUUCAGAUAUUAGUAUUUUAUUUUAAAUAGAACUCUAAAAGAGAAGAGUGAGAGAGUAUUUAAGGGAGGAAUCUAUUGUGAAAAAGGAUUUGGAUUGGAGAAAAAGAAAGAAACCCUAGAUCUAAUUUUUCUCUUCUCUCUAGGAAGAACUAAACUUAUUUUUCUGGUUGAAGGUUAAUAAAGCUUUGAUUCAUCACUACUGUGAGAUCUUUCUUAUGCUUUAGUUGUUUUAUUACUCUUUGGGUAUUUGUUUAUUCUCUGAAUUAGUUUCAUGAUUAUGUUUGUUAAUUAGGUAAUUGGCCACUAUUUAAUUAUCAACUUAAUCUAUUGUCAAUUAAAGGAUUCAUCGUAUGAAGAUUUUAAUGUUUGUGACAAAUAACAUAGUAGUGAGUUGUGUUAUGAGAAUAAACAAUCUAAUUUAAAUGAAUCAUCAUAUGUGUUGAUUAGGAUUUGGGUCUCUCUUGUUUUUCAGGCUGUCAAUUGAUUAAAUCCUAUGAUCGUAUCUAGGGUUGUCUAUUGAUUAGGGAAAUAUCCAACGGUCGUACCUUGGUUAUUGACUAUUUAAGGAGAGAUUGGCAAUUAGAGGGUCUCAAUAGCUAUAACCGGUCUAUUCAUAAGUAAUAAUAAUCUAUAUUUGAAUCAAUGAUCAGUAGUCAAAUCAAGCUGAGUUAAUUUCUUCAACCAGAGCUUUCUCCAAUUUGAAUUACAACUUUAAUUUGCAUUCUUGUUAUUUUAAUUUGAUUUUUAUUAUUGUCAACAAAACCCCCAUUUUAUGUUUUACGUUUUAAAAGGAUUUAAAUAAUUACCGAUCUCUAUGGACACGACCCUGCUCAAUCACUAUACACAAUUUAUUUAGAGUAGUAAUUUAUUUUUGUUGGCUUCGACAACCAUCAAUUACUUGCCACCUGGAUCGAUUACAACAUGGAAUGGUUUGAAGAAGCAGUUCCUUGAGAAGUACUUUCCUGUUGUAAGAGCUGCCAACAUCAGAAAAGUCAUUUGUGGGAUCAGACAACUUCUUGGGGAGACUUUGUAUGAGUAUUGGGAGCGAUUCAAACAAUUGUGUGCCAGCUGUCCUCAGCAUCAGAUUUCUGAUCAACUUCUUAUUUAAUAUUUUUACGAAGGACUGUCAUUGAUGGACAGGAGUAUGAUAGAUGCUGCUAGUGGAGGUGUGUUGGUGAACAAGACCCCUACUCAAGCAAGGGAGUUGAUUGCAAAUAUGGCUGCCAAUGCACAACAAUGUGGCAGCAGGUAAGAUCUCACUUCAAGGAAGGUGAAUUAGGUAAAUAUUUCUUCUGUUGAACAACGUUUAGAUAAACUUACUUCUCUUGUGGAAAAGUUUGUUGUAGGUAAUGUGCAACAGGUGAAGACUUGUGGCAUUUGUUACAAUAUGGGUCAUUCAACCGAUAUGUGUCCUACAUUUCAAGAAGAACCCGUUGAACAAACCAAUGCAGUUAGAGGAUUUCCAGGCAUGCCUUAGAGGAGGUAUGAUCCUUAUACACAAACAUACAAUCCGGGAUGGAAGGAUCAUCCCAACUUCAGCUAUGGAGUUAGACCAUCAUGAUUCCCGCAACAGUAUCCACCAAGACAACCAGCACCUCCACAGUCAAACUCCAAGUCAGGUAUAUCUCUUGAAGAAAUUGUUAAAUCACUUGUGACUAACACUCAACAAUUUCAACAGGCAACUACAGCAAGCAUUCAGAAUUUGGAGAACCAAAUGAGUCAAUUGGCGACUACAGUGAGCCGUCUGGAGUCUCAAGUAUUAGGGAGAUUGCCUUCACAAUCUGAGGUGAAUCCAAAGUAAAACGUUAGUGCUGUCAUCCUUAGAAGAGGGAAGGAGUUGCAAGAUCCCAGUAAGAAAGUGACAAAGCAUGUAGAAGAUGAGUUUGAGAAGAAUGAAUUGAUGCCUAAAUCUCAAGAUGCGCAACCCACCAAAGCGAAACCCCUACCUAUUGUGAUACCUCCUCCUUUCCUAAGCCGGUUUGCAAAAUCCAAGAAGGAGGAACAAGAGAAAGACAUCCUUGAGACAUUUCGCAAGGUUAAGGUAAAUAUUCCUUUAUUAGAUGCUAUAAAACAAAUACCUCGAUAUGCUAAAAUCCUUAAGGAACUAUGCACCUCCAAGAGAAAAGUAAGAGGAGAUGAAAAAGUUCACAUGGGGGAGAAUGUUUCAGCAAUUCUCCAAAAGAAACUACCUCCUAAGUGCAAGGAUCCAGGUAUGUUUACUAUCCCUUGUAAAAUUGGUAGUGUUAGAGUUGAAAAUGCUAUGUUAGAUCUAUGAGCUUUUAUUAAUGUCAUGCCUCGUUCCAUUUAUUCAUCUUUGAAUGUUGGGCCAUUAAAAGAAACUGGCGUGAUAAUUCAACUAGCUGAUAGGUCUAAUGUAUAUCCUGAUGGGGUAUUAGAAGAUGUUUUAGUACAAGUUAAUGAGUUGGUUUUUCCUGCUGAUUUUUAUGUACUUGAUAUGGAAGAGGAUAACUCCUCUAAUUCUGUCCCAAUUUUGCUAGGAAGACCUUUUCUUAAGACUGCUAGGACUAAAAUGGAUGUACAUAAAGGGACUCUCACUAUGGAGUUUGAUGGAGAGGUUAUAGAAUUCAAUAUGAAUGAUGCCAUGAAAUAUCCUAGUGAAGAACAUUCGGUAUUUUCUGUGGAUGUUAUUAACCCUAUAGUGCAGGAAGUUUUUUACAAGAAAAAGACGAAGAUAUUUCAUGAUAGAAUGAUUUUGAGAAAGGAGUUCUUUGUUGGUCAAAAAGUUCUUCUUUUUCAUUCUGAGCUUAAACUUUUUCCGGGUAAAUUACGUCCUUGCUGGGUUGGACCUUUUAUUGUUACUAAUGUUUUUCCUCAUGGUGCAGUUGAGAUUCAGAGUUCGACCUCUGACAAAGUUUUUAAGGUUAAUGGUCAUCACUUAAAACCUUUUUAUGAAGGUUUUUCGGUGAAUAUUGUGGAGAAUGUGGCUCUCGAGAGUCUCAAUUAUGGAGAUUGAUGCAUAAACGUGUCUAGCCAAAGACAUAAAACAAAGGCGCUUUUUGGGAGGCAACCCAAAUGAUUUAUUUAUUUUGGUUUUUGUUAUAUCUUCUUUUAGUUUUGAUUCAGAUUAUUUUUUGAAAAAAAAUAAUGUGUUUGCUUAUUUUGGUCAGAAGAAAAUUUUUGAUAAGGCGUGCUCACGUCUUAACUAAUAAGUACUUCUGUGAUUUUUAAAGUAAAAUGGUUUUAAGGCGUGCCCACGUGCUUAUUAGAAAAGUACUUCUGAAUUUUUUUUUAGUGUCUCAAAGUGAUUCAUCACUAAAAAAAAAUGAAAAAAAAAAUUAUUUAUUUAUUUAUUGAUUUGAAAAUUAAAAAAAAAAGAAAAAAAGAGUUUUUUUCUUCUUUUUCUUCUUUUCUUUCUUAUAUAUAUUUAUUUAUUUUAAAAAAUAAAAAAUCACUAUUCACAAAUCCCUAAUUCAAAAAUUACUGUUGAUUAUCGUUUUCCAGCAGCGCGCCUCGGCUCCAGCCUUCACUGAGCAACCAGCAGCAGCAGACGAGCACGCUCAGCCCCAGCCGCAGCGCGCAGCAUCAGCCCUAGCCGCAGCACACAGCAUCAGUCCCAACCGUAGCGCGCAACGUAACGCAACCAGCGUCACCAGCGCAGUAGAACCAACCCCAACCCGUGCAUCAAGCUACAGCCGAGCAGCAAUCGUCCGCAACCCGCCUACGCACUGUAUUCCAACCGGGUAAAUCGAAAUCCGUGAGUGCAAUUAUUAUAACAAUGCCGAAGAGGAAAGCAUCAACUUCCAAGUCAUCUAAAAAGACACCCGUCGCAAAGAAGUCCAAGAUUGCCGCUCCCACUACGGUUCCAUGGAACACAGUUUCAGAUUCACGCCAAGCCGUGAGACAAAGAACGAAACAUGGAAAGGGCAUGAGUGUUUUACUACUUGCGGAAUCCAAUCUUGGAGGGGGCCUCGCAUUCACGACUCAACAAGAGAAAGAAAGGUACAAAGAUAUUUCCAAGCAAAAAAUACUUCCAGCUAAGUAUAUUCAUUACCCGACUCUUGAAAAAUUGAAUGUUAAGGAUAAUUUUGAUUCUUUGAUAGAUAAGAUUGGUUUGCGUAAGUUUGUUGAUGUUGAUUGUUUGAGUUAUGUUGAGUUGAUUAGGGAGUUUUAUGCUACUUUUCAAUUUAAUAUACCGUAUGAUUUUACUUUGCAUACCCCGGAUAUUAUAAAGUUUAGGUUAAUGGGAUGGAGUUUUUCACACUCGAUCAUAGAUUUUAACCUAGCUUUAGGAUUCAUUGAUGAUGAUUAUUCUUCUAGUGAUGCAUAUUUAGGAACAACUUGUGACUUUAGCGAAAAUUUUGAGCCUUAUGGUCUUUGGCGUAAUUUAUCUGUUGAUCACAAUGCCUAUAACCCAAGUAAAUCAAUGAGUUCUUUCUUACGUGACCCUGUUUUGAAAUGUGUGCAUCGAUUCUUAGCAUAUAAUUUUUUAGGAAAGAAAGAUCACUCAGGAGUUUUCUCUAAAACUGAAUUUUAUUUUAUCUGGUUUAUGUUAAAUGAUGUGAGGCCUAAUUUAGGUUUUUGGUUAGUAGAUCAAUUUCAAAGUGUGCUUAAACGGUAUAGGACUUUAUUUCUUGGUCCAUACAUUACUCGGUUAGCUAUAAACUUAUGUGUGCUUGAUCCUAACAAUAAUGAUUUGCAUCCUGCUUGCAAAAAGGAAUUUUUGGAUAUAUCUGUGUUUGAAAGAACAGGUGUAGUCGAAUUCAAGGAGGGGAGAUUUCAGUUUACUGAACCAGGACCCACUCAACUUCCAAAAAAGCUUUAUGCUAGGAGUGGUGCUACCUCUGAUGACGAGUUUGACGACAAAACUGCUGCCUCACCAACUAUUCCUUCUACAUCCGCACCACCUUUGAGCAUUCAGUUAGAGAAAAUGGAGCACAAGCUGGACAAGAUGGAGCAGAAUUUGGCCGCAUACUUCGAGAGUGUGAGAUUUAUCCCACCAUUUCCGCUAAGCCCAUAGACGUUAUGAGGAUCAAAGCUCACAAUUCAGGGAAGUUUUUGCCUUUAAUCUUUUAUCCUUACACUUUAAUUUUUAUGUGAGCUUUGAUUAUCUUACAUUGGGGACAAUGUAAGUUCUUGGUGUGGGGGAGGGAUUUUUGCAUUAUUGAUGUCUGGAAGUAUUAUUUUCACUCUACUCAUCUAUUUUCACUCUACUCAUCCUUAAAUGAUUUUAGAGUUAGUAUGCUGCAUAUAUUAUUAUUUUUCUUUUCUUUUCCUUCUCACUACUUUUUUCCCAUCUAUCUCAAAUUAUUCAUAUCUAUUUUUAUUUUACCAUAUUCUUUCAUCACUCACAUUUUAUCUUUCAUUUUUUUUCUACAUACAUCUUUCUCGCUUAUUAUCCUUUUUACCUUUCCUUUUAUAUAUCACUCAUACCUUCUUCUCAUUCUACACCACUAUUGAUGGUUGAUUCAUUUGAAGAGUAUACAUGAUUUAAUGGCAAAUUUACCAACUUUGUGAGGAUUUGAGCCUAUGAGCAACCACUUUGCUCUAUUUAUUUUUGUUAUGUGAAUAUCAAUCUUAGUUUGUUUAUUCUAGAACUUGCUUUGUUGUGCAUGUUGAAGCCGCAUUACGGGAUUUUAUGCAUUAAAAUGAUAAGGGCAAACCGCUUUCCAUUUUUCUAUUCUCACAUUUUUCUUCUUUUUCUCCACCCGAAAACCUUUAUUUGUUAUCUUUGUUUGAGCCUUAAACAUUACCCAUCUAAUUCUCUCCGUCUACUUAACCAUUUUUCUUCUUUUUGAGCCUCAAUUUAAGGAGAUUUUUGGACUCAUUGGGUGGAUAUAUUUUGUUGCUUUUUCUACCUUGUAUUAAAGUUUCUCAAAUAGAUCAACAAGCAUUAUGCUUGAAUUAAAUUGUGCAAGGUUCGUUUUUGUUGUUUGAUUAAAAAAAAAGGAAAAAAACAAAAAAAAAAAAGAAAAAAAUGUUUACAUUCUUGGUGACUUGAGUAGAAAUAACCGUUUCGAUAUCAUAAGAUUCAUUCAAUGAGUUCAUUCUUCUCAUUUUGAUCUCUUUUUCUUUCAUAGACCUUUCUUUUUCAUUUAACCCAUUUAACCCCGUUACAACCUUUUUAAGACCAUUAGAUUUUUGCAUUUAAUUCAUGUUUUGUGGAUUGAGAUGUGAUAUAUAAGCAAGCUUAUGGUAAUAGCAUUCUUUGAUUUGAUUUGAGUGCAUAAAUGACGCCCUAAACACUUUGAGUGAAUGGAGUGAAGUCAAUGAGAGGGCUAUUAAAUCUUGUUGCACUUGAAUUUUGAAUGGAUCUUCUUGGCAGUUGAAUGUUUUUAUUCUAGCUUAUGAGAUUCUAUGCUUUAAAAUCCUUGUCUCUUGAAUGUUGAUCGACUUAAAUUCUUGAGGUAUGCUUGCUUAAAAUUGUUUUUGGAUGAGUUGAGAUGAGAAUUGAGUGGAGAUUUGGGAUUAGUCUUGAGUUAUAUGCUUGAGGACAAGCAUCAUUUUGGUGUGGGGGAAUUUGUUAGAGUGCAAUUUAUGCACUAGUUUUGAAUUGUUUACUUCCCUUAAUAUCGAUGUUUUGCACUUAAUAAUAGUGAUUUACUUGUAUUUUAUUUUUAUAGGUGCAAUUCUAUUGAUUGGUGCAAAAAUUGAGCUACAAGAUGAUGUUUAAGGAUGAUUAUUCUCUUGGAGAAAUUAUGAGCGUCAGAAGAACUUUGUUGAUAACGCGUGGGCGCGUGCUUUCAUCUACGGACCUGUAGUUUUUAAUUUAAUGUGUUUUGUAUUUUUGGUUAUUUUUAUAAUUACGAAUUUAAUAUUUCAGAUAUUAGUAUUUUAUUUUAAAUAGAACUCUAGAGGAGAAGAGAGAUAGAGUAUUUAAGGGAGGAAUCUAUUGUGAAAAAAAGGAGAUUUUUGGAAAAGAAAGAAACCCUAGAUCUAAUUUUUUCUCUUCUCUCUAUGAAGAACUAAACCUAUUAUUCUGGUUGAAGGUUAAUGAAGCUUUGAUUCAUCACUACUGUGAGAUCUUUCUUAUGCUUUAAUUGUUUUAUUGCUUUUUGGGUAUUUGUUUAUUCUCUGAAUUAUUUUCAUGAUUAUGUUUGUUAAUUAGAUAAUUGGCCACUAUUUAAUUAUCAACUUAAUCUAUUGUCAAUUAAAGGAUUCAUCGUAUGAAGAUUUUAAUGUUUGUGACAAAUAACAUAGCAGAGAGUUGUGUUGUGAGAAUAAACAAUCUAAUUUAAAUGAACCAUCGUAUGUGUUUGUUGAUUAGGAUUUGGGUCUCUCUGGUUUUUCAAGCUGUCAAUUGAUUAAAUCCUAUGAUCGUAUCUAGGGUUGUCUAUUGAUUAGGGAAAUAACCAAUGGUCAUACCUUGGUUAUCGACUAGUUAAGGAGAGAUUGGCUAUUAGAGGAUCUCAGUAGCUAUAACCGGUCUAUUCAUAAGUAGUAAUAAUUUAUAUUUGAAUCAAUGAUCAGUAGUCGAAUCAAGUUGAGUUAAUUCCUUCAACCAGAGCUUUCUCCAAUUUGAAUUACAACUUUAAUUUGCAUUCUUGUUAUUUUAAUUUGAUUUUUAUUAUUUUCAACAAAACCCCCAUUUUAUAUUUUACGUUUUAAAAGGAUUUAAAUAAUUACCGAUCUCUGUGGGCACGACCCUGCUCAAUCACUAUACACAAUUUAUUUAGAGUAGGUAUUUAUUUUUGUCGGCUUCGACAACCAUCAUUUUGUUUCUUUAUGUAAUUUUUAGACUGCUCUGACAACUCAUCUUAAAGGUGCCACUCAUCCAAUAUGAUAUGGUGACAGUAGUUUAGAGUUUUAAACUAAAUGCAGAGCUAAUAGUAUUUUGGAAAUAUAAUCAUCCUAAGAUACUAACAAAAACAACAACUUCGGUGUAGAGAGAAAAUGAUUUCACAAAAGCAGAUGUUUUGAUUUAAGUCUCCAAAACCCCCACCAAAGAAAUGUUCAACGGAUAUAGAAAUAUGAUCCACAUAUCUGUAACUUAAACUGUGAAAUUUGUUGAUGCUGUUCUAAAAUUGCCACAAUCUAUCUACCCCAUGAAUGUUAUUGGAUAAAACAACAAGCAGGACCCAAUGCCUGUUUUCUAAUAGCUUCAAAAAGGCCAAAUUGGUUUUGAAAUGUCUCCAGCUUUUCAUUUAACAAGUUUAAGGAUCCCUUCGGCAUUGCAAUUGGGGAGCUCAGAUAUAUAAAAGUCUGGUAAACUCUUACAGCCGCAGCUUUUGAGCAAAAAUAAUUUUAUCUCAUAAUAUUUUGACAAAAAACUUAUAUCACCUUUUAUCAGUUUUGUAAAAAAUAUUAUUUAUAAGUCAUAUUUACCAAACACAAUCAACUUUUACAUCACAAUUAUAGCUUCUUUUUUUUCACCACACAUAUACAGUUAAAAUCUACAAGAACUCGAUAUCAAAUAGAUCCUAAAGCUUAAUCUAAUAAAAAGGUAAAUAAACAAAUGCAGAAGCCAGCGUACUUGAUCAAGACGCUCUGAAUAGUCACUGGGAAAGGGAAUAUCGACGUUAAUGGGGUUAUUGCCAUCGCUUGAAACCGAAUUGGUGAGACAAUUGCGUUUUCUUCUGUACGGAGAAAAUGUGACGAUUCUUUGACCACUGAAAAUUUCGAUUCUACAAUUUACCUGCAAUUAGUGACAAUUAUUCCGUUUAGAAACAAUUUUAAAAAAAAUAAAAAGUAAUAAUUACAAACUCAGAGUAUACCUGUGGACGUGGAAUUGAAGAAACUGGAAUAGGAAGCGUAGGGAGGGCAAUGGCUGUAUUGGAGGAUAACGGCAUUUUGAACCUCAAAGUAAAGAGAGAGAGAGAGAAGAAACGCUUCCCUUUCAAAUACCGCGCUCUUUUGUACCUGGGAAUUUAACUAAUUCAUGCGAAUAAAAAAAUUUAUAAAUUUGGUAAAUUAUUUAUUAAAAAAUAUUGAGAGGUUGUGCAUUAUUUUAUUAGUAAUGACAUGGUAAUAAUCAAAUUAGUUAAAUUAAAAUAGUUGUUGACUCAGUAAUUUAUUUUUAUUAUUUUUAUAUAUUUAUUUAAUUAAUUAAUUAAUGUUAUAUCUAUUUAUAUAAAAAUGUACAGUUCUAUCCUCACUCUUAUUUUAUUUUUAUUAUUUUAAAAAAAAUGGUCUGCGUUAUUAAGGUUAAGGGUGACAACUGGGAUUAAUAUACGGUUUAUUCGAGUGCUUAAAACCUAAUAAAUAUCCACUAACUCAUAUAUAGUAAAAAUAUAAUUAUUUUAAAAAAAAUUAAUAUAAACUAAACAAAUUGAUUGGAUUUUGUUUCUCAAGGUACAUCAUUAGAACGUUACUUUUAACUGAACAAAAGCACACAUAACUAGCACAUUCGCCACAAAAGCCUCGGCUUAGUGGUCGGCUUAUUAAUUAUCCUAAUUAAAUCAUGGUCAUAAAUUUGAGUCCCGGCAGGAAUUAUUAGGCUAGGUAGCUUUUAUAGACUACACUAUAAAUACAUGUAUUUUAAUUCUCGCGGGUAUUGCUUCUAGUAGUUAUCCAUCCGAGUAUAGUGCUUUGUAGCUUUCUUCACGACCUUCCCCAAUUUCAAUGAUUGUUAAUCAAUCUUCAUAGAAAAUGUGAUAAGACUGUAUUUAGAGAAAAGCUCAAUAAAUGAUUUUUAUAGGUCAUCAUUUCAUUUAAUUUUCCGUUAUAUAUAUAUAUUCACCUUUCUCAGAGGCCAAGAAGUCUUCGACAGAAAUGUGAUCCUUGAGCUUCUCCCAAGUUUCAAUUAAUUCGCUUUGAGUGAGGAUAUUUUCUGGUGGCCUCAAAUACAAUGUUUUGUUCAGUACUCGAGGAGCAUUUAUUGUCUUAAUAGUAUUUAUGGCAACAUCAUCGAUAUGCACAGUAAAAAAAAAGAUAAUCAUUUUGUUUAAUAUGAACAUAAAUUGUCAAAUUCUGAAUCAUAUUAUAGUGAACGAUAUUGUCGUAUGGUGUGUGUAUGUACUAUCUAUAGUUUUAAUAUUAUUAAUAAGGAGUUAAAAGUCUUGAUUUAAUUUUAAAUUGUUAUUCCUCUAACUUCACCGUCUCCAUAGAUGCAGACUCUAUCUUUUGAAGGGCGGGGGUAGCUAUAUUUGAGAGAGGUGUCUGGGGAACCAACCAGCAAAAAAUAGCUAGCAGAAACAUAAAUGACAAGGAUUUGAGCAGCCUUGAUUGCCCUUCUCACACAUGCGCUCUGUGUUCUCCCUCCAGCUCUCACUCACUCACGCCCAAAUCUCACCUCACUCACGUAUCUCUCCUUUCUGACCGGUGGUUUUCUCUCUCUCGCCGUGGGUCUCUAGGCUGGCGGGGAUUUCUCGACUUGACUACUAAAACAUAAUCCAAAAACUAUCUCGACUUGACUACUAAAACAUAAUCCAAAAACUACUAAGAUAUAUAUAUAUUACUAUGAUAUACACAAUAUGAAGAAACUGCAGUUAUAUUUCAAAUAUUUUAUGAAGGAAGAGGCUGUAUGGAUUAUCCAAAGGUGCUGAAAUUAAGAGACCCACGCCAACCGACAGAGUGAGUGAAUAUAAGGGGGUUAUUGGGUAAAAAUCACAUAACGCGCAAGCGAAAUUUUAGAUUAUAUUUUUUAAUACUCUCCGAGUCUCUCUUUCUCUUUCUUUUUUGGUUUGAACCACGAGGUGGUCCUGAGUGGGUCCCAACUAUGGAAAGCACUUUUAAGCCCGUACCACAACUUAGACUAAUCCCCACUCGCACCGGGUCGGCCCGUAAGGGGUAAAGUGCUGGGCAAAGUGGUGACUCCAUACGAGAGCGGGACUUGAACCCCUGACCUCUCUUAAGGAGUGAGAGUGCCGAACCACUCACACCAACCAACUUUGGUUAACUCUCUUUCUCUUUUUCUUUUUUUAAAUAAAUGUCAGUAUAAAAUUAGAAAAUUUUAGAUAUAAAAUUUGGCGAUGACCAAACAAAAAUUGCAGGGGAAACCUUGAUAUCAUUGAAAUACUAAUCAUAGACACUGCAGUAUAAAUAACUUCUUGUGAUCUACUCAACUUUAACACUUUAAUCCAUAUUCUAAAAUUUGCAUGUUUGUUAGGAUUUUUAUUAUUGAUACUGUUGUAUCAAUAAAAUUAUAAUUUAUUCAUAUGGAAUGAAAACAUCAAGAAAGGACCUCUGAAGUUUAUUAUAACAGAAAAAAAUGGUCCAUAAGUCUAUUUAUUAUUUUAUUUAUUCAAUACAAAUGGCCAACUUUAAAAAUGGUAAAAGUCACACAAUGCACAAGUAAAAUUUUAGAAUUAAAUUUUUUAAUUCUCUUUGAGUCUCUCUCUCUUUAAAAAAUAAACCUCACUGUAAAAUUAGAAAAAUUUUAGACGUAAAAUUUGACAAUCACCAAAUAGAAAACAUAGGCAAAUGAAAAUGGAGGAGCCCUAUUUUCAUUAGAAUAUUGAUCAUAGAUACUAUAAUGUAAAUCAUUUGUUGUGGUUCAUUCAACCUGUCACACUCUAAGCCAUUUUCUAAAAUUUGUAAGGUUUAUAGGAUUUUUAUUAUUGCCAUCAUUGUAUCAAUAAUAUUAUAAAUUAUAUAUUCUAUUGUAAUGAAAAUUUGUGCAAUCUUAGGUAUGUAUUAUAUUAAAUUGUGUGGAUUAAUUAAGAAUAUUUUUGGAGACAAAAGAAGUGUGUGUAUGUAAGAAUAAUGAUAAAAAAUUUCUAAAUAAAGGUGAUUGCUUCAUUGACAAGUACAUAUUUAUAUUCCUCUAUUAGUAUUUGGGUUGUAAACUCUGUUUAUAAAGUGAAUAUAUUGUGGUAAGCGAUGUGGGAAAUAUCGGAUGCGAAAUAUUGAGAGAUCAUUAACGCAUAUAUUUAUUGAAGAUGCAUAUAGAGGAAAGAGUGUAGAUCCGGCCGUAACACUUAUGAAGCUUUCCCUAAGUAUUCUCAUGCUUGCUUAACUAUUCCGAAGUAUUUUUCAUAGUGUGCAUAUUUACUUUAUGGUGUCUUUAUUCGUCUCAAAUGAUUACUACAGUUCUUUUGGGAUGAAAGGUCAUUUAUUUUGUUAAUUUUAAACAAUAGAAAAAAUAAAUAAUGGUAACGAAAGACUAAUUGUGAUAUUGAAGCGUACGGACUUUAACUCAAUCCAAAAAUUAGUAGGACCCACAUAUAUUUGAUGACGCUGAAAGUUACAUCAAUUGUAACUUAGAAACAUCCAAAUAUUAGACAAUAAUACACAAUAACAAUGCAUAUAAUUUGGGUUUGAUUUUUAAAAAAUUAUUUGAAUAUCACUUAUCCUUAAGAUAUUAAUUUGAAUAUAUUUUAAUAGUAAAUAAUAAAAAUUUGUUUAGUUAUUAUUUGUAUUUCAUACAUUGCAUGUUAGAUUUGUUUGAAUUUUAAGUUGUUGCGAAUAAAUAUUUAUGUUGUGAAAGUCGAAUUCAAUAGCUACAAAAGCAGAGAUAAUUGUAUUUUAUAUAGUUUUUAAGAAUACAAGGAUAAGAUCAUAACGCAUGAGAUAACGGUAUUUUAUAUUAAAAGACCAUAAUGCAUGUAUUUGAGCCAUUUAUAUUGAAGACACAUAUAGAGGAAUGAGUGCAGAUCCGACCAUAACUAUUGUGAAGCUUUCCUCAAGUAUUCUCAUGCACCCAAACCUUAUCUGGUCAAGGUUUCUGAUUGAAUAUAAUCAAUUUCCGUGCAGUACCGAAGACAGCUUCUGUUGGUAGUUGAAUUUGUGGGGAAUGACAAAUGUAGAGAAAUACAACAAUAAUGGUGGAACUUUAUUACGUAAAGUAAUGUGUUUACAACUAACUCUGUAUGUAGUAAGAAAAAUAAUAGUAAUAAGUAAACUUGCAAAAAUUUUGUGUGCUUGAAGGCACGUUACAAAUGUCGCUUUCCUUAAGACGUUAUUUGCCCCCACCAAUUGAGUGAUGCACAUGGGUUAAGCAAAUACGCAUCCAGGAUACAAUGAAGCACUUGUUUGUUUGCUAGUGUUGUGCAUCAACGAAAGCAAACCAGAAUACUCUUGAAUGUUGCAAGCCUGCCAAGAAACAAUAAAUUGUUCCUGCAGAAAACAAUAUAUUGGAUUGUGAAUGCACAAAAGAAAUGGGUGUUUUGUGUUGAAAUUCGUACUAGAAAGGAAUGCUAAGAAAAGAGUGGUGUAGGAUCAUUGAUUUCAUGUCUAAAUGGCUUAAACAUGACCCCUAUUUAUGGAUAUACUUGUGCCCCCUCAUUUGGGUUGUCAUCUUCAUGAUACCCCUUCAUUCAUGGCCAUUGGAUCUAUAUUUAAUUUUAAUCAAUGGUCCAAAUUGAACCAUCACCAUUUCAAAUGAAAUGUCACCAUGAAAUGAUGCAUCUCUAAGUGAAAUGUUACCAUGAAAAGUUAUAUCAUUUAGUAAAAAGAUACAUUUUCUAUAAGACAUAAUUAAAUAGACAUGUCCUUACAACAAGACAUCAUUUAAUUAGACAUGUCUUUAGUGAAAUGUACUUUUUCUAUAAGGCAGAAUUAAUAAGACAUGUCUUCACCAUAAGACACAAUUUAUUUUGAAAAUUUUCCAACAGCUUAUCUGUAAAGCUCUUCAACCACAAGCAUUUCUACAAGGCAAAAGACUAGGACGUGUUGGAAUGAAUAUCAAUAAGGGAAUGUCUUAUGAAUUUGGUUUAUAUCCUAAUAUAAGACAAUCAAUAAAUAUUGGAUGCAAUCUAAGGGCUAACAUUUGAUUGAUCAUUGUACGAAAAAAAAAGGUACAAAAAUACAAAACAGAGCUGAUUGAUGGCCUUUAACAGUCAGUUCUAUGACAAAGUAACCACCACAACAAAUGGAAUUAUAAGACAUCAAGAAACUUGAACUUGGCAGGAGGUCUCAUUAGCAGUAUACCUCAGAAAUUAAGACAGAGACUUUAAAAUGCAAGCUUAUGGAGUAAUUUAAGCACUGAAACUAAUAACAGUGAUGCAAAAAAAGGUGCAGAAGUACGGUAUUAGCAAUUGACCUCUGCUUUUGCUUGGACAAAGGUUUUCAUCACAAGGGACUCAUUAGUUGCCCUUGCCUCACACGAUUGGAUGCUAAGGGGAAAAAGGAAGCUUCUAACGGCAUUCACAGAGAACCUAUAAAACUAAAAAAAAAAAAAAUCAUCCAUGAAAAGGCUACUAACAAAAAAACUAACUCUUUUAUCUGCCACUGACCUAAUCCGCACUCAUUUAAUUAAAAAAGAAUUAAAAGCAAAACUAAAAGAUACAAAUUGCGUACAAGUCUAGGAGCCAUAUCAAAGGCGUUAUAUAACUUUUCCAAUUAAUAAAUUCUCUUAAGGGCCAUACCGUGCUCAUCAUUUCAAAAGCAAUUAAGGAUAAGAACUUUCAUCAUUAAUUGAUAUGGCCAGUGUAGAAAAAAUGAAAAAGCCCUCCAAGAUCAAAGCACAAGGAUCAGUUUAGAAUUACACUUUUUAAAUUUUGGUUAAUAAAUAAACGUUUAUAUGAAAAUAGAAAAUCUUUUUGGAAUAACCUUUUUUUUUCUUUUUUUAAUGAAUGUGGAUAUAAAAUUUUAAAAUCGCCAAACCGAAAAGAAAAACAGGGGAAUGAAAAGAGAGCCCACGUUUCUCCUCUCUUUUGUUUUUAUUGUUAUCAAACAGGGGAAUGAAAAGAGUGCUCUGUUUCUCCCCUGUUUUGAUUUUUUUAUUACUAAACAGGGGAAUGAAGAGAUCAGCUCUUGUCGCAAGCGCAAAUUUUUGUUUCUAAAUGCAGUUGGUUGUAACUAUAUUCGCAGUCCCUAGUACUUAGAAGUAAAGGCUCUUGGAAUUUCUAUUGUAGUACAUGAGAUGUUUCCCGUUCAAAUAGCUCGCCCGAUACCAUUAGCAUGUUCAUCUCUCUAUAGAUUGAUGUUGACAUAGAUGUUAUUCUACUUUUGCUAGUGGAGUUUUGGGCCUUGUCGUAAUUGGUGGAAUUACGACAUCGGUGGCUGACAUGGCUUUCCUUGUACAGGUAUGUAUGAUUGUUUUUUUUGCACGUCUAAAUGGCACUGUUGAAAAGCUUAAAAUUGAACUGAUAAUUUUGUUUGGAAGCUCAGAAAAUUCAUGAGAAAGUGAAAUAGAAUAUUCUGGAUUUCUUUUCUUUCCAUAACAUACAAAUGACAAACGUAGCAGUAUUUAUACUCGUUGCUUACAUCAUAAAAACAGAAUUAAAGCAAGUUAUACAACUAUAACAUAAUAAAAACCGUGCUUAACUAAUUGGCUGAGCUAGCAUAUACUUCUUUAACUAACACAUGCUUAUCGUGCAGCUACUCUUUAGUUCACACGUGCUCAGUGUGCUUCCUUAACAGACACAAGGGAAAAGACAUGAUUUUGAGAUAUAACGCUUGAAUGUUCUCGGAAUGGCAUAACGCUUUGUGUGUCUCGGACCUGUUAAGAAUAACAUAUGCUGAGUCAGCUGCUGAGUCAUCAAGCCACGCUGGAAGUUAGUUUUGCAGUUAGUUAGAGAGCUUAUCAGCUUCCCUCCAAAAGUUUGUUAUGUGUAUUAGAAUCUGGGCUCACGAGUUUUGUGAGAUUGUAACCUUAAGAAGAUUCUCACACUACUAUAAAUUGUAUUGUGACUCAAUUAAUAAAAUAAGUUGAAGCUUUGCAUUUUCUCUCAGUCAAAAUUUUCUCUCUGUUUUUCUAACCAAACAAGAUCUACAGAGCAUCUUGUAUUUUAACUUGGUAUCAGAGCUUGAAUCCAAUGGCCUUAAUCGGUUCCAAUCAACAGUCAAGCAACACUUCCAUAACUUCUUUCACCUUCACAAAUCCAAUUAAGCUUGAUCGUGCAAACUAUACGAUCUGGAAACAAUAAGUACUUUCUUCAAUUCGUGGCAAUGGUCUUGAAGGCUAUAUUGAUGGAUCAAGGAUCUGUCCUAGUCAAUUUCUUUCUCCAGAGGCUAGAUCUGAAGGUUCUUCUUCUUCUAACAUCGAAGGUCAAGAGAAUCCAGAGUAUGCAGCCUGGAGACGUCAAGAUUAGCUCCUGCUCAGCUGGAUUCUGUCGUCCAUGAAUGUAGAUAUUCUCAGUCUUGUGGUAAGCUCUAAGACUUCUUUUGAGUUGUGGAAAAAUCUAGAAAAAUAAUUUGGAUCUGAAUCUAUGGCUAAGAAGGUUCAUCUAAAAAUGCUUUUGAGUAACCUGCGAAAAGGAUCUCUAACCAUGUCUGAGUAUUUUACAAAGCUUAAGUCAGUUACAGAUGGUCUUGCUUUAGUUGGUAGCCCUGUGCAUGAUUCGGAUUUAGUCACUCAUCUUAUUACUAGUCUAGAUCAGUCAUAUUAUCCUGUAGUAGUCUAUAUUGAGGCAAACAUGUUGAAAAUGGAUCUUAGUGAGGCUUAUGCUAUGCUUCUCACACAUGAAGCUAGACUUGAGAAUAAUAAGCUUCAUGAUAGUAAGGAAACCAAGAACAAUUAUGCAGCAAAUGUAGCUCAGGCUGGAAAUUUUUCAAAGAAAGGUAAUAACAAUAAUCAAAACAACUGGAAGGCUGGAGGAAACAAUUGGAAUAAUAACUCUGGUGGAAGAGGUGGUUUUGGUGGUAAUGGAAGAGGUGGUUACCAAGGGUUCAAUCCAGGAAGAGGAAACUAGAAUAAUAAUAAUUUCAGAGGUGUUGCUGGUGGAUUUAAUAGUGGAUUUCCUGGUCCCGGUGGCUUCAAUAACAAUUAUGGCAGAGGUGGUUUCAACUCAGGAGGUGCUGGAAAGAAUUUUGCUCAGGGAACUGGUGCUGCUUGUCAGAUAUGCUUCAGGUUUAAUCACACAGCAGCUGAUUGCAGAGACAGGUUCAACCGAAAUUUUAUCCCAAAUUUUCCAGCUCCAGCUCCAAAUCACUUCUGUAAUCAGCAUCAAGGACCAAGAGCAGUCUUCAUAACAACAUCUGAAGGAGCUGCUGAUCAGGGAUGGUUUCUGGAUAGUGGUGCAACUCACCACUUAACCAACACAGUUCAGAAUCUGAGUGAUGGUAAAAUCUAUUUUGGCUCAAACUUACUUACUGUUGGUAAUGGCCAAGGUCUUAGAAUUACUCACAUAGGUUAUACACAACUUCACACUUCUUUUGGCACCUGUUUACAACUACAUAAUAUUUUGUGUGUCCCUCAAAUUACCAAGAACCUCAUUAGUAUUUCCAAACUCCUCACUGAUAAUGAUAUAACCAUUGAAUUUUUCUCUGAUGUUUGCUUUCUAAAGGACAAGGUGAAGGGCACUCUGUUGGCUCAGGGGAUAGCCUAUACAAGCUACUAUCAAAAGAGGAAUCUCUCUCUUCUUCCACUUCUGUUCUGCCAGUGUCUCAUCCUAGUUCUAUGAUGUCAACUCUUUCCUGCAAUAAUGUAGUUACUUCUGUUCAAAGUUCAAAUAAUGACUUCUGUUUUAAGUCUACAUUUCCUGUAAGCUUUCAAACUUCAAGUUAUGUGUCAGCAAAUAUGUUGCACAAUAGACUUGGUCAUCCAAGUAAACAUGUCAUACAAACUAUUCUCAGAAACAAUUGUUUAAUGUCAGCCAAUGUUAGUAAAUCAAAUUUUCUUUUCUGUGAUGCCUGUCAAUUGGGAAAGUUACAUCAAUUACACUUUCCUGCUACUGAAAUCAAAACAAAAAACCCCUUAGAAUUAAUACACACAGACUUAUGAGGACCAGCACCAGUUUUAUCACUAGAUGGCUAUAGAUACUAUAUUUCCUUUGUUGAUGACUUCACCCGAUAUUGUUGGAUCUUUCCUUUAGUUUUAAAAUCUGAUGCUCUUACUACUUUCAAAAACUUCAAGAGCUUAGUUGAGAAACAAUUCAGUCUGCCUAUCAAAAUUCUGCGGUCUGAUAUGGGAGGUGAAUUCAAAGCUUUUCAGUCCUUUCUUCAACAAGAAGGUAUCCAAGCUAGAUUUAGUUGUCCCUAUACUCACCAUCAAAAUGGUGUUGUUGAGAGAAAAUAUAGACACUUAGUAGAAACUGGAUUAACACUCCUUACUCAAGUAAAAAUGCCUAUUUCUUUCUCGUGGGAGGCUUUCCAUACAGCCUCCUAUCUCAUUAAUAGAAUGCCUACCACUACACUGAACAACUUAUCUCCCUAUCAAAAGCUUCAUAAUCAGCCACCAAACUAUCAACUUCUCAGAGUUUUUGGUUGUGCUUCCUAUCCUUUUCUCAAGCCUUAUAAUGAUCACAAGCUUGAUUUUCAUUCCCAAAAAUGCUUGUUCUUAGGUUACAGCCCUCUUCAGAAAGGAUAUAGGUGUCUAACAAAGUCAGGUAAAGUAUAUGUUGCUACUCAUAUUGUUUUUAAUGAAUCUGAUUUUCCCUAUUCAGAGUUGUUCUCUUCAUCUGAGUCUUCUUCCAAUUCUCUAUCAUCAUACUCUCCAUCUAUUUGUAUCCUUAAUGACAGUGGCUUGCAUCAAUCAUCAGCUACAUCUCCUACUUCAGCAAAGUUACCAACUAUACAUUCACCUCAACAUCCUCACCAAGCCCCACACUCUCCUUGUCCCUCUCCAGUCUCAGAUUCCUACAGCUAAUCAUCACCACAUUCUUCAUCACAUAAUGCUUUAGCCAAUCCCUCUGAUGAAUUACAACCAUCAUCUCAACCUGUCAUUUCAACUCAUCAGAUGGUCACUCGAGCCAAAUCUGGUAUUUUUAAACCAAAGACCUACCUUACAGCUACCCAAGACCUUGAACCAGUGAGUGUUAAAGCAACCCUAAUUGAUACAAAGUGGAAAAUGGCUAUGCAAGAAGAGUAUAAUGCCUUGCAGAAGAAUGGCACCUGGACAUUAGUUCCAGCUGAAACAGCUACAAAACUUGUUGGCAAUAAGUGGGUUUUUCGAGUUAAAUAUAACCCAGAUGGCAGCAUUUCCAAGUAUAAGGCUCGGUUGGAUGCAAAAGGUUUUCAUCAAACCUAUGGAGUAGAUUUCUUUGAAACUUUUAGUCCAGUUGUUAAACCCUGCACUGUUCGUAUUGUUCUCAGCUUAGCAGUCAUGCAUUGUUGGCCAGUUCGGCAAUUAGAUGUUAACAAUGCCUUUCUUAAUGGCAUGCUUACUGAAGAUGUGUUUAUGCCUCAGCUAGAAGGCUUUAUCAGCUCUCAGUUUCUCAAUCAUGUCUGCAAAUUACAAAAAGCCCUUUAUGGUCUUAAACAGGCUCCAAGGGCUUGGUAUGAUAGAUUGAAAGGGUCUUUAGUUCAGUGGGGUUUCAAAUCUUCAAAGUCAGAUACUUCACUGUUUUUCAAGCAUAUUGGCAAUAAUGUUCUCAUCAUCCUUGUUUAUGUAGAUGAUAUCCUGAUAACAGGCUCUAGUGAUGUUUAUAUUUAAGAGGUUAUCAGUCUACUUAGCUCAGAAUUUGCACUUAAAGAUUUAGGAGAUUUUAACUACUUUCUUGGGGUAGAAGUGACUCCAUCUGCUGAAGGAUUACAUCUAUCUCAAACUAAGUAUGUUGGUGACAUCUUAAGAAAAGCUCAUAUGCUUGAGAGUAAAGGUUGUAAUACACCUAUCAGUGUUGCUGAUAAAUUGCAGAAGGACAAAGGCUGCUCAUUUACAAAUCCCUCACUUUACAGAAGCAUCAUUGGUUCUCUGCAGUAUCUGACACUGACCAGACCAGAUAUUGCAUUCACUGUAAACAAAUUGAGUCAGUUUUUAGCUGCUCCAACUAUCUUGCAUUGGCAGGCUUGCAAGAGGGUAUUACGAUAUCUACAAAGCACAUCACAUUUUAGACUGCAAUUCUUCAAGUCAGGUUCUCCAAGUCUCAUAGCAUAUUCUGAUGCAGAUUGGGGGUCUGAUCCAGAUGAUAGAAGAUCUGUUGGAGGGUAUUGUGUUUAUCUUGGAUCCAAUCUUGUGUCUUGGUCAUGUAAGAAACAGAACAUUGUUUCCAGGUCAUCUGUUGAAUCUGAGUAUAGAGCAUGGCCUUAGCUACAUCUGAGGUUUUGUGGAUUACAUAUCUAUUAAAAAAGCUCAAAGUAUCACUUCCCAAACCUCUUGUUCUUUACUGUGACAACAGCAGUGCAGAAGCUUUGGCUAGCAAUCCUAAGUAUCAUUCCAGAACUAAACAUAUAGAACUGGAUUUACAUUUUUUCAGAGAACACAUUGCCAACAAGGAUCUCUUCAUUGAACAUGUGUCUAGUUCUGAUAAGCUAGCUGAUGUGCUUACCAAACCUCUGAGUUUUGAUCAUUUUGCCUAUAUGCAAACUAAGGUCAAUGUCUGCCCAUGACCUUGAGCUUACGGGGGCAUUUUAAGAAUAACAUAUGCUGAGUCAUCAAGCCAUGCUGGAAGUCAGUUUUGCAGUUAGUUAGAGAGCUUAUCAGCUUCCCUCCAAAAGUUUGUUAUGUGUAUUAGAAUCUGGGCUCACGAGUUUUGUGAGAUUGUAACCUUGAGAAGAUUCUCACACUACUAUAAAUUGUAUUGUGACUCAAUUAAUAAAAUAAGUUGAAGCUUUGCAUUUUCUCUCAGUCAAAAUUUUCUCUCUAUUUUUCUAAGUAACCAAACAAGAUCUACAGAGCAUUUUGUAUUUUAACUGGAGCGGCUGAUUGGUGCUGUACGUGUUACAUUUUUACUUUUUUAACUCAAGUCUGCUGUUGUCCCAAAGUUGGAACUAGAGAUAUCAUUUCACCUCAACUGUGUUUUUUUUUUAAUUAAAAAAAUCAUUUGUUUUAGGUAUACAUACAUGUAUUUUAAUUCUAUUUUCCUUGUAAUUUCUCCUUUACUUUGAAUGAAAGUCAUUGGUGUUUUCGAAUGGGAAUUUUGCAUUAAAAAAUUAAGAAUAGUUAAUAGGAAAUUUCCUGAUUCUUUAGUUACUAUUUUUGGUAUGAGUGUAAUUAGUAGUAAAGUUGGUUUCUACUCGCAAACAAGUGAACUGCUCGAUUCCCAAGUGCUAUUAACCAGUUUCCAACUUUUUAAUAUACACUAAUUGUUCCUGUUUAAUAGCUACUACUAUUAAAACUCAACAGCUAACAAAAAUACUAAAAAAAAUGAUUUUUUCUUAUGAUGCUGUGAAAAAAAUUACGGGUUUACUUAUUUCCACGAGAUCUUGUAUAGUGUUCUUGUAUAGUGGAAUUAAGAUUGUCUUCCCGAUGGUGCAAUUCACCCUCUUCCUUUACAGUCACUUGCACUUUGUGCAGCUUUGGUGUGGAUAAGAUUCCCAGGGAAAAAGUCUUCAUGUUCGGACAAUGUGUCACAAAUACUCGUUCCAAUGAUGGGAAUUCAAGAGGGUAAUUCUCCAAACAAAAGCUGGUAAGCCUUGGUAAAUACGACUCUCCUUCACUUCUUCUCCAGCAUGUCCUACGAUUUCUUCUAAUUUUUUGCAGUUCCAUACAUAAAGAUUCACCAGACUAGUAGGAAUUCCAACCUGAAAAUAAGCAGAGUGUGUGUGUGUGUGUGUAUAUAUAUAUAUUAAAAAAGUAAAUAUGUAAGAGUAUCAUUCAACUAGGCUCAAAGAAUGUUUAAUCAUACAAUUAUACGUUUUAUGAACAUAACAAACUGUGAAAUAUCUACUAGAUAUUUUUUGUUAAACAAAAAAGGUAACAAGAUAAAUAAAUAAAUAAAAGCCAGAUAAACAAAGAUGAUAAAAAUGUAUUUACACUAUUUAGUAUUAGGGACGUAGAAAGAAUUUAUGGCAAUUUCUAAAUAUUUUGGACUUAUUUUGCAUCUUGAUAUAAGUUUUUAAGCAUAAAUUUGCAAAUUUCAACUAUUCCUUUAAAAAAAAAACUCAACUAAAAUGCCUCUUUUUCCCUUUUCCUUGGUCCCUAUUUUUUAUGUAUAUAUAAAAAUGGAAAAAAAAAUUUUGGAAAAGACUUCCCAGUACUGUCAACAAGGGAUUGCUGUAAAGUGGAUCUUUAUUAAGUACUUCCAGACUCGAGGAAAUUUCUUUACAAUCAAGGGUCAGUUGUAAACAAUCAUGAAUUUGUGGUUAAUUAAUGGCAUAAUCAAUUCUUAACUAAACUGGAGAUAUUAAUUAAAUUUGAAGACUUUUUUUUUUUCCAAUCGAAAUGUGAAGAAUUAAGGAAAAGAGAAAUAUAUAGAUGAAUUUGUGAACCUAUAAGAUGAGUGACUAUCCUUUAAUUUUUGAAAAUUGUACUUAUUAAGACAUGAGCAGAAACAAUUAAAUUGAAUUAUAUUAUGCUGUUGAAUCGUGAUUAAAAAAAUUAUAUUGUUGAUUCUAAUGCUGGCGAACCUAAAAACUGGACUUAAAACGUAGAUUUCAGAGUGGUGGUUUGAAGUACAAUACUUGAAAUAAAUAAUCAGUGGCUAAAUAUCAUUUGUAAACCCAAAAAUGGUUAAAAUAUUGUUGAAUGUUAUUUGAAAAAAAAAAAAAAGAGAUUCAAAAUGAAUAUUCUUACCAAUGGAGGAAAAAUAUUCUUUAGGUUAUCACACCAAGAUAUCUCCAAAUUCUUCAAUUUGCUGAAAGACUCCGAAGCAAGCUGGUGGUGCCAUAUUUUUCUCAAAUUAUCCAUCCAGUCAAUACGUAAUACCUCCAACCUAGGAAGUCGUACCUGACAGUUAAAGAUUAAAUAACUAAUUAAUCAAUUAAUGGCAUAAUCAAUUGAUAAAUAAAUUAGAGGCGGAUAUUAACUAAAUUUGAAGACUCAAGGAAAAGACAAAUUAAAUAUUGUGACUAAAAUAAAUUUAAAAAAAAAAAAAACCUUUUCGUCAAAGAGAGGAGGUUGCAUUUCAGAAUGAAUGGUGUCUUCUGGUGAGCUCGUGGAGAUGAAUCUUAACAUAUUCCAGCAACUCUGAAUCUCGAGGUUUAGCAAAGAAGGGAAUUCAACAACUAAAUCUGAAUGAAUAUGUCCCGUAUUGGCAAAGCUUGUUAGUUCUGGAAGCCAAUAGAGCCGCAGGAAGUGUAGUUUAGGAAAUACCUUUAAUUCAAUCAACUUUCCUUCAUCUCUUUCUGACCAUCCCGUGGUGUCGACUACCCCUUCCAUUGACUCACAAUAGCUUAUCUCAAGAUGUUGGAGCUGCAAAAGGCUAUUAACCAUAGAAUAUGAAAACAGAUACUUCAUACGAUGACAACCGACCACGUGCAGCUUUGUUAGAUUUUGACAACAGUACAUUCCUUGAUUAUGAUCGGCCCAUAAUUUUUUCAUGUUUCUCAAGUCCCUGAGAUUCAAUUCCUCUAAGCUCGGAAGAAUAACCUGCAAAGAAAACCCGUACAUUUUUGUUCCUUCAAGUACAACCGUCUAGUAUAAUAUUCUUUUGAUGAUCGAAGAUUAAUCGUGAUAAUAAAUUAAUCAAUUAAUUAUUGAACAGAAAAUUAUCACCUUUGGAGCAGGAUCAUCAUCAGAAAUGAUUUCGUUGAAUCCCAAAGAAGUUGUUGGUUUGUCCAUGUCGGGUCCUAUAAACAAACAAAAACAAUAUACAUAAUUAAUCUUUGUCGUUGUCUUUUUUUUUCAAAAUAAUUGAGGCGAAGUCCAUAAAUCCACCAACACUUAAUUUCAACACUUACCAACAAUCAUUUCCAGAUCAUCGCAAAAAAACACUUCUACCUUUUGAAGCCACAGUAGGUUUUUGGCCAUGGAGAAUGAGAAAAGAUGCUUCAAUUCGUGACAGUCUGAUACUUUUAUAAUCCUUAAGUUGCUGAAAGAUUGAUCUUCUGUGAGUUGGCUGUCACAUAUUGUCUCCAAAUUUAUCAAACGACGAAGAGACAAUGACUCCAGCAAGGGGAAGACUUUGCGACGAACCCGUCCAACUGAACAGACAAUAUGCAAAAUCUCAGACCAACUUUUUACAGCAAGGUGCUUCAAUCGUGGAAAACCUUCCCCAUCAUCUAAUUCAUGAACAACAUUCUGAACACCCUUCAGUUCUUCUAGAUAGAGAUAUUCAGUUCUCUUCAACAACAGUUUCAUCCUGUAAUUCUGCAAAAGAAUGCCAAACUUUUCCAGCCUCUGGAGCUUCAUCAAUCUUGAUAAUCCAGAUUUAACGGACCAGCUGCUCCCCCACUUAUUUCCUAUACAUAUCCUAUAGGUAGAAGUGUUCUAGCUAUUAAUUUUAUACAUAUCUUCUAUAGGUGUAUUCUAAUUAAUUUCAUACAUCAGAUUUUUAGAUAAAAAUAAAGAAGUAAAAAAAAAAAAUCUUCACAUCAUCUUAAGAAAUUCAAAGCCAUGAUACCACAUCCAAUCACGAGAAUCCAUUUUCCUAUGAUCACUGACCUUUAGGUGCGGUGCUUGGUUUGAAGAAGGGAAAGGGGGUGAGGAAAGUAAUUUGAAUUCCUUUCUUAUUUCCGUUGUUUGGUCGGUCAUAAUAUAAAAGAAUUUAAUUUUCAUUAAAAUUUAAUAUAAUCAUAAUGUGGAAUUUAGAUUUCUCAAUAAAGAGUGAUGAAUCUUGGUUUGGGUCUGUUUUGAGUUUAUUUUCAUUUAUUUGGCUAUGUUUUGAUAGCGAAUUUUGAUAUGUCAAUAUAACGUGUAAUUGUUUUGGGUUGAGCUGGUAAUUAUGCUGGAUUAGAUUGGUUUGGUUUUGGUGCUUCUCUGAUGGAACACUGUUUUUUUUAGAAAUUUUGAAUGUAAUAUGAGACUACAUUUAGUUUAAUUGAACACUGCAUCUAGUCUAAUUACUAGAAGUGCGGCAUUUGGUUUGGUUUAUCCUAUAUUCUCCAGAAUUUCACUUGCAUCUGGUUUUGUUGCAUAUGUUUGCUUGCAUUUGAUGGCAGUAGCAGACUGUUUGGUUUUGUGACAUUUGAUGGCAGUUUGGUCUGUUCUUGGUGUUGGUUUAAGAUUGUUCCUGUUGUGCUGAUGUUAAUUGCAGGUGCUUGAAUCAGCUAGGGUUGCUGGUUUAUUCAGAUGGUUGACUCAGGCGUUGUUACUGGUUAAUUCAGGUGGCUGACUCAAGUUGUUCAUUUAAUGUUAGGAAGCAAAUUAAGAAUUAAUGAAGUAUUCAUUAAACUAUAAUUAUUGUAGUUAUUUUAUUUCAUAACUGAAUUAUAAUCUAUGAUACUUGUGAACAAAUUAGAGAAUUUUUAUAUAUGAAUUAUAUAUAUGUGUAUGUACAUUUUGCUAAUAAUUUAAAGAAUAUAUUUCAAUUCCCACAAAAAAAUGGCUCCAAUUUCAAUAAUUCCCGCCAAAUAAUUAAAUUUUUUUAAUUUACCACCAAAAUAUAUCUUAAAGAAAUUUUAGUUAUUCUUGCUAGAUUUAACAAAAAUGAUUUGUAGGAUUAACAUUUAAUUAAAAUAAUUAAAUAAUUUUAUUAUUCCAAUUAAAUAUGUCAUGUUUAUACGACAGACAAUAUUCAUGAAUGGGAAGUAUUAGUUACGUAUUUUUCCUUGGGAUUUCAGGCAAAUGAAAAAAAGAUUGAGAAUGAUUUCAAGAGGACAGGUGGAUGAUAAGUAUUCAUUUUUGUAUAUUUGUCUAAUGUCCUCAUUAGUGGAUUUUUAUGGUAUUGAUCUUUUUUUUUUUUUUUUUAAUUUUCAAUUAGUUGCAGCCCUAGAGGAAGAGCAGGCUGAUCAAAUUGAUUUGUCUUGUUUUUCGGGCAAUCUACGACAUGAUGACCGUGAUAAUGCUCGUGACUGCUGGAAACUUUCUGAUGGAAAUAACUUUAGAGUUCGUAGCAAGCAUUUUUGUUAUGACAAAACAAAGGUUCCCCCAUAAUUUGUUUGUUUGUUAUGGUAUUUAUAUAUCCUGCAUAGGCUAGGUAGACAAGUUAUGAUGUACGUGUUUCUCAUAUAGAACUCAAGUCUGCUGUUGUCCCAAAGUUGGAACCAGAGAUAUCAUGACUCUGGUUUCAUUUCACCUCAACUGUGUUUUUUUUUUUAAUUAAAAAAAUAUUUGUUUUAGGUAUACAUACAUGUAUUUUGAUUCUAUUUUCAUUGUAAUUUCUCAUUUACUUUGAAUGAAAGUCAUUGGUGUUUUCGAAUGGGAAUUUUGCAUUAAAAAAUGAAGAAUAGUGAAUAGGAAAUUUCUUGAUUCUUUAGUUACUAUUUUUGGUACGAGUGCCAUUAGUAGUAAAGUUGGUUUCUACUCGCAAACAAGUGAACUGCUCGAUUCCCGAGUGGUAUCAACCGGUUUCCAACUUUUUAAUAUACACUAAUUGUUAUUGUUUAAUAGCUACUACUAUUAAAACUCAACAGCUAACAAAAAUACUUAAAAAAAAUGAUUUUUCUUAUGAUGCUGUGAAAAAAAUUACGGGUUUACUUCUUUCCACGAGAUCUAUAACAUGGUCUUGAUUUCACGAAAUUCUUUUAAUUUAAAGCGUGCUGGUGUGAGAAGGUCAGUUUGACUGAUUAAUUCUUUUUAACAGUGGUCGAGAUAAUUUUACUAUACUCGAAAAUAUUCUUAUUCUGAUAAAGCCAUAAAUGUUAUGCUGUUUUCUUCGGCUAAUGAUCUUCUAUCAGGAGAGGUUAGAAAUCAAAUGCUUAAAAGACCAAUUGAACGAAUAAUACAGAAAUUUAGGCAGAAUCUAAUCGAAUAUUGUAUGAAACAUGAAACAUCAAUUCAAGUCCUUUCUUAAACAAAGAAUGCAUCAAACAAAAUCCAAAGUGUCUUGCAAGUUUGUAGCAUGAGCAAAAAAUUGUAAAUAUGUAGAACCAAAUUAUUCAAGUACAGAAGAACGAGCAAGCUAAAUCAUGUAUAAGAGAUUGGCCUGGUUCAGGAUAGCUUCUUCACUGUAGCUGAAGGGUUGGCUCAAUCUCUUCUUUAGAAUUCUGCAGAUUUUGUAAUUACUCGUGUAAGCAAGCAUACAUUGCCACCAUAAGAAUAAUAAAGCAAGAGUAAUGAUAUGACCACCACCUCUUGUGCACAAACAAUAUUGUAUAAACUAAUGCGACAUAAUAUGAUUGGUUAAAUAAAAACAUUACAUGGCCCUCAUAAUUUAUUUAUUUAUUUAUUAUUAUUAUUAUAUAUUUUCAAUCAACCAAUCAUAUUAUAUCACAUUAGUUUCUAUAAAAUAAUUUGCUAAAUAGCACCGAAACUUAAUUGAUACUCACCAUUUCAUUGAACAAUUUUUUUAUGGUGUCAUUGAGGUUGCCUUCCCAACAUCCUUCAUCAUCAUCAUCUUCUUCAUCAUCAUCAUCUUCUUCUUCAUCAUCUUCAUCAUCAUCAUCUUUUUCUUCUUCGGUGACGUUCACUUUGUUUAGCAUUGGUGUGUCUAAGACUCCUUGAGAGAAGAUCUUCAUUUUUGGACACUGUCUCACAACUACUUGUUCCAAGGAUGGGAACUCAAGAGCGUAAUUACCCAAACAAAAGCUUGUUAGGCUUGGCAAACAAUCAAGUCCCAAGUACUCCAAUUUCCUGAAAACAAUGCAAUCGUCCGCUUCUUCUCCAACCUGCGACUGUAUAAUUUCUUCCAUCAUUUUGCAAUCAGUUAUCUUCAUUCUUUCAAGAUUCACUAGACUUUCAGAUGUUGAGAGCGUCAAUAAAUUUAUCAACCCAUGACACUUCGAUACUUCCAGAGUCGCAAGAUUUUCCAAAUGCCACGAAGCUGGUACUAAUUUCUGCAACUUACUACAUUCAAAUAUUUCUAGACUUUUCAAGUUUGCAAACACUUUGUUGGAUUUGGCAUUUUCCUUCCAGAGAUGCUGCACUUUGUGUAAUCCAGAUAGCUUUAACUUCAUCAAUUGAGGGAAUGCAACCUGGAAAUCAACAAAAUUAAGUUGUAAAUGAAAAUAUGUAUCCAAUCUCUGCAGUCUUCCCCUGCAUAUUUUAUGGACAAGAUUAAUCACGGCAUUUUAUAUUUUAUUUCCAAAUUAGUAUGCUUUGCAGUAGGAUCCCAAAUAUAAGUAUCAAAUCGAUUACCCUUUGAAACACAUAAAUGAAAUCUGAUCCUAAAUCCAAUAUGAAUUAGCUAGGAAAACAGAGACCUAACACGCAUAAUCGAUAUAGUUCAUCACCUCCUGUCACUAGGCAUCUAAUUAAUUUGAGACAUUUUUUUAAUUCAUACUAUAAAGUUAGUUAAUAACUACGGUUAUAUUGUUAAACAUGUAUAAAUUAAGACGACGUGCAAAAAGAUGAGUCAUUAAAUUUGAUUUGAUUCUAAUGAAAUUAUAUCUGUGUGAAUGAAAGUGAAGGGAAAAAUAAUAAUAAUGUUACCUUUUCAUCGAAGAGAUGUUGUAUUUGAUUAGCUACCAAGAGGUUCUCUUCUUAUUUUAAUUUUUGAGCUUCCUUAUUAUCUGUUGUCAUGUGCAGUACAGAUGUAGAAUUGGACAUGAAUGUUUCCAUAUCAGGGCAAUUCUCAAUAGUUAGAUAUCUCAACUCAGGCAGUUCAAUUAUAUUCCCAGUGAAGUUGCAGAAUCUUUUGAGUUUUGGAAGGUCAAUGAGCCUUAGCUCAAAAAGCCUAGGAAACAGGGGGCCUAUAUGUUCUUCCUUGGCAUUUAGCUCUUCCAAAUGAAGCACCUCUUCUAGUGAAUCACAAUUCCUCACUUCCAGCCAUCUCAAAUUGUUCAAGCACCGUAUCAGAUUGGCAGGAAUAGCACUCGACAUAUUCGUGCGGUCAUCCACCACCAGGUGUCUUAAAUUGUUGAAGAAGCUGACAGGCAGUGCUUGGCCAUGCGAGAGUUGCAAAUGGUUUAUAUCAAGGAAUCCAAUCUGCACAAACCAAAACAAUUGCACUGGAUAUAUACAAUUUUUUCUUUCUGAAAGGCAUAGAUAUAUGUACAUUAAACUUACAUGUUUUCUGCUUUAACUUCUAAAAAUAUAUAUACAAGGCAGGUGUAUAUGCUUAAAUGUGCAAGUGCAGGGGAGAUGCAUGAACAAUUUGGGUGAAUCGAUUAACACAUACCAUCUUUUUGUAACAUAUGUUUAAAUGUGCAAGCGCAAGGGAGAUGCAUAAGCAACUUGGAUGAAUCGAUUAGCACAUACCAUUUCUUCGUAACACUUUUGUAUAGUGGAAUUAAGCUUGUUGCCUUCCCAAUGGUGCAGUUCACCCUCUUCCUUUUCAGUCACUUGCACUUUGCAUGGCUUUGUAAUGGAUAAGAUUCCCUGAGAAAAAGUCUUCAUGUCCGGACAACGUAUCAUAGAAACUCGUUCCAAUGAUGGGAAUUCAAGAGUGCAAUUCUCCAAACAAAAGCUGGUAAGCCUUGGUAAAUCAUCAAGUAUCAAAACUUUUAAUUCGCUGAAAGCAAUACGAUUCUCCUUCACUUCUUCUCCAACAUGUCCUACGAUUUCUUCUAAUUUUUGGCAAUCUGAUACUUAAAGAUUCACCAGACUACUAGGAAUUCCAACCUGAAAAUAAGCAAAAGUGUGUGUGUAAGAGUAUCAUUCAACUAGGUCCAAAGUAUGUUUAAAACAUACAAUUAUAUGUUAACAUAACAAACCAUGAAAUGUCUACUAGAUAAUUUUUGUUAAACAAAAAAGGCAACAAGAUAAAUAAAUAAAUAAAAGCCAGAUAAACAAAGACAAUAAAAAUGCAUUUACACUAUUUAGUAUUAGGAGCGUAGAAAGAAUUUAAGGCAAUUUCUAAAUAUUUUAGACUUAUUUUGCAUCUUGAUGCCAGUUUUUAAACAAAAUUUGCAAAUUUCAACUAUUCCUUCUGGGAAAAAAAAAAAUCAACCACCAACAAAGUGUUGGCUCCAUUGGCAAUGGAGUCCCCUUAAGUGGUUUGACUGGGUUUGCUCCCCAGUUCGAGUCGCAGGGAAGUCGCCUUUGUUGGGAGAACUUGUGCCUCCCGGUUCGAGCGGGGACUUCUAGUCUGGGUUGUGGUACGGGCUUAAAGGUGCCUUCCACAGUUGGGGCCCUCCCCAGGAUACCUCGUGAUUAAUAUAAAAAAAAAAAAAAAAUCAACCAAAAUGCCGCUUUUUCCCUUUUUCCCUUUUUCCUUGGUCCCUUUUUUUUAUGUAUAUUUAAUUUUGGAAACAAAAUUAAAGUGGAUCUUUAUUAAGUACUUCUAGACUCGAGGAAAUUUCUUUACAAUCAAGGAUCAAUUGUAAAUAAUCAUGAAUUUGUGGUUAAUUAAUGGCAUAAUCAGUUCGUAACUAAACAAGAGAUAUUAAUUAAAUUUGAAAACUUUUCUUUUCUUUUUUUCUUUUUCCAAUCGAAAUGUGAAGAAUUAAGGAAAAGAGAAAUAUAUAGAUGAAUUUGUGAACCUAUAAGAUGAGUGACCAUCCUUUAAUUUUUGAAAAUUGUACUUAUUAAGAUAUGAGCAGAAACAAUUAAAUUGAAUUAUAUUAUGCUGUUGAAUCGUGAUUAAAAAAAUUAUAUUGUUGAUUCUAAUGCUGGCGAACCUAAAAACUGGACUUAAAAUGUAGAUUUGAGAGUGGUGGUUCGAAGUACAAUACUUGAAAUAAAUAAUCAGUGGCUGAAUAUCAUUUGUAAACCCAAAAAUGGUUAAAAUAUUGUUGGAUGUAAUUAAAAAAAAAAAGAUUCGAAAUGAAUACAACAACCUUACCAAUGGAGGAAAAAUAUUCUUUAGGUUAUCACACCACCAUAUGUCCAAAUUCUUCAAUUUGCUGAAAGACUCCGAAGCAAGCUGGUGGUGCCAUAUUUUUCUCAAACUAUCCAUCAAGUCAAUACGUAAUACCUCCAACCUAGGAAGUCGUACUUGGCAGUUAAAGAUUAAAUAACUAAUUAAUCAAUUAAUGGCAUAAUCAAUUGAUAACUAAAUUAGAGGCGAAUAUUAACUAAAUUUGAAGACUCAAGGAAAAGACAAAUUAAGUAUUGGGACUAAAAUUAAUUUUUUUUUUAUUUUAAAAAAAACCUUUUCGUCAAUGAGAGGAGGAGGUUGCAUUUCAGAAUGAAUGGUGUCUUCUGGUGAGCUCGUAGAAAUGAAUCUUAACAUAUUACUGCAACUAUCAAUCUUGAGUAUUUGCAAAGAAGGGAAUUCAACAACUAAAUCUGAAUGAAUAUGUCUCGUGUUUGCAAAGCUUGUUAGUUUAAAAAGCCCAUAGAGCUGCAGGGAGUGUAGUUUAGGAAAAACCUUUAAUUCAAUCAACUUUCCUUCAUCUCUUUCUGACCACCCCGUGGUGUCGACUACCCCUUUCAUUGACUCACAAGAUCGUAUUUCAAGAUGUUGGAGUUGCAAAAGACUAUUAACCAUAGAAUACGAAAACAGAUACUUCAAAUGAUCACAACCGUCCACGAUCACCUUUGUUAAAUUUUGACAACAGUACAUUCCUUGAUUAUGAUCGGCCCAUAAUUUUUUCAUGUUUCCUAAAUGAAAGAGAUUCAAUUCCUCUAAGCUCGGAAGAAUAACCUGCAAAGAAAACCCGUACAUUUUUGUUCCUUCAAGUACAACCGUCUAGUAUAAUAUUCUUUUGAUGAUCGAAGAUUAAUCGUGAUAAUAAAUUAAUCAAUUAAUUAUUGAACAGAAAAUUAUCACCUUUGGAGCAGUAUCAUCAUCAGCAAUGAUUUCGUUGAAUCCCAAAGAAGUUGUUGGUUUCUCCCUGUCGGGUCCUAUAAACAAACAAAAACAAUACACAUAAUUAAUCUUUGUCGUUGUUUUUUUUUUCAAAAUAAUUGAGGCGAAGUCCAUAAAUCCACCAACACUUAAUUUCAACACUUACCAACAAUCAUUUCCAGAUCAUCGCAAACAAACACUUCUACCUUUUGAAGCCGCAGUAGGUUUUUUGCCAUGGAGAAUGAGAAAAGAUGCUUCAAUUUGUGACAGGAUUGUACUCCUAUAAUCCUUAAGUUGCUGAAAGAUUGAUCUUCUGUGAGUUGGCUAUCACAUAUUGUCUCCAACUUGUUCAAAAACCAAAGAGACAAUGACUCCAGCAAGGGAAAGACUGUACAAUGAACCCGUCCAACUGAACCGACAAUAAGCAAAAUCUCAGAACAACUUUCUACACGAAGAUGCUUCAAUCGUGGAAAACCUUCCCCAUCAUCUAAUUCAUGAGCAACAUUCUGAACACUCUUCAGUUCGUUUAGAUGGAUCUCUUCAGCUUCUUUCAGCAACAUUUUCGUCCCAUAAUUCUCCAAAAGACUGCUAACAUUUUCUAGCCCAUCGAGCUCCACCAUUCUUGAUGUUUCAGAAUUAACGCCCCACAUGCGCCACGCUUCUCCUAUACAUAUCUUAUAUCUUUGCAAUUCCACAGAGACUAAAUCCUGCGGCAGAAUUUGGGCAUCCCAAAAUUGUAUCUCCAAAGUAGUUAGCUUUGACAGCCCCUUCAAUUCAGCAAGACUGGCGGUACUUCCUCCUUCAACCUUAUCCCACUGCGAAAAGCUGUCACCCAUAUAUAGUUCUUCUAAUUGAGAAAAUUUUGAUAUGAGAUUUGGUGCUAUCACUACAAGGCUCCUACAAUUGCUCAAAUCUAGCAAUUGUAACCGCGUCAAUUGUCCAAUUUCAAGUGGUAACUGCUUAAUGUCGGAAUCUCGAAAGCUAAGAAUCUCUAAUUUCUUUAGCUGUCCAAUUGCAGCUACAUCUUCUAGUUGGCACCAGUCUAAACACAAUGUUUGAAGGUUAAUGAGGCGACCAAGUGAUGAAGGUAAUGAAGAGAAAGGAAUUCUAGUAAGGCUUAAAACUUUGAGUUCUUUCGUCCCUUCAAAAAAGAGGUCUGAAAUUUGCAUACGGCCAUUACCCUCUGCAGACAACAAAAAUAACUGGAGAUUGGGACAUUGCAACCUUUCAGGGAGCUCUUGAAUAUCUCUCUGGGGUAAUGAAAUGGCAAUUGGAUCUUUCCGUAUUGUCUCUUCCAUCUUUUUCUCUAAGUCGGCAACAUUUGGAAUAUUAAACAUGCGCUUCUCUGCGGCAAUUGAUACGGCAACAACAUGAAUGACGUCAUGCAUUUUAGCUUCAUCUUCAGCAUCACCGUCCAACAAUAAGCAUGAAGAUUUGAGGUUGUCGAUCAACCGAUGCACUCUACUCCUUGCUUCUUCCAAUGUGUAAACAUUUUCAAACAAACCCCAACCCACACCAUAUCUCAAUAAGUCAGAAACUUGUAUGGCAUGACCUUCACUGUAUAGACCACAAAGACGGAACAGAGAUUUUGCCUCCUCACUUUCCAAGAAGUCAUGACUCAAUUUUAUGGAGGUGUACACAUUUGCUUGCAUGCCAUGAAUUUCUCUUGCAUCCGAUCUUCUUAGCUGAUUCAAUGCAUCUUUCCAAAAGUCACGCUCCUUAGUUUUCAGAGCAUUUGCAACUGUACUCAGUGCAACAGGCAAACCUCCGCAUCUUUCAAUGAUCUCAUUUGCUAUACUUUGAAAAGCAGAUAUUUUAGUUGAAUCACCCACUAUCUUCUCAAAUAACUGCAAUGCUUCUUCUUUUGAUAAAGCAUCGAUCCAGAAAUUUUUCUGAGAAUUCAUAUCAAUGCACAAUAAAUCUCGACUUCUAGACGUCAAUAUUAUUGUGCAUCUUCUCUGAUCAUCCUCUCUAUCUUUCUCAUCAACAUCUCCAGAAGGAAUUCCAACCGCAUCUAACUCAAGUUUUGUCCAAAUAUUAUCCAAUAUAAUGAGGACCCGCUUCUCUUGCUUCAACCUUUCACGCAGUCGAGAAGCUCUAUGGUGUAUACUAUCAUUCAAGUCAAAUUUCAUGCCUAAAUCAGAAGCGAGCUUGUCUUGAAUUUUCUGGGGAUCUGGGUUCUGUAUUACCUCAGCCAUAACGACCUUAUCGAUCAACUUAUCUUCCAUCACUUUCUUAGCAACUUGCUUGACUAGCGUGGUUUUACCCACGCCGCCCAUGCCGUAGACCCCAAUUAUGUUGAGCUUAUCAUCCUUCAACGCCUCCAUAACAUCCUGAAAUACUUUCAUUCUUGAAUCAAAGGCCUCGUUAUCUUUCCCGUCAUUAAGUCCUGUGCUCUUUGGAGUAGGACGGUAGGAAACAUUAGAGAAGUUGCCUUUUCCCACGAGACCAGCGGCAGCUUCUGCGGCCUUUGCUGCUUGUUUACUAAGCUUGUAACGGGACAUCAAAUUUGGGCACAAUCCUUUGAAGCAGAACUUUUUAGCUCUUUCUUCAUCAUCAAUGAUGGAUUUUGCAACCCCUUCACUGAUGAAUUCAUCAACGCUAUGUAGCCAGUCUGUGACACCCUCAUAAAGCUCAUCCCCUUGUAGCCUAGCAUGAUUAACUGGUUGCUGCACCAUUUCUCUCUUAUAUCCCAGCUGCUUCACUUGAACUUUUAGCUCAUCUAUGUAGCUCUGGUACUUGAACACAUCAGAUAUCUGCCGUGUAAUCGGGUUGAACAGUGACUUUGCACCUUCUGAUACACAGUUGGUUAAAAAAGCCAGACACGCUUCUAUAGCCAUUGCCGGUUGCUUAACAAUAUAUAUCUAGUUUUUGGCUGUUGAAAAAAAAAAUGGAUUCAAAUAAAUUAAAUGAACUAGCGGGGAAGAAAAAGAAAGAAACGACAACAAACAACUUUUUAGAAAAAGGUUUCAGGGGCCUGAAUGGAAAACCAACAAUUUUUUGAGGAAAGAAAACUUUUUUGGAAGAUGGAUGCAAAUUAACCAUUAAUAAUACUGCAUAAGAACACAGAAGUUAACAAUAAACAGUAACUUAAAACUCAAGAAAAUUAAAUGACAAGAUUAAGACAAACAAGAGAUAGUUUUUGUCGGACAUUAAGAAACAACUGCUAUCAAGAUCAAAGAUUAGAAAUUAUGCUAUUGAAAGAAAUUAUUAAAGUAAUUAGAACAAACGCACCUCUUCAAUUAUCUAGGAUCACAGAGUUUAUGAGCUUCACUCUUGGCCUUCGAUUUAUAAGAAAAAUUUUAAUGAGCAAAAGAUCACUGUUGACUGCAGAAGAAUGUGAGUAAGCAAUACAAUUGAAUUGUAAAAGAACAAGACUUAAAGCGUGCACCCCAACAGAACACAUGUUCAUUUUUAACAAAGUGAUCAAUAACUAUAUUCGUUAUUUAAUUGAUAUUGUAACCAAUUCUAAGAGAAUAUAAUAAUCAGCAAACAAACAACAUUGAUCUUAUGCCUACUGAUAUUUAAACAGAGAAUUCUUUCUUCUUUUUCUCUUCAUGGAUUAGAGUUUUUGCUAUUAACAGAAUGGUUUCAAGGGUCUGAAUAAAAUCCCAGACUUUUUUUUAACUUUGUUUUCUGUGGGAAAAUGGAUUCAAAUUAACCAAAGCCAAUAAUAAGAUCACAGACUUUAACAAUGAACAAUAACUUAAGCAAAACCAAUGACAAGAUUAAAACAAACCAGAGAAAUUUUUUCUCGGAAAGUAGAUGAAAAGCAAGUAAGAACUGCUAUUAAAGGAUAUUAUUAAAGGAUUUAGAACAUGUAUACCUCUUUAAUUAUAUGGGAUCAGAGAAUCGAUGACCUCCACUAUUCGCUUCGGAUAUUAAGUAAGAACUGCUAUUAAAAGAAUGAGUUGAUGAGAGUAAUAACAAUGAAUUGCAAAAUAGGAAGACUCAAUCAUGCACCCCUUUUAUACCUGAUCAUAUUAAGAAGUCGUUAAAGAAUAACGACUAAAUUAGGAAUUAAUUCUGAAGUUCAGAAUCAAGAACAGAGACGAAGCUUUAAUAAAGCAUGCAGUGAGAUACAAGAAAUGGAUCUGAUAAAAUACAUUAAAAAAAUUUGUUCAACCUAGUUAAGCUGAUGAAAGCACUAGUUGUUGGCUCUACGUUUCAUAUGUUCUAAUGAAAUAAUUAAGUUGAAGUUUUCAACGAAUAAAUACCUGUUUCGCUUGAAUAGCUUUGGCAUAUACAUUACUUGUGUCCUGUGAAAUUGAAAAGGUUAUUGAUUUACAAAGCUUAUUAGUAGAGAAAAGCUACGUAAGAUGCCUGAUAAAAGAUAAAGCAAGAGCUUGAAUGAAGAAUGACAUUUUAGAAAGAAACUAAAGUGUAAUCAUCAAAGUAGGAUCAAUAAUGUACCACUUUCCUUGCAAAUCUGGUGGGUUUUCUGAAUAGAUUUUUACAUUAUUCUUCUAUUUAACCAUUUUGGCUUUACCCUAAGCAUUCUUGGUUGGCAUUGUCCUGUAAUCUGCGUGCCCUGGAUACGUGAGAGGGAAUGAUGAGGGUAGAUAUGCAAUUUCAAGAAGCGAUUUGCUUGUAUAAUUCAAUGCAUGGAAAGAGAUGUACCUGACCAGAAAAAAAAGGGGACCAUCCAUAUCUGAGCUUGACUUUUUAGAUAGAUAAAUAUUCUUAUUACUGUUGAUAAUGGAGAAGGGUUCUACUUUUACUUUGCCAUCUUUGAUAUAAAACAGCAUGAUUCCUUUUUUUCAAACACUUGCCUAAGUCUAUUUUUUAUUUUUCUUAUUUUCAGAAAGAGAUUAGCUUAAUUUAAAUUAUAUUCAAGUACAAAGUGUUAUACACUCAUAAAACGACAAAUAGGCAUGUAUUGAUCACGCGCAAUCUGUUUUUUUUCCCCCUUUUUUUUUUAAUCCAGUCUUCUUAUUUAAAAAAAAGAAUUUAUUUGCUUUAUUUUAAAUUAUUUUUUCAUGCGGUAAAUGCAAUACUGAGUAAUGGGUGAGCAAAAUAUUUACAGGCACACCCCCUUUUAAUGAUUUCGUACUAAAAUUAAAAAUUGACGAUUCCAUAAUAAAGUUCAAAGAGUAACUGAAGACCCAUAAAUGUUUUUUGGUCAUGAGCAAUUUUUGAGUUGGGACAGCACUCCUAUGAAAAAAAAUAGUUUUUUUUUUCUUUAAGCAUGAGCAUAUUAAUUCUUUUUUUAUAAAUCAACGUGAAUAUAAAAUUAAAAAAUAGUUUUGAAUAACUUCUUUUCUUUUUUCAUAAAUAUAGAUAUAAAAUUUUAAAGUCACCAAACACAAAACCAGGAAAAUGGAAAGGAAGCCCCUGUUUCUCCGCUGCUGCAAGCACAAAUUCGGUUUCUACAGGAGUACCUUCUAAAUGCACCAUUUGUAUUGCUUUGUCUCCACUUGAGCUAAUGGAAUUUGAUGAAGACAAAAUAGAUAUGAGUCGUGCUAUUCACACCCCUCGAUAAUUCUUUCAAAAUCCCUUUUCUAAUUAUACCCCGUUAAUACCCUUGUUCGCUAUGAAAAUAAAGCAAAUGCCUGUAUAAAAAGCUGGCUCUAAUAAUCUACUUGAAUUUACAUCAGAAAAGAGUGGACUUUGAGAAAUAAGAAGUCAAUAUGGAGAAUUUUACCAAAAUAAUCCAUUUUUAUAUACAGGGAAUGGUAUUUUCUGAUAUAGGGAGGAGUGGAGAAAUUAAAUUCAGCAAAAUAAAGAACCUCCAUCGAGAAGCAAAAAUGAUGAUAUCUUUGUCGUGAAGAGAUUUCUGCCUCAUACAAAUUUUUUAUUCUAGAAUGCUUGAAACCGAAAAGUUCUGUAGCUGUUUCAAUUCAAUUGCAUACAUUGACGAAACAUUAAAUACGAAAAAAACAAAAAAGAAAUAAUAGGACAUGGGGAUUUAGAGAACUUCUAAAGAGAGAAAUGUAUUUAUUGUUGGGAAAAUAUGCUCUUUAAAAGCAUAUGUGUUUAUUUAAUUGUAAUAAACUAUUUUUCUGAUUAAUAAAAUAAAUGAGGCAUUUUAUUCAAAUAUCUUAAUUGCAUUAAUACUUGUAUUAAAGUCCAUUUAAUCAUAUUAUAUGUAUUUAUGUGAUCACCAUGUGGAUUCACAGAAGACAUAAAUACAAGUUAUCUUAUGAUUAAAUAAAUUUAGUUCGCAGUUGAUAAAUAAAGUUGGGCACUUUAUUUAGGUAUAGACUGUAAUAAAUUCAUUGAAUGAUUUGUCUUAAUUAUGUAUGAAUUUAUUGAUGUAGUACGACUACAUUGAACAGGAUCACAUAUGAGAUUUAAUUAACUUUGUAAUAACUGUCAGACUUAUUAAAUCUCAUAGGCAUUGAUUUUACUGUAAUCUUAAUCUUGAGUUAAUUAUGAUUUCAUGAUUGUAAUUGUUAUUCCAUUUGAGUUACCAAUGGGCAUGACACAUACUUGUAGUCUACAUUACCCGGUAUCUUGGUGGGAACAAUUAUGAGUAUUGGAGUUAUGGAUUAACAAUAUAGAAUUUGUACAACACAUCUCUUGAUGGGUUUUCGGUACUUGAUCAUAGAAUUCUCUGGCCAGAGUGUGUCAACAUAUUUAGUAUGUUGAAAAUGAUCAUUAGAGAAAACCAGUAAGGAUCAAGGAAUAAGAUGUUAUUAAAUUGAUUGGACAGUUGAGAUAUCAAUUUAAUUAACGAUGUGGUACAAAGGAUUGUGCAGUAAAGAAAUCAAUGUGGCUUGGGACGAAUUAUUAUUCGAGCAUACAAUUAUGGAAGUCAGUUCCAAUCUUUUAGUGGAGUAGAUUUGGAAUUAAAUAAUUAGGCUAGUUUAAUUACAGGUAGGGAUGGCAAUGGGGAGGGGAGGGGAGGGGACCAAUCUCCCUAUACCCAUCCCCGAUAUUUUAUUAUGUCCCCGUCCCCUCUCCGUCCCCGUCAGAAUUGCUUAAGUGAAUCCCCAUCCCCUCCCCGAAUAAUAACAGGGGAUCCCCGAGGGUCCCCGGUUCCCGAAUAAUUAAUAGUCUAAUACAUUUUUUUUUAUUUUCGAUUUUAAAUUAAUCAUAUUAAAAUAAAAAAUUCAGAUAAAAAUAAAGUUCAAAAUAUAUCUUGCAUUAAUAUUGAUCAAUUUCAAAGUCACAUUCAAAAUAUAAAUUAUUAAAAUAAUUAUCUUUGUCAAUGACUCAAUCUUCAUAAUCCUACAAUAAAAAGAAAAAAAAUUAUUUUUAUAUCGGUAAUAAAAUAAAUGUAGAUACUUAAUUAAUAUUUUUAAUAAAACUAUUUACUUCCUGCUCCUCCUGUUCUUCCUCGAGAAAUGUGGCAAAUUGAGAGUUAGCCUCAGAUUUCAAACCUAAAACAAUGAAAAUGAUAUGAGUAACGUAACUUAUAAGCGCAAAUAUUAAUAACUGUAUAAUAUAAUUACAAUGUAAAAUAAAUUCAUACUGCUAUUGUAAGCUCGUAACCAACUUUAACAGCACAUUAAGGCCUCCAAUGUGCUUGGAUGAAGUUUGUUACGGUGUGGGCUCACAAUUCUAGCACUAGUGCGAAAAGCUGAUUCAGAAGCAACUGUUGUAAUUGGAAUUGCCAAAAUAUCUCUAGCAAUUCGAGCUAAUGUAGGAUACAAAUUAGGAUUAGAACUAUUGUAAAUUAUAAUUAGGCAGCUCUCUCCUGUAUCAUUGUGGUUUGGAUUAAAAAUUUAAGACUUUAAUUAGUUAAUUAAGUUUAAAAGUUUAAUAAUAUAACUAUUUUAAUAUUUAUUAUUUUUAACAAUAUUUAUAAUUUUGUUAUUUAUUUAUUAGUAAUUUUAAAAAUAAAAAUAAAAAUAAAAAUUAAAAUGGGGAAAUGGGUAGGGGAUGGGGAUUCCACCUCAUCCCCGUCCCCUCCCCGAAUAAAAAAUUGGGUAAAAAAUUUUCCCCGUCCCCUCCCCGAAUAAAAAAUUGGGUAUAAAAUUAUCCCCGUACCCUCCCCGAAUGGGGAAAAUCCCCGAGGGUACCCGUCCCCGUGGGGAUUUUUGCCAUCCCUAAUUACAGGCCUAAUUAUUGUAGCCACUAUUGUAUGUUCCCAAAUGAUCCCCGGGUUAGCUCAUUUAAUUGAUUGCACCACUGCUGGACUAAUAAGCAAGAUAACUAGCUAUUUGGGCCAAAAGCCUAAAUAUAUCAUUUAGUGGGAGGCUCCAUUUAAUAAGCUUAUGUGUAAGGGGCCUUAUGUUAUUUUACAUGGUGGGUCCCCUAUUAAAUGAAAAGUAACGUGAGUUUUAUUUUGGGGAAUCCUUGGAGCCUAGGGUUUUCACUAAAGGGAGAUAUAUAAGGCUUAUUUUCCCAAAAAAGAAAAAGAGAAGCCACUUUAUACAGAUCUGAGAAAAAGAUUUUUCUCUCCAUUGUUGAGAGAAAAAUUUUCUCGUGCUAGUUGCUUUGGUAGUGAUAAAGGCGCCCACACGUCAAGUGCAGAUCGAACCUGAGUCAUAACCUGGAAGAUCAUUGGAAACAGUUCGUGAUCUAACAAGCGUGGUGGUGACGGAUCGUGAUCUAACAGGAGUGGUGGUGGUGGAUCGUGAUCUAGGAGCCUAAAUCACUUCAGCGGUAAAAGCCAACUCAGAUUUUCAAGGUACGAUUUCUAGAAUACAAAUUCUUAUAUAUUAUAUGAGAGCGAUCUUCAAAAGGUUUUAUAAAAAUUCAAAAACCUAAUUUUUCCCCAACAUUUAUAAGCAUUGAAAAUUAGCUCAUUAAAUUUGAAAGAAUAAUAUACAAUCUCACUGUUGGCCAGAAAAUAAUAGAAGAACUUGUGAACAUAUAUAAUCAAUUGCUUAUUACUUAAGCUUUUUCUCCGUUAUUUUGAAUGGGUGCAAAGGAGAGAAGUUUUGUACCCAAAUCCAACCCGAAUUGUGUAGGCUGCUUGCAAGAGCUUCAUUAGAUUUUUAUUUGUCUUUUAACUUAACUUCCUUCGUGGUUAAAAUUGUAAAAACAAAUGCGGUUUUAAUAGAAUUAUUGAGGAGUGCCAAUAGUGCUACUCAAUAAAUACAACUAUCUGUCUUUUUUGUUACUGGACUAUAGAUCAAUUGACAGUUGAAGUUAUAUUAAUUUGUUGUACUGGAAUUGAAGCUUGUAUCUUAGCCAUUUCGUGAAGUGUCAAAUAUAUUUUUAAUUUCCUUAAAAUUGUUCAAAAUAUGUUUACACUUUUAAAGUCACUAUUAUACAUGAGUGCCCUAAAAUAAGAGAAGGCGAUUUGCCUGACAUUACCUGUUUCCUGUCAAAUCUAGCAGGUUUACUGAUUAGAUUUUAACAAGUCUCUUGGCAAAGUUUGCUAGAAAUGGAAUCAAAUUAUUCUAUUUAAUCUUACUGUAUAUACCCUAAUAGUUCUUGGUUUGCAUCACUGCAUCGUUCUAUAAUCUGUGUGCGUUGGCUUAUAAGGGCUAGCAAGGCUGACCGUUCGUAGCAUAGUUUUUUUUUUUUUUUUUUUUCCCACAAUGAAAUUCCCAUUGAUUUGACUCAGUAUUUAGAGGUGUUAACGAGGGCACUAUACUAGACAUGGAUUUCUACCUCUUUUGGUUGUACAAUUGUUGUAAUCCUUGGCCAUCAAAUCAUUUUUACGUAGCUUUCUCAGAGUUCAUGCCAAGUGUACAUUAAUGUAUUUAUGUUUUGGGUGCAAGUGGGAUUCUAGUUCUCUAUGGCAGUUGAAGAGGUAAAUGGGCAUAGAGCUAUGCUCUAUCAUAGGCUUCGGCCACUACAAGAAAUUUAAUUUUUUAAGACGAUAUUUUUUACAACAACUUUAAAUUUGGUCACAAAAUGAUAUUUAUUGUGACAAAUUUUUGAAAUCGUAGCUAAUAAUCUUGUCCUAACUUAUAUUGUUUUUUGUAACCAAUUGUUUUUAUUUUGAGACUUGUUCAUAUAUUGGUCAUUAAUUAAAUUUUUUUAUGACAAAAAUUAUUUUAGUCACCAAAAGAUAUAAUUUUUUGGCACAAAAUCUUCUCUCCAAAAGUGAUUAUUUUGAGACAAUAUUUCACUAUUUAUGACAAAAUAAAUAGUCACGAAAUAUAAUUAUAGGCGACCAAAUUAUUUGGUAACUAAAAGAGGGGUGUAAAAUUGACUAAACAAUCUAUGACACAAAAUAUUAGUAGCCAAAAUUAUUGUUCUUUUGGCUAAUUUUAAGACCAUUUUUUUGUCAUAUAUAAUUACCUACAGUGAUAAAAUUAAAAAAUAGUCGUUGAAUGUUUUGUCUUGAAUAAUUUUAUAUUUGAUAACCAAUUUUUUUUCUUUUUGAGACAUAUUACUUGGUCCCUAUUUCAACUUCUUUUUGACGAACUUUAUAAUAGUCACAAAAGACUUUUUUUUUUUUUUUGGGCAUAAAAAGUCUGUCCAAAGUUAGCUCUUUUGGGACAAUAUAUAAUCUUUUAUGACAAAAUAUAUAGUGGCGAAAUAUAAUUAUUUUUUACAAAGUUAUUUCGUAGCUGAAAAAGAGGUGUAAAUUUAGUUAACCUAUUUGUGACAUAAAAUAUUAGUCUCCAAAACUAUUAUGCUUUUAGCUAAUUUUAAGACCCUAUUUUGUUGUCAUGGAUAAUUACCUAUUUUAAAAAAAACUAAGAGAUAGUAAUCAAAAGUUUUGUCUUGAUUGACAUUGUAUUUUAUGAGCAAAAUAUUUUGUUUCAGUGACACUUUACUUGGUCUCUCAUUAGAGUUGUUUGUGAUGAUCAAUAGAAUUAUAUAAUAACCACUAAAUUUUUUUGGGUUAAAUUUUUAUAGAUACUAUUAAUUAAGUUGUUGACGAAAAUGAUCAACCAAUACUAAUAUGGAAUACCAUCAACAGCCGUAAUACUUAUGAAGCGAGAAAUUAUAAUAUGUAGUGAAAAAGUUUUCACAGUAGUCCCUAGUAUUUAGAAUUAUUUUGACUUACUUUAUUUACUUCCAAAACAUAAAAUUCUCAACCCAAAAUUCCCCGCAUUGUGUUUUAUUUUGUCUCCUCACUCAGUUAAGAGUAACUCACGGCUUGACAAAAAAAAGGAAAAAAAUUCUCACAGCUUGAUGUUCUCCUCUCUUUAAAAAUAAAAAUCCCUAGUUACUAUUUGUUUCCACCACCAAAGCAGCCACUCGUAUCUUUUAUUAAGCAUAAUAUUUUUCUUAAAACCUAAUUGAUCAUUCUUUAACGUCUCCAGGAUUAUAUAUGGCUCGCUAUUUUUCUCCUUCAAUUGAAUAGAAGUCUAGAAUUUUUUUUUUUUUCGCAAUUCACUUUUGCUGUGUUUCGUGGUUUGGACGGAGAUCAUGUCAAUAAUUGAACGAUGGGGAUAAAUAUCAAAGAAGGAGCUUACAUGCCCUAUAUAUCUCUCUUUGGAUGAAUAACGAUGGUGAGCUUUCAAAGUACAGAGAUUUACAUGUUUUAAUUGUCAUUUACAUUGCUGCAUGCCAAUUGUUUGAUAAAAUAUCGCAACAAAUACGCAUUCUCGAUUUUCUCAUAAAUUUAUUUUCUUAGUCUGAAAAAAAUUGAAUGUUUAGAGAAUUUUGAAGGUUUUGGUGUAUGUAUUAAUAUUUUGAUUCUAGCCUCAUUUUGCCCCUUGUUGUUUUUAUUCUUGUUUUUUAUAUACGGUUCAAGUGUGAUACACUUUAGUUUUUCUCAACUGUUUGUUAGUUUUUCCCGAAGCAAAAUUUGUCAGACUUUGAGUUCAAAAGUUGAAAUCAUAACUAACAUACUUCGAUUUUUUAUUUUCCUUUUUUCUUCGGUGUCUUUCUAUAUGGCAUUGCUUGAGAAAUUGGUGUACUUAGAUCGUAAUAUUCUGUAGAAAUAAGCCAAUAUUUCAUUGGGUACAUUGUUUAAUAUGAUAAGUACUGUAUGGAAGUUUUACAGAUAAGCUCCUUAUAUAUUAUGCAUUAUGUUUUUAUCAUAUUGUUGCUUGGAACUUUGAAGGAUUGGCCACAGGGCUUUAGUCCUACAUGGACAUUUUAUAUUUAAUAGCUGGUUAGGCAUUUUAUUUGAUGUUAUUUGGACUUGUAGGUCUUAAAAGUUUUGUUCAAUAAUUUUAUAAAGCUUAAUUUCAUAGGUGCUGAUUAGGCAUUUCACGAGGAAAUAGCUGUGCUUUUGGAAAUUAAUAUGCUGUGUUGUCAAUGUUGUGUAAAAUCCUUUUAUUGGUGUCUAUGUAAAGUGUUUCAGAUUUCAGACCUGAGAGUUAAUCUUCGCGUACCAGUUGGCUUUUGGGUUUAGUAUUGCUGCUUUUAACAUAUUUGACCUAUGGCCCAAAUCAUUUCUAUAGGGCGAAGCAUAUGAAUGAUACAUAUUAUCUUUUUUUGGCCUUAUGUAUUGUUAUUUGCACGGUGAUUUGGUCUAGCUUAAGAGCUUAAGCUUGCAGGUUGGAUUUGUCUGACAGGGAACAAUUUAAUUUGUUCAUCGUGAUGUUUAUAUCCAUUUUGUACUACUAUCAAUUUCAAUCAUGCCUAAUUUUUAUAUGUAUUUCUCGUGGACUCUCAGGUUCAGUGCACAAGAGGAUGAAGACGAUGGACACCCAAAUUUGAUGUGGAGAACAACUAUUGCAAAUGGUCCUUGAUUUACUUCUCCAAUUGACUUGAAUUGGUUUUACGCAAUUUAUAGUGUAUUUUUGUCAUCUUUGUAUGACUUGCAGGUCGUCCUGAUUUGGUACAUGACUGGACACAGGAAUUGGACUCAUAUUUUUCAAACCAGAAUGCCAACAAUCAAGGAUUUUCUUUUGAAAGCACUGGCGUCUUCUUCAAUGCCAAAAAGGUUAGAGAUUUUCUGUAUCCUGUUUUGUAUUUGAUCAGUUUAGCAUGUGGGUGGCAAUCAAGAAAAGUUAUUAUAACAUUUUUGUGUUCCCGAAAAACUGCUGAUGAUGUGUGACUUCUUUUUAUUUGUAUUCUUUCUUUUUUCUUUUCUCCCCAACAGUAUUAUGCAUUUCGAAGAGCUUCUUGAAGUUGAUUACCAUGUAUGCCACUUUCUUUACUCUAUGCUCAGGAUGUGAUUUUGCCAAGCAUUAAAAUGGUUUAGGUCAGAACCAUCAUCUAAAGUUUACUUAAAGUUGACGGAUUAAUUCCUUUUAAUAAUGGUCGAGUUAAUUUUACUAUACUCAUAAAACUAUUCUUAUUCUGAUAAUGCCACAAAUGUUAUGAUGUUUUCUUCAGCUAAUGAUCUUCUAUCAGGACUAGUUAGAAAUCAAAUGCUUAAAACACCGAUUGAAUGAAUAAUGCAGAAGUUUAAACAGUAUCUAAUUGAAAAUUGCAUGAAACAUGAAACAUCAAUUCAAGUCCUUCCUUAAACAGAGAAUGCAUCAAACAAAUCCAAAGUGUCUUGCAUGUCUGUAGCAUGACAAAAAAGUUGCAAAUGCGUUUAGAACCAAAUUAUUCAAGUACAGGAGAACGAGCAAGUUGAAUCAUGUACACGAGAUUGGCCUGGUUUGAGAUAGCUUCUUCACUGUACCUGAAGGGUUGGCUCAAUCUUUUCUUUAGAAUUCUGCACAUUUUGUAAUUACUCGUGUAAGCAAGCAUACAUUACAACCAUAAUAAUAAUAAAGCAAGAGUAAUGAUACGACCACCACCUCUUGUACACAAACAAUAUUGUAUAAACUAAUACGACAUAAUAUGAUUGGUUGAACAAAAACAUUACAUGGCCCUCAUAAUUUAUUUAUUUAUUUAUUAUUAUAUAUUUUCAGUCAACCAAUCAUAUUAUAUCACAUUAGUUUCUAUAAAAUAAUUUUCUAAAUAGCACCAAAACUUAAUUGAUACUCACCAUUUCAUUGAACAAUUUUUUUAUGGUGUCAUUGAGGUUGCCUUCCCAACAUCCUUCAUCAUCAUCUUUUUCUUCUUCGGUGACGUUCACUUUGUUUAGCAUUGGUGUGUCUAAGACUCCUUGAGAGAAGAUCUUCAUUUUUGGACACUGUCUCACAACUACUUGUUUCAAGGACGGGAAUUCAAGAGCGUAAUUACCUAAACAAAAGCUUGUUAGGCUUGGCAAACAAUCAAGUCCCAAGUACUUUAAUUCCUUGAAAACAAUGCAAUCUUUCGCUUCUUCUGCAACCGGCGACUGUAUGAUUUCUUCUAUCCUUUUGCAAUCAGCUAUCGUCAUACUUUGAAGAAUUAUCAGACUUCUAGAUGUUGAGAGCGUCAACAAAUUUAUCAACCUGUGACACUUCGAUACUUUCAAAGCCUCAAGAUUUUCCAAAUGCCACGAAGCUGGUACUAAUUUCUGUAACUUACUACAUUCAAAUAUUUCUAGACUUUUCAAGUUUGCAAACGCUUUGUUGGAUUCGUCAUUUUCCUUCCAGAGAUGCUGCACUUUGUGUAAUCUAGAUAGCUUUAACUCCUUCAAUUGAGGGAAUGUAAGCUGAAAAUCAACAAAAUUAAGUUGUAAAUGAAAAUAUGUAUCCAAUCUCUGCAGUAUUCCCCUGCAUAUUUUAUGGACAAGAUUAAUCACGGCAUUUUAUAUUUUAUUUCCAAAUUAGUAUGCUUUGCAGUAGGAUCCCAAAUAUAAGUAUCAAAUCGAUUACCCUUUGAAACACAUAAAUGAAAUCUGAUACUAAAUCCAAUAUGAAUUAGCUAGGAAAACAGAGAUGCGACAAGCAUAAUUGAUAUAGUUCAUCACCUCAUGUUACCAGUCAUCGAAAUAAUUUAAGACAUUUUUUUAAUUCAUACUAUAAAGUUAGUUCAUAACUGUAGUUGUAUUGUUAAUUCAUAUAUGAAUCAAGAUGACAUGCAAAAAGAUGAGUCAUAAAAUUUGAUUUGAUUCUAAUGAAAUUACAUCUGUGCAAACAAAAGUGAAGGGGAAAAUAAAAAUAAUAAUAAUAAUCACCUUUUCAUCGAAGAGGGGUUGUACUUGAUGAGCCAGCAAAAAGUUCUCUUCUGAUGUUAAUUUUUGAGGUUCCUUGUUAUUUGUUGUCACAUGCACUACCGAGUUGGAUAUGAAUGUUUCCAUAUCAGGGCAAUUCUCAAUAGUUAGAUUCUCCAACUCAGACAGUUCAAUUAUAUUCCCAGUGAAGUUACAGAAUCUUUUGAGUUUUGGAAGAUCAAUAAGCCUUAGUCUGUUAAGCCUAGGAAACCGGGGGCCUAUAUGUUCUUCCUUAGCAUUUAGCUCUUCUAAAUGAAGCACCUCUUCUAUUAAAUCACAAUUCCUCACUUCCAGGCAUCUCAAAUUGUUCAAGCAACGUAGCAGAUUGGUAGGAAUAGCACUCGACAUAUUCGUGCAGUCAUCCACAGCCAGUUGUCGUAAAUUGUUGAAGAAGCUGACAGGCACUGCUUGGCCGUGCCAUAUUUCUCUCAAGCGUGGAAAAUGUGAGAGUUGCAAAUGCUCUAUGUCACGGAAUCCAAUCUGCAUAAACCAAAACAAUUGCACUGGAUAUAUAUAAAUUUCUUUUUUUGAAAGGCAUUAGAUAUAUAUAUACAUUAAACUUACAUGUUUUGUGCUAUAACUUCUAAAAAUAUAUUUACAACGCAUGUGUAUAUGUUUAAAUGUGGUAUAGUGGAAUUAAGCUUAUUGCCAUUACUUCGAAGUGGUGUUCGUAACACCAUUACUUCGCAAAGUGAAUCGAUAAACACAUACCAUUACUUGGANNNNNNNNNNNNNNNNNNNNNNNNNNNNNNNNNNNGCCUUCCCAAUGGUGUUCACCCUCUUCCCUUUCAGUCACUUGCACUACGUAUAGCUUUGGUGUGGAUGAGAUUCCCCGAGAAAAAGUCUUCAUGUUCGGACAAUGUGUCAUAGAAACUUGUUCCAAUGAUGGGAAUUCAAGAGUGUAAUUCUCCAAACAAAAGCUGGUAAGCCUUGGUAAAUCAUCAAGUUCCAAAAGUUUUAAUUCGUUGAAAGCAAUACGAUUCUCCUUCGCUUCUUCUCCAACAUGUCCUAUGAUUUCUUCUAUUUUUGCACAGUCUGAUACAUCAAGAUUCACUAGACUAUUGGGAAUUCCAACCUGAAAUAAAGAGUAGCAUUCAACUAGAUCAAAGUAUGUCAAAAUCAUACAAUUGUUUUAUGAAAAAUAACAAUUUUGAGGAAUUGAAAGAUAACUAAUUUAAUUUUUUUUUGGAAAGACUAAUAAUGAAUGAAUUAAUGAUUAAAUAAUAUUAUUAGUUAUAUCUAUUUAAUAUUAAUGUUAUCAAAUAUAGAUUUUUCAUAAAAAAUAAUUCUUAACUAUAUAAUUAAUAAUUAGAGAGAUGUUAAUAAGCUUUUUGAUUUCCUAAAAUACGUAAUUUAAAAAAAAUUAGAAUUAUUAAAAAAAUUCAAAAAAUGAGGCCUUCACAAAAUAUGGGACCUUAGGCGACCGCCUUGUUCGCCUAUACCUAAAGCCACCCCUGCAUGGGACUGUAAUAGAGUGAAUAUUUGAGGAAAUUUUUUAAUCAACGGUCGACUCAAAAUGACCAUCAUGAAUUUGUGCUUAAUCAAUGGCGUAAUCAAUUCAUAACUAAACCAGAGAUAUUAACUACAUUUGAACACUUUUCUUUAUUUUUUAUUUUUAAAUCGAAAUCUAAAGACCCAAGGAAAAGAGAAAUAUAUAUGAAUUUGUGAACUUAAAAGCUGAGUAACUAAGUAUCUUUUAAUUUCUGAAAAUCUUAUUUAUUAGGAUAUAAGAAAAAAAAACAAUUAAAUUGAAUUAUAUUAUGCUGUUAAAUCGUGUUUAAAACAAUUACUUUAAUGCAGGUGAACCUAUAAAUUAGAUUGAAAAUGCAGAGUUCAGAAUGGUGAUUUGAAGUACACUACUUUUUUGCCCUCCAGAAGUUUGAAGUAAAAUACUUGCAAUAAAUAAUUUGUGAAUGAAAAUUAUUUGUAAACACAAAAAUGAUUAAAAUAAUUGUUGAAUGUUACUUGAAAUAAAAAUUCAAAAUGAAUAUAGCAAUCUUACCAAUGGAGGAAAAAUAUUCAGUAGAUUAUUACACCCAGAUAUCUUCAAUUUUUUCAAUUUGCUAAAAGACUUCGAAGCAAGCUGGUGGUGCCAUAUUUUUCUCAACUUAUCCGCCUCACUAAUAUGUAAUACCUCCAGACUUGGGAGUCGUACCUGAAGUUAAAAAUUCAAUGCAAUUAGAGAUGUAUAUUAAUUAAAUUUGAAGACUCAACGAAAAGAGAAUUUAAAAAUUCAAUGAAAAAAAACCUUUUCAUCAAAGAGGGAUUGAGGUUGCAUUUCAGUGUGAAUGACGUCUUCUGGUGAGGCAAAGCUACUUAGUUUUGGAAGCCAAUGGAGCGACAGGUAGUGUAGUUUGGGAAAAACCUUAAAUUCAUCUCUUCCUCCUAACGUCGUGGUGUUGACUACCCCUUCAAUUGACCGGCAAUUACGAAUCUCAAGAUGUUGGAGUUGCCCAAGACUAUUAACCAUAGAAUAUGAAAACAAAUACUUCAGACGAUGACAACUCCACACGGUCACUUUUGUUAAAUUUUGACAACAAUAUAUUCCCUGAAAUUGAUCGGACCAUAAUUUUUUGAUAUUUGUUAAACUGACAAGUUCCAGUUCCUCCAAGCGUGGAAAAGUAACCUGCAAAGAAAAACCAUACAUUUUUGUUCUUUCAACUACAACUUCUAAUAUAAUAUUCUUUCGAUGAUUGAAGAUCAAUCGUGAUAAUAUAUUAAUUAAUUAAUUAUUAAACAGAAAAUUAUUACCUGGUGAACAGGAUCAUCCUCUGCAUUGAUUUCUAUGAAUCCCUGAGUUGUUGGUGGUUUCUCCAUGUCGGGCCCUAUAAAUGAACCAAAACAAUAUACAAUAAACAUCCGUUGUUUUUUUCACCAAAAAAAAAAAAAAGAAAAAAAGAAAGAGUCAAUGUCAAUAAUCCUACCAAUAAUUAAUUUCAACACUUACCAAUAAUCAUUUUCAAAUCAUCGCAGUCUUCCACUUUUACUUUUUGAAGCCGCAAUAGGUUUUUGGCCAUAGAGAAUGAGAAGAGAUACUUCAAUUUUCGACAGGAAUCUACGUUUAUAAUCCUUAAGUUGCUGAAGGAUUGAUCUUCUCUGAGUUGGCUGUAGCAUAUCGUCUCCAAAUUAGUUAAAAACAUAAGAGACAAUGCCUCCAGCAAGGGAAAGACUUCGCAACGAACCCGUCUAACUGAACCGACAAUAUGUAAAAUCUCAGAACAGUCUGUUACGAGAAGACGCUUCAAUCGUGGAAAACCUUCCCCAUCGUCUAAUUCAUGAACAACACUUUGAACACCCUCCAAUGUUUCUAGCCAGAGAUCUUCAGUUCUCUGCAGCAACAUUUUUGUCCCAUCAUUCUCCUUAAGAAUGCUAACUUUUUUUAUCCCCUUGAGCAUCAUCAAUCUUGAUGCUUCGGAUUUGACGAGCAAUGGGUCAAACUCAUCUUCGGGCCCAUCUCCUAUACGUAUCUUAUAUCUUUGCAAUUCCACAGAGACAAAAUCCGGCGGCAGAAUUUCGGCAUCCGGAACUUCUAUCUCCAAAGUAGUUAGCUCUGUCAACCUCUCCAAUUCGACAAGACUGGCAUUACUUCCUCCUUCAACCUUCUCCCACCCUGAAAAACCGUUACCCAUAUACAAUUCUUCUAAUUGAGAUAAUUUUGAUAUGACAUUCGGUGCUAUCACCUCAAGCCACCAACAAUUGCUCAAAUCUAGCAAUUGUAACCGCGUCAAUUGUCCAAUUUCAACUGGUAGCUGGUUGAUAUUGGAAUAUGCGAGGCUGAGAAUCUCUAAUUUCUUUAGUUGUCCAAUUGCCGCUAUAUCUGCUAGUUCGCACCAGUCUAAACACAAUGUUUGAAGGUUAAUGAGGCGACCAAGUGAUGAAGGUAAUGAAGAAGAGCCAAUUCCAGGAAACUGUAAAACUUUGAGUCCUUCCAUCCCUUCAAAAAAGUGGUCUGAAACUUGCAUAGGGCCAUUACCCUCCGUAUACAACAAAAAUAACUGGAGAUUGGGACAUUGCAACCUUUCAGGGAGCUCUUGAAUAUCUCUAUGAGGUAAUGAAAUAGCAAUUGGAUCUUUCUGUAUUGUCUCUUCCAUCUUUUUCUCCAAGUCAGCAACAUUUGGAACAUUAAACAUGCGCUCCUCUGUGGCAAUUGAUACGGCAACAACAUGAAUGACGUCAUGCAUUUUAACUUCAUCUUCAGCAUCACCGUCCAACAAUAAGCAUGAAGAUUUGAGGUUGUCGAUCAACCGAUGCACUCUACUCCUUGCUUCUUCCAAUGUGUAAACAUUUUCAAACAAACCCCAACCCACACCAUAUCUCAAUAAGUCAGAAACUUGUAUGACAUUACCUUCACUGUAUAGACUACAAAGACGGAACAGAGAUUUUGCCUCCUCACUUUCCAAGAAGUCAUAACUCAAUUUUAUGGAGGUGUACACAUUUGCUUGCAUGCCAUGAAUUUCUCUAGCAUCCGAUCUUCUUAGCUGAUUCAAUGCAUCUUUCCAAAAGUAACGCUCUUUAGUUUUCAGAGCAUUUGCAACUGUACUCAGUGCAACAGGCAAACCUCCGCAUCUUUCAACGAUCUCAUUUGCUAUACUUUGAAAAGCAGAUAUUUUAGUUGAAUCACCCAAUAUCUUUUCAAAAACUGCAAUGCUUCUUUUGGUGGCAAAGCAUCGAUCGGGAAAUUUUUCUGAGAAUUCAUAUCAAUGCGCAAUAAAUCUCGACUUCUAGACGUCAAUAUUAUUGUGCAUCGUCUCUGAUCAUCCUUUGUAUCUUUCUCAUCAACAUCCCCACAAGGAAUUCCAACUUUUUCGAACUCGAGUUUUUUCCAAAUAUUAUCCAAUAUAACGAGGACCUGCUUCUCGUUCUUCAAUCUUUCACGUAAUCGAUCUGCUCUUUCGAAUUUAUUCUCAUCCGAGCCAAAUUUCAUGCCUAAGUCAAAAGCAAGUUUCUUUUGAAUUUCCUGAUGAUCUGGGGUCUGUGUUACCUCAGCCAUAACGACCUUAUCGAACACCUUAUCUUCCAUAACUUGCCUUGCAACUUGCUUGACUAGCGUGGUUUUACCCACGCCGCCCAUCCCGCAGACCCCAAUUAUCUUGAGCUUAUCAUCCUUCAACGCCUCCACAACAUCUUGAAAUACUUUCAUUCUUGAAUCAAAGGCCUCGAAAUCUUUCACUUGCAUAUGUUCUGCCCGCUUUGGAGCAGGACGGUAGGAAACAUUAGAGAAGUUACCUUUUCCCAUGAGACUAGCAGCAGCUUCUGCGGCCUUUGCUGCUUGUCUACUGAGCUUGUAACGAGAAAUCAAGUUUGGGCACAAUCCUUUGAAACAGAACUUCUUAGCUCUAUCUUCAUCAUCAGUGAUGGAUUUCGCAGCUCCCUGAGUGAAUUCCUUGACGCUAUUAAGCCAGUCUGCAACAUCCUUAUAAAUCUCAUCUCCUUGUUGAGUAGCCUGAUGAACGGGUAUUUCCACCCUUUCUCUUUUAUAUCCCAACUGUUUCACUUGAUCUUUUAGGCCAUCUAUGUAGCUCUGGUACUUGAACACAUAAGAGAUCUGCCGUAUAAUCGGUUUGAACAGUGACUUUGCAUCUUCUGAUACGAUGCUGGAAAAAGCAGCCAGACCCACUUCUACAACCAUUGCCUGUUGCUUAACAAUAUAUGUAUAUAUAUGAAUAAAAUGAAUAAAAAUGUCAAAGAAAGGAAUACAAAUAAAUUAAAAUGAACUAGAGGGAAAGACAGAGAAAGAAAAGACCGCAAACAACAUCGCGAUAUUGAUUUUGAACCAACUGAUACCUAAGUAGAGAAUUUCUUUUUCUAUCUUAAGGAUCAGAGGUUUCGCUAUUAACAGAAAGGUAUCCUUUAAGGAAAGUUGAUGGAAAUUAAGAAAGAAUGGCUAUCAAGAUCAAGUAUUCUGCUACUAAAAAUAAAUGAUAUGACUUAAGAAAAGUAAAUGAUAUGAUUAAGAAAAACCAGAGAAUUUUUUCCUAGGAAAGUUGAUGGAAAUUAAGAAAGAACCGCUAUGAAGAUCAAGUAUCAGAGAUUCUGCUACUAAAAGAAUAUUACAGGUUUUAGAACAAGUGCACCUCUUUACCUGUCUGGGAUCAGAGUCGAUGAGCUGCUGUAUUCACCUUGAAUAUAGAAGAAAUAUUACAGGUUUUGACUAAAGAGGAAUGUGAGGAACGAGUUGAUGAGAGUAAUAACAAUGAAUUUCCAAAAGAAGACGACUUGAGCAUUAAGCAUGCACCCCCUUUAUCAAUCAAAUAUUGGUACGUAUGUACGUAGGGACCAUUAUGCGUAUAUGAAGUCCAUUAGUUGCAAUCAGAAACCCUGGCCCAAUUUAAUUGGCACUCGAUUUUUGAUAAGAAGAAGGCAAGGAUAAGGACAAAGUCAAUCAAUCACCAACAGUAAUUACUUCAAUCUUUGUCAAUCUACUUAAAUUGUCGAUCAACAUGAAAAUUGUUUAAAUUGAUAUUUGUAAAUCAAUCAAUUUUCUAGUUACUAUGAUUAUAACGUUUCACCUUUCAUAUUGGAUUUUAUCUUUUCGAAAGUUUUCAAAUAUGAGUGUCAAUAAUUAUUGAGACUCCAAGCCGUGCUCUCAAGAUCGUGCUGACAAAUCACUAUUGACUUUGUUUAUGCAAAAUUCAAAGAAAAAAAGUUAUGGUUUUGUAUUGCCAGCCCUGCUACUUUUUGUUUUUUUCAUUUGUAUUAUUUACGAAUUAUUUUUUAACAGAAACAUGAGAACUCAUCAUCGUACAAAAUUGCAUGAAAAAAUCUUCAAAUUUAUAAAAGUAAAUUUCGUUGACAGAUUGUGGAUAUGUUAGAAAGAAUAAGGAUAAGAAUGAGUUAAGAAAUAAUAUAUAUAUAUAUAUAGAUAGAGAGAGAGAGAGAGAGUGAAAGUAAACAAUGUUUUGGUACAUUUGGUAUUGUUUUCAAAAUAUUUUGAAAAGAAAAAUUUUCAAUUAUCCACCUAGGAAUUAUCUUAUUAUCCAAAAAGUUAUAAAAAUUUAAAAAUAUUUAAUUUUAUACCCAUUAUUACAAUGUGUAUCAACUGUUUACUAAAAAAAUAAAGUUACUCCUAAAACAUAAUCACCACUACAAUUUUGUGUUCGCUUCUAUUUUGUCACUUUGAACGAAUAACUUUAUAUUUUUAACAGAUGUUUCAUACAAAUUGCAUACAUUGGAUGUAAAAUUAAAUAAAUUUAAAUUUUUAUAAUAAUUUUAAUAAUUGAAUAAACUUUGAGUAAAUGACUGAUAAUUUCUCUUUUAUAAGCUACAAGAAGUUAAAAAGAAAAAAGAAAAAAUAGGAUGAUAAUUUCUCUUUAAUAUGCCUCAGAUGAUUUAUUGUUUCGGGUCUAAGAUUUUAAAUAUUCAACUUAAAAGAUUAAUAUAUUAUAAAUUAAUUAAUUAAAUAAUCAUUAAGCAACUAAAUUGGGUCCCCUGGAUGUCAAUUCCUUUAUUAUUGACGCAACUAUUUUUUUAUGGCAAAUAAUUAUUAAUGCACUUACGGAACUUUUGCAUAUCUACACAGCGAUUUUAAAUAUUACUGGUAACUGCUGAGAAAUGUGCGAGAAAGAAGUUGAUGAGAGUAAUAACAGCGACUUGCAAAAGGAAAAGACAGAAUCAUUCAGACAUUCACCCCUUUUUGUAUCACGUACUUGGUUACUGUUUCCCUGUUGACGCAUGUAUAAAUUUGAGUGAUUUUUCUGCACUUUUUUGGCUGUUGCUUAACAAUGUGUGUGUGUGUGUGUGUGUGUGUAUUUGCUGUUGAAAAAUUUGGAUUCAAAUAAAUUAACUGAAAGAUUAGAGUUUUGACUAUUAACUGAAAGGUUUCAAGGGUAUGAAUGAAAAGCAACAUUCUUUUUUAGAAACUAUUUUAGAGGAGAGAUGCAAAUUAACAAAUGCUAAUAACAAGAACACAGAAGUUAACAAUGAACAGUAACUUAAAUCAAGAAAAUUAAAUGACAAAAUUAAGACAAAUAGGAGAUAUUUUUUCGUGGACGUUAAGAAAUAACUGCUGUCAAGAAUAAGGAGAUUAUGCUAUUAAUAGAAAUUAUCAAAGGAUUUAGGACAAGUUCACCUCUUUAAUUAUCCGGGAUCAGAUAGUUGAUGAGCUUCUCUAUUUGAUCUUGAAUAUUUAAGAAUAAUUUUAAUGAGCAAAAAGAUCACUGGUAACUGCUGAAAAAUAAGUGAGAAAAGAGUUGAUGAGAAUAAUAACAAUGAAUUGAAUAAAAAAAGGACUUAAUCAUGCACCCCCUUUGCAUAUCAUGUAUAGAAUAAUUACAUGUAUUAUUAUAAUUUUGGGUUCGAUAUCCUUGUAUUAGUGUCUAAGAUUUUCAUGAAGAAUUAAACUUGAAAUGACCAAAAGAGGAAGCUGCGGUGUAUUGUUGGACCCAAUUAAGUUGAAGAAAGCACUAGUUCACAACCUUACGUUUGGAUAUAUUCUAAAGAAAUAAUUAAACAGCAAAUGAUCAUCACAUGCACUUUAAUGAUUUGAUCUAUUGUUUUCAAAAGAAAUUGCAAUUAACAGUUUUUGUCAAAAGUUCGCACUGUGUGAAACUAGUGUUAAUAUAAUUUAAAAAAUUACUUUCAAUAGCAUAUGGAAUAAUUAUAAUAUUAUUAAUACCUAAGAUAUAUUUAUAUUUAUUAUAAAAAAUUCAGUUAAAUAUUUGUGUUAACUAGAAUUUAUAAUUAAUAUAAUAUAUCUUAGGUAUUAAUAAUAUUAUAAUUAUUCCAUAUGCUAUUGAAAAUAAUUUAAAUUUUUAGACGUUUAUUUUCAUAUUAAGUUUUUAUUUAUUAUAAAAUUUAGUUUAAUAUAGUAUAAGCUUGUAAAGUAUUAAAAUAUUUUUUUUCAUAUUUUUUAAAAAUAUUAAAAUUAUUUUAAUAUAUAUAUAUUAACAUUGAAGCCAAUUUUUUGAGUUAAUAGAGCUAGUAGGUGUUACACUAAAAAAGAGUAUCUUAGUAUCUCUUAUUGAGUGGGAGAGCCAAAUGAAUCGAAAAAUUCAUGUUUGGUUCGGGAAGGGAUCAUCGAAGUUUUGAGAUGAAUGGAAAGAUAAUCUACUUUCAUUAAGUGAUUUAUUAGAUAAUCGCAAACUGAGGAUUUUGAAUAGUAUUCAAAAUUCAGAAGAAAUGCAGAGAGGGGCCAUUGAACGGCCGGAAAAAGCCCGGCCCGGUUACAAAAAAUCAAAAUAGAAGCAGAUCAAUAUUGAAAAUAUAUAGAUCUAUAUAAUCAUUUUUUCAAAUAUCGAGAUGUAGCUAUAAAAGAAAAAAUAAAUUAAAAAAUUUUAAAUUUUAAAUUUUAAUAUGGCCAUCGUAGGGUUAGAAUCCCCGCUCCAACCCGAUUUGGAGAUGUGCUUGGUCUAUUUAUGUUUUGGAAAAAGAAAAACCAAAGAAAAAAAAUACGCACCCGACCAAAUCAAGUAACUCAUCAAAUAAAAAAUAAAAAAGGAAAGAAAUUUAAUGACUUGCGUGCAAUUUUGGAUCUGAAAUUAAAAUUACAUAAAAAUUCAGGCUUACGUACCUUGAUAUUUACAGCUUAUUUGAUGGCCUCAACAAGUUUAAGCAGCAUCAAAAUGUUGUGGCUCCUUCAAUGACAACAUCGACUUGUUUGACAGCUCCAACAAGGCUACGAUGAUCAGAAAAUGAGCCCUCAAUCAACCAGCGCCUUGCUCUUUGUCAUUUUUCCUCUUGUUAGUUUUCUUCUACAUAUAAUUAUUACACUGGGAAGUAUACACACACCUCUUUUCUUUUUAUAGUACCUUACUAUUAUAUCUUUACAAAACAAUAUCACCCUAAGACAUAUAUGUAUGAAAUAAAUAUAUAAGGAACUGACGAAAUAAAAUUAGAUCUAACACUAGUUUCAUGUGGUGUGUGAACUUUUGACAAUCCUCUCAUACCCCAACAAAAACUUUGUCAUAUUACGAAAGUUAUCACGACCAUAGACUUUUCAAUUGCAUAUUGGAAUUGCAAUGUCAUUUUAUUAUAGUAAUGUCAUUUCCAUUAUUCAUAGUGGCAGACAAUGGACAUCACGGGACACGGCGAGAAGUUAUCACGACCAUAGACUUUUCUAAUUUAUGAAAUAAAUGAAAUUAGAUCUAAUUCUAGUUUUAAGUGGUGUGAACUUUUGACAAUCCUCCCAUAUCCUAACAAAAGCUUUGUCAUAUUGCGAAAAUACCUUUCCAAUGUUUCAAUUGCAAUGUCAUUGCCAUUAUUCAUAGUGGCAGACAAUGGACAUCACGGGACAUGGCUAGAAGUCUAUGUUACGGCUUAUGUAAGUAACAGUAGCCAAUGGGGAACUUCCACAGGGGCUAUAGGAGAGAGAAAGAGGUCCCAAUACAAGUGUUAGAGUGCAAUUUAUACACUAGUUUUGCAUUGUUUACUUCCCUUAAUAUCAAUGUUUUGCAUUUAAUAAUAAUGAUUUACUUGUGUUUUACUUUUGUAGGUGCAAUUCUAUUGAUUUGUUAUAAAAUUGAGGUAUAAGAUGAUGUUUAAAGAUGAUUGUUCUCUUAGAGAAAUUUAGAGCGUCAGAAGAACUUUAUUGAUAAAGCGUGGGCGCGUGCUGUCAACUGCGGACCUGCAGUUUUUAGUUUAAUGUGUUUUGUAUUUUUGGCUAUUUUUGUAAUUACGAAUUUAAUAUUUCAAAUAUUAGUAUUUUAUUUUAAAUAGAACUCUAAAAGAGAAGAGAGAGAGAGUAUUUAAGGGAGGAAUCUAUUGUGAAAAAGGGGGGAUUUUAAUUGGAGAAAAAGAAAGAAACCCUAGAUCUAAUUUUUCUCUUCUCUCUAUGAAGAACUAAACUUAUUUUUUCUGGUGGAAGGUUAAUGAAGCUUUGAUUCAUCAAUACUGUGAGAUCUUUCUUAUGCUUUAAUUGUUUUAUUACUUUUUGGGUAUUUGUUUAUUCUCUGAAUUUGUUUCAUGAUUAUGUUUGUUAAUUAGGUAAUUGGCCACUAUUUAAUUAUCAACUUAAUCUAUUGUCAAUUAAAGAAUUCAUCGUAUGAAGAGUUUAAUGUUUGUGACAAAUAACAUAGCAGUGAGUUGUGUUAUGGGAAUAAACAAUCUAAUUUAAAUGAAUCAUUAUAUGUGUUGAUUAGGAUUUGGGUCUCUAUGGUUUUUCAGGCUGUCAAUUGAUUAAAUCCUAUGAUCGUAUCUAGGGUUGUCUAUUGAUUAGGGAAAUAUCCAACGGUCGUACCUUGGUUAUCGACUAGUUAAGGAGAGAUUGGCUAUUAGAGGGUCUCAAUAGCUAUAACCGGUCUAUUCAUAAGUAAUAAUAAUCUAUUUUUGAAUCAAUGAUUAGUAGUCGAAUCAAGCUGAGUUAAUUCCUUCAACCAGAGCUUUCUCCAAUUUGAAUUACAACUUUAAUUUGCAUUUUUGUUAUUUUAAUUUGAUUUUUUAUUAUUGUCAACAAUUCCCCCAUUUUACGUUUUACGUUUCAAAAGGAUUUAAAUAAUUACCGAUCUCUGUGGACACGACCCUGCUCAAUCACUAUACACAAUUUAUUUAGAGUAGGAAUUUAUUUUUGUUGGCUUCGACAACCAUCAACAAGGUGAUGGAAAUGGGAAAGUUCGAAGCUGUUACUUUCAGCUUCUGCACCGUAGCCAUGUCCCACGGGACAAGGCUAGAAGUUAUCAUGACCAUAGACUUUUCUAAUUUAUUUUUUCCUUUCAAAAAGGGACAAGGAUAAGUUUGGGAGAAUGAUUAUAUUUUUAAUAAAAGAAUUCUUUUUUAUUAUAAUACUUUUUGUCUUUAUUAAUUUAAAAAUAUUAACUCUUAUAUUUUAAUAAAUAUAAAUAUAAUAUUAUAAUAACAUAUAACAAUAUAUACAAAAAUUUAAAAAAAAUUAAGAUUUUAUUAAAAUAAAUUUUAUAAUAAAUACAAAUACAUUAUUAAUAUAAUUUUAAUAAUUUGCAUUUUAAAAAGUAAUACUGAUAUUAAUUUUUUAAAUAUUAAUUUUUUAAAUUAUAUUACUCUACCAAAAAAAAUUAAACUAUUAAAUUAUAUUGAUAUUUAUUACAAAAUUUGCAAUUAAUUCUUAUUAUAUUUUUAAUUGGAAUUUGUUCCUGUGAUAUAACAACAAUUGCUACAGUUUUUUUCCCUAAAUAAAGAUGGAGUUAUAAAUUAUUUGUGUAAGUGUCAUGAAAGUAAUAGUUGAAUAACAAUAAUGGGGCUUUAGGCAAUUUUUUCAUGAGGUCUUCUUGCAAUUUCAACACUUAAACAUACUUGUCCUUGAUCCCAAUUUAUUUACCCCAUUUGGGCCCACGAUGAGAUAAAUAUAUUCCUGUGAGAUGAAAAACAUCAGGAGAAGAAAAUGUUUUAUUAUAAUAAAAAAACAAGUGGUCCAUAAGUCUAUUUAUUACUUUUUUUAUUCAAUACAAAUGGCCAACUUAAAAAAUGAUAAAAAUCACAUAACGCACAAGCAAAAAUUUAGAUUUACAUUUUUUUAGUUCUCUCCGUGUCUCUCUUUCUCUUUUUUUUUUUUAAAAAAAAUAAAUGUCAGUGUAAAAUUAGAAAAAUUUUAGAUAUAAACUUUGGCGAUGACCAAACAAAAAUUGCAAGGGAAAGAAAAUAGAGGACCCUUGAUAUCAUUGAAAUACUGAUCAUAGACACUACAAUAUAAAUAACUUGUUGUGAUCCACUCAACUUGUAACACUUUAAUCCAUAUUCUAAAAUUUGUAUGCUUGUUAGGAAUUUUAUUAUUGACAUUACUGUACCAAUAAAAGUCUAAUUUAUUCAUAUGGAAAGAAAACAUCAAGAAAGGACCUCUGAUUUUUAUUAUAACAGAAAAAAGUGGUCCAUAAGUUUAUUUAUUAUUUUAUUUAUUCAAUACAAAUUGCCAACUUAAAAAAUGGUAAAAAUCACAAAAUGCACAAGUAAAAUUUUAGAAUUACAUUUUUUUAAUUCUCUUUGAGUCUCUCUCUCUCUCUUUAAAAAAUAAACCUCACUGUAAAAUUAGAAAAAUUUUAGACAUAAAAUUUGACAAUCACCAAACAGAAAAUGUAGGGAAAUGAAAAUGGAGGAGCCCUAUUAUCAUUAGAAUAUUGAUCAUAGAUACUAUAAUGUAAAUGAUUUGUUGUGGUUCAUUCAACCUGUCACACUCUAAGCCAUUUUCUAAAAUUUGUAAGGUUUAUAGGAUUUUUAUUAUUGGCAUCAUUGUAUCAAUAAUAUUAUAAAUUAUAUAUUCUAUUGUAAUGAAAAUUUAUGUAAUCUUAGGUAUUUAUUUAUUGUAAUAAUAAAAAAUUUCUAAAUAAAGGUGAUUGCUUCAUUGACAAGUACAUAUUUAUAUUCUCUAUUAGUAUUUGGGUUGUAAACUUUGUUUAUAAAGUGAAUAUAUUGUGGUAAGCGAUGUGGGCAAUAUCGGAUGCAAAAUAUUGAGAGAUCAUUAACGCAUAUAUUUAUUGAAGACGCAUAUAGAGGAAAGAGUGUAGAUCCGGCCGUAACAAUUAUGAAGCUUUCCCCAAGUAUUCUCACGCUUCCUUAACUGUUGCAAAGUAUUUUUCAUAGUGUGCAGAUUUACUUUAUGGUGUCUUAAUUCGUCUAAAAUGAUUACUUUAGUUCUUUUGGGAUGAAAGGUCAUUUAUUGUGUUAGUAUUAAACAAUAGAAAAAAUAAGUAAUGGUAACGAAAGACUAAUUUGUGAUAUUGAAGCAUACAUGCUUAACUCAAUCCAAAACUUAGUAAGUUAGCUCAAGAGUUAAGAGUUGUCCAAAUCUUAUAUGCUGAACCCAAGUUCAAUACUCAAUUGAUGCAGGAUGUUAUUCCUAACACCGCCCCUCAUGCGUAGGAUUGGCAAAAAAACUCGAGUCAGUCCCGCCUAGACCUGCAAGCUUUAUUUAUGGCCAGCAUGAUGAAGUUACAGAUAUUAACCUAAAAAUUUGAAACUUACUAUGAAUGGCCUUGGUUAAAGACUUUUGUAACUUUAAUUUAUAACAAGUAUGUAUACACACACACACACAUGUUUAGAUUGCAUUUGGAUGACUUUUUUAUCAAUGCAAACAAUAUCAAAUUUAUCGGAUUAAUUUGAAUCUGAUCUAUAUCCGAUUUUGCCCGCCAUANNNNNNNNNNNNNNNNNNNNNNNNNNNNNNNNNNNNNNNNNNNNNNNNNNNNNNNNNNNNNNNNNNNNNNNNNNNNNNNNNNNNNNNNNNNNNNNNNNNNNNNNNNNNNNNNNNNNNNNNNNNNNNNNNNNNNNNNNNNNNNNNNNNNNNNNNNNNNNNNNNNNNNNNNNNNNNNNNNNNNNNNNNNNNNNNNNNNNNNNNNNNNNNNNNNNNNNNNNNNNNNNNNNNNNNNNNNNNNNNNNNNNNNNNNNNNNNNNNNNNNNNNNNNNNNNNNNNNNNNNNNNNNNNNNNNNNNNNNNNNNNNNNNNNNNNNNNNNNNNNNNNNNNNNNNNNNNNNNNNNNNNNNNNNNNNNNNNNNNNNNNNNNNNNNNNNNNNNNNNNNNNNNNNNNNNNNNNNNNNNNNNNNNNNNNNNNNNNNNNNNNNNNNNNNNNNNNNNNNNNNNNNNNNNNNNNNNNNNNNNNNNNNNNNNNNNNNNNNNNNNNNNNNNNNNNNNNNNNNNNNNNNNNNNNNNNNNNNNNNNNNNNNNNNNNNNNNNNNNNNNNNNNNNNNNNNNNNNNNNNNNNNNNNNNNNNNNNNNNNNNNNNNNNNNNNNNNNNNNNNNNNNNNNNNNNNNNNNNNNNNNNNNNNNNNNNNNNNNNNNNNNNNNNNNNNNNNNNNNNNNNNNNNNNNNNNNNNNNNNNNNNNNNNNNNNNNNNNNNNNNNNNNNNNNNNNNNNNNNNNNNNNNNNNNNNNNNNNNNNNNNNNNNNNNNNNNNNNNNNNNNNNNNNNNNNNNNNNNNNNNNNNNNNNNNNNNNNNNNNNNNNNNNNNNNNNNNNNNNNNNNNNNNNNNNNNNNNNNNNNNNNNNNNNNNNNNNNNNNNNNNNNNNNNNNNNNNNNNNNNNNNNNNNNNNNNNNNNNNNNNNNNNNNNNNNNNNNNNNNNNNNNNNNNNNNNNNNNNNNNNNNNNNNNNNNNNNNNNNNNNNNNNNNNNNNNNNNNNNNNNNNNNNNNNNNNNNNNNNNNNNNNNNNNNNNNNNNNNNNNNNNNNNNNNNNNNNNNNNNNNNNNNNNNNNNNNNNNNNNNNNNNNNNNNNNNNNNNNNNNNNNNNNNNNNNNNNNNNNNNNNNNNNNNNNNNNNNNNNNNNNNNNNNNNNNNNNNNNNNNNNNNNNNNNNNNNNNNNNNNNNNNNNNNNNNNNNNNNNNNNNNNNNNNNNNNNNNNNNNNNNNNNNNNNNNUACCUCUUUUAACGACAAGAUUCGUAGUAGAUGAUAAAAAGAAAAUUAACUUCAAAUUUUUUCAUUAAAUGUAAAUCUGAUUGAAGUAGUUUAAAUUUUUCUAGUAGACUAAUAUAUAUAACUUAAAUAAUUAAUUUCAUUAUUAAUUUUUAAAAUGUUAACUAAUAUAUUUUUAAUUUAUUAUAAAAAUUUUAAAUAAAUCCUUGGAUUAAAUAGAUUUUACAAUUAAUGUAAUACUUCUGAUUUAUUAAUAAUAUUAAAAUUAUUUUAUAUGAUAUUCAAAAUAAUUUAAACUUAUAUAUAUAUUAAUAUUAUGUCUAUUUAUUAUAAUAUGGUUUAAUAUUAUACGGGAUUGUAAAAUAUUAAAAUAUUUUUCAAUAUCCAAUUAUUUUAAUAUGUAUAUAUCAUUACAUUUAUUUUAGUAUCGUAUUUAUAUUUAUUAUAAAAUAUAAAAUUAAUAAAAUUAAAGAGUAUUGCAGUAAAGUAAAAAAAAAAAGUCUUAUUAUCUCUUAUUCACAAUAUGAGAUUCUACAAAAUUAUUUCCCGAAACGGGUGUCCUUUUCUUAUUUUCAAAAGAAAAAAUAAAGUAAGAAUAAGUCCAUGGGUUUCAAAAACUUCUAGUCUUAUCCCGGGACUACAUUGUCUGCCACUAUAACUAAUGGAAAUGACAAUACAAUUGACAUUGCCUUUCGCAACAUGACAAAUUUUUGGUGGGAUAUGGAAGAAUUGUCAAAAGUUCACGCCAUGUAAGAGUUUUUGGUGGGAUGUGGGAGGAUUGUCAAAAUAUCACACCACGUGAUAUAACCACAAUUGCUAUGGUUUUUAUUUUUUAAAUAAUGAUGGGAGUUAUAAAUUAUUUAUAUAAAUUUGCGUAGAAACUAAUGUAACAUAAAAGAAGUAGCUGAAUAAUAAUAUUUGGUGCUUUAGGUAAUUUUUAUAUGAGCCUUUCUUUUAUUUAGCGGCUCUAGUGCUUAAACAAACUUGUUCUCGAUCUUAAUUUACUGACCCCAUUUAAGCCUAUGAUGACAUAAUUAAACAUAUUCUUUUGUGACGAAAACAUCAAGAGAAGACAUCUCAUGUUUUAUUAUAACAGAAAAGAAGUGAUCCAAACGUCUAUUCGUUAUUUUAUUUAUUCAAUAUAAAUGGUCAACUUUAAAAAAAUGAUAAAAAUCACACAACGCUCAAGUAAAAAUUUAGAAUUACAUUUUUUAAAACUCUCUGAGUCUCUCUCUCCUGCCCCCCCCCCCCCCUCUUUUUUUUAAAAUAAACCUUAGUGUAAAAUUAGAAGAAUUUUAGAUAUAAAAUUUGGCAAUCGCUAAACAGAAAAGUAGCGGAUUGAAAAUAAAAAAGCUCUAUUAUCAUAGGAAUAUUGAUUAUACAUAAUAUAAUAACUUGUUGUGGUUCAUUGUAGCACUCUGAGCCAUACUUUAAAAUUUACUGGUUUGUUAAUGCUUUUAUUAUUGACAUUAUUGUGUCAAUAUUACUAUAAUUUAUUCAUUUUAUUGUAAUGAUAAUUUGUGUAGUCUUAGGUACUUAUUAUAUUAAAUUAUGUAAAUUAAUUGAGAAUACUUUUAGAGACAAAAGAAACACGUGUAUGUAGGAUUAAUAAUCGAAGAAUUGUAAAUGAAGGUGAUUGCUUCAUUGAGAGGCAUAUUGAAUAAUUAUGGAGGUUGCACUAUUUCGGAAGCACAUAUUUAUACUUCCCUAUCAGGAUUUGGGGUAAACGAAGUGCUUUAUCUAUUGCAGUAAGCAAUGUGGGCAAUAUCAGAGGCGAAAUAUUAAAAGAUUAUAACGCAUAUAUUUGAGCCAUUUAUAUUGAAGACACAUAUAGAGGAAAGAGUGCAGAUCAGGCUUUCCUCAAGUAUUCUCAUGCUUCCGCAACUGUUCUGAACUAUUCUUCAUUGUGGGCAGAUUUACUUAAUUACCAACACUAUGAUUCAAUACUUCAAAGGUUGAGGAAAUGUCAAAAUAUGAAAUGAAAAUACUUAAAUACCCUUCUACCUAACAAAACUUGGUACUUCUAACUGCACUCGCAGAGAAUAUAUAAAAUUAAAAAAAUAUAUAUUCAUCCAUGAAAAGCUUCGUAACAGAAAAACCAUCUUUAAAAAAAAUAAAAAUAAAAUUAAAAAAAAAAAACAGAAAAACCGACUCAUUUAUCUGCCAAUGAACCAAUUGGGACUCAUUUAAAAAAGAAUACAAAGCAAAAGUGAAUGACACAAAUUGCAUAGAUAUCUAGGUAUAAUUUGUCCAAGUAAUAAAUUCUCCUAGGUCAAAAGCAAUUAACGAUGAAAACUUUCUUCAUUAAGGUUCUGGCCUACGUAAAAAAACAGAAAAAACCACCCCAAGGUCAAAGCACAACGAUAAGUUUAGAACUGCAGUUUUUAAUUUUUUUUAAUAAAUCAAUGUGUAUCAAAAAUAGAUAAUAAUUUUGGAUAACUUUUUUUGAUAAAUAUAGACAUAAAAUUUUAAAAUCACCAAACAGAAAAACAGGGGAAUUAAAAGAGAGCCCUUGUUUCUCCUCUGUUUUGUUUGUUAUCAAACAGUGAAAUGAAAAGAUCGCAAGCGGAAAUUUUGUUUCUGCGUUGUAUCUUCUCAAUGCUGCAUGCAUUCAAAUUAAACCUUAUAUAUGCUAGCAAACUAGCUACUCUGCAUGUAAGUUCUCGAUAAGUCCAAAUAAUAGAAUAAUUGUAAAAUGUUAAAAUUCAGUAAUUAAUUAUACAUAUUUAUUUAUUCAAAAAUUAUUAUUAUUAAUUAUUGUCAAUAUAUAUUAAUAUUCUGAUUAAUUGUAAAAAAUUUAUCAUUCAUAACAAUAAUAAUGAUGAUGAUGAUAAUAAUAAUAAUAAUUCAAAAUAUAUUAAUUAAUUAUAAUAAUAUAUUAAUUAUUUAAUAAUAGUAAUAAAUGUAAAAUGUAUAAAUUGAUUAGAAUAGUUAUAUUAAUAAAUUAUAAACAUAUAUUAAUUAAUCAUAAUAAUUUUUUAAUUGAGGACAAAAUAGACAUUUUAUAGUUUGUGAGAGGGGGUAAAAUGGUCAAUCUUGGGAACGGGGGAUUGAUUCCCACCACCUUCCUUGGGAAUCAAUCUUCCAUUCCUCAUUCCUAAAUUUGGGUGGCCCCAUAAUUCUGAUUUGGAUCCCUGCCUCCAUCAUUAAUGAUUUCGAUUUCGGAUUCCGAUUCCCCAAUCCAAGAAGUAAAGGCACCAUUAUUGUUAAUUGGUUCAAACACACAAAGAGAAUGUACCAUGUAGCUAGGCGUCAAGGUUGUGUUGCACAAGUAACCUUUUUCUUUUCUUUUUAUUUUUCUUGUUUUCCUUAACGGAUCAGAAGAAAUUGGUGCCUUUGAGAUACCACAAUGUAAAUAAGUACUUGUGGUUCAUUGAAUCGGUAACACUCGGUACCCUAAGGUUGCUUUGGAAAAAAGGCUUUUCUCACUGAUCGCCAAUAUCCAAGUAAGUUUGUUUCAUUUCAGAAGGUGCAAAGUUUCAAACUUGUUGUAUUGGGAUGUAACAAACUUUGGCCUCAUAUGCCUGCUGUGACGUUAGACUGUUCAUUUUGAUUGUUUCCUACCUUCCACUUACGCCAUUGUAGCACUGUAUUAUUCACCAUUUUAACUGUUUAAAUGAAAUUUUAUUUUUGUCAAAAAUAAAAUGACACCAUUAAAAUUUAGAAAAAUAAUAAUGUAGAUCCCAAAUUUUUAAAAAAGAAUACCAAUAUUCCCCUUGACUACAAUACCCUUAGUAGGUGGUAAUAAAAAAAAAUUGGCUUAAAAUUUUUACGAAAUGUAAAUAUGAUUUAAAUAAUUUAAAUUUUCCAGUAGACUAAUAUAUAUAAUUUAAAUAUUAAUUUUUAAAAUUUAAAUUAAUUUAUUUGUAUUUAUAAAAUAGUUGUAAUUAUUUUAAAAUUUAACUAAAUCCUUAGGUUAAAUAGAUUUUACAAUUAAUAUAAUAUUUCUCAUGUAUUAAUAAUAUUAAAAUUAUUUUAUAUGAUAUUGAAAAUAACCUAAAUUUUUAUAUAUUUAUUUGAAUAUUAUGCUCUAUUUAUUAUAAUUUGGUUUAAUAGAAUACGAGAUUGUAAAAUAUUAAAAUUUUAAAUAUUGAAAUUAUUUUAAUAUGUAUAUAUUAUUAUAUUUAUUUUAAUAUCCUAUUUAUAUUUAUCAUAAAUUAUUAGAGUUAAUUUUUUUAGUUAAUAAAUUUAAAAAAUAUUAUAAUUUUAAAAAAAAAGUCUUGUUGUCCGUUAUUCACGAUAUGAGGUUCUACAAAAUUAUUUCUCCAGGCGGGUGUCCUUUUUUUAUUUUCAAAAGGAAAAACAAGUUCAGGGCCUCAGGGGUUUCAAAAAAUUCUGGUCCUAUCUACCACUAUGACUAAUGGGAAAUGACAUUGCAAUUGACAUUGCUUUCCGCAAUAUGACAAAUUAUUGGAGGGAUAUGGGAGAAUUGUCAAACGUUCACACACGCGAGAGCUUUAGGUGGGAUAGGGGAGGAUUGUCAAGAGUUCACACCACGAGAAACUAAUGAUAGGCCUAAUUUCGUUGUCAGUUCUUUAUUUAUUUAUUUUAUUUAUUUCAUACAUUAUUGUUUUUAUAAAGGUAUAAAAGUAAAGUAAAAUACCAGGGGUGCUGUUAAGUUACAACUUAUGUAACUUGCAAUUUUUUCAAAAAUAAUGUAAAAAAUUUAAUAGGUGGUGGGACCCACAUAUUUUUUAAGAGACUUAAGUUACAACAGUUGUAACUUAACAAAAUCUAAAUAUUAGACAAUAAUGCAUAUAAUUUGGGUUUGAUUUUUAAAAGAUUAUUUGAGUACCACCUAUCCUUAUGAUAUUAAUCUGAUUAUAUCUUAAUAUUAAAUAAUCAAAAUUUGUUUAAUUAUUAUUUGUAUUUCAUACAUUACAUAUUAGAUUUGUUUGAAUUUUAAGUUGUUGCUAAUAAAUAUUUAUGUUGUCAAAGUCAAAGUCAAUAGCUACAAAAGCAGAGAUAAUGGUAUUGUAUAUAGUUUUUAAGAAUGCAAGGAUAAGCUGGAUAAUUGACUUAAAUUCUAAUGAUUAAAAGAGCAACUAUCCCUUAAGUUAUAAUGUCAAUUUCUUUAAUUAGAAAUUUUUUUUUUCAUGUGAUAUAACCUCAAUUGCUACAAUUUUUUUUAUAAUAAUAAUGGGAGUUAUAAAUUAUUUAUAUAAAAUUUGGGUUGAAACUAAUGUAACCUAAAAGUGGUUGCUAAAUAACAAUAUUUGAAACUUUAAGUAAUUUUCAUGAGUCCUUUUUAUAUUCAGCAACUUGAAUUGGGGGAAAUCCGACUUGAAUUGGCGGUUGAUUUUGGUGAUGUGGCUUUUGGUUUACGCCGGCUUUACAGUGGCGGAAGACUGGAUUUACGGUUGCCGAAUGCUAGGGAUUAUGGUGGUGGUGUAAAUUGACGGAAAAAGAAGGUGUUUUGGUGGCGGCGCAUCUAGGAAGCACUCGUGGGUUGUCGUUUCGUGUGCUGACAACGGGCGGCGAUCAAGGGCUGAAGUUGGUUGGUUUUUGGUCAACGGAGGCCGGCGAGUUUGUUGGUGGAGGUGGUUGGUGGAGAAAGUGGCUGAAUGGUGGUGGGUUGCUUGGUGGAGCCGUGGGUUUGGGUUGGUGAUUUGCGGCUGUUGAGGCAGCGAUGACUGAGGCUUGGUCAACUGUGGCUAGUGAGGUUUGUGGUGGUGUUGGCUGGCUGAUCGGCGGUGGUGGGCGGCGGUGGAGGUUGAUGUGACGGGUUGGGUUUUCAAAUUUGUAAAUUUUGUUUUUUGAUGGAUUUGGUUUGGAUAGGUAUGGUGUAUCUAGGAAAGAUGUGCGAUUCGCACAUAAUCAUCUUGAUACCAAUUGAUGGAGCGAGGCGUAGCGGAAGCAGAAUUGAUAGGGUAAGAAACAUUAGAUAUUGUUCUAGUACUAGACCAAGCCAACGCGAUUAGUUCACGCUCUAAUCGAAGCAUGAUUAGAUAUCGUUAUAAUCCAAAUGACUCAAUGAGAUUUUUAAUAAUGCGUAAUACGAGAUUAGAUGACACUCUAAUCCAAACGACUCUACAAGAGAGAUUUUGAUAAAUAAUCCUAGAGAAAAUUAUAAAAGAGGGGUUUUAUUUAAUAAUUGAACUUGAAGUUAUGAAAAUAAUGACAAGACAUCUUUAUUUUUUUUAUUACAAAUAUCUUUAUUUAUAAUAGAAGAAACCCGCUUUCCUAAGUUAACCUAAAAAGAAAAUUUAAAUCAUAAUUAUAAUGGAAAUAAAAGAUUAAAAUACAUACCAUAAUUAACUCAAACUAAAAUAGAAAAUCAUAAAAUAAUAAAUAUUCUAGAAUUAUAAAUUAUCUAAAAUAACGUUAAUUAACUUCUUAAAUCACUUCUUUGGUGUUAACCAUUUUGCAUCCAACCUCGCUUUAAAGGUUUGAACCAACGUUACCAACAAUAAUGUAUCAAAUUCCAAUCUAACUUAAGAUCCUGAUACAUCUACCGAUGUCCUUGUUUGAUUAGACAAUAAUGAGUCUAUCUCAUCACUUGUUACCUCUUUCUUGAAGGCUGCAUCUGUUGAAGUGAUAGUCUCGUUUAGAGUUUAAAGAUCUUCUUCCAUGUUAAAUAAAAUGGGCAUUUGAUUAAAAAACUUUAUCUCUAUCUCCUUCUAUCAAAUAACGACAACUAUCCGAAGGGAAAAAAAAUUAGAAAAGUCCAUGGGUCACAAUAAUUUAUGGUCUGUUCCCGGACCCCAUUAUCUGCCACUAUCAAUGAUGAAAAUGAAAAUAAAUGGCAUCUUCCCAAAAUGGCAAAAGAUUUUUGGGGGAUAUGGGGGAAUUGUCAAAAGUUCACACAACGCGAAACAAGUGUUACAUCCAAUUUUAUUUCGUCAUAUAAUGAUAAUAUCAAAUAAUGACAACCAUCCAAAAGUAUGAUGGGUCUUCCACAAUUUUGAAAAUGUCGUCAACAUUUAAUCUUCAAUGCUAAAGAAGAUGAAAUGACCAAAAAUGACACGCAGGACCAACUUACAGACUAAAUGGCUCUGACCACAUGUAACAAACUUUGGCUUUAUGUCCUUGCUGAGGCGUUAGACUGUUGGUCAUUUUGAUUGCUUUUUACCUUCCAUUUACGCCAUUGUAGCAUUGUACUAUUCACCAUUUUAGCUGUUUAAAUGAAAUUGUUAUUUUUUUUUCCAAAAAUAAAAUGACACCCUUAAAAUUUUAGAAAAUAGCCAUGUAGAUCCCAAAUUUUUAAUAAAGAACACUAAUAUCAUUUUUGACUAUAGUACUCUUAGUAGAUGGUAACAAAAAAAAAUGACUGCAAAAGUUUUUACUAAAUGUAAAUAUGAUUUAAAUAGUUUAAAUUUUCUAGUAGACUAGUAUGUCUAAUUUAAAUAAUUAAUUUUUAAAAUGUAAUUUAAUAUAUUUAUUUUAAUAAUAUAUUUAUCAUAAAAAUUUUAAACAAAUCCUUGGGUUAAAUAGAUUUUAUAAUUAAUAUAAUAUUUCUCAUGUUUUAAUAAUAUUAAAAUUAUUUGAUAUGAUAUUGAAAAUAAUUAAAACUUUUAUAUAUUUAUUUGAAUAUUAUUUCUCUAUUUAUUAUAAUUUGGUUUAAUAGAAUACGAGAUUGUAAAAUAUUAAAAUAUUUUUAGGUAUUAAAAUUAUUUUAAUAUGUACAUAUUAUUAUAUUUAUUUUAAUAUCCUGCUUAUAUUUAUUAUAAAAUAUUAAAAUUAAUUUUUUUAGUUAAUAAAUUUAAAAAUAUAUAUUAUAAUUAAAAAAAGAGUCUUAUUGUCUGUUAUUUACGAUAUGAGGUUCUACAAAAUUAUUUUCAAAAGGAAAAAUAAGUCUAAGGGUUUCAACAAAUUCUAGUCCUAUCUGCCACUAUGACUAAUGGAAACGACAUUGCAAUUGACAUUGCUUUUUGUAAUAUGACAAAUUUUUGGAGGCAUAUGGGAGAAUCAUCAAAUGUUCACACUACGCGGGAGUUUUGGAUGGGAUCAGGGAGGAUUGUCAAGAGUUCACACCACGAGAAACCAAUGAUAGCCCUAAUUUCGCUGUCAGUUCUUUGUUUAUUUAUUUUAUUUAUUUCAUACAUUGUUGUCUUGUUGGCAUUGUUUUGUAAAAUAAAAGUAAAGUAAACUAUUAGGGUGCUGCUAGGUUAAGUUGUUGUAACUUACAGUCCCUUAAAAAAUAAUGUAAAAAAUUUAACAUGUGGUGGGAUCCACAUAUGUUUGAAGAGGCCGUAAGUUACAGUAGUUGUGACUUAGCAAAAUCCAAAUAUUAGACAAUAACGCACAUUAACAAUGCAUAUAAUUUGGGUUUUAUUUUUUUUUAAUUAUUUGAGUAUUAUCUAUCCUUAAGAUAUUAAUGUGAAUAUAAUUUAAUAUUAAAUAAUCAAAAUCUAUUUAAUCAUAAUAUAUAUUUCAUACAUUGCAUGUUUAAUCAAAAUCUGAUUGCUUUUUACCUUCUAUUUCGCCCACUGUAGCAUUCUACUAUUUACCAUUUUAGCUAUUUAAAUGAAAUUUAUUUUUUUUCCAAAAAUAAAAUGACACCCUUAAAAUUUUAGAAAAUAGUCAUGCAGACGCCAAAAUUUUAAUAAAGAACACCAAUACCCUUUUUGACUAUAGUACUCUUAUGGUAGCCACAAAAAAAAAAUGACUUCAAAUUUUUUUACUAAAUGUAAAUAUGAUUUAAAUAGUUUAAAUUUUCUAGUAGACUAGUAUGUAUAAUGUAAAUAAUUAAUUUUUAAAAUGUAAUUUAAUAUAUUUAUUAUAAAAAUUUUAAACAAAUCCUUGGGUUAAAUAGUUUUUAUAAUUAAUAUAAUAUUUCUCAUGUUUUAAUAAUAUUAAAAUUAUUUUAUAUGAUAUUGAAAAUUAUUUUAUAUGUAAAUCAUAUUUACAUUUAAUAGAAUACGAGAUUGUAAAAUAUUAAAAUAUUUUUUGGUAUUGAAAUUAUUUUAAUAUGUAUAUAUUAUUAUAUUUAUUUUGAUAUCCUACUUAUAUUUAUUAUAAAAUAUUAAAAUUAAUUUUUUUAGUUAAUAAUUUAAAAAAAAAUAUUAUAGUUAAAAAAAAAGAGUCUCAUUGUCCGUUAUUCACGAUAUGAGGUUCUACAAAAUUAUUUUCAAAAGGAAAAAUAAGUCCAGGGCUUUCAACAAAUUCUAGUCCUUCUGCCACUAUGACUAAUGGAGACGCAUUGAAUUGACAAUGCUUUUUGCAAUAUGACAAAUUUUUGGAGGGAUAUGAGAGAAUCGUCAAGCUUUCACACCAUGCGAGAGCUUUAGGUGGGAUAUGGGAGAAUUGUCAAGAGUUCACACCACGAGAAAUUAAUGACAAGCCUAAUUUCGUUGUCAGUUCUUUAUUUAUUUAUUUUAUUGAUUUCAUACAUUAUUGUCUUGUUGGUACUAUUUUGUAAAGAUAUAAAAGUACAAGUAAAAUAUUAGGGAAAGUAAAGUAAAAUAUUGGAGGUGAUGCUAAGUUACAGCUGCUAUAACUUACAGUUCCUUCAAAAAUAAUGUAAAAAAUUUAACACGUGGUGGGACCCACAUUAUGUUUGAAGAGGCCGUAAGUUAUAGCAGUUGUAAACUAGUAAAAUCCAAAUAUUAGACAAUAAUACACAUUAACAAUGCAUAUAAUUUGGGUUUGAUUUUUAAAAAAAUUAUAUGAGCAUUACCUAUCCUUAAGAUAUUAAUGAGAAUAUAUUUUAAUAUUAAAUAAUCAAAAUAUGUUUAAUCAUAAUAUGUAAUUCAUACAUUGCAUGUUAGAUUUGUUUGGAUUUUAAGUUGUUGCUAAUAAAUAUUUAUGUUGUGAAAGUCGAAUUCAAUAGCUACAAAAGCAGAGAUACUGGUAUUUUAUGUAGUUUUUAAGAAUACAAGAAUAAGACCAUAAUGCAUGAGAUAAUGGUAUUUUAUAUUAAAAGACCAUAACACAUGUAUUUGAGCCAUUUAUAUUGAGGACACAUAUAAAGCGAAGAGUGCAGAUCCGGCCGUAACUAUUGUGAAGCUUUCCUCAAGUAUUCUCAUGCACACAGCCCUUAUCUGGUCAAGUUCUCUGAUUCAAUAUAAUCAAUUUCCGAGUAGUACUGACGACAGCUUCUCUGUAAAGCUCUUCAACCACAAGCAUUUCUACAAGGCAAAAGACUAGGACGUAUUGGAAUGAAUAUCAAUAAGGGAAUGUCUUAUGAAUUUAGUUUAUAUCCUAAUAUAAGACAAUCAGUAAAUAUUGGAUGCAAUCUAAGGGCUAACAUUUGAUUGAUCAUUAUACGAAAAAAAAAAAAGGUGCAAAAAUACAAAACAUAGCUGAUUGAUGGCCUCUCACAGUCAGUUAUAUGACAAAGUAGCCACCACAACAAACUUUUUUUUUUGAACUGAUUAAGCAUCAGGUUACUGUAUUACACAUAGAGAUAUAUAUAACUGCUAUGACAGCAAGUCAUUAUACUGAUAUUUACAAUCAGAUAUAUACAUGAGACUUAUAUUAUUACAUUUUUAUUAUAUGAAGUACAUGCCCAUCCAAAUCUCCCUCACGGAGGAGGGAUGUCUCUACUCCACUCACAUUUCGCAAGGGAGAAAGACGUUAUAAGAAGUUUUCACCACAACAAACUUGAACUUGGGUGGAGGUCUCAUUAGUAGUAUACCUCAGAAAUUAAGACAAAGACUUUAAAAUGCAAACUUAUGGAGCAAUUUAAGCACUGAAACUAAUAACAGUACGGUAUUAGCAAUUGACCUCUGCUUUUGCUUAGACAAAGGUUUUCAUCACAAUGGACUCAUUAGUUGCCCUUGCCUCACACGUUUGGAUGCUAAGGGGAAAAAGGAAGCUUGAAUUAGUCAAUCUCAUUUCUAAUGGCAUUCACAGAGAACUUAUAAAACAAAAAAAAAAAAAAAUUAUAAAAAAAAAUUCAUCCAUAAAAAGCUUAGUAACGGAAAAAUCGACUCUUUUAUCUGCCACUGACGAAAAAAAAACUGAAGUAUUAAAUAGAUAAAGAAUUUAAUUUUUUUCUUGGAAAAACUAAUAAUAAAUUAACAAUUAGAUAAUACUAUUAAUUAGAGAUCUUUAAUAUUAAGGUUGUCAAAGAUAGAAUGUGUAUAAAAAUUCUUAAUUAUAAGAUAAUUACUAACUAAAAAGAGGCCUAAAAAAGAAGAUUUGCUAUUAUAAGUAAUACCAAAAAUAAAAAGGGAGACUUCCUAAUUGUGUAAUUGGUUAAAAAAGAGGAUUUGCUAUUAUAGGCCUAAUUUGCCUAUGCUUAAAACCGUUCCUGGAUGUAAAAAAAUAAAAAUUAUUGUUAAAUUCCUGACUAAUAAGGUCAUUGAAAGUAUUCAAAGGACCUGAACUUAUAGGAAAGCCAGCCAUGAUGAACUAUACCACGUUGCAAGUGAGCUCGUAUCUUCACCCCUUGAUCUGCCAUCGGCAUUUCUCUUCCACUCACUAUACCAUCCUUUUCAAUCGAUUUUUAUAGAUCAUAAGAGACCAUGUGGCCCACCUUAUUUUUAUUUUGGAUCCAUAACCCAAAGCUGGCCCAAGUUCUGAUUCCAGAAUCAUUUGUCUACAAAGUGACCUCAUUCCGGCAAUUGGUUUAUGCUAAUAGCACGUGCAAUUUUCAUUUUCUUCUUUUUAUUAAUUAAUUUCAUCAUUAUUAUUUGCUUAUUAUUUUAAAAUUAAAGCUAGCAUUUUUCAAAUUAAUUAAUUAAAUUGUAUUAAUGAAAUUAAUCUUUCAUUUUCUUUUCUCUUUCAAUGCACAAAGCCAAACAACCAUUCUCGCUUCAAAUACCGAAGAGCUCCUGACUACGGCUGUCAAUGCUUCUAUAUUUACGUGCUGUGCUGCAUCACUCUUAGCGAAAGCUUGAAUGAAUGAUUAAAGACAAAAGCUUAUAUAAAAGCAGAUGCCGGAGGCAGUCAAAAAGCAUUUGAGAGAGAAGCUAAACAGCAAAUCAUCAAACGCACUUCAAUGACUUUAUUUUGAUUUUGAUUUUUGUUUCGAAAGAAGUAGAAAAGUCCAUGGGUCACGAUAACUGCUUGUCCUAUGCCGUGACCUCAUUGUCCACCGCUAGUGUCAAAUAGAUUAAUCUUUCUAGUAGAUUAAUAUAAUUUAUAAUUUUAAUUUCAGUAUUAAUUUUUAAAAUGUUAGUUGUUAUAUUUAUUUUAAUAAUAUAUCUAUUUUUAGUAUAAAAAAUUUAAAUGUAUAUUUAGAUUAAAUAGAAUUUAUAAUUAAUAUAAUAUAUCUCAUGUAUUAAUGAUAUUUAAAUUAUUUUAUAUAAUAUUAAGCCUAACUUAGAAUUAUAUAUAUUUAUUUUAAUAUUAUGUUUCUAUAUAUUAUAUAAUAUUAAGCCUAACUUAGAAUUAUAUAUUAUGUUUCUGAGCCUCUCUCUAUAACACUAUAUAGAACCCUAAGCCUAAGUGUCACGGGAUGAGUGUUUUGCGCAGCUAACCCGUGCGGCACUUAGACAACUUUGCCGAAUGUUGCUAAGUAAGCCUAGAGAUUCUCGAACAAGAGAAGAGAGCAAUUGAGCCAAAGAAACUUGUAUUGCACAAAGAGAGAUUACAAUGCUUGUUGGAUACAAAUGCCUAAUGCCAUCCCAUAUUUAUAGGGGAGGCUUUGUCAAACUUGGCCUAACUUUGCCAAACUUUGCCAAACUCUAGAGUAUUCUACAAUUUCCUAGCUAUUUACAUGUGCUGGAAUUGUAUAAAGAAUUCUAGAAUAUUUACAUGUUCACAUGUGCUAGAGUUUCCUAGAACCUUCCGGAAUUGGGCCAAGCUAGCACUCUUGGCUUUGUGUUGGCUCUCUAGCUCGAAAUUGGGGCAAUUGGGCUAGCGAAUUGGGCGGUCCGCAACAACCUCCCCCACCUAUGCUCGCGGCGUCCUCGUCGCGCUCUCAUGCUUGAACCUCUGGAUGUGCUCAGCGAAUUGCCACAAACCAUCUUCACGUUCCCAAGUGGCUUCACUCUCGGGGAGGUUUUUCCAUUUCACCAAGUACUCGCUAUGUGCUGGCACGCCCCUCCUCGAAACCGUGCGGUCCGCAAUGAUGUAGUCCACAUCUUUGUCGAAUGCGGUGACAACGGCAGUUGGUGCGCGCCUUGAUUCUCCGCGACCUGGUUCUCCCAUGUCUUCGUGAUAUGGCUUGAGAAGGCUCACAUGGAAGACCGGAUGGAUCUUGAGUCUUGGCGGAAGUUGGAGUUGAUACGAGACGUUGCCCACACGUCGAACAACUCGGAAGGGUCCCUCGUAGCGCCUCACUAACCCCUUGUGAACUUUCCGCAAUGUCUUGAAUUGUUGGGGUAGGAGCUUGAUCAUGACUUGAUCUCCUUCCUUGUACUCAACAUGCCGUCUCCUUGUAUCCGCCCAUUUCUUCAUUUUCCUCGCGGCUUUGUCGAGGUAGGCUCGCGUGAUGUCCGCUUCCUCAUGCCAUUCGCGGGCGAGCUUGUGUGCCGCGGGGCUUUUCCCUCCGUAAGUCGAGGCUAUGGCAUUGGGAGUCAUUGGCUGGAAUCCCAUGAUGAUCUCGAACGGACUCUUGCCCGUAGCCUCGCUUCGCUGCAAGUUAUAAGAAAAUUGGGCGAUGUCGAGUAGCUUCGCCCAAUCCCGCUGGUGAGCGCUCACAUAAUGCCUCAGAUACAUCUCGAGGAGGCCGUUAAUGCGCUCGGUCUGCCCAUCCGUUUGUGGGUGGAAGCUUGUCGAGAACUUGAGAUCGGUCCCCAACAUCUUAAAGAGUUCCGUCCAAAACCGCCCAGUGAACCAAGGGUCUCGGUCGCUCACAAUGCUCUUCGGAACUCCCCAAAGCUUCACAAUGUGCUUGACAAAUAGGCGGGCUGCCUCAUCCGCUUUGCAAUCCACUGGUGCGGCAAUGAAUGUGGCGUACUUGCUGUGUCGGUCGACAAUGACCAUGAUGCUUCCGCAACCUUCGGACUUGGGCAGCGAUGUGAUGAAGUCCAUGGAGACACUUUCCCAUGGCCUUGUUGCUAGUGGUAGCGGCUCCAACAAUCCCGCUGGAAGUUGAUGAUCCACCUUGUCUUGUUGGCACACAAGACAAGUUCGCACAUAUGCCUCGAUGUCGUCCCUCAUGUGCGGCCAAAAAUACGAGGCUUGAACUAGUGCGGUGGUGCGCUCGAUUCCUGGGUGACCAGCCCACUUGGAGUCGUGGCACUCCUUGAUAACUUCCUUCCGCAAAUUUCCCCACCUUGGCACAAACAGCCGAUCUCCCUUGGUGAGGAGGAUGCCUUCCUCUUGCCAAAAUCGCCUUGUCUUCCCUUCGAGCACCUUCUCCAGCAAAUCCUUUGUUAGCGGGUCUUGUUGGAGGCCUUCCUUGAUGCGUGAGACAAGGUCGGACUUCGGUUGGCUCAUGCUAAGUGUUGCCAAUUCCGCCUUGCGGCUUAGAGCGUCCGCAACGACAUUGGCUUUCCCCGGUUUGUACUCUAGCCGAUAGUCGAAUUCCGCAAGGAAAUCUUGCCACCGUGUUUGCUUCGGACUCAACUUCUUUUGAGUUUGAAAGUAGCUUGUCGCCACGUUGUCCGUUAUGAUCGUGAAGUGUGAGCCAAGCAAGUAAUGUCGCCACACUCUUAGACAAUGGAUGAUGGCUGUCAUCUCCUUUUCUUGCACCGUGUAGCGGCGUUCCGUAUCAUUUAGCUUUCGACUCUCGAACGCUAUUGGGUGGCCUUCUUGCAUAAGGACUCCACCUAUGGCGAAAUCCGAGGCAUCUGUUUGAACUUCGAAGGGCUUGGUGUGGUCCGGAAGAGCGAGGACUGGUUCCUCCGAAAUUGCCUUCUUCAACUCCUCGAAUGGACGUUGGCACUCUUCGGAUCAAUGCCACGUUCUGUUUUUCUUGAGCAUAUCCGUCAAGGGUGCCGCCUUGGCUGAAUAGCCCUUGAUGAAAUGGCGGUAGUAAUUCACCAACCCAAGGAACGAGCGAAGCUCGGGUACUUUCGAGGGAGGCUCCCAAUCGAGGAUGGCCUCUACUUUGUCAUUCUCCAUCAUGAUCUUCCCGCCCGCAAUCUUAUGGCCAAGGAACUCCACCUCUUGUUGGGCAAACGAGCACUUCUCUAGUUUGAGGAAGAGCUCAUUGUCUUGAAGUACUUGGAGGACUUUUUGCAAGUGUUGGGCAUGAUCCUCGAGUGUGGUGCUAUACACCACGAUGUCGUCCAAGUACACGACCACGAAGCGGUCGAGGAAUGGUUGGAGUACCUUGUUCAUGAGUGUGCAAAAUGUGGCGGGUGCAUUAGUAAGGCCAAAAGGCAUCACAAGGAAUUCGAAAGACCCGUACCUUGUUGUGCACGCUGUCUUUGGUUCGUCUCCCUUGGCGAUGCGCACUUGGUAGUACCCGGAGCGCAAGUCAAGUUUGGUGAAGUACCGCGCUUUGCCAAGCUGGUCGAACAAGUCCGCAAUCAAUGGAAUCGGAUACUUGUUCUUGAUGGUGAUCUUGUUGAGCGCUCUAUAGUCGAUGCACAUCCGCAGCGAUCCAUCCUUUUUCUUUUGGAAGAGGACCGGUGCACCGAAUGGGGCCUUUGAGGGGCGAACGUAGCCUGCGUCCAGCAAGUCUUUGAGCUGUCUCCGCAACUCCUCUAAUUCGGGUGGCGCCAUGCGGUAGGGCGCCAAGGCUGGUGGCUUCGCGCCUUGUUCUAGCUCAAUCGCAUGAUCUACCUCUCGCGGAGGUGGGAGCUUCUUCGGAAGUUCUGGAGGCAUCACGUCCUUGUACUCAUUGAGGACGGCUUGAAUUCGCGGAGGGACUUGGCUUGGCGACGUUCCGCUAUUUCCUUCCUCGUUUAGUUCCCGAAUGGAGACCAAGAAGCUUGGGUCCUUCUUGAAAGCCCUCUUGAAUUGCAUGGCGGAGAGUUUCUUCUCCUCGGACUUGCCUCGUUCGGUGGGUACCAUGCAUGCUUUGCUCCCAUCGAGGAUGCUUAGGGAGUUUGUAGCGGGCAGCGGGAAGGCAUGGACUUGGUCGAAGAAUUCCAUGCCAAGGACCAUCUUGAAGUCAUCCAUGGGCACAAUGGAGAAAUCAAGCUUUCCGCUCCAUGUACCGAGUGUGAUGUGCACGCCUUGUGCAAUUCCCGCAAUUGGUUUGGCGGGUGAGUUUACUGCCUUCAUUGUGCCUCCUUCCUUGGUGGCCUUGAGGCCUAAACGCUUGGCCUCGUCUACGGACACGAAAUUGUGUGUUGCUCCCGUGUCUAGCAGCGCGCGAACAGACUGGCCGUUUACCUUUGCGCUAACAUACAUGAGCCCUUUCUUGGCUAGUGCGGGCUGUUGGCGGUUGAGUGCCCCGAGGCGUUGGAGAGAACCCAUGCUGAGUUGGGGUUCCUCCGUGGACAUUGUGGGGUUGCUCUUGAGUUGGGCAGCAAGAACAUUAAGCGACCGCUUCUCCGGACAGUCGCGUACCCAAUUUGGACCGUUGCAUAUGAAGCAUGGGCUUCGCGGCUUUGGCGCCUCCUUCUUGCCCUCCGAUUUUCCUUGCCAACUCUUGUUGCUAGACGGCUUUUUCUGCCCCCAAUCUUUGCGGUUGUUACCCUUGUCCUUGCGACUCUCUCCCCCACCUUUGCCUUGGUUGGCCUUUUUGUCCUUGGAUUGGGUAGAGUAUUCGGUGAGCGACUCCGCAACGGCGAUGGCGUCGUCAAGUGUUUGAACACCACGCCUAUCAAGCUCGGUCUUGGCCCAAUCCUUGAGGCCAUCUUGGAAGUAGAAGAGUGAAUCUUUGUCGGACAUGUCACUUAUCUCCAACAUGAGGGUAGAGAACUCGUUAAUGUAGUCCCGAAUGCUACCCGAUUGCUUGAGGCGACGUAAGCGCGCUCGCGCUUCCUUCUCUGCAUUGCUUGGGGUGAACUGCUUUCGGAGUUCUUGCUUGAAGUCGGCCCAAGUGUCGAUGGUGCAAAUGCCCUUGCCCAUCUCGCCAUGCUUGCGACGCCACCAUAGUUGUGCAGCGCCUCUAAGAUAGGUGGGUGCAGUGCCCACUUUCGAUGCCUCAUCUCGUACACCCAUGGCAUCGAAGUAUUGAUCCAGCCCGAACAGGAAGUUGUCCACGAUUGUGGCAUUGCGUGUGCCAUCGUAGGUGUCGGGCUUUGGCACAUCAAUGCGGCGCGCAUCACUCGAGUUUGCGGAAGCUGGACUUGCGGAGAGUGUGCGCUUGUGCCAUGCCCAAUCCGAGCGGACUUCAUCCACUUCCGCACGGACAGCACGUAGUUCGUCCUGAACAAAACUACGAAGUUUUAGCAACUCAUCAUGGAAAGAAUGAAACUCACCUCGGAGAAUGUUCGCUUGCUCAUGCAUGAGAGCUUUUGUGGCCACCGUGAACUCGGCGUAUUCUCCCUCGAGAUUGUCCACUCUUCUCUCUAAUCCCUCAAGGCUAUCUUGAGUGGCGGACAAGGCUAUUUCGAGAGUGCCUACACGAGGCUCCAAAGCAUCCACGGAUGGGGCCUUGGACUUGCCGCGAUUCUUGCCUUGGGCGCGUUCUCCCUCUCGGCCGCGGCUUGGUUCUGGUGGAACAUCCACACCAACAAAACCCUCUUGUGCUACGUUUGAAGGGUUGGCCAUUGCUUUGUGAGCUAAUUUGCGUGCGUGCAAACCUUAGCUCUGAUACCACUUGUCACGGGAUGAGUGUUUUGCGCAGCUAACCCGUGCGGCACUUAGACAACUUUGCCGAAUGUUGCUAAGUAAGCCUAGAGAUUCUCGAACAAGAGAAGAGAGCAAUUGAGCCAAAGAAACUUGUAUUGCACAAAGAGAGAUUACAAUGCUUGUUGGAUACAAAUGCCUAAUGCCAUCCCAUAUUUAUAGGGGAGGCUUUGUCAAACUUGGCCUAACUUUGCCAAACUUUGCCAAACUCUAGAGUAUUCUACAAUUUCCUAGCUAUUUACAUGUGCUGGAAUUGUAUAAAGAAUUCUAGAAUAUUUACAUGUUCACAUGUGCUAGAGUUUCCUAGAACCUUCCGGAAUUGGGCCAAGCUAGCACUCUUGGCUUUGUGUUGGCUCUCUAGCCCGAAAUUGAGGCAAUUGGGCUAGCGAAUUGGGCAGUCCGCAACAUAAGUCUCACAUUCGCAACCGCCCCACAUAUCAGAACCACAGCGAACUGCCUCCGACCCUUCGGACCCAAAAAAAUGAUUGUAUUCCUGCUCUUUCACUUUAAUAAUUUUUUGUAUUAUUCCAUAUCUUUCACUUUAAUAACCCAAAAGCUUUCCUCUGUUUCAACCCAAAAGCUCAAAUUCCUUUUUUCAAUCGAAAAUUGUGUUUGCCUAAUUUUUUAACCAUUUUUAUAUGUCCGUUAAACUUGACAGCCAAUGUGGUCUAUUCGCUAAACAGAGUAAACGAUAACAAUCAAUGGAAAUUGAAACAAAACCCACCAAUCAACAAAACAGAAUAGCCGAGGAAUCCAAUUUCAGGAAACAGCAGUUUCAAAACUCACCAGAGACAAAUGAUAAAACGAAGCUACGCCGUUCCUCGAUCGGUGAUAACUGGCUACAAGGUUUCUUCGCAUUCGUUGGCCUAAUUUUUUAACCAUUUUUAUAUGUCCGUUAUGCUUGACAGCCAAUGUGGUCUAUUCGCUAAACAGAGUAAACGAUAACAAUCAAUGGAAAUUGAAACAAAACCCACCAAUCAACAAUGUGGUCUAUUCGCUAAAUGGUUAAAAAAUCUAACCUUUGUUCACAAUAAUUGUAUUUGCCUCACUGUUUUUGUUUUAUGAGAUCUAUAAUUGAUCUUGGGAUAUUACUUUCUAGUUCUCAUGCAAGCAAGUUACUACCUUCCCACUGCAUCUCCUCCUUUAUCUGCUAUUCAAGAGUUGCGUGCCAUAAUCUGGUGUUACCUCUGCAAGAUUGUGAAUGAAUAUAACGCCUCUAAAUUUAUUUUAUACAUAAUGCUGAUGCUGAAUAAUAUAUUGUAGCUCCUGUCAUAUUCUACUUUGACUUUUUAUAUUCUGUUUCAUAUAAAAAUCUUAUUCAACUUUAGUUGUUCAUGAGCAAAUGUCACAUGUAUAAGCCCAAAUGAUGUUUAAAGGUAGCGCGGCUACCUUUAGUUUGAGCUGACAAUGGAUGAAAAAGAUAUUGAAACUGAUAUUUUGCUGUUUUUCUGAUUUUUCAAAGUAUUUUAGAUCCUGACUUUUGUUAAGUUGUUUCCAACACCUCGUGCCAAAUGAAAGCACAAUCUUUCUGAUUCAGAUGUCUUGUUAAUUAUGCUUCAUUUUUUCAUUAAAGAUUGGAUGGUUACAUGGAUUGAUGGAGUUGGAGUUCAACCAAUAAUUCUAAUUUUUUGGACUUAAAAUGCCUUUUUCUUCUGUAUAAAAACUUUAGUAAGUGCUAUUGAGUUGACAGAAGUUGCAUACUUACAGGUUGUUUCACACUUUUUAGUAGUUUUACAUAUAUGAAUUUCUGUUUUUUGAAUUGCAGAAAGGAGGUGGAACUAUUGAUUUGGAGCCUUAUCUUACUCACUCAUCGACAACGGAGCCUACCCUCACUCCCAUGGCAGUGGAACGGACAACGACUACUAGGGCUGCAACAUCAGUUGGUUUGGGUCUGUUUUGGGUUUAUUGUCAUUUAUUUGGGUAUGUUUUGAUAGCGAAUUUUGAUAUGUCAAUAGAAUGUGUAAUUGUUUUGGGUUGAGCUGGUAAUUAUGCUGGAUUAGAUUGGUUUGGUUUUGGUGCUUCUCUGAUGGAACACUGCUUUUUUUAGAAAUUUUGAAUGUAAUAUGAGACUACAUUUAGUUUAAUUGAACACUGCAUCUAGUCUAAUUACUAGAAGUGUGGCAUUUGGUUUGGUUUAUCCGAUAUUCUCCAGAAUUUCACUUGCAUCUGGUUUUGUUGCAUAUGUUUGUUUGCUUGCAUUUGAUGGCAGUAGCAGACUGUUUGUUUUUGUGACAUUUGAUGGCAGUUUGGUCUGUUCUUGGUGUUGAUUUAAGAUUCUUCCUGUUGUGCUGAUGUUAAUUGCAGGUGCUUGAAUCAGCUAGGGUUGCUGGUUUAUUCAGAUGGUUGACUCAGGCGUUGCUACUGGUUAAUUCAGGUGGCUGACUCAAGUUGUUCAUUUAAUGUUAGGAAGCAAAUUAGGAAUUAAUGAAGUAUUCAUUUAACUAUAAUUAUUGUAGUUAUUUUAUUUCAUAACUGAAUUAUAAUCUAUGAUACUUGUGAACAAAUUAGAGAAUUUUUAUAUAUGAAUUAUAUAUAUGUGUGUGUAUGUACAUUUUGCUAUUUAUAUAAUAAUUUAAAGAAUAUAUUUCAAUUCCCACAAAAAAAAGGCUCCAAUUUCAAUAAUUCCCGCCAAAUAAUUAAAUUUUUUUAAUUUACCACCAAAAUAUAUCUUAAGUUAUUCUUGCUAGAUUUAACAAAAAUAAUUUGUAGGAUUAACAUUUAAUUAAAAUAAUUAAAUAAUUUUAUUAUUCCAAUUAAAUAUGUCAUGCUUAUACGACAGACAAUAAUCAUGAAUGGGAAGUAUUAGUAACAUAUUCUUCCUUGGGAUUUCAGGCAAAUGAAAAAAAGAUUGAGAAUGAUUUCAAGAGGACAGGUGGAUGAUAAAUAUUCAUUUUUGUAUAUUUGGCUAAUGUCCUCAUUAGUGGAUUUUUAUGGUAUUGAUCUUUUUCUUUUUUUAAAAAAAUUUUCAAUUAGUUGCAGCCCUAGAGGAAGAGCAGGCUGAUCAAAUUGAUUUGUCUUGUUUUUCGGGCAAUCUACGACACGAUGACCGUGAUAAUGCUCGUGACUGCUGGAAACUUUCUGAUGGAAAUAACUUUAGAGUUCGUAGCAAGCAUUUUUGUUAUGACAAAACAAAGGUUCCCCCAUAUUUUGUUUGUUUGUUAUGGUAUUUAUAUAUCCUGCAUAGGCUAGGUAGACAGGUUAUGAUGUAGUUUGGUUGGCUCUUCUUGUGCUUUGUGCAAUUUGUAACUGCAGAUACCUGUGGUAAAACAUUUAAUGGAUCUUGUUGCUGUUGAUUGGUUCAAAGACACAAAGAGAAUGGACCAUGUAGCUAGGCGUCAAGGCUGUGCUGCACAAGUAACUAUUCUUUUCUUUUUAUUUAAAAAAAUAAAACACAUUGCCAACAAGGAUCUCUUCAUUGAACAUGUGUCUAGUUCUGAUAAGCUAGCUGAUGUGCUUACCAAACCUCUGAGUUUUGAUCAUUUUGCCUAUAUGCAAACUAAGGUCAAUGUCUGCCCAUGACCUUGAGCUUACGGGGGCAUUUUAAGAAUAACAUAUGCUGAGUCAUCAAGCCAUGCUGGAAGUCAGUUUUGCAGUUAGUUAGAGAGCUUAUCAGCUUCCCUCCAAAAGUUUGUUAUGUGUAUUAGAAUCUGGGCUCACGAGUUUUGUGAGAUUGUAACCUUGAGAAGAUUCUCACACUACUAUAAAUUGUAUUGUGACUCAAUUAAUAAAAUAAGUUGAAGCUUUGCAUUUUCUCUCAGUCAAAAUUUUCUCUCUAUUUUUCUAAGUAACCAAACAAGAUCUACAGAGCAUUUUGUAUUUUAACUGGAGCGGCUGAUUGGUGCUGUACGUGUUACAUUUUUACUUUUUUAACUCAAGUCUGCUGUUGUCCCAAAGUUGGAACUAGAGAUAUCAUUUCACCUCAACUGUGUUUUUUUUUUAAUUAAAAAAAUCAUUUGUUUUAGGUAUACAUACAUGUAUUUUAAUUCUAUUUUCCUUGUAAUUUCUCCUUUACUUUGAAUGAAAGUCAUUGGUGUUUUCGAAUGGGAAUUUUGCAUUAAAAAAUUAAGAAUAGUUAAUAGGAAAUUUCCUGAUUCUUUAGUUACUAUUUUUGGUAUGAGUGUAAUUAGUAGUAAAGUUGGUUUCUACUCGCAAACAAGUGAACUGCUCGAUUCCCAAGUGCUAUUAACCAGUUUCCAACUUUUUAAUAUACACUAAUUGUUCCUGUUUAAUAGCUACUACUAUUAAAACUCAACAGCUAACAAAAAUACUAAAAAAAAAUGAUUUUUUCUUAUGAUGCUGUGAAAAAAAUUACGGGUUUACUUAUUUCCACGAGAUCUUGUAUAGUGUUCUUGUAUAGUGGAAUUAAGAUUGUCUUCCCGAUGGUGCAAUUCACCCUCUUCCUUUACAGUCACUUGCACUUUGUGCAGCUUUGGUGUGGAUAAGAUUCCCAGGGAAAAAGUCUUCAUGUUCGGACAAUGUGUCACAAAUACUCGUUCCAAUGAUGGGAAUUCAAGAGUGUAAUUCUCCAAACAAAAGCUGGUAAGCCUUGGUAAAUCAUCAAGUUCCAAAAGUUUUAAUUCUUUGAAAGCAAUACGAUUCUCCUUCGUUUCUUCUCCAGCAUGUCCUACGAUUUGUUCUAAUUUUUUGCAGUUCCAUACAUAAAGAUUCACCAGACUAGUAGGAAUUCCAACCUGAAAAUAAGCAGAGAGUGUGUGUGUGUGUUAAAAAAGUAAAAAUGUAAGAGUGUCAUUCAACUAAGCUCAAAGUAUGUUUGAUAAUACAAUUAUACGUUUUAUGAACAUAACAAACUGUGAAAUGUCUACUAGAUAUUUUUUGUUAAACAAAAAACGUAACAAGAUAAAUAAAUAAAUAAAUAAAAGCCAGAUAAACAAAGAUGAUAAAAAUGUAUUUACACUAUUUAGUAUUAGGGACGUAGAAAGAAUUUAAGGCAAUUUCUAAAUAUUUUAGACUUAUUUUGCAUCUUGAUAUAAGUUUUUAAGCAUAAAUUUGCACAUUUCAACUAUUCCUUUAAAAAGAACUCAACUAAAAUGCCUCUUUUUCCCUUUUCCUUGGUCCCCUUUUUUUUAUAUAUAUAUAAAAAUGGAAAAAAAAAUUUGGAAAAGACUUCUUAGUACUGUCAACAAGGGAUUGCUGUAAAGUGGAUCUUUAUUAAGUACUUCCAGACUCGAGGAAAUUUCUUUACAAUCUCAAAAAAAUAGUAAACAAUCAUGAAUUUGUGGUUAAUUAAUGGCAUAAUCAAUUCUUAACUAAACUGGAGAUAUUAAUUAAAUUUGAAGACUUUUUUUUUCCGAUCGAAAUGUGAAGAACUAUGGAACAGAGAAAUAUAUAGAUGAAUUUGUGAACUUAUAAGAUGAGUGACUAUCCUUUAAUUUUUGAAAAUCGUACUUAUUAAGAUAUGAGCAAAAACAAUUAAAUUGAAUUAUAUUAUGCUGUUGAAUCUGUUUAAAAAAAUUAUAUUGUUGAUUCUAAUGCUGGUGAACCUAAAAACUAGACUUAAAACGUAGAUUUCAGAGUGGUGGUUUGAAGUACAAUAUUUGAAAUAAAUAAUUAGUGGCUGAAUAUCAUUUGUAAACACAGAAAUGAUUAAAAAAUUGUUGAAUGUUAUUUGAAAAAAAAAAUCGAAAUGAAUACAGAAACCUUACCAAUGGAGGAAAAAUAUUCAUUAGGUUAUCACACUCUUCUAUCUCCAAAUUCUUCAAUUUCCUGAAAGACUCUGAAGCAAGCUGGUGGUGCCAUAUUGUUCUUAGGUUAUCCAUCCACGCAAUAUAUAAUACCUCCAACCUAGGAAGUCGUACCUGGCAGUUAAAGAUUAAAUAACUAAUUAAUCAAUUAAUGGCAUAAUCAAUUGAUAACUAAAUUAGAGGCGGAUAUUAACUAAAUUUGAAGACUCAAGGAAAAGACAAAUCAAGUAUUGUGACUAAAAUUAUUUUUUUAAUUAAAAAAAAAACCUUUUCAUCAAAGAGAGGAGGAGGUUGCAUUUCAGAAUGAAUGGUAUCUUCUGGUGAGCUCGUAGAGAUGAAUCUUAACAUAUUACUGCAACAACCAAUCAUGAGGUUUAGCAAAGAAGGGAAUUCAACAACUAAAUCUGUAUGAAUAUGUCCCAUAUUGGCAAAGCUACUUAGUCUUGGAAGCCAUUCUAGCUGCAGGGAGUGUAGCUUAGGAAAAACCUUUAAUUCAAUCAACUUUCCUUCAUCUCUUUCUGACCAUCCCGUGGUGUCGACUACCCCUUCCAUUGACUCACAAUAGCUUAUCUCAAGAUGUUGGAGUUGCAAAAGGCUAUUAACCAUAGAAUAUGAAAACAGAUACUUCAGACGAUAACACCUUUCCACAGUCACUUUUGUUAAAUUUUGACAACAGUACAUUCUUUGAUUAUGAUCGGCCCAUAAUUUUUUCAUGUUUCUUAAGUCCCUGAGAUUCAAUUCCUCUAAGCUCGGAAGAAUAACCUGCAAAGAAAACCCGUACAUUUUUGUUCCUUCAAGUACAACCGUCUAGUAUAAUAUUCUUUUGAUGAUCGAAGAUUAAUCGUGAUAAUAAAUUAAUCAAUUAAUUAUUGAACAGAAAAUUAUCACCUUUGGAGCAGGAUCAUCAUCAGCAAUGAGUUCCUUGAAUCCCAAAGAAGUUGUUGGUUUGUCCAUGUCGGGUCCUAUAAACAAACAAAAACAAUAUACAUAAUUAAUCUUUGUCGUUGUCUUUUUUUUAAAAAAAUAAUUGAGGCGAAGUCCAUAAAUCCACCAACACUUAAUUUCAACACUUACCAACAAUCAUUUCCAGAUCAUCGCAAAAAAACACUUCUACCUUUUGAAGCCGCAGUAGGUUUUUGGCCAUGGAGAAUGAGAAAAGAUGCUUCAAUUCGUGACAGUCUGAUACUUUUAUAAUCCUUAAGUUGCUGAAAGAUUGAUCUUCUGUGAGUUGGAUGUCACAUAUUGUCUCCAAAUUGAUCAAACGACGAAGAGACAAUGACUCCAGCAAGGGGAAGACUUUGCGACGAACCCGUCCAACUGAACAGACAAUAUGCAAAAUCUCAGAACAACUUUUUACAGAAAGAUGCUUCAAUCGUGGAAAACCUUCCCCAUCAUCUAAUUCAUGAACAACAUUCUGAACACCCUUCAGUUCUCCUAGAUAGAGAUAUUCAGUUCUCUUCAACAACAGUUUCAUCCUGUAAUUCUGCAAAAGAAUGCCAAACUUUUCUAGCCCCUGGAGCUUCAUCAAUCUUGAUAAUCCAGUUUUAACGGACCAGCUGCUCCACCACUUAUUUCCUAUACAUAUCUUAUAGCUUUGCAAUUCCACAGAGACCAAAUCCUGCGGUAGAAUUUCGGCAUCCCGAACGUGUAUCUCCAAAGUAGUUAGCUUUGACAACCCCUUCAACUCAACAAGACUGGCGUUACUUCCUCCUUCAACCUUCUCCCACAGUGAAAAGCUGUUACCAAUAUAUAGUUCUUCUAAUCGAGAUAAUUUUGAUAUGACAUUUGGAGCUAUCACCACAAGGCUGCUACAAUUGCUCAAAUCUAGCAACUGUAAUCUCGUCAAUUGUCCAAUUACAAGUGGCAACUCCUUAACAUCAGAAUCUCGGAAGCUGAGAAUCUCUAAUUUCCUUAGCUGUCCAAUUAUAGUUAUAUCGUUCAGUCGGCAACCAUCUAAACAUAAUGUUUGAACGUUAAUGAGGCAACCAAGUGAUGAAGGUAAUGAAGAGAAAAAUAUUCCAGUAAAAUCUAAAACUUUGAGUUCUUCUGUCCCUUCAAAAAAGAGGUCUGAAAUUUGCAAAGAGCUAUCACGCUUUGAAAACAACAAAAGAACUCGAGACGGGGACAUUCCAACCUUUCGGGAAGCUCUUGAAUAUCUCUAUAAGGUAAAGAAAUAGCUAUUGGACCUUCCCGUAUUGUCUCUUCCAUCUUUUUCUCCACGUAGGCAACAUUUGGAAUAUUAAACAUGAGCUCCUCUUCUGCAAUUGAUACAGUAACAGCAUGAAUGAUGUCAUGCAUUUUAACUUCAUCUUCGGCAUCACUGUCCAACAAUAAGCACGAAGAUUUGAGUUUGCCGAUCAACGUAUGCACUCUACUCCUUGCUUCUUCCAGUGUGUAAACGUUUUUAAAAUAGCCCAUACCCAUACCAUAUCUCAAUAAGUCAGAAACAUGUAUACCACGACCUUCAUUAUAUAGACCACAAAGAAGGAACAGAGAUUUUGCUUCCUUACUUCCCAGUAAGUCGUAACUCAAUUUUAUGGAGAUGUACACAUUUCUUUCCAUUCCAUCAAUUUCUUUUGCAUUGGAACUUCUUAGCUGACGCAGCACAUCCUUCCAAGUGUCAAGCCUCUCAUUUUUCAAAGCUUUUGCAAGUGUAAUCAGUGCAACAGGCAAUCCUCCGCAUUUUUCAACGAUCUCAUCUGCUAAAGGUUGAAAAGCAGAUGCUUUUGCAGAAUUACACACUAUCUUUCCAAACAAUUGCAAUGCUUCUUCCUUUGAUAAAACUUCAAUUGAGAAAUCCUUCUGAGAUUUCAUAUCAUUGCGCAAUAAAUCUCGACUUCUAGACGUCAAUAUUAUUGUGCGUCUUCUCCGAUCGUCCUCUCUAUCUUUCUCAUCAACAUCCCCAUAAGGAAUUCCAACUGUAUCGAACUCAAGUUUUGUCCAAAUAUUAUCCAGUAUAAUGAGGAGCCGCUUCUCUUGCUUCAACCUUUGACACAGUCGAGAAGCUCUUUGAAAUUCAUUCUCAUUCAAGUCAAAUUCCAUGCCUAAAUCAAAAGCAAGUUUGUCUUGAAUUUUAUGAUGAUCUGGGGUCUGUGUUAUCUCAGCCAUAACGAACUUAUCGAACAACUUAUCUUCCAUCACUUGGUUUGCAACUUGUUUGACCAGCGUGGUUUUGCCCACGCCGCCCAUCCCAUAGACCCCAAUUAUGUUGACUUUGUCAUCCUUCACCGCCUCCACAACAUCUUGAAAUACUUUCAUUCUUGAAUCAAACGCCUCGAAAUCUUUCACUUGCAUAUGUUCUGCCCGCUUUGGAGCAGGACGGUAGGAAACAUUGGAGAAGUUGCCUUUUCCCACGAGACUAGCGGCAGCUUCUGCCGCCUUUGCUGCUUGUUUACUAAGCUUGUAACGAGAAAUCAAGUUUGGGCAUAAUCCUUUGAAGCAGGACUUCUUAGCUCUAUCUUCAUCAUCAAUGACGGAUUUUGCAACCCCUUCACUGAUGAAUUCAUUAACGCUAUGUAGCCAGUCUGUGACACCCUCAUAAAGCUCAUCCCCUUGUAGCCUAGCAUGAUUAACUGGUUGCUGCACCAUUUCUCUCUUAUAUCCCAGCUGCUUCACUUGAACUUUUAGCUCAUCUAUGUAGCUCUGGUACUUGAACACAUAAGAUAUCUGCCGUGUAAUCGGGUUGAACAGUGACUUUGCACCUUCUGAUACACAGUUGGUUAAAAAAGCGAGACACGCUUCUAUAGCCAUUGCCUGUUGCUUAACAAUAUAUAUCUAGUUUUUUGGCUGUUGAAAAAAAAAAAUGGAUUCAAAUAAAUUAAAUGAACUAGCGGGGAAGAAAAAGAAAGAAACGACAACAAACAACUUUUUAGAAAAAGGUUUCAGGGGCCUGAAUGGAAAACCAACAAUUUUUUGAGGAAAGAAAACUUUUUUGGAAGAUGGAUGCAAAUUAACCAUUAAUAAUACUGCAUAAGAACACAGAAGUUGACAAUAAACAGUAACUUAAAACUCAAGAAAAUUAAAUGACAAGAUUAAGACAAACAAGAGAUAGUUUUUGUCGGACAUUAAGAAACAACUGCUAUCAAGAUCAAAGAUUAGAAAUUAUGCUAUUGAAAGAAAUUAUUAAAGUAUUUAGAACAAACGCACCUCUUCAAUUAUCUAGGAUCACGGAGUUUAUGAGCUUCACUCUUGGCCUUCGAUUUAUAAGAAAAAAUUUAAUGAGCAAAAGAUCACUGUUGACUGCAGAAGAAUGUGAGUAAGCAAUACAAUUGAAUUGUAAAAGAACAAGACUUAAAGCGUGCACCCCGUGUUCAUAUAAACAGAACACAUGUUCAUUUUUAACAAAGUGAUCAAUAACUAUAUUCGUUAUUUAAUUGAUAUUGUAACCAAUUCUAAGAGAAUAUAAUAAUAAUCAUUCAAUCCAUAAAUUUAGAAUUAGAUUUUUUUAACUCUUUAUUUAAAUAUAAACCUUAAUGGAAAAUUAUAAAAGUUUAGAGAUAAAAUUUUUCAAUCACCAAACGAAAAAAACAGGGGAAUGAAAACAGAGGAAUCUUGUUUUAACUAUUUUUUUUUCCUCAACUCUUGUUCUUAUAUUAAUAAUCUUGUUUUGAUGAUAGUGCUCGUGACUGCGGGAAAAUUUGUACUGGAAACAACUCAAUUUCGGAAGAAAACUUAAUUUUGCAAGUGAUGAAUUUGAACUCGUUGGAUUGGUUGAUUUAUGAUUGACUGAAUUUCACUUUUGCCCAAAAGAUCUUUAACCAAAGUUUAAUAGCCAUCAUGUACUCCUUAAAAGCAAUUUUUUUUUUUAGAUUUGACUGAAUUUGAACUUGUUGGAUUGGUUGUUUUUAGAUUAUUAAUAUGAGAUAUUACAACGUAAAUAUUUUCAUGUGGUUGAGCCCUAUUCUAAAAUCUGUAUAGUUAGCUUUAGAAAAAGGGCUUUUCCUGCUGAUCUGUAAUCUUCAAAUAAACUUAGAUACAAAUAAUGAAAUAAAAGACAACAAACACGCNNNNNNNNNNNNNNNNNNNNNNNNNNNNNNNNNNNNNNNNNNNNNNNNNNNNNNNNNNNNNNNNNNNNNNNNNNNNNNNNNNNNNNNNNNNNNNNNNNNNNNNNNNNNNNNNNNNNNNNNNNNNNNNNNNNNNNNNNNNNNNNNNNNNNNNNNNNNNNNNNNNNNNNNNNNNNNNNNNNNNNNNNNNNNNNNNNNNNNNNNNNNNNNNNNNNNNNNNNNNNNNNNNNNNNNNNNNNNNNNNNNNNNNNNNNNNNNNNNNNNNNNNNNNNNNNNNNNNNNNNNNNNNNNNNNNNNNNNNNNNNNNNNNNNNNNNNNNNNNNNNNNNNNNNNNNNNNNNNNNNNNNNNNNNNNNNNNNNNNNNNNNNNNNNNNNNNNNNNNNNNNNNNNNNNNNNNNNNNNNNNNNNNNNNNNNNNNNNNNNNNNNNNNNNNNNNNNNNNNNNNNNNNNNNNNNNNNNNNNNNNNNNNNNNNNNNNNNNNNNNNNNNNNNNNNNNNNNNNNNNNNNNNNNNNNNNNNNNNNNNNNNNNNNNNNNNNNNNNNNNNNNNNNNNNNNNNNNNNNNNNNNNNNNNNNNNNNNNNNNNNNNNNNNNNNNNNNNNNNNNNNNNNNNNNNNNNNNNNNNNNNNNNNNNNNNNNNNNNNNNNNNNNNNNNNNNNNNNNNNNNNNNNNNNNNNNNNNNNNNNNNNNNNNNNNNNNNNNNNNNNNNNNNNNNNNNNNNNNNNNNNNNNNNNNNNNNNNNNNNNNNNNNNNNNNNNNNNNNNNNNNNNNNNNNNNNNNNNNNNNNNNNNNNNNNNNNNNNNNNNNNNNNNNNNNNNNNNNNNNNNNNNNNNNNNNNNNNNNNNNNNNNNNNNNNNNNNNNNNNNNNNNNNNNNNNNNNNNNNNNNNNNNNNNNNNNNNNNNNNNNNNNNNNNNNNNNNNNNNNNNNNNNNNNNNNNNNNNNNNNNNNNNNNNNNNNNNNNNNNNNNNNNNNNNNNNNNNNNNNNNNNNNNNNNNNNNNNNNNNNNNNNNNNNNNNNNNNNNNNNNNNNNNNNNNNNNNNNNNNNNNNNNNNNNNNNNNNNNNNNNNNNNNNNNNNNNNNNNNNNNNNNNNNNNNNNNNNNNNNNNNNNNNNNNNNNNNNNNNNNNNNNNNNNNNNNNNNNNNNNNNNNNNNNNNNNNNNNNNNNNNNNNNNNNNNNNNNNNNNNNNNNNNNNNNNNNNNNNNNNNNNNNNNNNNNNNNNNNNNNNNNNNNNNNNNNNNNNNNNNNNNNNNNNNNNNNNNNNNNNNNNNNNNNNNNNNNNNNNNNNNNNNNNNNNNNNNNNNNNNNNNNNNNNNNNNNNNNNNNNNNNNNNNNNNNNNNNNNNNNNNNNNNNNNNNNNNNNNNNNNNNNNNNNNNNNNNNNNNNNNNNNNNNNNNNNNNNNNNNNNNNNNNNNNNNNNNNNNNNNNNNNNNNNNNNNNNNNNNNNNNNNNNNNNNUAAACUUUUUUUUGGGGGGGGGGGGGGGGAGCAUGCAAAUUUACCAAAAGAAAUAAUAAGAGCACAGGCUUUAACAAUGAAUAGUAACUUAAAACUCAUGCAAAAUAAGUUACAAUAUGAAAACAAACCAGAGAAAAUUUUUUCUUGGAAAGUAGAUGGAACUUAAGAAAGAGCAGAUGUCAAGAUCAAGGAUCAGGGAUUCUACUAUUAAAAAAAAAAAAAAAUUAUUCAAGGAUUUAGAAAACGUGCACCUCUUUAAUUAUCUGGGAUUAGAGAGUUGGUGAGCUUCUCUAUUUGGCCUUCAAUAUUUAAGAACAAGUUGAAAGAGGAAAAAGAUCACUGGUAACUGCUGAGGAAUGUGUGAGAAAAGAGUUGAUGAGAGCAAUAACAAUGACCUGCAAAAGAAAAAGAAUUAGUCACGCACCGCUUUUCUAUAUCAUGUAUUUGGUUAUUGUUGCCCUGUUGACGCAUGUUGAAGAAGAAAGCACUAGUACACAACUCUAUGUUUUCAUAUAUUCUAAAGAAAUAAUUAAGUUUUCAUAGAAUAAUACCUGUUGUGUUUGAAUAAUUUGGUAUCUACAUUGCUUGUGUACUGUGAAAUUGAAAUGAAUAUUGAUUGACAGAGCAAUGUAUAUACCUAAUAAAACAUAAAGCAAAUCCUUGAACGAAUGAUUCGGGACUAAAACUUUUAUAAAAGCAAAUACCGGAAACACACAAAAAGCAUUUAAGAUAGAAACUAAACAGCAAAUAAUCGAAGUAAGAUCAAUAAUAUAUGAUUUGAUUUAUGCAUAUUCAAAAACCAAAAUUUAAAAUAAAAUAAAAAAUAAAGUUUGAUUUAUUCUUUCCACAAAAAACAGGGGAGUGAAAACAGAGGCAGCUUGUUUUACCAAUUUUUUCUUCUUAAUUUCCGGCAAAAAAAAAAAUUCAAUAAACAGGGGAAUGAAAACAAAGGAACGAAAACAGAGGAAACUUGCUUUUCAGGCUAUCUUGUGACAUGAUGAUAUUGCUCGUGAAUGCAUGAAAAUUUCUAAUGCAAACAGCUCAAUUUGGGAUGAUAAGCUUAAGUUUGCAAGUGAUGCAAGUAAAUAAGUUUUUGCGGUUAAUUGAAUCUUUAAUACUCUGGGCCCUAUUCUAAAAUUUGUAGGUUGCUUCAGAAGAAAGGGCGGUUCUCACUCAUCUUUAAUCUCCAAGUAAAAUUAGAUACAAAGCAAAUCUAAUAAAAUGACAAACAAACAAACAAAACAAAGAAAAGACAGGAGGCAAACAACAUUGAUCUUAAGCCAACUGAUAUUUAAACAGAGAAUUCUUUUCUUUUAUUUUUUUAACCACCUUUUGCUCAAGGAUUAGAGUUUUUAUAUUAACAGAAAGGUUUCAGGGGUCUGAAUAAAAGCCCACAAUUUCUCUAAUUGUUUUUUUUUUUUUUUUUUUGGGAAAAAUGGAUGCAAAUUAUCCAAAGCUAAUAAUAAGAACACAGACAUUACAAAUGAACAAUAACUUAAAACUCAAGCAAAAUAAAUGACAAGAUGAAAACAAACAAGAUAAAUUUUUUCUUGGAAAUUAGAUGGAAAUUAAGGACUGCUAGUAAAAGAUAUUAUUAGAUGAUUUAGAACAUGUGUACCUCUUUAAUUGUCUGGGAUCAAAGAAUUGAUGAGCUUCUCCAUUCGCAUUGAAUAUUAAGUAAGAACGGGUAUUCAAAGAAAUUAUUAGGAAAAAUUUUAAUGAGUAAAAGAUCACUGUUAACUGCAGACGAAUGUCCUAGUAAAAUGUUGAUUUGUGUAAUAACAAUGAAUUGCAAAAGAAGAAAACUUAAUCAUGCACCCCUUUUAUACCCGAGUUUUAAGAUUUAAUUUUUGAAGUUCAGAAUCAAGACCAAAAGCCGAAGCUUUAACAAGGCAUGCAGUGAGAUACAAGAAAUGGAUCGGGUAAAAUACUUUAAAAAAUGUUGUUCAACUCAAUUAACUUGAAGAAAGCACUAAUUUCAUAUGUUCUAAUGAAAUAAUCAAGUUAAAAGUUUUCAACGAAUAAAUACCUGUUGCGCUUGAAUAAUUUUGGCAUAUACAUUACUUGUAUCCUGUGAAAUUGAAAAGAAUAUUGAUAUGCAGAGCUUAUUAGUAGAGAGAAAGCUUUGUAAGAUGCCUGAUAAAAGAGAAACCAAAAGCUUGAAUGAGGAAUGACAUCUUAGAAAGAAACUAAACAUCAAAGUAGGAUCAAUAAUGACUUGAUUUAUGCUUUUUUGUUAUUUCAUUUGUUCUGUCAACAAAUGAUGCCUCGUUAUUACGAGUUCCAACCUGGACGUUAUGCACAAAUUGUUUUUAUGUUUAACAGAAAAAAAUGAAAGCAGGUCACCAUACAAAAUUGCAUGAACAAAUCUUCAAUUUAAUGAUUAUAAAAUAAAAUAAAUUUUAUUAAUAGAUUAUGGGUAUGUUAACGUUAGGGAUUUGAUCAGAUGAUCAUAUGAUUUACUAAACGCUUUAACAAGAACAAGAAAAAGAAUUAAUGGGUUAAAAAAAAUUUAAAAAUAAAAUAAGAGAGAAGUAAAGAACUUAUUUGCAAUUACCAAACUGAAAAAAUGCGAAAUGAAAACAAGGGAGCCCUGUUUUUCCUCACAUUUUUUUUCUCUCUUUUUCAAGUGGUGAGAAUGAUAGCAGAAAAUGCGAGCUCACUAUUUUCAUUUGUUGGCCUAAAAGCCUUCCUCCAAGAGAUGCAUAAAUUUUAUUUGUACAUUUGUUCCAUUUUAAGUACACAUUGUUGCAUGCAUUUUGAACUGUAUUAUCAAUCCUUUUUGUUUUCAGUUGGUUAGUUCAUAAUAACAAAUGAAUUAUAUUAUUUUGCAUGGAUCGAAAUUUAACUUUCCCUCUUUAUUUGUCCCACAACUAAAUAGUCUCAUCUUUUGUAGUAAGCUCGCAGUACGUACGGGGAACUACUGUAUGGGUGCUUUAGCCUAAAAUGAAGAUCUAUUAAAAAUUUCCCUAAUAUCAUGAUAUUAAACAUUAAAUAAUAUCAACAUUUUGACUUCCAUUUUGUUUUUUGGAUGGAGGAUGUUCCAUCUUCUAUUUUAGGUGCUUUGUAAGACUUUUAAUUGAACAAUUGAUGCAAUCAGUAACAAAGGCUUUACUUACAUAUGCAAGUAAAAUUUGCAGGUUGCUUCAGAAGAACGGGCAGUUCUCACUCAUCUUUAAUCUCCAAGUAAAAUUAGAUACAAAGCAAAUCUAAUAAAAUGACAAACAAACAAACAAAACAAAGAAAAGACAGGAGGCAAACAACAUUGAUCUUAAGCCAACUGAUAAUUAAACAGAGAAUUCUUUUUUUUUUUAACCUUUUGCUCAAGGAUUAGAGUUUUUACAUUAACAGAAAGGUUUCAGGGGUCUGAAUAAAAGCCCACAAUUUCUCUAUUUUAUUUUUAUUUUUAUUUUUUGAAAGGAGCUUCACUAUUGGCCUUGAACAUAUAAGAAUAAGCAAAAGAUCAAUGUCAACUGCAAAGGAAUGUGAGUAUGUCAAAGUCAUGGGCGGUUUGGCACCAUUAACAUAUUUCAAAAUGGCCACCCUAAUUGAAGGAAAUUAAAGGCCAAGUAGAUGCCGCCCAAGGAAAGAAACAAAAGAGAAUGAAGAAAAAGAAGAAAGAGAGAAGAAAAAGAGAUGUCGGGCCGAAGAAGGAAAAGAAAAGAAAAAUUAAUAAAAUAAUAAUAAUAAUUAAAUAUUAAACAAAUAGUAGCUAAUUUUGGCUAUAAAACCGCUAGCUCCCUUCAUUUGUAAAUCAUCUAGUUCUUCAGUUCUUUUCUUUAUUUAGAGAGCGAUUUUAAGAGUCUAGUGAUUUGAGAGUUUAGGUGUAUUGGGAUUUUGGGUAGUGAGCUAAAAUACCACAAUACUUGUAACUUCUUUUCACUAGUAAAAUACUUUCCUUCUGUUUUCACCUGUGAACGUAGGCUAAAAGCUGAACCACGUAAUUUCUUGUGUCUAUUUUUUGUACUUGUUCUUUAUUUUCUUCCAAUUUCACUUUAGCUGCGUGUUUGCUUCACUCACCAAUUUUGUAAUAGUGAAUCAGAGCUAUUAGUUGUAUUUUUUGGAGUCGGGUACUGUUCACGUAAGGGGUACUAUUCACGUAUAUGGCACUGUUCACGUAUACGGUACUAUUCACGUAAAACGAUGGGAGGAUCCAAGAAUUUUGCGGUGCAAAGCAGGGAAUAGUGGUGUGAGUAAAACAACUGUGUGGUUUUGUACAUGUCUAGGAAAGUUCUAUCACAAAGGCGAUAAGAGCUUAAGGAGUCUGGGUUUUAAGUGGGACCAUUGUGACCCCUCCAAUGUUUCCUGGGAACUUUCUUGGUGUGCAUUCUCACACAUACUCACAACUAUUCAAGGUGGUACACUUGCUUGUGUGCGGUAUUUAUCAAUAAAAUGGCGGCAAAGUAUGAAAUUGAGAAAUUUAACGGAAACAAUUUUUCAUUGUGGAAAAUGAAGAUGAAAGCUGUAUUGAGAAAAAAUAAUUGCUUAGCAGUAAUUGGAGAAAGGCUUUUGGAGAUAACUGAUGACAAGUGGAACGAGAUAGAUGGCAACACCAUUUCUGAUCUACACUUGGCACUUGCAGAUGGAGUAUUAUCUAGUGUGGCAGAGAAAAAUACAGCGAAGGAAAUAUGGGAUACUCUCACAAAAUUGUAUGAGGCUAAGUCACUACACAGCAAAAUCUUCUUAAAGAGGAAACUUUAUACUCUUCGAAUGGUGGAAUCUACAAUGGUGAUCGACCACAUCAACACCUUGAAGACUCUAUUUUCACAACUCACAACGUUGGGUCAUAAUAUAGAGGAGAAUAAACAUGUAGAGCUUGUACUUCAAAGUCUACCAAAUUCGUAUGAUCAACUCAUCAUCAACCUAACGAACAACAAUCCAGCGGAUAGUCUAGUUUUCGACGAUGUUGCAGCUUUCCUAUUAAAUGAGGAGAGCAGGCGAAAAAAUAAGAAAAACAGACAAGCAAUUUCGCAGCAAGCGGCGGUGCUAUCGGUGACGAGAGGGAGAUCAACGGAACGUGGCCCUAGUGGGAGUCAAAAUCAUAGUAAAUCAAAAUCCAGAAGUAAGAAGAAUGUUAAAUGCUACAACUGUGGCAAGAAAGGACACGUCAAGAAAGAGUAUUGGAGUAACUAGAAGAGAAAAGAGGAUAAAGAACCUGAGUCAUCAAAUGCUCAGGGGUGUGUAGCAAGUACCUCAGAUGAUAGCGAAAUUCUUUACACUGGGGCAAUAACUAUUUCAGAAGGCAGAAAACGACUAUCUAAUGUCUGGCUUAUAGACUCAGGAGCUACCUGGCACAUGACGGAGAGAAUGGUUCUAGACAUAUGAACCUAUCUCAGGAGGAUCUGUAUAUAUGUGAGAUGAUCAUGCCUUGGAGAUCGCUGGUAUUGGUACUAUCAAAAUAAAAAUAUUUGAUGGUACAAUUCGCACAAUUGGGGAGGUACGACAUGUCAAUGACCUGAAGAAAAAUCUAUUGUCUUUGGGACAAAUAGGCAGUUAUGGGUGCAAAACUCAUGUGGAGAAUGGAAUUAUGAAGAUUGUUAAAGGAGAGCUUGUAUUGAUGAAGGCAGAAAAGAUCGGUGCUAAUCUAUUCAUGCUUAAAGGAGAGUCACUACAGGAGGCUGAUGCGUGUGUCGCAUCAAAUGGAGAAGAGUUAAUGAUGAUGUGACAUCUCAAACUUGGCCACAUGUCGGAACAUUGUUUGAAGAUUCUCUCUGAGCGAAAAUUACUUCCAGGGCUUAAAUCGGUAAGUUUACCUUUUUGCGAGCAUUGUGUUACCAGUAAGCAGCAUAGAUUAAAAUUUAGUAGAUCUAUUCUAGAAGUAAAUAUAUUCUAGACUUGAUUCAUUCUGAUGUUUGGAAAUCACCGGAUAUAUCCAUGGGAGGUGCAAAGUACAUGGCGACUUUCAUUGAUAAUUAUUCCAGAAGAUGUUGUGUGUAUCUAAUUAAGAAAAAGUUAGAUGUAUUUCCAGUGUUUAAAGAAUACAAAGCGCGGGUGAAACUUGAAUCUGGUAAAAAGAUUAAGUGCUUGAGGACGGAUAAUGGUGGAGAGUAUACAGACGGCGAGUUUCUUGCUUUCUGUAAGCAAGAAGGUAUUUAGAGACAGUUCACCAUAGCAUACACUCCUCAACAAAACGGAGUGGCGGAGCGGAUGAACAGAACUCUUACAGAAAGAAUAAGAGCUAUGUUGAGGACUGCUGGUCUACCUAAUUCAUUCUGGGCAGAAGCAGCCAAAACUGCUUGUUAUAUAGUAAAUCGGUUGCCAUCUACAGCUAUUAGGCUAAAGACAACGAUGGAGAUGUGGACUGGAAAGCCAACUGAUUAUUCCUACCUACAUGCAUUUAAAUGUCCUGUGUACGUGAUGUACAAUGCCCAAGAAAGAACAAAGCUGGAUCCAAAAUCUAGAAUAUGUAUCUUCUUGAGAUAUGCUGAUGGAAUAAAGGGGUAUCGUCUGUGGGACCCCACUGCCCACAAGAUCGUUAUCAGCAGAGAUGUUAUCUUCAUAGAAGAUCAACUGCAAAGGAAAGAUGAAGAUGAUAGUAGUGUAAAAGAAAAGUCAGAGACUAUACCGGUAUAUGUGGAAAAUAAUCCAUAAGAUUCAGAUUCUUCUGAAGCAGAACCAGAGCACGAGCAACAAAAACCAGUCGAGUCUGAGGCUCCAGAAGUUCGUCGGUCAACUCGUGAGAGACGACCGCCAAUGUGGCACUCGGAGUAUGUUACAGAGAUCAACGUUGCAUACUGUCUUCUAAUAGAGGAUAGAGAGCCUUUAACUUUCCAUCAAGCUUUAGAAAGCUCAGAUGUUGCUUUGUGGAUGACAGCAAUGCAGGAAGAAAUAAAGCUCUACAUAAUAACAAGACAUGAGAACUUGUACCACUACCACGUGGAAGAAAAGCCAUUGGAAACAAAUGGGUCUACAAAAUCAAACGUGAAGGCAAUGACCAAGUAGAGCGGUGUCGUGCGAGAUUGGUGGUGAAAGGAUAUGCUCAGAAAGAAGGUAUUGACUUCAACGAGAUAUUUUCGCCGGUGGUUUGCCUCACGACGGUCAGAGUAGUCUUGGCAAUGUGUGCUACAUUUGACCUACAUUUAGAGCAGUUAGAUGUGAAAACUACAUUUCUUCAUGGAGAACUUGAAGAAGAAAUAUAUAUGCUCCAACCAGAAGGUUUUGCAGAAACAGGAAAAGAGAACUUGGUUUGCAGGUUGAACAAAUCUUUAUUCGGUCUCAAACAGGCGCUGAGGUGUUGGUAUAAGAGAUUUGAUUCCUUUAUCAUGAGCCUUGGAUACAACAGACUCAGUUCAUACCAUUGUGCAUAUUAUAAAAGGUUUGCAGAUAAUGAUUUCAUUAUUUUACUAUUGUAUGUGGAUGACAUGUUGGUAGCAGGCCCUAACAAAGAUCGAAUCCAAGAAUUGAAGGCACAGUUGGCUAGGGAGUUUGAAAUGAAGGACUUGGGACCAGCAAACAAGAUUUUAGGAAUGCAAAUUCACCGAGACAUAAAUAACAGGAAGAUUUGGCUUUAGCAGAAGAAUUACUUGAAGAAAAUCUUGUGGCGCUUCAACAUGCAAGAUUGUAAGUCAAUUUCUACCCCACUUCCUGUUAAUUUCAAAUUAUCCUCAAGUAUGUGUCCUAGCAAUGAAGCAGAGAGGAAGGAGAUGUCUCGAGUACCGUAUGCAUCAGUAGUGGGAAGUUUAAUGUUCGCUAUGAUAUGUACUAGACCAGACAUUGCACAAGUAGUGGGAGCAGUCAGUCGAUACAUGGCGAAUCCCGGUGGAGAGCAUUGGAUAGUUGUGAAGAGGAUUCUGAGAUACAUCAAAGGAACCUCAGAUGUUGCAUUAUGUUACGUAGGAUCAGAGUUUACUGUCAAGGGCUAUGUGGAUUCAGAUUUUGCAGGAGAUCUUGAUAAAAGAAAAUCCACUACUAGUUAUGUGUUUACACUUGCGGGAGCAGCUGUAAGCUGGGUUUCGAAACUGCAGACUGUUGUGGCUUUAUCUACAAUAGAAGCAUAAUACAUGGCAGCUACACAAGCUUGCGAGGAAGCUAUUUGGAUACAAAGAUUAUUGGAGGAGCUCGGGCACAAACAAGAGAAAAAUUAUGUGUUUUGUGACAGUCAGAGUGUCUUUCACAUUGCAAGAAAUCCAGCCUUUUAUUCCAAGACAAAGCAUAUAGGAGUUCAGUAUCACUUCGUUCGAGAAGUAGUGGAAGAUGGAAAUAUGGAUUUACAGAAAAUCCAUACGAAGGAGAACCUAGCAGAUGUUUUGACUAAGCCGAUAAAUGCUGACAAGUUUAUCUGGAGUAGAUCUUCUUGUGGCCUAGCAGAAACGUAGGCAACAUGAUUAUGGCGAAGCAGAAAGGAUGUUGUGGACAUUGAUUGAUUCUCAAUCUAAUCUCCAGGUGGGAGAAUGUCAAAGUCAUGGGCGGUUUAGCAUCAUUAACAUAUUUCAAAAUGGCCACCCAAAUUGAAGGAAAUUAAAGGCCAAGUAGAUGCCGCCCAAGGAAAGAAACAAAAGAAAAAGAAGAAAAAGAAGAAAGAGAGAAGAAAAAGAGAUGUCAGGUCGAAGAAGGAAAAGAAAAGAAAAAUUAAUAAAAUAAUAAUAAUAAUUAAAUAUUAAAUGAACGGUAGCUAAUUUUGGCUAUAAAACCGCUGGCUCCCUUCAUUUGUAAAUCAUCGAGUUCUUCAGUUCUUUUCUUUAUUUAAAGAGUGAUUUUAAGAGUCUAGUGAUUUGAGAGUUUGGGUGUAUUGGGAUUUUGGGUAGUAAGCUAAAAUACCACAAUACUUGUAAAUCAUUUUCACUAGUAAAAUAUUUUCCUCAUGUUUUCGCCCGUGGACGUAGGCUAAAAGUCGAACCACGUAAUUUCUUGUGUCCAUUUUUUGUGCUUGUUCUUUAUUUUUUUUCCAAUUUCACUUUAUCUGCAUGUCUGCUUCACCCACCAAGUUCCUAACAGAGUAAAGAUUUCAUCAGAGUAAGUAAUACAAAUGAAUUGUAAAAGAACAAGACUUAAGCGUGCACCCCGUGUUUUGUUUUAUUCGUAUAAACAUAACAUGUUCAUUUUUAACAAAGUGGUCAAUAACUCUAUUCGCUAUGAAAAUGAUAUUGUACCCAAUUUUAAGAGAGCAUAACAAUAACCAUUCAAUGCAUAAAUUUAGAAUUUUUUUUUUGUAAUUCUUUAUUUAAAUAUAAACGUCGAUGGAAAAUUAUAAAAAUUUAGAUAUGAAAUUUUAAGUCACCAGACAAAAAAAAAAAAAAAAAAAAGGGGAACAGAAAUAGAGGAAUCUUGCUUUACCUUUUUUUUUUUUUCCUUUAACUCUUGUUCUUAUAUAAAUAAUCUUGUUUUGAUGAUUGUAACUCGUGACUGCGGGAAAUUUUCUAAUGGAAACAACUAAUUUCGGAAGAUAAGCUUAAUUACGCAAGUGAUGAAUUUGUUCAAUUGACUCUGUACUUGAACUAGUUGGAUUGGUUGAUUGAUGAUUGACUAAAUUUGAAUUAAGUUUAAUAGCUAUGAUGUGCUCCUUAAAAGCAAACGUAAAUCUUUUUUAGAUUUGACUGAAUUUGGGAACCUGUUGGAUUGAUUGUUUUUAGAUCAUUAAUAUCGGUUACUACAACGUAAAUAUUUUAUUGUGGUUGAGUCCUAUUCUCAAAUCAGUAGGUUGCCUUAGAAAAAGGGCUUUUCUCACUGAUCUUUUUUUUUUCUUUAAUUCACACGCACUUGAUUAUUGACUUCUUUCAUGAAGAAAUAAACUUGUAAUGACUUAAAGAUUUAAUUUCAAGUUAGAAUCAAUACCAAAAGACGGAGGUUUAACAAAGCCGUUUAGUGUGAUAAAAGUACUUUAAAAAAUGUUGUUCGACCCAAUUAAGUUGAAGAAAUAACAAAGUUUUCAUGGAAUAAAUACCGGUUGUGCUUUAAUGAUUUUGGCAUAGACAUUGCUUGUGUACUGUGAAAUCGAAAUGAAU